This 269362-nucleotide long non-coding RNA is filed under the name Malus domestica (apple). Its description in RNAcentral is "long non-coding RNA (MDOM_LNC010067)". Lineage: Eukaryota; Viridiplantae; Streptophyta; Magnoliopsida; Rosales; Rosaceae. The record is from RNAcentral.
GGAUAGGCUGGCGCUGCUUGCCAUCAAAGCUCAAAUAAAGCAAGAUCUCCAUAAUUACAACGUGAUGAGCUCCUGGAACGAAUCCACGCACUUUUGCAUGUGGCAUGGUGUGACGUGCAGUCGACGACAUCGCCAAAGGGUCACUAACCUGGACCUGCAAUCUCAAAAUCUGGUAGGGAACCUAUCCCCAAACAUUGGAAAUCUAAGUUUUUUAAGGGAGCUGUGGCUGCGAAAUAACAGCUUCAGUCAUGAAAUUCCUCCACAAAUUGGGAAUUUGCGUAGAUUGCAUGUAUUGCGAUUAGAUGUUAACUCGUUUAGUGGUAGUAUUCCACACAAUAUAUCACAUUGCUUCAACCUUAUCCUUGUGAAUUUCACUCGCAACAAGUUGGUGGGUAAAAUUCCUUCAGAAUUUGGAUUGCUAUCGAAGCUGCAACAUUUUUCAUCAAAUGUUAAUAAUGUAACGGGACAGGUCCCUCUUUCCUUGGGCAACCUUUCGUCUCUCCAGAGACUAAGUCUUGUUAGUAAUAACUUGAUGGGAAACAUCCCCAGUUCUCUUGGCCAAUUGAAAAAAUUAACCUUCUUGGCAUUGGGGUUAAAUCAGUUGUCUGGUAGCAUCCCUUCCUCCAUUUAUAACCUUUCUUCUCUUGUUACAUUUUUCAUAGGAGGUAACCAAAUUCAAGGGAGUAUUCCAUCAGAUAUUGGCAAAAGUCUUCCUAAUCUCGGAGUCUUCGACGUCGGCUCAAACCAAUUUACCGGGUCCAUUCCUCCCUCAAUAUCCAAUAUCACAAGUGUUUGGUCAUUUGAAGUUGGGCCAAACAACCUAAUCGGACAGGUACCGAAUCUCCAAAAGCUUCACAACCUCCUGUAUUUCAACAUUCAAUUUAAUAAUAUUGGAAGCGGUAAAGAUGGUGACUUAAGUUUUCUCUCGGACUUGGCCAAUGCCACCAAGUUAGAAUGGUUGGUUAUUAGCGACAACAAUUUUGGAGGGACAUUGCCCAUGUCAAUAUCCAAUCUCUCAACCAAACUUGAAAUGUUUUGGGUUGGCAGUAACCAAAUAUAUGGAAGCAUCCCAUCUGGGAUAGGGAAUCUGGUGAGCUUGCAAUCGUUGCCCUUCGGGAUUAAUAGCUUCACAGGUAACAUUCCCUCUGACAUCGGCAAGCUUUCAAACCUUGAAGCAUUACAAAUUUCCAUGAACAAAUUAUCUGGAAAUAUUCCGUCUUCCGUAAGAAAUUUAACCAAGUUAUACUAUCUUGCGCUGGAUGGAAAUCAUCUUGAGGGCAGCAUUCCUUCAGGUCUGGGGGAAUGCCAUGGGUUGCAAUUGUUGAAUCUUUCUUAUAACCUCCUAAAUGGCACAAUACCAAAACAAGUUUUUAGACUCUCCUCCUUAUCGAUUUCUUUGGACUUGUCUAAUAACCUCUUCACAGGUUCCCUUCCCCCGGAGGUUGGGAAUUUCCAGAGUCUAAGUGAACUUUAUCUUUCUGAUAACAUGUUAUCUGGAGAACUCCCCAGUAGCCUUGGUGGUUGUGAGAGUUUAGAAGUCCUGCAUUUGCAAGGAAACUUUUUCAACGGGUCCAUUCCUUUGUCUAUGAGUUCAGUGAGAGCAAUUCGAGAUCUAGACCUUUCUCGCAAUAAUUUUUCAGGGGAAAUUCCACAUUUUUUAGAAGGUUUUAGAUUCUUGAAUAAUCUGAACUUAUCAUUCAAUCAAUUUUGGGGAGUGGUACCAACUGGAGGUGUUUUCAAAAAUGCGAGUGCUAUUUCAGUUGUUGGCAAUACUAAUCUGUGCAGCCCUGUUGAUAAUUUAAAGCUUCCCAAGUGCAAGUCUAAAGAGACCAAGAAACGAAGAUUGUCUCGUAGCUUGAAACUAAUACUCCCUUUAGUAUUUGGACUUACUCUUCUAGGAAUAGCCAUGGUGUUCUUCUAUUUCUUUCUUUGUUCGUCAAGGAAGAAAAAGAAAGAAAUUUCAUUGAGCACUUUGGGGAACACUAUUUUGCAAGUGUCAUAUGCUACUCUACUCAAAGCUACUGACGGGUUCUCAAAGGCUAAUUUAAUUGGUGCUGGUAGUUUUGGGUAUGUGUACAAAGGAGUUCUUGAUGAGGAUGAUAAAUCUCAACUUGUUGCCGUGAAGGUGUUUAACUUGUUACGCCAUGGAGCUUCGAGGAGUUUCAUAGCCGAAUGUGAAGCUUUGAGAAAUAUUAGGCACCGAAAUCUUGUCAAGAUUAUAACCGUGUGUUCAAGUGUUGAUUUUCAUGGUAAUGAUUUCAAGGCUCUAGUUUAUGAGUUCAUGAACAACGGGAGCUUAGAAGAGUGGCUGCGUCCACCUACUGGAACUGAAGAGUUAAGAGAUCAUAUACCCAAGAAGUUAAGUCUUCUUCAUAGGCUAGAAAUUGCCAUUGGUGUUGCUUGUGCACUGGAUUAUCUUCAUAAUCAUUGUGAAACGCCAAUAGUUCAUUGUGAUCUCAAGCCAAGCAACGUUCUCUUGGACAACGAAUUGACUGGCCAUGUUUCUGACUUUGGAUUAGCAAGGUUUCUCUCACAAGUAACGAGUAAUGUUUCAGCAAUUCAGAGUCAGACAAGUUCCGUUGGAAUAAAAGGAACGGUUGGUUAUGCAGCUCCAGGUAUACAUAUGUUAGAUAUAUACUUCAUUAUAUUUCCUUUUUUAUUUUGUAGUAUUUAAUUUACAAAAUUCAAACUGAACUUUUUAUACACAAAUGUGAUGUUUGAAUUGUAGAGUAUGGCAUGGGGAGUGAGGUGUCAACGAACGGUGAUGUCUACAGCUUUGGCAUUCUCUUGUUGGAGAUGUUUACAGGGAAGAGACCCACUGACAACAUGUUUGGUGAUAGCUUGAACCUUCAUAACUUUGUCAAGAUGGCUCUCCCCGAGCGAGUUAUUGAGAUUGCAGAUGCACCACUUCUUGAAGGAGGCACGAACGACAAUCCCAAUCAAUGCAGUGCAAGAAUUCAUAAAGUUGAGGUGUGCUUGAGUUCAAUAUUUAGAAUUGGAAUUGAUUGUUCUGCUGAAUCCCCAACAGAUCGACUAAAGAAUAUCAAUGAUGCUGCAUCUGAACUUCAUUCAAUUAGGAAUACUUUUCUUGGGUAGAAACUCUUUUUUAUGUGCUUUUGUAAUAAGAGAAAUUUCGUUUACUGCCUAUGAAGUCUAGCUUUUACGUUACCGCAGUAGAUGUGGAAGUUUGCAAUGUAAAUAAUCACCAAUGAGGUUUGUUGUGUGAAGAUUGUAUUCCUACUUUUUGUACUUGGUAUUUUUGUGUAAUAUUCUCAUCAAUUAAAGUCUAGUUCGUGCCACAAAAUUGUUGAAUAUUCACAUUGACAGAUUCCAAAUUUUUGAAAGAUUCAUAACCUGAAGAGCCUCAACAUUCACAAAAUUAUCUUGAAAGCUGUAAAGAUGGUGAGUUGAGUUUCCUAUCAGACUUGACCACCAUCAAUGUAAUGUGUUUUCGAAAAUGAAAGUGCUAUUUCAAUUGUUGACAACACUAGAUUAUGCACGGCAAUUCCUAAUCUCAAGUUGCCCAAUUGCAAGUCUAAAGAGCUCCAAGAAAAGAAGAUUAGCUUAUUGCUUGAAAUUAAUAAUCCCUUUCUCAAAGGCCACUGAUCGGUUUUCUUCAGCUAAUUUGACAAUAAAGCUCGGCUUGUACUUGUAGCUAUGAAGGUGUUUAACAUGUUACGUCAUGGAGCAUCAAAGAGUUUCAUAGCCGAAUAUGAGGCUUUGAGAAAUAUCAAGCAUCAAAAUUCGUCAAGGUCAUAUCUGCAUGUUUUCUCGAUGAUGAUUUCAAGGCUCUAGUUUAUGAGUUGAUGCACCAAAGGAGUUUAGAGGAGUGGUUGCAUGAUUUGCAUCCACCUCCUGUAAUUGAAGAGGUAAGAGAUCAAUACAACCAAGAAUUAAUAUCUUCUUCAAAGGCUACAUAUUGUUAUUGGUGUUGCUAUUGUGCAUUGGAUUAUUUUCAUAACCAUAGCGAAUGGUCAUUUUUUGUAGAAUUUUAACCCCAUUUUAAAGCCCAUGGGCUAUGAAAAAUCAAGGUUGUCUAGCAUUGUUGCUAUAAUUAUUCGCCCAUGUGCAUUCUGAAUUCAAAUCCAAUAGUUUUAGUAGUCGUUCUAUCAAUCUUGACAAUAAAAGAGUAUUUAUUUUAUUUUUUCAAACAAAUAGUAUUAUUUCCACUAAGGGGAAGGGGAUAGGCUUAGCCUCACAAUGAUGUAGUUCAAAUUCGUAUUUGGCAAUAAUCGAACAUAAAAUUUAUCAGUUACAAGUUAAGAAAAUACCAUUAGACCGUAGUACUAAGUGGCAUAAAAGAGUUUCUAUUAAACCAGUAAAAUGAAAAUUCUCAACCAUUCAUUAAUGGAUUUGAAUUUAGAUUUAUUACAAUUGAUAGAUACUUUUUUUGGGCAAUCAAUAGGAUACUAACAAAUUUGUUUUUAGAACAAAGAUAUGUCACGAUAAUGUGACUUAAAGCUGUGUCAUUGGCCUUUUCACUUAUUGCCCUAUCUUUAACGCACUCCAAUUAAUAUCGUCCACUAAUAUUAGUAUUUAAUGAAUCUCAUCAUAAAUUGUUACCCAAAAUAUUAAUUAUCAAAGCAAAUAAACUUGAUUGAGUUUUAAAUUUUUCGUGACUAACUCCCAAAUAAUUCUCGUUACCAAGCAAAUUAAAUACCUUUAAUUAAAAGCUUAAAAACUUUUUAAUUAUUACCUCUCUAUUUUGCUUUUGCAAUCACGAGCGUACAAUAUUAUAGGAAUAUUUUUGUUCUUCACACUCAAAUGAUGGUAAUGCUCACUACCUUAUUUAUCACCAUUAUAUGAGUUUAAUAUCUUGGAUAGACAAUUAUCAAAAUUUAAACUCAUCCAACGGUAAUAAAUAAGGUGGUAAGCAUUACCACCACUUGAGGAUGUUGAAUAAAAAUCGCCCCAAUAAUAUUAGUUAAGUUAGUUGGUGUGGUAAUUGGUCUUUAGCAAGCUUCUUAUAGAAAAAAGAAGAAUCUGAGUACUUUGGCUGUUUUGCAGAAGAAAAAGAAAGAAAGGGGCAUUUGAUGUUUGGACAGAUAUUAUGGCUGUUUGGAUGAAAUUAUUUAUUAUGGCUGUCUAUGACAAUGAGAAAUUUGAUUCUUCUAGUUGUAGCUAGUCCCGUUUUCUAUGUUUAUUUGCUUUCUUAUAUGAUGGAAUGGCGUUUUACCAUGAGAUUGAAUGGUUUUUUAUUUGGUUCUUUGUUUAGUUUGAACUAGAAAAAUUGCCCACGCGCUGCUGUGGGUUUUGAAACCAUAAUGCAGAACAUACUACGAAUAUUUUCGACAGAAAAAGACACAAAUUAUUUAGAUUCAGUUCACUUCACAUCAACAUAGUGUGCAUAAUGAAGAGAGCGUAUAUUUGAAAGUUUGAAUUAAUGAAACAUAAAAAAAGGUCGUACCCAGUGCACAAGGCUCCCGCUUUACGCAGGGUUUGAGAGAGGUAAAUGUCGGCUAGCCUUACCCCCAUUUAUAGAGAGGCUGCUCCCAAGUCUCGAACCCGAGACCUACCGCUCAUGGGCGAAGGCACUUGCCAUCGCACCAAGUGCAACCUCUUUGAAUUAAUGAAACAUGCAACAACGAAAUAUAAUGUUUUUUAUCCCCCCCCCCCCCCCCAGUCCUAUAAAAAGAAGCAUAAAUGGAAAGGAUGGUUCCCAAACUUUGUUUCAAUUUAAGUUUUAUGGCUUUCCUACUCUGCCCUACAUCACAGAACAAAAAGAAGGUUACCUAAGAAUUCAUGCAUUCAUCUUCUAAACAUGCAACAGAAAAGCACUCAUGCAUAAUAAAGGGUACAUUGACAUUAAAUAGAUCAACUUAAGUGCUAACAGCCAAUCAACAAAUUGAACAUAAUUGAAGUUUUAGUAGAAUGAGUUAACAAAAAGGAAGCUUGGUUUCCGCAUGAAAGAAAAGAUCCGCUUGAAAUGGUAGUCAUUCAAGAUGUUUUCUGGUAUUUAUGCGAAUUCGGAAAUGCUAUAAAUGUAAAAGUUACCUCAAAAGCCUUUUCUGCGUUGGUUUCUGUAAUCACUCCUACUGCAGCAUUUGCAGUCAGUAUCAUGAGAAUAACAUGUGUCUAAGACCAAGUUGUAUCCCACGUGCUUAAUCAACAACAAACAUAGAAAACAGUUAUCAUAUAUCAUAAAAUUCCAAGUCUUAACUUGUAAAGUUUCAAGUGCUCAACAAAUUUUGAACAAUGUAUGGUUCAAAACUUAAAAAAAAAAAAGACAUGCAUCAAAGACUUUAGGGAGAAAAAAUAUGCAUUGGCUGAAAUAGAUAAUUAGGAUUUUAAAUGUUAAAAUUUUCUUUUUGGCUCACUAAUUAGUGCAAAAGUGAGAUUGUAUGAACAAUUUUACACCCGGAAACAUGAACUAUACAUAAUCACAACUAAUCUAACAAUGAGAAAGUAUAUAAGACAAAACACUAACAGAAGGCUAAAACACUCUUUUAUUUGAUCUAACAAUAGGGUAAUAGGAUUAACUAAAUCAUUAGAGACUGCAACAAUGAGAAAGUCUGAAGAUUAAAGUUCUUGUUGAAUACCUUGAAAAACAUUUUCAGUAAAUCCGUUCAGGAAAAUAUAGAAACUUAAGAUUCUAUGCAAUUCCAUCAUCCGGGAUAGCACAUAUUUACUUGGAAUCCAACCUUAAGCCAACAUUUUUCUAUCUAUAGCAUCCAUCAUACCUAAGACAUUUCUCAGUAGGGGCACAUGAACAAUCAUAAUUGAGAUUUCAUAAGUUUAUUUUUUUGUUAACUAUAGUGAAAUUUAUAAAACAAUUUUAGCAAAACUCGAGUGUAGAUAAUGGACUUUUGUUCCAGUUUAAAAAAUAUUGACUUGUGUUCUAAGCAACAUAAUGCAUUCACAUUUCAAUUGUCAAAAGGCAUCACAGUAAUCCCCAACAACAACAACAAAGCUUUUUCCUACUAAGUGGGGUCGGCUAUAUGAAUCCUAGAACGCCAUUGCGCUCGGUUUUGUGUCAUGUCCUCCAUUAGAUCCAAGUACUCUAAGUCUUUUCUUAGGGUCUCUUCCAGAGUUUUCCUAGGUCUUCCUCUACCCCUUCGGCCCUGAACCUCUGUCCCGUAGUCACAUCUUCGAACCGGAGCGUCAGUAGGCCUUCUUUGCACAUGUCCAAACCACCAUAACCGAUUUUCUCUCAUCUUUCCUUCAAUUUCGACUACACCUACUUUACCUCGGAUAUCCUCAUUCAUAAUCUUAUCCUUUCUCGUGUGCCCACACAUCCAACGAAGCAUCCUCAUCUCCGCUACACCCAUUUUGUGUACGUGUUGAUGCUUCACCGCCCAACAUUUUGUGCCAUACAGCAUCGCCGGCCUUAUUGUCGUCCUAUAAAAUUUUCCCUUGAGCUUCAGUGGCCUACGACGGUCACACAACACGCCGGAUGCACUCUUCCACUUCAUCCAUCCAGCUUGUAUUCUGUGGUUGAGAUCUCCAUCUAAUUCUUCGUUCUUUUGCAAGAUAGAUCCUAGGUAGCGAAAACGGUCGCUCUUUGGUAUUUCCUGAUCUUCGAUCCUCACCCCUAACUCAUUUUGGCCUCCAUUUGCCCUGAACUUGCACUCCAUAUAUUCUGUCUUUGAUCGGCUUAGGCGAAGACCUUUAGAUUCCAACACUUCUUUCCAAAGGUUAAGCUUCGCAUUUACCCCUUCCUGAGUUUCAUCUAUCAACAUUAUAUUGUUUGCGAAAAGCAUACACCAAGGAAUAUCAUCUUGAAUAUGUCCUGUUAACUCAUCCAUUACCAACGCAAAAAGGUAAAGACUUAAGGAUUGUUAAUGCACAAAAUCAAUGAGGACUUUGAUACAACAGAAAGUAUUAAGCUUGUGAUCUUCGCUAGAUUGCUCCGGUCAUUAGUGUGGAUAAAUAUGUAAAUGGAUAGAAACAGGAAAGCAAACACAAGAUGUACGUGGUUCACCCAGAUUGGCUACGUCCACGGAGUAGAGGAGUUCUCAUUAUUUUUGAAGGGUUUACACAAGUACAUAGGUUCAAGCUCUCCUUUAGUGAGUACAAGUGAAUGAUUUAGUACAAAUGACAUUAGGAAAUAUUGUGGGAGAAUAAUCUCGUAAUCACGAAACUUCUAAGUACUGAAGUGUGGUAUCGUCUUCACUUGCCUUAUCUGUCUCAUAGGUAGAUGUGGCAUCUUCUCUGGAAGUACUCUUCCUCCAUCCAGUGGUGAUAUCUUUAACUGGUGGAGAUGCACAAGGUAAUGUAUCAAUUUCACUUGAAGCUUACUUGUAGUUUCGGGCUUGGUCAAGUGUGAUACAAACCAUAUAGUAGGAGUCCCCCAAGUCGCCGAGCUAGGAGGAUCUGCCGAAAGAGGUGACAGACAAGGUAAGCAAUCAGACUUCCAAGCAAGCAGUCCCAGGAUCAGAAGUUUGAUUUCGGCUUCCGGUUGAUUGUUCUCAUUCUCCUUAUCUUGCAUUCAAGCAUGCCAGGAUAAAGAGAAGAAAAAUGGAGAAGAGAUGAUAUGAGAUACUUUUGCUUUUGAAGAAGUAACUUUCCACAGGCUUAUUCUUGAACUGGGCUGGAGGGUUUUCUGGUUUCCUUCAGAGUAUAAGGCCGACUGAAAAAUUUGAGGGUCAAAACAAGUCCAUCAAAUCUAGAGUACGUUCGACCCUGAUGAUAUGGGAUACUUUUGCUGUUGACAAAGUAUGUGGUAUGUAUCGGCACGUGUUUCUGUUACGCUUGUCUCCACAUGCUUCCUUGUAUCCUUCUCACUUGCCCUAUCUGUUCCUCAGGCAGAUGUAAAGGCCAAUAUCUUCUCUGGAAGCAUGAAGAUGUUGAAGAUGAGUACUCGAGAGCAAUGCUAAGGUAAGCAAUCAGGUAAGGGGUUCCAGGCAGUCAGUUCCUGAUUGGAAGUUUGAUUUCAGGUUCCUGACUGAUUGCUCUCUUUUUCUCCUUGUCCUUGCAGGUAAGUGGAACAAGGACAAAGGAAAAGACAGGGAAAAGCAUGAUAUGGGAUACUCUUGCUUUUAACCCUGAUGAUAUGAGAUAUUCUUGUUCUUGGUGUGGCUUGUUUGCUGAGGUAUUAUCGGGGGGAAAUAAAGCUGAGUAUUUCGAGAGGUUACUUCGUUGAGGAGUGCCUUUCUCAGAUAUGAGGAAAGGGUUGAGCAUUUUUGCAGGUUUGCCUGUCCGUUGAGGAGGGAGGUCGACAUGUAUAUAGGAGUCUCCCUAAUAACAAGUAGUAAUGCUAUUCCUUUACCCUUCUUGGUCACAGCAAUGUAGUGGGAGCUGCCAGCUUCACGUGUUUUUAAUUUUGUCAGAGCACUUUGAAAAAGUGGUAUGUGGUAUCUGGAAAGCUGAUGUUACGUGUGAAGAUUACAGACAAGCUUUAUCUAAGGAAAUCUGGCUCUCGAAGUUCUGAGAAAGUUGUGCCUCUUCGGUUUUCGAACAAGCAAUCCCUGUCGGGGAUCUGACUCUCGAGAUUCAGAGAAUAGUGCCUCUUCGAUUUUUUAGAAAGCAAUCCUGCUGGGAGUCUGGCUCUUGAGAUUCGGAGAGCGGUGUCUCGUCGAUUUUUGAGAAAGUAAUCAUGUUGGGAGUCUGGCUCUUAAAAUUCGGAAGGCGGUGCCUCUUCGACUUUGAAGCAAGCAAUCUUGUUGGGAGUGUUUUCUCGAAUGUGAGUAAAGGUUGGGCAUGUUUGCUAGUCUACCUUGCCACAAGAGCACGGAGGUUGACACACAUAGGGACUUUCCAAUUGUCAAGCAGUGGUGCUGUUCCUUUACCCUUGUGGGUAAUAAUAUGGUAGCUAGACCUUCAAAAUUUAUGCGUCUAAACUUUGUUAGUGUUGUUUCUUUGCUAUUCUUUUACCCUUCUUGGUCAUAGCGAUGUAGUGGGAGCUGCAAGCUUCACGUGUCUAAACUUUGUCAGAGAUCUUUGACAAAGUUAUAUGUGGUACCCGAGGAGUUGAUGGUGCAUAUGGAAAGUGGUGAUUGAACAGUAAGAUUCACGUGCUUUCUACUUCACCAGAAAUCUUCGACAGAUUGCCCGUAAUUUCCGCAAAGCUGAGUGUGCAUGUGACAGGUGCUGACGAGGCUGAAAAAGCAGGUGCUUCUUCGAUUUCUGAGAUCGGCCCUCGUGGUCUCUGAGCAGCCCAGCUUUUGAGAAAGCAAGCGCCUCUUCGAUUUCUGAGAUCGGCCUUCGUGGUCUUUGAGCAGCCCAGCUUUUGAGAAAGCAAACGCCUCUUCGAUUUCUGAGAUCGGCCCUCGUGGUCUCUGAGCAGCCCAGCUUUUGAGAAAGCAAACGCCUCUUUCGAUUUCUGAAGCUCCGUCGAGUGCAGAUUUUUUAUAGAGGCUGGCAUUAAGUUCCAAAGCACACUUGAAUCUCUACCAGUAGAAGCUCCAUUUCUUGCACUUCUAAGAUCUUGAUUUGUCUGACCUCUUCUCUUCUUCAACACAUUUGAAAAUGUCUGGACCCUCCGACCGUCGUUUUGACUUGAACCUUGGAGAAGAGGACAGCCACGCCUUCUCCAGACAACAUAUGGCGCCCAUCCUUCAUAUCCCCUACUGGUCCUCUUACCGUUGGGGAUUCUGUGAUGAAGAAUGAUAUGACCGCUGCAGUGGUGGCCAGGAACCUUCUCACUCCCAAAGAUAACAGACUACUUUCCAAACGGUCUGAUGAGUUGGCUGUUAAGGACUCUCUGGCUCUUAGUGUUCAGUGUGCAGGUUCUGUGUCUAAUAUGGCCCAACGCCUAUUUGCUAGAACCCGCCAAGUUGAAUCAUUGGCUGCUGAAGUGAUGAGUCUCAAACAGGAGAUUAGAGGGCUCAAGCAUGAGAAUAAGCAGUUGCACCGGCUCGCCCAUGACUAUGCUACAAACAUGAAGAGGAAGCUUGACCAGAUGAAGGAAUCUGAUGGUAAGGUUUUACUUGAUCAUCAGCGGUUUGUGGGUUUGUUCCAAAGGCAUUUAUUGCCUUCGUCCUCUGGGGCUGUACCUGGUAAUGAAGCUUCAAAUGAUGAACCUCCAAUGCCUCCUCCUUCUGGGGUUUUGUCAAGUACUGAGGCUCCGGAUAACCACCCUCCGGUGCUUUCUCUUUCUGGGGCUCUACCGACUGCUGAGACUUCCCCUAAGCAACCUUUGUGAAGGCUCCCUUUUGUUUGUUUAUUUUGACUCAUGUAUAUGUACAUAUUUGUGGCUUAUCGAAAAUAUUAAUAAAUAAGCUUUGCUUCAUUUCAACGUAUUGUGUUAAAUACACCAAAGCCUUCUUCACUAAGUUCUUUGAAUUUUUCUUUUGUUGAAGCUUGUAUGUUGAAGCUUUCAUUCAGUUUAUUUCACUUGUCCAUUGGAAUUUUAUUCAAAGAAUUAUCAAAUAAAGACAAUAGCAUGCCAAAGAUUAAAAACCCUCAUUUCAAACUUUGCUAAUGCAUAACUCUGUUUGGUUUUCUUCUCCGAAUACCAGACUGAGAGAGGAGUCAAGUUCUCUAGUGCACCAUCAAUCUCCUGUUUGAGAAACCAUCACCACAGCCACUCCCUUGAGGCACCACCGUCGCCAUUUUUCACGGAGAACAACGCCACCACGAAACCACCACCAUUAAUCUCGCCACCUACGCAACUUUUACCAUCCCCGAACCCACCCUCUGCAAAUUGCCCUCAUCCCUUCUAAUUUCAUUUCUUGCAUUUCUUGUAUGGUAUCCAUUUCUUGCACACUCAAAUAUUUAUAUACCAACUGAGAAUAACAAUAUAAAUCCCACACCCACCCCUUUUCCCCACUUGAAAAAUUCACCAAAAGACCGCAUUAACCACCAUAGUUUAAGAAUCCAGACCCCAAAUUUCAAUCUAAUUAAUUAAAUUACAGAUGAUUCUAUCUACCUCAUGAAAACAAAUAUGUUCAGUUAAAGAAAUUCCAUAAUCACUGCAUCUUAAACCACUUCUUAAAUAUGUCCGCCAUACCAAUCUAAUAAAAAAUCCAUGUUCAAUCGAUUCUUAUUAAUUCCAACACCAAGUAUUUCAGCAUCUAGAUUAUAGAAAAAUCACAAUAAAACAAACUCAGAACACCCAGAUUCCAAUCUUGGUGCUAAAGCACACUUUGUUAACCUCACCUUCAUCAAGUCCAUGUUUCCUGCCAUGAGAUCUUUCUCUUUAUCCAGACUUGCCUUUAGCUGCAAGAUCAAAAUAAUGAAGCAUUCAAUUCCAUUUCUAUACUCAUAAAAUUAAAAAUUGAAAUAUGUCAUAAUUUACUCGGAAUCUUCAUAUGUAUUAUGAAAGCAUAUGAACAGAUACAUUUGAAAACUUAUAACGCUACCUAAUAAAGUUGAAAAGUAACUAAUUAAGAUCAAGUUCCAGUGCAUCCAGUGAGCCUUCCAGGGAAAGAUGGCCCCAUGGACUUAGACCUUGAAAACUGAGGCUUGUUUUGCCUUGUAAUUGUAUGAUCAGUAGCAUCCUUAUGGAUUGCAAUUGUAUGAUCAGUAGUAUCCUUAUGGAUUCCCAAAUUAAUCCUCAAAAUUUUGUUCUCAUCCGAUAGCUUAUGCACCUGGGACAAAAGUCGCUCAAUUGUUUCACUAUUCUCCUUGUUUCUCUUUAUCAACUCAGCCCGGUGCUGCAUAUUUUCGUCAAUGAGUUCUGAGAUCUUUUCGUGCAACAUUUUCUCUUUUUCAACCACAUUACCAUCACAUUCUACACCAUUAUCAAUAUUCUUCUCUUCCAUAUAUUCUUCGAAUGUACACAAAACCUUUUUUUAGGACAUACCAGCAUUUGUUUGUUUUGAUGGCUCUGAUUUUGGUUUCCGUUUUCUCUUUUGUGGUGGUCUAAUCAAGAUGCACUCCAAAACACUAAUUUGAGUGCCUACACAGAUGAACAUCGCAUAAAAAUCAUAAAAAAAAAUCCAAAACAGCAGCAGAGAUAAAAAAAUGAUAAUAACUCUAAAAAAAAUUUAAAUCAAAAGCUAAGACUAACUCACAGAAUUUUUGGGCAAAAAAAUUUCUUUAAAUACUAAUUUAAUGCAAUCCAGGAGCUAAAUGCUUAAAUCAGAAAAAAUCCUUUAACCCAGAUACUCCUAUGGUCACAAAUACUGAUAUUUGUGCAGUGCAGCAAAGUUUUUCUUGAAACUUGACGUAUGUCACUAAAAUUAUCCCAAAUAUAUCUCAGAGAUUGCAGAAAUUCAGACUAUCAAUAAUGAGACAGCCGGAAUGUUUUACCCUAAUCUUAUUAGGAUUUUUAACUAAACAACUUGCUCAUGUAACAGCUAUAUUACAGCAUAAAUAUUCAUGAACACUCAUCACCAAUAGCAAAAAGGAGCAAAGUACUAUUACAGAAAUCUAAAGAUACCCAUCAACAAUAUAACAAAAAAAAUUGCGGUGAGAUUUUAAAAUACCAACUUUAUUCGAUAUUACAAUGAAAUAUAACAAAAAGAAAAAUAAAAACAAAAUGUACAAAAAUCAUUAUUUUCAUAAAUAGACAGUGGAAUAACAGAAGAAGCCAAACCCAGAAAAAUUAAAAACAUAGAAUCACAGUAGAAGAAGCACACCAUUUCAGAUCUUUUUAUCCUCUUUGAAGAUCGAUCGAUUCCAGAGAGAGAGAGAGGAGGAGGGAGAAGACAAAUGGGAGAGGAGGUAGACGGAGGCGAGAGGAGGAAAACGACGGAGGUAGUUUAUCGGAAGCAUGUCUUGUCUUGCGUUGCUAGUCAACAAGUCAGUGGAAUCCUCACAAAAUCCCUCACUCAAUCGGGUCAGUGACAACUCCCUCAAUUUUCUCCCUCUCAAUCUCUCAAUCAUCGACAACUACCCAUUAAUUAAGGCUUCUAGUGGCAAUUUUGACCAAUCCCUUAAUCCCGACACCAACCCUUGAUUUGAGGAGGAAAAAUCAACCCUAACCCCCUUUAUGGCAACCUUACUAAGUCACGCCUCCCUCUCACUUCCCCUCCCUGCCAUCCCCCAACUAUCUCCCUCUCUGUCUCUGCACCCCAUGCUUUUUGGCAAUGGCACGAAUGUAAAUAAUACAAAAUCAAAGGAUCAUUUCAAAACAACAUAAAUAGACUGGCAAAACCGUAAAUAUUUCGAAAUCUGUUCAGAUACAAAAUUACCUUCCUAACUUUUAAUAUUUACCCACCAACCCAGUCUCAAAUUUGAUGGCAAUGGUGUAAAUAAAGCAAAAUCGAGUGACAUGUAGAAUAGGUAAUAUCUAUGUGUAGAAAACCUGUAACGGGAAAAUUGAAUUGUAGGAGCCGUAGCUCAUAUUCAUUCAUUGAUAGUGUAUAAAUAUAUUUGAUUACAAAGAGUCCUACAGGGCUCCAGUUCUGCUGUCCCCUUUUGUGUGUCUCCUUUAUGUUUCAACUUUCAUUGCUAAUAUUUUGACACAUGUCUUCUAGCUUAACUUAGUUUCUAACUUUGUUAACUUUUUAUUUAACAUUUAAAAGUAAAAAGAAAAAUCCAAAAUAAUCUGACUGUUGGGUUCUCGAGGUCUGCAAAUCCAAAAUAGAAUUCUUUCUGUGGCUGUCGGGUUACCAACGUGAGCAAACCUCUUCCCAAUUUUUCUCCAUCGUUGUACUGCUUCUUCACUUCUUUCCAGGCCAGCUCUGGUUGAGCUUGGAUUAUGUCCAGUUGAAAGUUGAAAACAAGCUUACCAUGAGACCCCAUAUCCUGCCAACUUUCUCUACCAAAUAUGCCAAAAGCUGUUGGCUGAAGUCAAUGAGAAGAUCAUGGAAUAUGGAUUUGCUGAGAGGUGGUAGAGUGAGAGAUUUUUCAGGUGUGAAAUCCCAUUGUAUUCUAGGAGUCAAGGAUUCUCUGGGAAUUCUGGAUCGAAGAAGACUUAUAAAUUGUUUAGUGAAGACGGAAACGAUUCGAAACAGUGGGACAAGCAUACUGGGUGAAUAGUUGAGUAAGCGAACGGAGGGCUUUAUUCAUUAUCAAUUGUGUGUAUGUUGCUGUUGUUACUGUCGUGCAGAAAAUCUCAGUUUGAGGUGACUGAGAUUACAACAAAUAUGAAAUCAUCCCUCACAGUUGUAGUGCUCUGUAUGUCCUUUAAAUGCAAGAACUGAUUUGUGACUCGAAGAAAGCUCUUGCAGGGUUCGUUUGCUUGGUGUCAAACGAAUUUCACUCUAAAAACAAAAUAAAAUUCUUUUUUCUCAAUCAAACUAUUUUAUGAGUCAUCAGAAAAUCACAAGAAUUGAUAGUCGCUACUACUUUCCAAACAUCAAACUAUUGAACUAAACAUGGUAAAUACCAAUAUUAAACUAAACAUGGUAAAUACCAAUAAUAUAUGAUAAUAUUUGGGAAUUUCUUAUAUUUCAUUAAUCUCCAAAGUGGAGUAUAUAUAGGAGUUACAAUUGGUAUUACAUAUGUACUUCACAAAUGUGGGACAAUAAACUACUAUUUACAUUUUAACUAAUGUAUAACUCGCAACACUCCCCCUCAAGUUGGUGCAAAGAUGUCAUGCAUGCCCAACUUGUCAAGCGAGUCGGAAAAUGCACUAUUAGACACAGCCUUAGUAAGAGCAUCAGCCAGUUGAUCUUCAGAUCUCACAAACGGAAACAUAAUAAUUCCUGCAUCCAAUUUUUCCUUAAUGAAAUGUCGAUCAAUCUCCACAUGUUUUGUUCGAUCAUGUUGCACUGGAUUAUGAGCAAUCUCAAUAGCAGCCUUGUUAUCACAAUGGAGUUUCAUAGCACUUUUGUGUUUAAACCCAAGAUCUCUCAACAAUUUUUUCAACCACAACAACUCACUUACACUAUGAGACAUACCACGAAACUCAGCUUCUGCACUUGACCUAGCCACCACUUUUUGUUUCUUGCUUCUCCAAGUAACUAAAUUACCACCCACAAACAUAAAGUAUCCAGAUGUAGAUCGUCGAUCAGUGAUAGAACCAGCCCAAUCUGCAUCUGUAUACCCUUCGACAUUCAAAUGAUCAUUCUUGGAGAAAACCAGGCCUCUGCCAUGAGCCAUCUUCAAGUACCUCAAAAUACGAGUUACUGCAUCCAUAUGAGCUUCACUAGGUGAGUGCAUAAACUGACUUACCACACUAACUGCAUAAGCAAUGUCAGGGCGAGUGUGAGACAAAUAAAUUAAUCUCCCCACAAGCCUCUGAUACCAUUCCUUAUGAGUUGAAACUUGAUCUGGAAAUAAGCCCAGACGAUGAUUCUGCUCAAUCGGAGUAUCAACAGGUUUGCAAUCUAACAUACCUGUUUCAGCUAACAAAUCAAGAACAUACUUCCUUUGAGAUAGAAAAAAUACCAUGCUUGGAUCGUGCAACCUCGAUUCCAAGAAAAUACUUCAAUUCACCCAAUUCUUUCAUCUCAAACUCAGUAGCUAGGUACUUUUGAAGGUGUUGUAUCUCCUUUUGAUCAUCACCAGUCACUAUCAUGUCAUCAACAUAAAUAAUCAAUGCAGUUAGCUUACCAUUUUGUCGCUUUAGAAACAAAGUAUGAUCUGAAUGACUCUGGAUAUACCCAAACUUCUUCAUUGAACUUGUAAACCUCCCAAACCAUGCUCUAGGAGAUUGUUUCAAACCAUACAAGGCCUUUCGUAACCUGCAUACAAUACCUUUUCCAGGAGAUGUUCCAAUACCAGGUGGGAGAUCCAUAUACACUUCCUCCUUAAGAUCACCAUGAAGGAAAGCAUUCUUAACAUCAAACUGCAACAGAGGCCAAUCCUGGUUUGCUGCCAAGGACAGAAGAACACGCACAGUAUUAAGUUUGGCAACAGGAGCAAAGGUCUCCUGAUAGUCCACCCCAUAGGUUUGAGUAUAACCCUUAGCAACUAAUCUGGCUUUAUACCGAUCAAUAGAACCAUCUGCUUUGUGCUUAAUAGUAAACACUCAUCUACAUCCAACGGCUUUCUUCCCGUUUGGUAACGGAACAAAAUCCCAAGUAGAAUUCUUUUCCAAAGCUUCCAUCUCAACUUUCAUAGCAUUAACCCACUUAGGGUCAGACAAAGCAUCUUGCAAUUUUGUUGGAAUUGAUACACUAGAUAGCUGACAUAUGUAAGAUGCAUAUGGUUGGGACAAACGAUGAGAAGACACAUAAUUGUUGAUAGGAUAUUUGGCUUUGGCAUGCAUAUCAGGCUCAUAUUGUACUUUAGGUUUUCCACGAUUAGCUCGUGGAGGCAACUGAUAAGUAGAAGAAUCGUCAGAAUUUACCUCAUGUAUGCCACCAUCUUGUACCAAACAGUUAGAAGAAUCAUCACUGGACGAACCAUCAUCAGGCAACUCGUUAGACAUAUCAGCAGCAGGCAACCGAUCAUCAGAAGGUAAUUCAUCAGAUAUAUCCGCAGCAGGCAACCGAUCAUCAUCUGUAGCCGACUGAUUAGUAUCACGCAAAAUAAUAUGUUCUGUUCCCAACUCUGUCUGUAACACAUCAUCCAUAUCAUCUCUUCGAAUCUGCACUUCACUCCCCCUCUCCCCUUGAAGUGGAGAGUCGGAAGAGGGCUUCACAAAAUACGAAACUUCCUCAUGGAAGGUGACAUCCAUGGUAAUAUAAGUUUUUUGAGUCGGAGGAUGAUAACACUUAUAGCCUUUUUGAUUGUUAGCAUACCCAAUAAAGACACACCAGAGAGCACAUGCAUCAAGUUUACUCCGCUGAUGAGAGUAGACAUGCACAUACGCAAUACACCCAAACACUUUCGGAGGAAGCUUUGAGACAGAAACAAGAGAAACAUGUUUUUGUAGCACAUCAAACGGUGUCUGAAAAUCAAGAACCCGACUUGGAACACGAUUGAUCAAAUACACAGCAGCCAAAACAGCAUGACCCCACAAAUGAUUAGGAACACAUUUAUCUAACAUCAAUGAGCGAGCAACCUCCAUUAUUUGACGAUUCUUCCGUUCGGACACACCAUUUUGUUGAGGUGUAAACGGAGUAGUCGUCUGGUGAAUAAUACCAUGAUCACGGAAAAAACAUGCCAAAGUGUGAUUCACAUAUUCUCCUCCGUUAUCAGACCUGAAGACCUUAACUUUGGUCUGAAACUGAGUAGAUACCAUUGUACAAAAUUCUUGAAGAAGUAAUGGAACAUCACUCUUAUUUUUCAUCAAGAACACCCAAGUUACCCGAGUACAAUCAUCAAUAAAAGUAACAAACCAACGGAAUCCAUUAGAAGUAACUUUUGCAGGACCCCACACAUUAGAAUGUAUCAAAUCAAAUGGUAAAGUAGCUUUAGAAUCACUUACAGGAAAGGAAGCACGAUGACUCUUAGCCAUGACACAUGUUUCACACUUGAACUCUGAAUCACUACAAGUGCGAAACAAAGAAGGAAAUAGAUGCUUCAUAUAACUGAAUGAUGGAUGUCCCAAUCGUCGAUGCCAUAACCAAAUUUGAUGUCUGUUAUCCACUUUAGCACUUAAAACUUGAUGAUGAUUUGAACCGGAAACAACAGUAUCCUCCAUAGUCAAGAUGUACAAACCCCUUAUCCUUUUACCAUAACCAAUUAUCUUCUGAGUUUGAAUAUCUCGAAAAUAACAAUACGUAGGAUAGAAGUGAGUAGAACAAUAUAAAGUAUCAAGAAGUUUUCCUACCGACAAAAGAUUGCACUUAACAUCAGGAACAAGUAAAGCACGGACCAGUGAUAAGGUUGGAGUCAAAGAGAUAGUGCCUUCACCCUUCACAGGGGAAAGUGCUCCAUUUGCACUAGUAAUAUACGGAUCACGAACAUAAUCACAUAACUCAUCAAACACUCUAGGGUCACUUGUCACAUGAUCAGUGGCCCCAGUAUCAAUUAUCCAUUUAUUUGUUCCACCAAGAUGCAUAACAACACUAUGAUUAUAUUGAGCCAUUGAACAAAAUCACGAACAAUAAAGGCACAAAAGAUAUGCAGCGGAAUGAAAACAAUUUACCAGAGUACUGUAGCAAUCACUGUUCACGGCACUGUAGCAAUACCAUUCACGGCACUGUAGCAAAUAACAAUCACUGUCCACGCACUGUAGCACGACACUUUUUUUUUCACACGGAGGAAAUCACGAAAAAUGUGGCACAAAAUUUAAAGCACAUAGGUCACCAAGAGCGAACUGCUCUGAUGCCAUAUUGAACUAAACAUGGUAAAUACCAAUAUUAACUAAACAUGGUAAAUACCAAUAAUAUAUGAUAAUAUUUGGGAGUUUCUUAUAUUUCAUUAAUCUCCAAAGUGGAGUAUAUAUAGGAGUUACAAUUGGUAUUACAUAUGUACUUCACCAAUGUGGGACAAUAAACUACUAUUUACAUUUUAACUAAUGUAUAACUCGCAACACAAACCAAAUAAAAUUAAUCUUUAAUAAAAAGUAUUAACUGAAACUUUAGUCCCAAAACAGAGUAAAUUCGUUGAGCAUUUUUCUCAUAGCAUCUUGCACUUUCAUAUCAUUAUCAUGAGUCUUUGUGGUGCUUGUCAUUUGAGAGCUGAUCAAAGCCUAAAUCCUUCUUUGGUGCUUUUCAUAUGCUUCGGUUCCAUUGGCUUCACAGGGAUUAUUUUAUCCGUCCAUGUCCUUGAGGAAAAAUGAAAAAUACAAUAUGAGAGCCAAAUUUAUAUAUGAAUAAGAAGCAAGAAAACUAUAGAUGAUUCAAAUAUAUAUAUAUAUAUAUAUAUAUCCUAUACUUGAUUCGUUGCUUAACUUCUCAAGGAUAAACUAUAGAGAAAACGCGGUACAACCAUGGCGAAAACGAACUCCUAUAAGAGCUUGUUUUCAAGUUUCAACAACAACAACAACAACAAAGCCUUUUCCCACUAAGUGGGGUCGGCUAUAUGAAUCUUAGAACGCCAUUGCGCUCGGUUUUGUGUCAUGUCCUCCGUUAGAUCCAAGUACUCUAAGUCUUUUCUUAGAGUCUCUUCCAAAGUUUUCCUAGGUCUUCCUCUACCCCUUCGGCCCUGAACCUCUGUCCCGUAGUCACAUCUUCGAACCGGAGCGUCAGUCGGCCUUCUUUGCACAUGUCCAAAUCACCAGAGCCGAUUUUCUCUCAUCUUUCCUACAAUUUCGGCUACUCCUACUUUACCUCGGAUAUUCUCAUUCCCAAUCUUAUCCUUUCUCGUGUGCCCACACAUCCCACAAAGCAUCCUCAUCUCCGCUUACGUGUUGAUGUUUCACCACCCAACAUUCUCUGCCAUACACCAUCGCUGGCCUUAUUGCCGUCCUAUAAAAUUUUCCCUUGAGCUUCAGUGGCCUACGACGGUCACACAACACGCCGGAUGCACUCUUUCCAUCCAGCUCGUAUUCUAUGGUUGAGAUCUCCAUCUAAUUCUCCGUUCUCAUGCAAGAUAGAUCCUAGGUAACGAAAACGGUCACUUUUUGUGAUCUUCGCUAUAUUGCUCCAGUCAUUAGUGUGGAUAAGUAUAUAAAUGGAUAGAGAUAGGAAAGCAAACACAAGAUGUACGUGGUUCACCCAGAUUGGCUACGUCCACGGAAUAGAAGAGUUCUCAUUAAUUGUGAAGGGUUUACAAAAGUACAUAGGUUCAAGCUCUCCUUUAGUGAGUACAAGUGAAUGAUUUAGUACAAAUGACAUUAGGAAAUAUUGUGGGAGAAUGAUCUCGUAAUCACGAAACUUCUAGAUGUGGCAUCUUCUCUGGAAGUACUCUUCCUCCAUCCAGGGGUGGUAUCUUUAACUGGUGGAGAUGCACAAGGUAAUGUAUCAAUUUCACUUGAAGCUUACUUGUAGUUUCAGGCUUGGUCAAGCGCGAUACAAACCAUGUAGUAGGAGUCCCCCAAGUCGCCGAGCUAGGGGGUCUGCUGAAAGAGGUGACAGACAAGGUAAGCAAUCAGAGCUCCGACUGAUUGUUCACCUUCUCCCCAUCUUGCAGCAGCAUGAAGGAUAAAGAGAAGAAAAAUGAGAAGAGAUGAUAUGAGAUACUUUUGCUUUUGAAGAAGUAACUUUCCACAGGCUUAUUCUUGAACUGAGCUGGAGGGUUUUCUGGUUUCCUCCAGAGUAUAAGGCCGACUGAAGAAUUUGAGGGUCAAAACAAGUCCAUCAAAUCUAGAGUACGUUCCACCCUGCUGAUAUGGGAUACUUUUUCUUUUGACAGAGUAAUGGAUGUAUCGGCACGUGUGCUGUUACGCUUGUCUCCACAUGCUUCCUUGUAUCCUUCGCACUUGCCCUAUCUGUUCCUCAAGCAGAUGCGGAAUCUUCCCUGGAGACAUAAGAUGUUGAAGAUGAGUACUCGAGAGCAAUGCCAGGUAAGUAAUCAGGUAAGGGGUUCCAGGCAGUCAGUUCCUGACUGGAAGCUUGAUUCCAAGUGCUGACUGAUUGCUCUCUUUCUCCUUGUCUUGCAGGUAAAAACAAGGCCAACAGAAAAAACGGGGAAAAAGCAUGAUAUGGGAUACUCUUGCUUUUAACCCUGAUGAUAUGAGAUAUUCUUGCUCUAGUAUAGCUUGUUUGCAGAGGUAUUAUCGGGGGGAAAGAAAGCUGAAUAUUUCGAAAGGCUUUGUUGGGAGUGCCCUCUCAGAUAUGAUGAAGGGUUGAGCAUUUUUGCAGGUCUGCCUGUCCGUUGGGGAUGGAGGUCGACAUAUAUAGGAGUCUCCCUAACAACAAGUAGUAAUGCUAUUCCUUUACCUUGGUAGUGGGAGCUGCCAGUUUCACAUGUUUUAACUUUGUCAGAGCACUUUGAAAAAGUGGUCUGUGGUAUCUGGCUCUCGAGAUUCGGAGAACGAUGCCUCUUCGAUUUUUGAGAAAGCAAUCAUGCUGGGGGUCUGACUCUCGAGAUUCGGAGAGCAGUGUCUCUUCGAUUUUUUUUAGGAAGUAAUCAUGUUGGGAGUCUGGCUCUCGAGAUUCGGAGGGCGGUGCCUCUUCGAUUUUGGAGCAAGCAAUCUUGUUGGGAGUGUUGUCUCGAAUGUGAGUAAAGGUUGAACAUGUUUGCUAGUCUACCUUGCCACGAAGCACAAAGGUUGACACACAGGGACUUUCCAAUUAUCCAGCAAUGGUACUGUUCCUUUACCCUAUCUUCGAUUUUGAGAAAGUAGUCAUGUUGGGAGUCUGGCUCUCGAGAUUCGGAGGACGGUGCCUCUUCGAUUUUGGAGCAAGCAAUCUUGUUGGGACUGUUUUCUCGAAUGUGAGUAAAGGUUGGGCAUGUUUGCUAGUCUACCUUGCCACGAAGCACAGAGGUUGACACACAGGGACUUUCCAAUUAUCCAGCAGUGGUACUGUUCCUUUACCCUUGUGGGUAAUAAUAUGGUAGCUAGACCUUCAAAAUUUAUGUGUCUAAACUUUGUUAGUGCUGUUUCUUUGCUAUUCUUUUACCUUUUCUUGGUCAGAGCGAUGUAGUGGGAGCUGCAAGCUUCACGUGCUCAACUUUGGCAGAGAACUUUGGCAAAGUUGAUCUGUGGUACCCAUGAGUUAUUGUUGCGUGUGGAAGUGGGUGAUUGAACAGUAAGAUUCAUGUGCUUUCUACUUCACCAGAAGUCUUCGACAGAAUGCCCAUAAUUUCUGCAAAGCUGAGUGUGCGUGUGACAGGUGCUGACAAGGCUAGAAAAGUAGGUGCCUCUUCGAUUUCUGAGAUCGGCCCUCGUGGUCUCUGAGCAGCCCAGCUUUUGAGAAAGCGAGCGCCUCUUCGAUUGAUUCGGAGAACGGUGCCUCACCGAUUUUUGAGAAAGCAAUCAUGCUGGGGGUCUGGCUCUCGAGAUUCGGGGAGCAGUGUCUCUUCGAUUUUUUGAGAAAGUAAUCAUGUUUGGAGAGUCUGGCUCUCGAGAUUCGGAGGGCGGUGCCUCUUCGAUUUUGGAGCAAGCAAUCUUGUUGGGAGUGUUUUCUCGAAUGUGAGUAAAGGUUGGGCAUGUUUGCUAGUCUACCUUGCCACGAAGCACAAGAGGUUGACACACAGGGACUUUCCAAUUAUCCAGCAAUGGUACUGUUCCUUUACCCUCUCUUCGAUUUUUAAGAAAGUAGUCAUGUUGGGAGUCUGGCUCUUUAGAUUCGGAGGACGGUGCCUCUUCGAUUUUGGAGCAAGCAAUCUUAUUGGGAGUGUUUUUCUCGAAUGUGAGUAAAGGUUGGGCAUGUUUGCUAGUCUACCUUGCCACGAAGCACAGAGGUUGACACACAUGGACUUUCCAAUUAUCCAGCAGUGGUACUGUUCCUUUACCCUUGUGGGUAAUAAUAUGGUAGCUAGACCUUCAAAAUUUAUGGGUCUAAACUUUGUUAGUGCUGUUUCUUUGCUAUUCUUUUACCCUUCUUGGUCAGAGCGAUGUAGUGGGAGCUGCAAGCUUCACGUGCUCAACUUUGGCAGAGAACUUUGGCAAAGUUAUCUGUGGUACCCAUGAGCUAUUGUUGCGUGUGGGAAGUGGGUGAUUGAACAGUAAGAUUCAUGUGUUUUCUACUUCCCCAGAAGUCUUUGACAGAAUGCCCAUAAUUUCCGCAAAGCUGAGUGUGCGUGUGACAGGUGCUGACAAGGCUGGAAAAGUAGGUGCCUUCUUCGAUUUCUGAGAUCGGCCCUCGUGGUCUCUAGGGAGCCCAGCUUUUGAGAAAGCGAGCGCCUCUUCGAUUUCUGAGAUCGGCCUUCGUGGUCUUUGAGCAGCCCAACUUUUGAGAAAGCAAACGGCCUCUUCGAUUUCUGAGAUCAACCCUCGUGAUCUCUAAGCAGCCCAAGCUUUUGAGAAAGCAAACGCCUCUUCGAUUUCUGAGCAGGCGCCUCUUUCGAUUUCUGAAGCUCCGUCGAGUGCAGAUUUUUUAUAGGGGCUGGCAUUAAGUUCCAAAGCACACUUGAAUCUCCACCAGUAGAAGCUUCAUUCUUGCACUUCUAAGAUCUUGAUUUGUCCGACCUCUUCUCUCUUCAACACCUUUGAAAAUGUCUGGCCCCCUCCGACCGUCGUUUUGACUUGAACCUUGUUGAAGAGGCAGCCCCGCCUUCUCCAGACAACAUAUGGCGCCCAUCCUUCGUCUCCCCAACUGGUCCUCUUACCGUUGGGGAUUCCGUGAUGAAGAAUGAUAUGACCGCUGCGGUGGUGGCCAGGAACCUUCUCACUCCCAAAGAUAACAGACUACUUUCCAAACGGUCUGAUGAGUUAGCUGUUAAGGAUUCGCUGGCUCUCAGUGUUCAGUGUGCAGGUUCUGUGUCUAAUAUGGCCCAACGCCUAUUUGCUCGAACCCGCCAAGUUGAAUCAUUGGCGGCUGAAGUGAUGAGUCUCAAACAGGAGAUUAGAGGGCUCAAGCAUGAGAAUAAACAGUUGCACCGGCUCGCACAUGACUAUGCUACAAACAUGAAGAGGAAGCUUGACCAGAUGAAGGAAACUGAUGGUCAGGUUUUACUUGAUCAUCAGAGAUUUGUGGGUUUGUUCCAAAGGCAUUUAUUGCCUUCGUCUUCUGGGGCUGUACCGCGUAAUGAAGCUCCAAAUGAUCAACCUCUGAUGCCUCCUCCUUCUAGGGUUCUGUCCAGUACUGAGGCUCCAAAUGAUCCCCCUCCGGUGCCUUCUCUUUCUGGGGCUCUACCGACUGCUGAGACUUCUCCUAAGCAACCUUUGUGAAGGCUCCCUCUUGUGUGUUUAUUUUGACUCAUGUAUAUGUACAUAUUUGUAGCUUAUCGGGGAUAUCAAUAAAUAAGCUUUCCUUCAUUUCAACGUAUUGUGUUAAAUACACCAAAGCCUUCUUCGCUAAGUUCUUUGAAUUUUCUUUUGUUGAAGCUUGUAUGUUGAAGCUUUCUGAGUGGAGCAUGUAGGUUGGGGUAGUGUUCCCUUAAUUUCCCGAGUGAGGAAAACUUCUUGGUUGGAGACUUGGAAAAUCCAAGUCACUGAGUGGGAUCGGCUAUAUGAAUCUUAGAACGCCAUUGUGCUCGAUCCUGUGUCAUGUCCUUCGUUAGAUCCAAGUACUCUAAGUCUUUUCUUAGAGUCUCUUCCAAAGUUUUCCUAGGUCUUCCUCUACCCCUUCGGCCCUGAACCUCUGUCCCAUAGUCGCAUCUUCUAAUCGGAGCGUCAGUAGGCCUUCUUUGCACAUGUCCAAACCACCGUAACCGAUUUUCUCUCAUCUUUCCUUCAAUUUCGGCUACUCCUACUUUACCCCGGAUAUCCUCAUUCCUAAUCUUAUCCUUUCUCGUGUGCCCACACAUCCAACGAAGCAUCCUCAUCUCCGCUACACCCAUUUUGUGUACGUGUUGAUGUUUCACCGCCCAACAUUCUGUGCCAUACAGCAUCGCCGGCCUUAUUGCCGUCCUAUAAAAUUUUCCCUUGAGCUUCAGUGGCAUACGGCGGUCACACAACACGCCGGAUGCACUCUUCCACUUCAUCCAUCCAGCUUGUAUUCUAUGGUUGAGAUCUCCAUCUAAUUCUCCGUUCUUUUGCAAGAUAGAUCCUAGGUAACGAAAACGGUCGCUCUUUGGUAUUUCUUGAUCUCCGAUCCUCACCCCUAACUCGUUUUGGCCUCCAUUUGCACUGAACUUGCACUCCAUAUAUUCUGUCUUUGAUCGGCUUAGGCGAAGACCUUUAGAUUCCAACACUUCUCUCCAAAGGUUAAGCUUUGCAUUUACCCCUUCCUGAGUUUCAUCUAUCAACACUAUAUCGUCUGCGAAAAGCAUACACCAAGGAAUAUCAUCUUGAAUAUGUCCUGUUAACUCAUCCAUUACCAACGCAAAAAGGUAAGGACUUAAGGAUGAGCCUUGAUGUAAUCCUACAGUUAUGGGAAAGCUUUCGGUUUGUCCUUCAUGAGUUCUUACGGCAGUCUUUGCUCCUUCAUACAUAUCCUUUAUAGCUUGGAUAUAUGCUACUCGUACUCCUUUCUUCUCUAAAAUCCUCCAAAGAAUGUCUCUUGGGACCCUAUCAUACGCUUUUUCCAAAUCUAUAAAGACCAUGUGUAAAUCCUUUUUCCCAUCUCUAUAUCUUUCCAUCAAUCUUCGUAAGAGAUAGAUUGCCUCCAUGGUUGAGCGCCCUGGCAUGAACCCGAAUUGGUUGUCCGAAACCCGUGUCUCUUGCCUCAAUCUAUGCUCAAUGACUCUCUCCCAGAGCUUCAUUGUAUGACUCAUUAGCUUAAUACCCCUAUAGUUCAUGCAAUUUUGUACGUCGCCCUUAUUCUUGUAGAUAGGCACCAAAGUGCUCGUUCGCCACUCAUUUGGCAUCUUCUUCGUUUUCAAAAUCCUAUUGAAAAGGUCAGUGAGCCAUGUUAUACCUGUCUCUCCCAAAACUUUCCACACUUCGAUUGGUAUAUCGUCUGGGCCUAUUGCUUUUCUAUGCUUCAUCUUCUUCAAAGCUACAACCACUUCUUCCUUCCGGAUUCGACGAUAAAAGAGUAGUUUCUACACUCUUCUGAGUUACUCAACUCCCCUAAAGAAGCACUCCUUUCAUGUCCUUCAUUGAAAAGAUUAUGAAAAUAACCUCUCCAUCUGUCUUUAACCGCGUUCUCUGUAGCAAGAACCUUUCCAUCCUCAUCCUUGAUGCACCUCACUUGGUUUAGGUCCCUUGUCUUCUUUUCCCUUGCUCUAGCUAGUUUAUAGAUAUCCAACUCUCCUUCUUUGGUAUCUAGUCGUUUAUACAUAUCGUCGUAAGCCGCUAACUUAGCUUCUCUGACAGCUUUCUUCGCCUCUUGCUUCGCUUUUCUAUACCUUUCACCAUUUUCAUCGGUCCUCUCCUUGUAUAAGGCUUUACAACAUUCCUUCUUAGCCUUCACCUUUGUUUGUACCUCCUCAUUCCACCACCAAGAUUCCUUUUGGUGUGGGGCAAAGCCCUUGGACUCUCCUAAUACCUCUUUUGCUACUUUUCGGAUACAACUAGCCAUGGAAUCCCACAUUUGGCUAGCUUCCCCCUCUCUAUAUCCCACACACAUUGGGUGAUUACCUUCUCUUUGAAAAUGGCUUGUUUUUCUUCUUUUAGAUUCCACCAUCUAGUUCUUGGGCACUUCCAAGUCUUGUUCUUUUGUCUUACUCUUUUGAUAUGUACAUCCAUCACCAACAAGCGAUGUUGAUUAGCCACGCUCUCUCCUGGUAUAACUUUGCAAUCCUUACAAGUUAUACGAUCCCCUUUCCUCAUUAGAAGAAAAUCUAUUUGUGUUUUUGACGACCCACUCUUGUAGGUGAUCACAUGUUCUUCUCUCUUCUUAAAGAAGGUGUUGGCUAAGAAGAGAUCAUAUGCCAUUGCAAAAUCCAAGAUAGCUUCCCCAUCCUCGUUUCUCUCCCCAAAACCAUGGCCACCAUGAAAACCUCCAUAGUUGCCUGUCUCCCUGCCCACGUGUCCAUUUAAAUCUCCUCCUAUAAAUAACUUCUCCGUCUGAGCAAUUCCUUGCACCAAGUCUCCAAGAUCUUCCCAAAAUUUCUCCUUCGAACUCGUAUCCAACCCUACUUGAGGUGCGUACGCACUAAUCACAUUGAUAAGUUCUUGUCCUAUUACAAUCUUGAUUGCCAUGAUUCUAUCUCCUACCCUCUUGACAUCUACAACAUCUUGUACCAAGGUCUUGUCCACGAUGAUGCCAACACCGUUUCUCGUUCUAUUUGUGCCCGAAUACCAAAGUUUAAACCCUGAGUUUUCUAGAUCCUUUGCCUUACUACCAACCCACUUAGUUUCUUGUAGGCACAUAAUAUUUAUCCUUCUCCUCACCAUAACUUCCACUACUUCCAUAGAUUUUCCCGUUAAGGUUCCUAUAUUCCACGUUCCUAAACGCAUUUUGCUCUCUUGAACUCUACCCUUCUGUCCUAGCUUCUUCACCCUCCCCCGUCUAAUAGGAUCAAAGUACUUCUUUUGUGUGUCCCGGGUAAAGUUGAUAGGAGCAUAUGCUCCCAAACAACUUUGAGUGGAGUCGUUCGAAAAGAAGUUUCUAUGGCCCCCUUGCUCAUUUAACACUGCAUCCGGGUGCCGAUGGAGAUACAGCGACCCUUGCUCACUUAUCACUGUGCUCGGGCCACACAGCGCGCCACUUACGGGUGACGCCCUAGCUUUAGCGCGAUUUUGUUCUGGAUUCAUUUUCAUAAGGAUUCGACGUGAUCAUGGAGUGUCGGCUGUCGACUACCUGACGCCCUCCCCCUCCUCCUUUAUCCAGGCUUGGAAAGAAGUGAAGAAGCAGUACAACGAUGGAGAAAAUUUUUGGAAGAAGCUUGCUUAUGUUGGUAACCCAACAGCCACAGAAAGAAUUCUAUUUUAGAUUUGCAGAUUAUUUUGGAUUUUUUUAACUUUUAAAUGUUAAAUAAAAAGCUAACAGAGUUUGAGAUUAGGUUAAGUUAGAUGACAUGUGUCAAAAUAUUAGCAAUAAGACAUACACACAAAAGGGGACAGCAGACUUGAAACCUUCAUACAGGGAUACAAAGUAUUCCCAUCUAUAUCUCAAAUAAAAGAUGACAUAAAUCAAUAUGAUUUGGUUUGUUUACAGAUGGCGGAUUGGAUUGGGACAAGGUCUUUUGUUCAACAUUUUAUGUAUCGAGACUAGAAAUUGAGAGUUUUUAUCAUUUUUUUUUCAGACAUGUAAAUGGCGUCCAUUGAAAAUUGGUGAUUGUGGGGGCAAGUCAAACUUUAAGUGUGACUUGAUCACUCUGAAUCUCAAAAUUUAAAGUACCGAAACCUAUUUUCAUGUCCAUGCUAUUGAAUUAUCAGAGAGACGAGUCGAUGGCCCAACUCCAACAACAUUGAUAUUGUUCCCAACUUGGUAAUUACCACCUGCACAAUCCGUCAGGUGUAGAGUUUUAUCACAAAAGGUCUCGAUUUUAGUUGAAAUGGGAUUAGGAUAUUUAAACUCUUCUUUUCUCAUUGAUACGGUGGAUGUGAGGCAUUUUAACACGCAUUCUCACGUGGGACCCAAUUAGUGGGUCACACAUGGAAGAUCCACACAUCGACAACCACGUGAAGCGAAGGAGACUCACCCAACACAGGGGGCCAAGGGACCCACCAUCAUCGCAUAGGGUCAAGGGGACCCAUCCAUCACGUGGCAGUACAGUACGGGCCAUCUUCUUGGCUCUGAUACCAUGUUGAAUUAUUAGAGAGAUGGGCCGAGGACCCAACUCCAACAACAUCGAUAUUGUCCCCAACUUGGUAAUUACUACCUGCACAAUCCGUCAGGUGUGAGAUUUUAUCACAAAAAAAACAUCGGUUUUAGUUGGAGUGAGGUUAUGGUAUUUAAACUCUUAUUUUCUCAUUGAUAUGAUCGAUGUGAGACAUUUCAACACAUGAACUUUUAUGCUGAUGGUUACUUUGUAUCUAAGUAGGGAAUGUUUAUUUGAUUUGUCAUUUUACCUAUUGGUUAAACUUUGAUCACUUAUCUUGGACAGAUAAAUCUGAGUUAUUUACAAUUGCACCAUGGAGGUCACUUUAUAGAAGCCUGUAAUGGGACAAUGACUUGUGUUGGGAAAAUUUUUAGUUGUGACUGGAACACAGAUGGUGCAUCACGUGUUUUUAUGUAAAUGGUGAAAAUUUUUAAUUUUUAAAUUAUUAACUUUUUAACAGACAUAUUCAACCAUUUACAUGAAUAUAUAUGAUAUAUCGUCUUGUGUGAUGGUCACACUAAAAAAUCUCUCAUUGUGUUGGUGGUCAUGUUGCUUGGUUUGACAAUAUGAACUGUGAUUUAAUGUCCAGGUGGGAUAUUGAGGAUUGUGCGAAGAAAGUAGGGUCACUACUAGAAAAAGAGCUACAGGACACCGUUCUUUAUAUUCUAUUCCCAAAUCGUGCAUAUUUGAAGAAAGUUGUCACCGUGAAAAAACAUUGGUGCAUUUUACAUUUUUUUACACUGAAAAACGGUGCCCAACAGAUAUUUGACAAAUUUUUUUUGGAAAUUAUUAACUUUUACUGGUGUCUAUAUGGAUUAUGGAGCGUGCCCUGACAACUUUUAUAGUCGAGUAAAUUGUAGUAAUGAUCUAUUAACUUUAAUCAAAUUGAAGCAAUGAUCAUUCAACUAAAAAUCCAUUACUAUUGGUCUUUCAACUUAUCAAAAUGUGUAGCUGUAGUCAUUUUCAUCAAUUUUAUCAAAAUAAAUUAUGUUGAAAUAACCAUUUAUAUAAUUAUGGUCCCUCAACUCAUCCAAAUGUGUAAUUAUGAUCAUUUUCGUCAACUAUGUCAAAAUUUUUGGCAAAACGAGUUAUGUUGAAAUGAUCAUUGCUACAAUUGGGUUAGAGUUAAGGGACUAUUUCUUCAGUUGAAUUAAAGUUGAGGGACCAAUAGUAAUGAAUUUUUAGUAAAUGAACUAUAAUUGCAUAUUUUGAUGAAUUUUUAUAAUCAAACCGAUUUGAUAUUGUAUAGAAAAUUUGAAUACAAAAGAUGCUGUAGAUGUAAUUAUUGAUUCCAUACUGAUGAAACCAGGUCAUUGUAAAACGCUCUCUCUAAAUCCAAUCCAACCAUGUGGCUGUGAGUUUCUCAAUUUUUUUAUUAUUAUCAAAGUAUGGACUGGAGCACAAAAGUAAAGUAAUAAACAAUAUUUCACCUCCACUCCUUUUCAUAUCAGUUUCCGGAUUCCUCUUCUCCUAAAAGCUUCUACAGUUUUUCUCCCAACACCUCAAGCGGUUGCAUGGCGUCCUCUAGAUCAGCAGCCUCUCAUCCGCAUGUCGUCAACAAUAUGCAUGUAGUCCUCUGUGUUUUUGUCGCCCUCUGAGUUUUAAAGUUGUUGGGAUGUGAAAGGCUGAGUCCACGAGAGAUUUGUUUACUGGGUUCGUAAGUUGUUUGAUGGGAGUUUGAUUGACUCUUAAACCUGGUAAAAAGUUUCCUUGCUUCUCUCUGUCUCUUCUCUUGCUUUAUAUUUUUUUAUUUUUUUAUUUUUUUUAUUUCUAAUUUUUAUUUUUGGUUGAAGUUUAAAACUUAGGCAAAAGACUGUUUACUACCCUCAUAUUUCGUGGUUUUCAACAUUUAGUAUAUCAAGUUUUUUUCGUCCCAGAGUCAUACCUAAAGUGUAAAUUUUGGGACAGUCUCAUACAUCUGUUAGUCAAACUGUUAAGUUUUCCGUUAACUGAUGACGUGGCGCCCAUGUGGACAAUGACUGGAUGCCACGUGUCAAUAAGGGUCCCACGUGGAUUUAAAAAUUACAAAAAAUUACAAAAUUGCAAAAAAAAAUAAAUAAAAAAAAAGCUGUUGUUGUCUACGCCCACCAAACCCUCUAUACUCGACCCAUCUCCCUCUCCUCCACCCUUUGCAAAAACCCUAACUCCCAAAAUCUUUUGAGUUUUCAAAAAAAUUGAGCAAACCGAGCAUGAAAUCCCUAAUCCCCAAAAUCUUUCCGACCCGUUUGAAUUUGACUUCAAUUUCAUCAAACACAUAAUGAAAACACAAAAAGACUUCGAUUUCGUCAUACCAAAAAACUGAUCAGUCAGGACUCGGACAUUCAUUUUCGUUUUGUUCCCCCCAAAUUUUCUCAACAACCAAACAGUCCAUUUCAAAUUAUAAACAACAAAAGCAGCAGAAUCACAAAGAUCAAUACACAAAAUUUGAAAUUUCUUAGCUAAUCCGUAACUCUGUUUGCGGGAAACAAAGCAGCUCUAAAUCACUCGCCUUUGAGUUCGAAAUGCAUACCUCGAUUUCUUAGAGAUAACGACGCUUUCUCAAACGUCGUCUAUGAGAAGGCCAUCCCGGCAAUGAUCAACGAAAAUCGGGAAAUGCAGUGAAAUUGGAAGCUGAAAGGACACCGUGACCUAGUUGGUGGCCAGACGACGGCAGAUAUGAUGAAAUUGCGGCAGAGAAAAUGGCUUUUAGGGUUUUAGAGAGGCAGUGAGUGAGGUGAAGAAUCUGGAAUUUUAGAGAGAGAGAGAGAGGAGAAGGGGGUCUCUACAGCUUGAAAAUGGCCUCAGCAAAGGCGUAGCGUUGGUGAAUCGCCUCGUCGAGGAAGCCACAGCGCUCCCGGCAUAAGGCGACGGCCAGAAGAUCGUCGAGCUUGGAGCUCGUCCAGCCCAUUGGGUUGGGUAUGGAGGGACUAUGAGAGGGAUGGGUCGGGUUGGGAGGUGGUGGUGAGGGAAGAACGAGUGCGAGUGGGGAGAGGGACGGAGGGGGGAGACCAAGUCGCUCGGGGUGGGGAAGACAAAAGGGAUCUGGAGAAGGAUGGAUAUGCAGAUGUGCAUAAGGAUUUAGGGAUUUGGGUAGUGAGAGCGGAGAGUGAGAGCGAAUGUGCAGAGGUACGUGUCACAGCAAAUCGCUCGGGGUGGGGAAGACAAAGGGGAUCUGGAGAAGGAUGGAUGUACAGAGGUGCAGAGGGAUAUGGGGAUUUGGGGAAUGAGAGAGAGCGGAGAGUGAGGGUGAGAGCGGAUGUGCAGAGGUGCAUAAGGAGAAGGGAAGCGGAUCGGGGUGGGGAAGACAAAGGGAAUCUGGGGAUUUUUUUUUUAUUUUUUUUAUUUUUAUACUUUUAUUUAAUUAAAAUUUUAAUUGUUUAUUUAUUUAUUUAUUUAUUUUUAAAUUUCCACGUGGAUGACCCGUGGCGCCCAGUCAUUGUCCACAUGAGCGUCACGUCAUCACUUAACGGGAGAUUUAACAGUUUGACUAACGGAUGUAUGAGACUGUCUCAAAAUUUAAACUUUAGGUAUGACUCUGAGACGAAAAAAACUUCAUGUACUAAAUGUUGAAAACCACGAAAUAUGAGAGUAGUAAACAAUCUUUUACCCUUAAAACUUUCUUUUAAAAGACUCAUUUUCUCUAAAAAGUAAUAAUAAAAAGGGAUAUCAAAUGAAAGGCUCUGGUAGUCUUGAAAUACGUGUAUUGUAGUUUCUCUAUGUAUAUAAAACAAGAACAAUUGAUAAUCUGUAUCUUUGGAAACCAACCAUAAUUCUCAGUUCCCCUCCUCUCUCAGAGUGCUCUCUCCCUCUCGUCAUCACGAGUAAGGCUAGAUCUAAUGAUCUGAUUUCAACGACGCCUCUGGCUACCAGAUCUGGUACUGGCAACCAUUUUUGCUUGGAUCUCGCUCUCUCUCCCUCUCGAGCUAAGCAGACGCACCUCCAUGGAAGAAGAUGGAUGCUCGACGUCAAAAUGAUGGAUGUAAGUUGACUGUAGAGAUCUGAUUUCCUGCUGCCUCUCCACCUCGUUUUCAUCAUGAUGUGCCCUAAACCUAAUCUGGUAGGUAUUUAUUUGGGUAUUUUUUUUAUCUCGGUUUCUUUUUCUAAUUCAUUUUCAGAUCGUUGGAAUGUAUGUAUAUCAAGUUCUAUUUAUAUUCUCUCUUUUUAAAUCAUUUUCAGAUAUUCGGGAUUGUUUGAGAAGACCUAUGAGAAUCCCACUUACAAAAUUUUGUGAGCAACAAACUUAAGUGUUGAAACAUUGUUUGUAUUUUCUAUUUUUCGUCAAAGUUAUUAUUUUUUAUUUUCUGUUUUUGUAUGCUUAAUGUUGACUCUUUUGGUGGUAUUGUUAUGAAGGUGAAUCUGGAAAAAUAUGUUCAUUCUAGAAUCGUUACUCGAGUUCUUGGAUGGAUGGGAAGGUUGUGGAACUCUCCUAGGUUUAAAUGAUUAAUUUUCAUCCAAAGCAUGUGGUAUUAAUCGUGGACUUCGUCAAUGGGAGCUCAGCGGGCUCCCUCUUUUUACAUACAUAAAUUGCAAUUUGGACACUGAUGCUAAAAGGCAUAUUUUAUGUGAAAAAAUAUUUAAUCUAUUAAUAAACAAAUAAACCAAAAUAUAAUAAUGUCAUAUAUCUACUAUUCCUUUGCCCACCAAUGUAUAAAUGGUGGUGUUUGUUACAAUAGAGACUUCUGUAGAGGACAUGGACCCUAAUUUAGUGGCUGCAUGAUGGCUGUUUAUGCUUGCCACCGAAUUCAGUGUCCAAUGUUUCCAAUUGGCACCAAUAAGAUAGUGUUCUAUAGCUAUUUUCUAAAAAAAAACUAAUGAAAAAGGCUUGAAAACUUUAAGUUUUAACGAUAAGGAUAAAAUAAAGGGUAAAAUGAAUAGUAUCAGAAUUGACUUUUUAGUGUAAAAAUAUAAUUUUUCGUUAAAGUGAACACUACCAUGAGUUUUUUAUUAAAACUCCUAUUUUUCUAGUAGUGGGUAUACUAAGACUGCUAAGUACCAUUACACAUUGUCAAAUGACAGAACUUACAAGCCCAUUGUUGCUGAUAGUGAUUUUUGGAGUCUAGCUACUGUAUUGCCCCUAAAUAGAGUGGUACUUGUGUACACCGUUGAUGAUGUCCAACUGAUCAAUUCAGCCCCAAACAUUGAAAUUCAAGCUUCAGCAAACUCUUUUGACAUUCCUUACAUGUCAGCCCCAAACAUUGAAAUUCAAGCUUCAACAAACUCUUUUGACAUUCCUCACGUCUGAUCCUUUUGGCAUAUUUGAGGGAUUUUUGGAGCAAGCUUAUGAAGGAGAUCGGGAACAAGACAACCUUGUUGAGGCAGGUAUACAUAACAUGGAAAAUGAAGAGAGAGAUGGCGAUGGCAAUUCGGAAGAUUCAAAUUAGUGAGACUCAGACUAUGAACAAAGUGAUGUCGAUGACAACUUAUUUGACGACAAUUUAGAGAAAACUAAAGGGAAAAAUACCAAUGGAAAAUGCAAUGGAAAUAGGAAAGCAUCACGUAAUACUGAACCCUUUCCUGAUUUAGGAUUUGGAGAUGUUGAAACAAACUACGAAGAUUCUGAUGGCUUUAGAAGUGGUUCUAGUUCAUCAUCUGAAGGUGAACAACCAGUGAAGCGGAAACGUAGGAAGAAAAUGCCCAAAUUCAUUCCUUUUAGAAGUGAUUUGGAUAUGAAGAACUGGAAUGAUAUUUGCCAAUAGAAGGGGGCUCAGACAAGCAGUGACAUAUUAUGGUUGUGUGAAUGGAAGACAAAUAAGAUUCCCAAUAAGAGAAGGUUAUAAAGUUCAGGGUAAGUGUACAAAGGAGGGAUGUCCAUGGGUGAUUUAUGCAAGCAAAACAGAUGGGAGCCCUGCACUUAUAGUGAAGACACUCAAUGACGUCCAUACAUGUCCGAGAGAGCAAAAGCUCAGAGUAUGCACCUCAAAUUGGUUAUCACAUAGGUAUGCUGACUAUUUGCUUGACAAUCCUAAGUGGGAAGUGUCAAAAUUUCAACAAACUGUUCAUAAACAAUACAAUAUGCAUGUAACACCGGCUCAACUUUAUAAAGCACGAUCAUUGGCAGCUGAGAAGAGUGAAGGGGGCUUAUGUGGAGCAAUAUGCAAGGUUAUGGGAUUAUUGUGAGGAGCUCAAGCGAAGAAAUCCUGGCAGUACAAUUUUGGUGAAGACUGAAAUGGAAGGAGGAAGGCCUAGGUUUCAGAGGUUGUAUGUAUGCUUUGCAGCAUUGAAAAAAGGCUUUUUGGAAGGUUGUAGGCCAGUGGUGGGAUUGGAUGGAUGCCACAUUAAAGGUCCACAUCCAGGCCAGUUGCUUGCUGCCAUUGGUAUAGAUGCCAACAAUGGCAUGUAUCCAGUAGCAUAUGCGAUUGUUGAAAUUGAAGAUAGAAGAACUUGGACUUGGUUUCUCGAGCUACUCAUCACUGAUUUGGGUAUUGAAAAUGGGCAUGCUUGGGUCUUUACGUCAGACAAACAAAAGGGGUUAAUAAAAGCUGUGAAGGACCUUAUUCCAACUGCUGAACACAUACAUUGUGUUCGACACUUAUAUAACAAUUUCAAGAAAACACACGUUGGCAUUGCAUUGAAACAAAUUCUUUGGUCAGCAGCUAGAGCAACCACCAUUCCAGGAUUUAAAGCAGAGAUGACUAAGAUGGAAGUUGAAGACGGAUUGGCUAUAAGUUGGUUUGAUGACAAACCAGCAUGUCAUUGAAGCAGAUCUUAUUCUAGGACAUCAUCUAAGUGUGAUAUCUUGUUGAAUAUUCUAUGUGAGUCUUUUAGUAGUGCAAUAUUGAGAGCAAGAGAUAAACCAAUAUUAACUAUGGUGGAAAGGAUUACAACAUAUCUGAUGGUCAGAAUGGCAAGAAUGAGAGAAGCAGCGGAUAAGUGGAAAACUGAGGUUGGCCCUAGAAUAUUUAAAAUGGUUGAAAAAAAUAAAUUAGAAAGUGGUUCAUGUAUUGCUUGGUUGUCAGGUGAUAUGGAGUAUCAAGUGAAGCAUAUGAGUGGAGCACAAUAUGUGGUUGAUUUAGCGAAACACACAUGUACAUGUAGAAGGUGGGAUCUCACUGGAAUUCCUUGUGCUCAUGGAAUUGCUGUAAUCUAUAGAAAGGAGGACGAUCCAUACAAGUAUGUUCAUUCUUGUUACAAGAAAGCAGCAUACUUGAGAGCCUACACUUAUAUCCAUGCCAUGCUUAGUCAAGAAUUUUGGCCACCUACAAAUCACCAACCCGUUGCAUCUCCAAAGUAUCAUAAGCAAGCUGGUAGGCCAAAGAAGGUGAGGGCAAGAGAGCAAGAUGAACCACAACCACCAUCAACCUUAAAAAAAUUGCCUAAAUGCUUCAGCAAGGUCACUUGUGGAAUGUGUGGCAAGAAAGGUCAUAAUCGUACAACAUGCGGGAAGAGGCAACGACAAGCUUCACAGGUAAAAAUAGCUUAAUGGUUUCACUUAUCUGCAUUUUUAGUCACAUAUGGUUGUUAUAAAUUGGGGAAUAUCAUCUCUUAGGCCUAUGGAGAAGCUGGGAGAGGACAAACUUGUGGGACAAAUGAAAUUGGCCAUAACUCACCAACUACUGAAAGUGGGCAAACACAAGCAAUGGUGUGCGUACUGAAAACUUCGGUAUUUUAAGGUUUUGUCUUGUAUUUAUUGACUGAUGUAUGUGUAACUCUUUUAUUGAUCAUUUUGUAGCAUGCCACUGGAGGAAAUACGGGAAGUGAAACUCCACCAAAUCAGGGACAAGAAAAAUCUGCACCUAAUGCAAGUUCUUUUGACCUAUGUCUUUGUCCCUUUCUCGUCAGGUUUUUUUUUACUUUUUUAUUGUUUGUAGGUUUCUAAAAGGGGUAGAGUGAAAAAAAAAUGCAAGAGGUAAGUCAAUGCACAAGUCAAGAAAACCACCUAAAAACCGUAGAAUCUGAAGAAAUCAUUUGAAACUUUAGACUUUUUGUUAAUAUUGUCAAUAUCCUCUUGGACUCGAUGGUACUGAGCACUGUGAUCAUGAUACUCACUAGAUCGAAGUGCAUGUUUAAUAAUGGAAUCACCAAAUGGAAAAGCAAAAUCAUAAGUUGGGUACAAGUUGUACUCGGACACAAUUCGAUGAUGUGGUGUAGAUUGUAGGGGUAAUAAAUAGGAUCUUGAAGAGAUUUUUUUUGGAUACUGCAUAUCCAGAGUUCUCCUCAAUGAAUGAUUAUGAUUUAGGUCACAAUUGACCUCGAAUGCCCAUUUUCUUCUCAAGAAUUUGAAAACGAAUUUGUGAGCUUAAUCAACAUCUAAUUGUGGACUAUCUCACCUAGAUAUAUCUACAAGAUGGUCAUAAUAUUAUUUGCUUGUUAUUACAAGCUCAAUUUCCCAAUUGUAGGCUAUUUCAGACCACUGGGAAUUACUUUUAAGCACACAAUUUUUCAUGGCUUAGCACAAGGUUAAGCAUUCUAUUCAUUGCUAAUUUUUGGUUAGGAGAAUCAUCUUGAUCCACAGGCAUGUAUCAUCAUGAUCAUUUCGGUUGACGUUUAUUUUUCAACCAACAAGAAAUUGUGUACACAAAGAUGGUUCAAUCCAUGAAAAUUGAGAUUCAAGUUUAUCUUUCUAAAUAGCAACUAAAAUACCUCUUUGUAAUUGCAAUAUACAAUUUAGUUUUACAAAAAACAUCCAAAAGAGUUUCAAGUCAUGCGGAUGAACAUUUUAUGCAAAUAUAUUGCAUGGGCUUGAUCCUUUUUACUUCAUCACUAGUCAUUCCCUCGCAUUCAGCAUGGAAACUUUAUGAGCAAUUCAUAUGAUGUAAUAAGUAAAGAUGGAAUUGAACAAUAACAACUUGAAAGAAAAGAAUUUGAAGACUUUACCACUCCUUGCAUGCCUCACAGCACACCAUGAGAUUAUCUGGGUUAUACGGUAUCUGACAAGUGCAAUACCUUAAAAAAUAAUUAAACAAAUAAACAGCACAUCAAAUUUCAUCUAUAAACACCACAUAUCAACUAAAACGUAAGAUAAAAGAGACUCACAGAGGAAUAAGAAAAUUGUCGAACCCUUUCCUAGAAUGCAAGACCUAAAUCUCUAAUAGUAAUCCUCAUAUGUUACCAUUUGGAGUUUUACGUACUCAUCAAGAGUGUGGACAUUACACUUUCCGAGAAUGGUAUCAAUGCUCAUAGUAUCACGAUGAUUAAACCAUAUGAGCUCAUCCUUUCCAAAGAAAGGAGGACGCUUUUCAAGGGCAUCAUCUGACCUAUAGAACCACCUCACCAUCACUUUCUUUUUAUUGUGACUAAAACGCAGGAUGGCCGCCACCCAUGGCUGAUCGUUCACUAUUGCACCAUCAUGAUUAAUCAUGACUUAAUCCCCAACGGAGAAAGUCUCAUUGGUAGUUGUAAUGCAACAAGUGGCCAUCCCUUCCAAAUAACUGGCAAUCAUAUAAAAGAGAUCCAACAAGAAGUGAUCAGCUUAACCCCAGUGUCCCUCCCAACUCUAAUGUCAAUCACAUAAAAGAGAUCCGUCUACUAUAUGACCUCAACUAUAACAAAAGAGCUCAAUCUUAUAACAAAAGAAUAAACAAAACAUAAAUCUUAUAACAAAAGAUUAAAAAAACAUAGCUAUUAGUGCUUUUAGUGAGGGUGAAAUAAUCUGGACAAUAGAAUUCAAACUACACCAUUACAUAAUUGAUCUACAUUCUAAUCACUAGCAGCAAAUGAAACCUUAAUUUUAAUUCAAAAUUGAAACCCUAAUAGCUCAAAAUUUCGAACUAUUACAUAAUUGAUAACUAGUUUUAAAUCAAAAUCACUAGCAGUAAACGAAACCCAAAUCGAAAUCAAGGUGAAAUUUCUUACCACGUGCAGUGCAAUCGUUGGAGGUGAAAGACAUAUAGAAUUCGAGAGGAGAAAGAGACUCAGAAACGAGUCGAGAGAGAGCCGGUGUGUGGUGAUUCUGAAUUUGAAUUAUAUUAGCCGUUGAAUUUAAAUUUGGACCGCCAAAUUUUUUACUGUUGGAUUUAAUCAUCUUAGCUGUUGAAUUUAAACACUUUAUAAAAGAAUAUGAAACGUAUUGAAAAAAAUUCUUUUAAUUAUUUCACUCGUUGAACUCCCGAGUCUCAACUCCAUCCCUUAAGACUCUCUGGAUUCCAAGUCUCCUACUACCAGGCACCACCACCAUCUCCUCUCAAGUCUCAACUCCCACAUCUCUUCUAUCUCCCGACUCCAACCACCACCAUCAUCUCCUCUCAACUGAAGUCGAUAGCUCGAUCCCUCCCACCACUGAGUAAGGUACUCAGUUUUAAUUUUUAGGGAUUUAAGAUUUAGUGUUUUCUAGAUUUUGGGGUCUUGAUCUAAUAAUUUCUAGUUGUCUGAUAACGGAAUCAACUGCUUAGUCUUAUAAUUUUGAAGCUUUGCUUUGAUAUUUUGAUUAAAUUGAAAUUUGAAUUAUGAGAAUAUUAGAAACUUACAUAUCUAUGUAAUGAAGAAAAAGAAAAUUAGAAACUUACAUGAAUUGAUCAAAAUAAUUACACCAACAAAAUAUCCAUUCAGUCAAAAUUUUGCACCAUUACAGAAUUGAUCUAAAUUCUAAUAACUAGCAGCAAACAAAACUUUAAUUUUAACUCAAAAUCGAAACCAUAAUAAAAUAGGAAAGUUAGCUAAAAAUUUCGCACCAUUACAAAAUUGAUUACAUUUUUUAUUCAGAAUAGAUUACAUUUUUUUUUUCCUUUUCAAAACAGGUUAUUUUCACAUAUCCUUUGUAAUCCAAACACAACACUAGCUCAAUUCAAUUUCAGAUCAAAACGACCCUGACUGUACUAUUAUUAUCAAAAUCCACAACCAUAUCAAUCACAAAAUGGAAGCUUGAAUGAGAUAAAAAAAUAUUUAAAAACUUAUCACUUUUAUCUUAUUGAAUAUGGCUUCCAGGGAGAAAAAAGGGAAAAAUUGAUGGCGAAAUCUCUUUUCUACAUGAACAACAAAAACCCAGCACAAUGACACCAAAUACAAUCUAAUCCAAUUCAAUCAAACCAAUCUCAAUUCUCAUAUUCGACUUUAAUCUCAAUUCAAUCUCAUAAUUCCAAAUACAAUCUGCUUUGCUCAAUUCAGUUUCAAAACAAACGACCCGGACUGUACUAUUAUUAUCAAAAUCCACAAGCAUAUCAAUAAGAAAUGGAAGCUUGAAUGAGAGAAAAAAAAUAUGUAAAAACUGACCACCUUUAUCUUAUUGAAUAUGGCUUACAAGGAAAAAAGGGAAAAACUGAUGGCGAAAUCUUUUAUCAACAUGAACAACAAAAACCCAGCACAAUGACACCAAAUACAAUCUAAUCUCAAUUCAAUCAAACCAAACUCAAUUCUCAUAUUCCAAUCUAAUCUCAUUUUAAUCUCAUAAUUCCAAACACAAUAUGCUUAUAAGAAUGACCCCAACACUUGCCCACCGAUCACCAACACCCCAAAUCUAAAUAUUCUCAUAAUUCUAAUUCCAAUUCAAUCAAAUACCAAAGCAAAGCUUCAAAAUUAUAAGACUAAGCAGUCGAUUCCAUCAUCAGACAACUAGGAAUUAUUAGGUCAAGACCCCAAAAUCCCAAAAUCUAGAAAACACUAAAUCUUAAAUCCUUCGCCCAUGAGCGGUAGGUCUUGGGUUCGAGACUUGGGAGCAGCCUCUCCAUAAAUGGGGGUAAGGCUAGCCGACAUUCACCUCUCCCAGACCCUGCGUAAAGCGGGAGCUUAUGCACUGGGUACGACCUUACUUAGUGGUGGGAGGGAUCGAGCUAUCGACUUCAGUUGAGAGGAGAUGAUGGUUGGUGGUGGUCAGAGUCAGGAGAGAGAAGAGAUGUGGGGAGUUGAGACUUGAGAGGAGAUGGUGGUGGUGCCUGGUAGUCGAAGACUCGGAAUCCAGAGAGUAUGGGGGAUGGAGUUAAGACUCGGAGUCCAACGGGUAAAAUAAUUAAAAGAAAUUAUUUCAAUGUGUUUCAUAUUCUUUUAUAUAGUGUUCAAAUUUAAAUUCAACGACUAAGAUGAUUAAAUCCAACAGUUAAAAACAAAAUUGACGGUCCAAAUUUAAAUUCAACGGCUAAUAUAAUUCAAAUUCAGAAUCACCGGCUCUCUCUUUCUCUCUCGACUCCUUUCUGACUGUCAAGUCUCUGUCUCCUCUCGAAUUCUGUCUUUCACCUCCAACGGCUGCACUGCACAUGGUAAGAUAUUUCACCUUGAUUUUAAUUUGGGUUUCGUUUGCUGCUCGUGUUUCUGAUUUUGAUUUAAAAUUAGUUAUCAAUUCUAUAAUAGUUCAAAAUUUUGAGCUAUUAGGGUUUCGAUUUUGAAUUAAAAUUAAGGUUUCGUUUGCUGCUAGUGAUUAGAAUGUAGAUCAAUUCUGUAAUGGUGUAGUUUGAAGUCUAUUGCCCAGAUUAGCUCACCCUCACUAAAAGCACUAAUAGCUAUGUUUUUUUAAUCUUUUGUUAUAAGAUUUAUAUUUUUUUUUAUUCUUUUGUUUUAAGAUUGGGCUUUUUUGUUAUAGUUGAGGUCAUAUAGUUGACGGAUCUAUUUUAUGUGAUUGACAAUAGAAUUGGGAGGGACACUUGGGUUAAGUUGAUCACUGCUUGUUGGAUCUCUUUUAUAUGAUUGCAUGUUAUUUGGAGAGGAUGACCACUUGUUGCAUUACAACUACCAAUGAGACUUUCUCCAUUGGGGAUUGUGUCCUGAUUAAUCAUGAUAGUGCAAUAGUGAACGAUCAGCCAUGGAUGACGGUCAUCCCGUGUUUCAGUCAUAAUAAAAAGAAAGCGAUGGUGAGAUGGUUCUAUAGGUCAGAGGAUGCCCUUGAAAAGCAUCCUCCUUUCUUUGGAAAUGAUGAGCUCAUAUGGUCUAAUCAUCGUGAUCAUGUGAGCAUUGAUAACAUUCUCGGAAAGUGUAAUGUCCACACUCUUGAUGAGUACGUAAAACUCCAAACGGUAACAUAUGAGGAUUACUAUUGGAGAUUUAGGUACUUGCCUUCCAGGAAAGGGUUCGACAAUUUUCUUAUUCCUCUAUGAGUCUCUUUUAUCUUACGUUUUAGUUGAUAUGUGGUGUUUAUGGAUGAAAUUUGAUGUGCUGUUUAUUUGUUUAAUUAUUUUUUAAGGUAUUGCACUUGUCAGAUGCCGUAUAACCCAGAUAAUCUCAUGGUGUGGUGUGAGGCAUGCAAGGAGUGGUAAAGUCUUCAAAUUCUUUUCUUUCAAGUUGUUAUUGAUCAAUUCCGUCUACUUAUUACAUCAUAUGAAUUGCUCAUAAAGUUAUUUUCCUCUUUGACUUAAAGGUAACAUGCUGAGUGCGAGGGAAUGACUAGUUAUGAAGUAGAAAGGAUCAAGCCCUAGCAAUAUAUUUGCAUAAAAUGUUCAUCUGCAUGACUUGGAACUCUUUUAGAUUUUUUUUUAAAACUAAAUUGUAUUUGCAAUUACAAAGAGGUAUUUUAGUUGCUAUUUACUUUUGGAUGUGUAGAACUAAAGAAAGAUAAACUUGAAUCUCAAUUUUCAUGGAUUGAACCAUUUUUGUGUAUACAAUUUCUUGUUGGUUGAAAAAUAAACGUCAACCGAAAUGAUCAUGAUGAUGCAUGUGGAUCAAGAUGCUUCUCCCAAGCAAAAUAAGCAAUGAAUAGAAUGCUUAAACCUUGUGCUAAGCCAUGAAAAAUUGUGUGCUCAAAAGUAAUCCCAGUGGCCUGAAAUAGCCUACAAUUGGGAAAUUGAGCUUGUAAUAACAAGCAAAUAAUAUUAUGACCAUCUUGUAGAUAUAUCUAGGUUAGAUAGUCCACAAUUAGAUGUUGAUUAAGCUCACAAGUACAUUUUCAAAUUCUCAAGAAGAAAAUGGGGAUCUGAGGUCCAGACCUAAAUCAUAAUCAUUCAUUGAGAAGAACUCUGGAUAUGCAAGAUCCAAAAAAAUCUCUUCGAAAUCUUGUUUAUUACCCCUACAAUCUACACGACAUCAUUGAAUUGGGUCCGAGUACAACUUGUACCCAACUUAUGAUUUUGUUUUUCCAUUUGUUGAUUCCAUUAUUAAACAUGCACUUCGAUCUAGUGAGUAUCAUGAUCGCAAUGCUCAUAUUUGUGCUAUUUUGAUUACCUUAUCUCGCUAUCACUUGAUUCAUUAGUUCUAAAGGAAGUUCUAAUCACUACGAAAACAGCUUAAUAACAGUUGAUUAUCCCUAAAACAAAGAGGGCAAACAUAGAAAUAGUGUUUGUACUCAAAAUCCCAAUUGUGUAACACAUGGUUGUAAUCUACCCUGAUCUCAAAAUUUAAAAUUCGACACAAAAAUGAAAUUUGGAAUGAUUAGCAGGGAAAUAAGAGAGAAGCGUGAGCGAAUAUACCCAUGAGGCCUUCGGAUCCGAGUUCGGAGCUUGAAGGGCAGAGGUUGCAAACCCAGAGCAUGGAAGAAGCGGGAAGGAUUUUCCUCUGUGCUGCCUCGUGUCUUCUACUAUUUAUCCAAGCAUUGACUGUUCAAAUAUUGGGUAGUGGGUAAUCUUAAAACUGAUAUAAUCAUAUAGAAAUAACUUUGUUCAAUCUUUCAGGAUCUUAACAACAUGUCUUUCAACAAUAUUUGUGAUGUUGAUUUUGAAUCAUGUCUCUAUUUUAGAUUGAGAGAGAGAGCAUGAUUUAAGCGGGAACUAUCUCAGAUUCUCAGGCAAUUUUCCUAUCUAGCAAAUGGUUAAGACAGAAAAAUGAACCUUCGAUAUAGAAAACAUCGUAAGCUUACAAAAGCCACCAAAUCAAAGUUAUGCUUUUUUAUGUGCUUGUUUGCAACAUGGCAUAUUUAUUGCUUUCCAGGGUAUAAAUGGCUAUCAUGCAAAAUGAAAAAGAAGUUAAAGACUUCCAACAAUGGAGAGCAUACCACCAUCAUAUGUGAUCCAGGGCAACACCAUAAAAGCAUGCUAGAAUUAGAGAGAUGAGACUGGUGGCUAGUGGCAUAUUUUAAUUAGCAAAACCUCCAAGAUAAGUCGACCUCUCUGAUCAUAUGGGAAUUUGCAAAGAAAUGGAUUUCCCGUAGAUAUCUUUUGCAUCAUCAUAGUCAUUAUAAAAAAGGUAAACAUGAUGACAUGUUUCAGGACAGCAUACAUAACACAUGCAUAAACACCCCAAUUGCAAACUCUACAAUGAAAGGGACCAAAAUAAAAUAAAAACUUCCGUUAAACUAAAACAAUUACAAAAUCCAAAAUUCAAUUCUUUUUUUUUUUUUGCAAACUCUUCAAUGAAAUGGACCAAAAUAAAAUAAAAACUUUAGUUAAACUAAAACAAUUACAAAAUGCAAAAUUCAAUUCUUUCUUUUUUCUUGUGUCAAAAUUAAAUUAUUGUAACCUUCAUAAAUGCAUCAAUUUAUGGAUCCGGCCUUAUAUUCCUUUCCCUCUCUAACCGUACCAAAUCAUUCAUGUAUGCUACAGCAUAAAACAAUUGACAAAAACAGGGGAAGGAUAUCAACAGUGCUCGAUUGAGUACAUGAAAUAAUUGCUGGAAUUAAGAAUAUAUACGCAUUGAAAGUAACGAAAUUGCAAUUAACAAGAACACACCUACAUAGGCUUCACUUGCAUCUUGACAUCUAGCUGUAAAAUCCAAUGUUUCUCUUACGGUCAGCUCUGGAAAAUGAUUAUCUGUUCGGUGGAUUUAUGCCCCAAAAUUCAAACACCAGAGUUUCCUAAAAGCAAAAAAGACUGAAAUCAGACAAUCACACGUAGCAUCCGAGCACACAUACAAAACCCUCCAAAAUUACAACAUAAAAGCAAUUGUAGGCUCAUUGGAAAAGUGUAUAUAUAUAUAUAUAUAUAUAUAUAUAUAUAUUUUUUUUUUUUUUGUGGAAAUGCUAAUAGAUUCAUUUUCCAAUCCUCAAAUCUAUUUCCCCACAAAACCAAAAAAAAAAAAAAAUGUUAGUUUGCACCCCUCCGAAGCAAAGGGAAUGAAAGAAAGGAAGAGCAAAAUAAAAGACAAGGGGGAGUCUAAACUUGGACACCAAGCAUAAUAAGUACAACUACUGCUAAAACCAUUUGUCAGAUGAUAUGAAAUAUGAAUCAUGAACAUACACGCAAUAAAGUUUCCCUUAUGGAAUCCUCAAAUAAUCUGGUACAGACUGGAUCACCUAGAGAUUAAGAAAUAAUAGUCCUACUAGUAUAGAAGCAUGCAAAAGAAGCUCUAGGAAUUAGAAAAACAUCGUCCUCCAUACCUGAUGAAAUAUCUCAGGCUGCGAGGUGUAACCAUUUGCAGUUCAUUUAUCUGCAUCCCACACCAUGCAGCUUCACUAAUGACCAACGAAUUCAUACUGCAGUGCAUAGAGAAAAAUGCAACUGCACAUAAACUCUUAACUACAUUGAAAGUCAUGAUACCAAAGCAAUGAUGAAACUUCUUCACAUGAUAUCAUUUUGAACCAUACCAAAGCAUGUCAAUUCUAUGUGAUUUUGUUAAGAGUAAAUGUUCAUUUUCUAUGUUGUAUAUAUCCAUGUACCAACUUCAGAUCUACUAACUUUGAGAGAAAGAGAAACAAUUACAACAUUUUUCUAUGCAUGACGAUAAUAAAUAUGACUCAUAAAUAAUUUUGACCUUAAACAAAAGAAAAUGCUUAGGAAAAUUAAAUUUAACAGAGGUCCAUACCUGUAGCAGGGAAAAGAAUGGAUGUAUCCCUUCUUUUUUUCUUUUUUGGUCUGAAUGUAUCCCUUCCCUUUAAAGGUUGCACUGCCCAAGAAGUAAACUCGUCAUAAAUUAAUCAAAAAAAUGAAAGUAAAUUAUGCAUCACGAUGUAGUCAAUUUGGAUUUUAGAGGAUUUUAAUGGAUUUUUUUAAGUGACAAAUUUAAAAAGAUUUUAAUAGAUUUACAAUUCUAUGUAGAUUUUGGCAGAUUUAUAUGGAUUUCUAUUAUAGAUAUUUAUGGAUUUGAAUGGAUUUCUUAGGAUUUUAGUUGACUCCUACAACAUAAAAUAAAUAUUUUUUUUAGUACACAAUCUGAAAAGAACAUAAAUUGAAAGGAACAUAAACAUAUAUCUAUUGAUAUAGAAAUACAAACCAAUCAAAUAUGUAAAUAGAAUGGGGUAUUGAGAAUAUUGAUCCAAGAGUUUGAAUAAUUGUUAAGGAUAGCAUCUGCUUUAGAACAUCAUAGCCAUUCAAGAAUGAUGAUUUCAAGUUCAAGAACAGGAUAUCCAAUCAUGAAUAAUAAUAAUAUAUGUGAAAGAAUACCAAAUGAAAAUCGAAAUUGAGUAGGACAUAUUUGGGCAGCAAAAUCCUGGGAUAAAAAACAUUUUAACCAUGACCAAAAAAAAAAAACAUUUGAAGCCAAAAACAUGGACACUAAUUUGCAGAAAAAAGGCUUAAAUCAAAUGGGAAAAGCCAAACUUAGAAAAAUCAAAAGUGCAGAUGAGAGAAUCUCAAUUCAGAAAAGCACGAGUAUAAAGCAAAACAAUAUACAACUAUAAUCCAACAACAACAACAACAACAACAACAACAAAGCCUUUUCCCACUAAGUGGGGUCGGCUAUGAAUCCUAGAACGCCAUUGCGCUCGGUUUUGUGUCAUGUCCUCCGUUAGAUCCAAGUACUCUAAGUCUUUUCUUAGAGUCUCUUCCAAAGUUUUCCUAGGUCUUCCUCUACCCCUUCGGCCCUGAACCUCUGUCCCGUAGUCACAUCUUCGAACCGGAGCGUCAUUCGGCCUUCUUUGCACAUGUCCAAAUCACCGGAGCCGAUUUUCUCUCAUCUUUCCUACAAUUUCGGCUACUCCUACUUUACCUCGGAUAUCCUCAUUCCCAAUCUUAUCCUUUCUCGUGUGCCCACACAUCCCACGAAGCAUCCUCAUCUCCGCUACACCCAUUUUGUGUACGUGUUGAUGCUUCACCGCCCAACAUUCUGUGCCAUACAAACAUCGCUGGCCUUAUUGCCGUCCUAUAAAAUUUUCCCUUGAGCUUCAGUGGCCUACGACGGUCACACGACACGCCGGAUGCAUUCUUACACUUCAUCCAUCCAGCUCGUAUUCUAUGGUUGAGAUCUCCAUCUAAUUCUCCGUUCUCUUGCAAGAUAGAUCCUAGGUAGCGAAAACGGUCGCUUUUUGUGAUCUUCGCUAGAUUGCUCCGGUCAUUAGUGUGGAUAAGUAUAUAAAUGGAUAGAGAUAGGAAAGCAAACACAAGAUGUACGUGGUUCACCCAUAUUGGCUACGUCCACGGAAUAGAAGAGUUCUCAUUAAUUGUGAAGGGUUUACACAAGUACAUAGGUUCAAGCUCUCCUUUAGUGAGUACAAGUGAAUGAUUUAGUACAAAUGACAUUAGGAAAUAUUGUGGGAGAAUGAUCUCGUAAUCACGAAACUUUUAAGUAUCGGAGUGUGGUGUCGUCUUGACUUGCCUUAUCUGUCUCAUAGGUAGAUGUGGCAUCUUCUCUGGAAGUACUCUUCCUCCAUCCAGGGGUGGUAUCUUUAACUGGUGGAGAUGCACAAGGUAAUGUAUCAAUUUCACUUGAAGCUUACUUGUAGUUUCAGGCUUGGUCAAGCGCGAUACAAACCAUGUAGUAGGAGUCCCCCAAGUCGCCGAGCUAGGGGGUCUGCUGAAAGAGGUGACAGACAAGGUAAGCAAUCAGAGCUCCGACUGAUUGUUCACCUUCUCCCCAUCUUGCAGCAGCAUGAAGGAUAAAGAGAAGAAAAAUGAGAAGAGAUGAUAUGAGAUACUUUUGCUUUUGAAGAAGUAACUUUCCACAAGCUUAUUCUUGAACUGAGCUGGAGGGUUUUCUGGUUUCCUCCAGAGUAUAAGGCCGACUGAAGAAUUUGAGGGUCAAAACAAGUCCAUCAAAUCUAGAGUACGUUCCACCCUGCUGAUAUGGGAUACUUUUGCUUUUGACAGAGUAAUGGAUGUAUCGGCACGUGUGCUGUUACGCUUGUCUCCACAUGCUUCCUUGUAUCCUUCGCACUUGCCCUAUCUGUUCCUCAAGCAGAUGCGGAAUCUUCCCUGGAAACAUAAGAUGUUGAAGAUGAGUACUCGAGAGCAAUGCCAGGUAAGUAAUCAGGUAAGGGGUUCCAGGCAGUCAGUUCCUGGCUGGAAGCUUGAUUCCAAGUGCUGACUGAUUGCUCUCUUUCUCCUUGUCUUGCAGGUAAAAACAAGGCCAAAGGAAAAGACAGGGAAAAAGCAUGAUAUGGGAUACUCUUGCUUUUAACCCUGAUGAUAUGAGAUAUUCUUGCUCUAGUAUAGCUUGUUUACAGAGGUAUUAUCGGGGGGAAAGAAAGCUGAAUAUUUCGAAAGGCUUCGUUGGGAGUGCCCUCUCAGAUAUGAUGAAGGGUUGAGCAUUUUUGCAGGUCUGCCUGUCCGUUGGGGAUGGAGGUCGACAUAUAUAGGAGUCUCCCUAACAAGUAGUAAUGCUAUUCCUUUACCCUGCUUGGUCAUAGCACGGUAGUAGGGAGCUGCCAGUUUCACAUGUUUUAACUCUGUCAGAGCACUUUGAAAAAGUGGUCUGUGGUAUUUGGCUCUCGAGAUUCGGAGAACGAUGCCUCUUCGAUUUUUGAGAAAGCAAUCAUGCUGGGGGUCUGGCUCUCGAGAUUCGGAGAGCAGUGUCUCUUCAAUUUUUGAGGAAGUAAUCAUGUUGGGAGUCUGGCUCUCGAGAUUCGGAGGGCGGUGCCUCUUCGAUUUUGGAGCAAGCAAUUUUUGUUGGGAGUGUUUGUCUCGAAUGUGAGUAAAGGUUGGGCAUGUUUGCUAGUCUACCUUGCCACGAAGCACAAAGGUUGACACACAGGGACUUUCCAAUUAUCCAGCAAUGGUACUGUUCCUUUACCCUCUCUCUUCGAUUUUGAGAAAGUAGUCAUGUUGGGAGUCUGGCUCUCGAGAUUCGGAGGACGGUGCCUCUUCGAUUUUGGAGCAAGCAAUCUUGUUGGGAGUGUUUUCUCGAAUGUGAGUAAAGGUUGGGCAUGUUUGCUAGUCUACCUUGCCACGAAGCACAGAGGUUGACACACAGGGACUUUCCAAUUAUCCAGCAGUGGUACUGUUCCUUUACCCUUGUGGGUAAUAAUAUGGUAGCUAGACCUUCAAAAUUUAUGUGUCUAAACUUUGUUAGUGCUGUUUCUUUGCUAUUCUUUUACCUUUCUUGGUCAGAGCGAUGUAGUGGGAGCUGCAAGCUUCACGUGCUCAACUUUGGCAAAGUUAUCUGUGGUACCCAUGAGCUAUUGUUGCGUGUGGGAAGUGGGUGAUUGAACAGUAAGAUUCAUGUGCUUUCUACUUCACCAGAAGUCUUCGACAGAAUGCCCAUAAUUUCUGCAAAGCUGAGUGUGCGUGUGACAGGUGCUGACAAGGCUAGAAAAGUAGGUGUCUCUUCGAUUUCUGAGAUCGGCCCUCGUGGUCUCUGAGCAGCCCAGCUUUUGAGAAAGCGAGCGCCUCUUCGAUUGAUUCGGAGAACGAUGCCUCAUCGAUUUUUGAGAAAGCAAUCAUGAUGGGGGUCUGGCUCUCGAAGAUUCGGGGAGCAGUGUCUCUUCGAUUUUUGAGAAAGUAAUCAUGUUGGGAGUCUGGCUCUCGAGAUUCGGAGGGCGGUGCCUCUUCGAUUUUGGAGCAAGCAAUCUUGUUGGGAGUGUUUUCUCGAAUGUGAGUAAAGGUUGGGCAUGUUUGCUAGUCUACCUUGCCACGAAGCACAGAGGUUGACACACAGGGACUUUCCAAUUAUCCAGCAAUGGUAUUGUUCCUUUACCCUCUUCGAUUUUUAAAAAAGUAGUCAUGUUGGGAGUCUGGCUCUCGAGAUUCGGAGGACGGUGCCUUUUCGAUUUUGGAGCAAGCAAUCUUAUUGGGAGUGUUUUCUCGAAUGUGAGUAAAGGUUGGACAUGUUUGCUAGUCUACCUUGCCACGAAGCACAGAGGUUGGCACACAGAGACUUUCCAAUUAUCCAGCAGUGGUACUGUUCCUUUACCCUUGUGGGUAAUAAUAUGGUAGCUAGACCUUCAAAAUUUAUGGGUCUAAACUUUGUUAGUGCUGUUUCUUUGCUAUUCUUUUACCCUUCUUGGUCAUAGCGAUGUAGUGGGAGCUGCAAGCUUCACGUGCUCAACUUUGGCAGAGAACUUUGGCAAAGUUUUCUGUGGUACCCAUGAGCUAUUGUUGCGUGUGGAAAGUGGGUGAUUGAACAGUAAGAUUCAUGUGUUUUCUACUUCCCCAGAAGUCUUCGACAUAAUGCCCAUAAUUUCCGCAAAGCUGAGUGUGCGUGUGACAGGUGCUGACAAGGCUGGAAAAGUAGGUGCCUCUUCGAUUUCUGAGAUCGGCCCUCGUGGUCUCUGGGGAGCCCAGCUUUUGAGAAAGAGAGCGCCUCUUCGAUUUCUGAGAUCAGCCUUCGUGGUCUUUGAGCAGCCCAACUUUUGAGAAAGCAAACGCCUCUUCGAUUUCUGAGAUCAACCCUCGUGAUCUCUAAGCAGCCCAGCUUUUGAGAAAGCAAACGCCUCUUCGAUUUCUGAAGCUCCGUCGAGUGCAGAUUUUUAUAGGGGCUGGCAUUAAGUUCCAAAGCACACUUGAAUCUCCACCAGUAGAAGCUUCAUUCUUGCACUUCUAAGAUCUUGAUUUGUCCGACCUCUUCUCUCUUCAACACCUUUGAAAAUGUCUGGCCCCUCCGACCGUCGUUUUGACUUGAACCUUGUUGAAGAGGCAGCCCCGCCUUCUCCAGACAACAUAUGGCGCCCAUCCUUCGUCUCCCCUACUGGUCCUCUUACCGUUGGGGAUUCCGUGAUGAAGAAUGAUAUGACCGUUGCGGUGGUGGCCAGGAACCUUCUCACUCCCAAAGAUAACAGACUACUUUCCAAACGGUCUGAUGAGUUAGCUGUUAAGGAUUCGCUGGCUCUCAGUGUUCAGUGUGCAGGUUCUGUGUCUAAUAUGGCCCAACGCCUAUUUGCUCGAACCCGCCAAGUUGAAUCAUUGGCGGCUGAAGUGAUGAGUCUCAAACAGGAGAUUAGAGGGCUCAAGCAUGAGAAUAAACAGUUGCACCGGCUCGCACAUGACUAUGCUACAAACAUGAAGAGGAAGCUUGACCAGAUGAAGGAAACUGAUGGUCAGGUUUUACUUGAUCAUCAAAGAUUUGUGGGUUUGUUCCAAAGGCAUUUAUUGCCUUCGUCUUCUGGGGCUGUACCGCGUAAUGAAGCUCCAAAUGAUCAACCUUUGAUGCCUCCUCCUUCUAGGGUUCUGUCCAGUACUGAGGCUCCAAAUGAUCCCCCUCCGGUGCCUUCUCUUUCUGGGGCUCUACCGACUGCUGAGACUUCUCCUAAGCAACCUUUGUGAAGGCUCCCUCUUGUGUGUUUUAUUUGACUCAUGUAUAUGCACAUAUUUGUAGCUUAUCGGGGAUAUCAAUAAAUAAGCUUUCCUUCAUUUCAACGUAUUGUGUUAAAUACACCAAAGCCUUCUUCGCUAAGUUCUUUGAAUUUUCUUUUGUUGAAGCUUGUAUGUUGAAGCUUUCUGAGUGGAGCAUGAAGGUUGGGGUAGUGUUCCCUUAAUUUUCCGAGUGAGGAAAACUUCUCGGUUGGAGACUUGGAAAAUCCAAGUCACUGAGUGGGAUCGGCUAUAUGAAUCUUAGAACGCCAUUGUGCUCAAUCCUGUGUCAUGUCCUUCGUUAGAUCCAAGUACUCUAAGUCUUUUCUUAGAGUCUCUUCCAAAGUUUUCCUAGGUCUUCCUCUACCCCUUCGGCCCUGAACCUCUGUCCCAUAGUCGCAUCUUCUAAUCGGAGCGUCAGUAGGCCUUCUUUGCACAUGUCCAAACCACCGUAACCGAUUUUCUCUCAUCUUUCCUUCAAUUUCGGCUACUCCUACUUUACCCCGGAUAUCCUCAUUCCUAAUCUUAUCCUUUCUCGUGUGCCCACACAUCCAACGAAGCAUCCUCAUCUCCGCUACACCCAUUUUGUGUACGUGUUGAUGUUUCACCGCCCAACAUUCUGUGCCAUACAGCAUCGCCGGCCUUAUUGCCGUCCUAUAAAAUUUUCCCUUGAGCUUCAGUGGCAUACGGCGGUCACAUAACACGCCGGAUGCACUCUUCCAUUUCAUCCAUCCAGCUUGUAUUCUAUGGUUGAGAUCUCCAUCUAAUUCUCCGUUCUUUUGCAAGAUAGAUCCUAGGUAACGAAAACGGUCGCUCUUUGGUAUUUCUUGAUCUCCGAUCCUCACCCCUAACUCGUUUUGGCCUCCAUUUGCACUGAACUUGCACUCCAUAUAUUCUGUCUUUGAUCGGCUUAGGCGAAGACCUUUAGAUUCCAACACUUCUCUCCAAAGGUUAAGCUUUGCAUUUACCCCUUCCUGAGUUUCAUCUAUCAACACUAUAUCGUCUGCGAAAAGCAUACACCAAGGAAUAUCAUCUUGAAUAUGUCCUGUUAACUCAUCCAUUACCAACGCAAAAAGGUAAGGACUUAAGGAUGAGCCUUGAUGUAAUCCUACAGUUAUGGGAAAGCUUUCGGUUUGUCCUUCAUGAGUUCUUACGGCAGUCUUUGCUCCUUCAUACAUAUCCUUUAUAGCUUGGAUAUGUGCUACUCGUACUCCUUUCUUCUCUAAAAUCCUCCAAAGAAUGUCUCUUGGGACCCUAUCAUACGCUUUUUCCAAAUCUAUAAAGACCAUGUGUAAAUCCUUUUUCCCAUCUCUAUAUCUUUCCAUCAAUCUUCGUAAGAGAUAGAUUGCCUCCAUGGUUGAGCGCCCUGGCAUGAACCCGAAUUGGUUGUCCGAAACCCGUGUCUCUUGCCUCAAUCUAUGCUCAAUGACUCUCUCCCAGAGCUUCAUUGUAUGACUCAUUAGCAAUUCUCAUCUUCCCAAAGGAAUAAACCAAGAGCAUGAAUUCAGAAAAAUAUAUAAACAAGGCGAAAACGGGGAGUCUUCUGGGAAAUGCUCUAAACUCAUGGUAAGACUGUUCACCUUCUAUGGUUUGGUGUGAAAAGAAAUUUGAGGGGGGGGGUUGGAUUGUUAAUAGCAUUUGGUAUUUAUAUCACCCACUCUCAAAUCCCUUAAAAUCCUUCAUUCACAAAAAUCCUAGCAAAUCUUUAACAUUUCCACUACACCUAGAUUUGUAUGGACUUUUUAAACUUUUAAUUGACUACCCAUGAAUUUGGAUGUAUUCUUUAAAUCCUCCUAUAUCCUAAUUUGACUACACCAUGAUUUUAAAAUAUUUUAAAAUCCACAUUCAAACUUCUAAUUAACUACUCUGAUUUUAAAGUCCGUUAAAAUACUAUCAAAUUCUAGUUUGACUACACCUCUUACUUUUCCGGCAACUUCUUGCAGUGAAGAAGGGGCGAAAAGAAAUUCCUGGAAAUUAGCUUACCUUACUUCUCCCUUACUCUUUCUCCCUGAACCCAUACCAAACAGAAAUCGCCGAAAAUCCUCUCCCCUACCCUCUGUCACUUGGCGAAUUACAGAAAUGCAGCUGUUGGAUGUGGAAUCAAGCAGGGAAAAUGGUAAUUUCACUACCCCACUCUCACUCCAGAGUCAAAGAUCCGCACCAAAUCUCUCUCACUCUCUCUGUCUCUCUCUGCAAGCGACAUUGCUGUCCCCCUCUGUCGGCUCUAGAAUUCCCUACCCAUCAAUCCAAAUUCGUCCCAAAAUUAAGAUGACAAAAGUGCCCUGCAGCCCUUCAAUCUCAUCCGCGUGAUCCUAACCCUAGAUAGAUAUUUCCGUCAUUUAAGCACCCUAAGGCAUACAAGUAUGUUCAUUCUUGUUACAAGAAAGCAGCAUACUUGAGAGCCUACACUCCUUAUAUCCAAUCCAUGCCUAGUCAAGAAUUUUGGUCACCUACAAAUCACCAACCCGUUGCACCUCCAAAGUAUCAUAAGCAAGCUGGUAGGCCAAAGAAGCUGAGGGCAAGAGAGAAAGAUGAGCCACAACCACCAUCAACCUUAAACAAAUUGCCUAAAUGCUUCAGUAAGGUCACUUGUGGAAUGUGUGGCAAGAAAUGUCAUAAUUGUACAACAUUCGGGAAGAAGCAACGACAAGCUUCACAGGUAAAAGUAGCUUAAUGCUUUCACUUAUCUGCAUUUUUUUUUUUUUUGAAAACUCACUUAUCUGCAUUUUUAGUCACAUAUGGUUGUUAUAAAUUGGGGAAUAUCAUCUCAUAGGCCUAUGUAGAAGCUGGGAGAGGACAAACUUGUGGGACAAAUGAAAUUGGCCAUAACUCACCAACUACUAAAAGUGGGCAAACACAAGCAAUGGUGUGCUCACUGAAAACUUUCGUAUUUUAAAUUUUAGUCUUGUAUUUAUAGACGGAUGUAUGUGUAACUUUUUUAUUGAUCAUUUUGUAGCAUGCCACUGGAGGAAAUAUGGGAAGUGAAACUCCACCAAAUCAGGGACAAGAACAAUCUGCAUCUAAUGCAAGUUCUUUUGACCUAUGUCUUUGUCCCUUUCUCGUGUGUGCUUUUAUAACCCAAUGCCAUCUGUUAAUUUUUCAGGUUUUUUAUUAUUUAUUAUUUUUAUUAUUUGUAGGUUUCUAAAAGGCGUAGUGUGAAAUGAAAUGCAAAAGGCAAGUCAGUGCACAAUUCAAGAAAGCCACCUGAAAACUGUAGAAUCUGAAGGAAAUCAUUUGGAAAUUUAGACUUUUUGUUAAUGUCAAUUUUUUUUUUUUUUUGAUGAAGACAAUGUUGUGAACUUUAAGCCCUGUUUUUUAUUUUGAACAUAAUUAAGCAAUGAAAUAAUAUUUUUGAUAUGGUAGCAAUCAAAUGAUCAGGCAUUGCAUUCUGUUAUGGUUGCUCAAAAUAUGUUUAAGAUACAAUAGUGGGUGUGUUCAGUUUAGCAUGUCACAAAAUCAAAUUUUAUAUGGGCUCUGUAAUAUAAGAAACGGGUUGAGAUUGGUGCCAUAAAUGGAGUUGUAGAUGCAUAUGCGCUACUCGAACACAACUAUCCACAUGAAUACUCUCUAACAAAAUUUUAAGAGUUUUACUAAAGAAAAGUAAAAACUUGUUAAAAGAUCUUAAAAUGACAUAAAUAACCCCGAACAAAGCCAUGUGUGAGGCACAUGACUUAUUUUGGAUGGAAAACUUAACGGAGUAAGAGUGAGAUGACAAAUUGAUGAUUUCGACAAGUUGGUAUGAUAAAUUGCUUAAAAUUUUAGUUUAUAUGACACAUUGAAAAAGAUGUACAAGUUCAUAUUAUAUUUCAAAAAAAUUCCUUGGAAAAAUUAUGGUCCCUACGUCCAACCAAAUAAUAAGGUUUUUGAUGAGAUAAUGCAUGCCAACUUGAGCAUUAUAAUGUUCAUGAUUUUGUUUGAGUCUAUACAUAUAUUUACUCCGUAAACGUAGAUUAGGUCGGUUGGUAAGCCAUUGUAUCUGUCACGUUUUUAUAUUUAAGUUUAAAUUAUUCUCUCGUAACUCGUAAGUUAUAGCUUCUAAUACCGUCUUAACAAAACUAAAUAUACUUAUUUUUAGUGGGAUAUAUUUUGCUUAAGUAUGCAUGUUUGCAAGAUUAAAUGAAAACCUCCAAAACGUAUGGGGUUAAAUUGAAUUCUAACCACCACCACCACCCCCAUAUAAUUAGGGCAAAAGGCGAAUUUAGGAGGGCUCCUGUUACAGCCCAUCCAUAAUUUUUUUUUGUUAAAUGUGUAACGAUCAAAAUGCCCUUAGAGGGUAUGUGUCGACUUUCAUUAACUUACUGGACAGGUCACGUGUGACAUAUUAAUUAGUAUAUUCUGACAGCAUUCGUUAUUAUGAAUGACUGAUCAUAAGCAUAGCGAAAAUUAGAACUAGAAGCAAGAUUUUAUGAAAUAGUAUAAAUCAUUUUAUUUAAAGUAAUGGAAAAGAUAAUAACACUAGAUAUAAAAUAUGAAUGAUAGAAUAAAAUAAUUUUUAAAAAAAAAAGAUGAAAAGAUGAGAGGUGGAGAAGGAUCGGGAAGAAACGAAAAGAAGGGAAAAGUGGAGAAGGGGGAAAGAAACUUUUCUUCUUCUUCCUUCUCCUUCACUCACGGUAUCCCUUUCAAACUAUUUUCAUCAUAAUUUCCUCAUACGAUAACGAAAUCACAUGAGGUGGGAAGCUAUAGUUUCGUAGCAAGGCCGUCUUCAAUCUUACCAUACCCACCCUUUCAAAACCAUUGUAUAAAGAAAACGAGGUCCAAAUAUAUUGACGUGUUAUGGCGACUUUUCUCUGAUUUCGGGCAAUCCCACUGGAAUCUAGCUCGACCCAAGUGAAAAUAAUGAUUUUCCCCUCGUGGGCUCUCCUCUAGCGUAAGCAUUUUUCCAAGGUUUUAACUUUUAGUUUUGGGGUCAAUUCAUGGUUUCGAAUUUUAAUUCGAUAUUUUGUAUGCAUAUUUGAGAUGAUGCUUGUUGUAUUGUUUAGGAGUUGAAUCGGAACCGGGUAGUCAUGUUUGGUUGCAUAUAUAAGGAAGAACAUUGAAAUCCUAACCUCAAUUCGAUUCUCUUUAGAAAUUUAAGGGUUGGGUUUGUGUUAUAAGCAUUAAUGUUAUUCCAUAAUCGAGGCCAGAUACGUUGGAAUAUUUUGUGUGCCAUAUUUGUCCUACCCUUUAUGCACUGAAAAGAACAUUGCUGAAAUUGUAUGUGUUGCAGCCUAGGUUUGUCACGCCCCGAUCCCGACAUACGUUCAUGAUGGACACGUGACGUCAUCAAAUAACCAUAUAUCUAACAUACCCGUCUUUGGGAUAUGUACCAAGCACAUCCCAUACCUCGAAUUGCGUAGUCAUUUUUUUUUUGUACACUUUAUGGCUGCAUCUAACCUCCCGUUAGACUGCCUACGUACCCUCAAUAGGGAUCAAGCCAUUCGUAGUUCGUCAUUCACUAAUUUAGACAUUUAUUCUAGUACGUUCUAACAGGAAUACGUAGCAUUCUGUAAUUAAUUAUUAGAACUUGACAUGCAUGACAUUACCAAGUUCAAGGCUACAAAACAAACCAACAUGCCAUUGUCAUUCCACAAUCUUGUCAAUCGAUCAAUUCAUAAAUCAAAGAUACAUGAUCUUAGCAUUUAAUUAUGUUAAUCAAUGAAUGCAAUAACAUGUCAUUUCACAAAAUUAACCAAGGAACUCUAUAUAAUUUCCUACUUGGAUUAUGAGCAAUAACAUGGUAAAUCUAUUUUAUAUUCGCAAGGUCUAUUGUGGAUAACUCUCAUUCAUUCGAAUCUAGGCUUCUAGACUAACCUUAUGGGAAUGAGCAAGAGCAAGGAUUCCGGACCACUCAACAGAAUCCAACAACACUGAGUUUCGGACCACUCAACGAAACCAAAAUAUCAAGUGGUUUCUUAUAAUCUAUCCAGGCCUGUCAUAUGUAAAAUCAGUGCCAACAUCAUGGAAAUGGUGCACCGACCAAACAGAACUCGGAUAAGCUGCGAAGCUCGGGUGAGUGACAAUAAUACAAGUAUGUGAUAAUCAAUAAAAACAAAGACCAUUGAUCAGAGUUUAUAAACCUCAAUAUAAGUUCGUAAAUAUAAAAACAUAGUCAAGUCUCUAACAACUCUGAAUGAGUCAUCCAGACAUCCAACGGCUUUUCCCAUUCAAACCACCAAGAUUCUCAAAAACCAUCAUUCAUAUGUACAUUAAAAACUAGGGCUAGAGGGAUGUAGUUCAGCCGAAGCCUACAUAAGUAACCAAACACGAAGUGGCCACCCAAAGCGGAUUAACCAAGCAGAGCCACCCCUGAGAAAGUAACCAAGUAGGCAAUGACCCUCCAAUGCGGAUUAACCAAGCAGAGUCACUCAUAUAGUUGUUAGGAAGUGAUCACCCAAUGCAGAUUAACCAAGCAUGAUCACUCAUAAGCAUACAUGGCCAUAAGGAUCGCCCAACGCAGAUUAACCGAGCGCGAUCCACAUAUAGUAUGGUCCCCCAAUGCGGAUUAACCAAGAAGGACCACUAGUGACCCCCCCAAUGCGGAUUAACCAAGCAGGGUCAAGAUAAUUAGGUAGGUAGUGACCCCGAACGCGGAUUAACCAAGCAAAGUCACACCUACAGAACUGUUAGGCAGUGAUCACCUAACGCGGAUUAACCAAACAUGAUCACCCCUAAGUAUAAAUGGCCAUAAGGAUCACCCAACGCGGAUUAACCAAGCGUGAUCCAUAUAUAGUAUGGUGCCCCAUGCGGAUUAACCAAGCAGGACCAUCGAUAUACCAUUGCUCCAUGGUGCAGGAAAUUUAACACAUAAUCUACCCACAACUCAACCCCUAUGGGUUACAACGUAGUCACUACACCAUCAACUUCUCAUGGCCACCAACUAAUACAUCACACAAUCAUAUAAAUUCUACAUAAUACUUCUAAUAGGAUUCUAAGAUCACAUAGUCAUAGCAUUUAUCAUUCUUAUCAUUCACAUUGCUAAAAAGAGAUAAUUAAACACACGUAUAUUACAAUCAUCAAUACACAAGCCAAAUCACGUAUAGCUAAAUAUAUAUAUAUAUAUAUAAAAAAUCACAUUUCAAAAGAAAUUACAUUUAUAAAACCAAGUCAUAUUCACAAAUGAUAUUAAUAUAAGAAAUUAAGGUAAUAACCAUAUCACAUAUAUUCAAAUCACUCUCUAACCAAUGGUUCACUAGACUUCACUUAGUCUCCCGUAGUACCAAUUUUAGUAUCCAAAACGUUUCGGGACAUGUUGACCAAAAGUCAACUCUCGAUCAACGGUAGGGUUCGCAACUCCACGUAAUUCAAUCCGAAAGAUCUGCCGAUCCGAUUUUGGAUCCGUAAGUUCUUAGGUCCUUAUUAUUCUCAUAGAAUAACAUACUAAAUUCUCAUUGAGAUCCGACGGCCGGAUCUCCGCCAAUUUCUAGAAUUAGGUGGCGGUCAACAAUAAGUUUUACAAACUUAGAAAUUCAAUUCGGGAAAAUCCGUACUUCGGAUUCCCGAUCCGUCAAUUUCUAAUGUCCUAAAAUAUUAUGUGUUAUAAUGCACUAAAGUUUGGAGACGAUCCAACAGUUGGAUCAUCAAUUCGUAUAAUGAUCAAGUGAUGUAUCAUAAUGAAACUAGGUUCAAUUAAUCAAAUCACAUUAUUCGGAUAUCAAAUAUGAAAUUAGGGCAUCUAAUUGGACUUAGAAAGACAUCAUCGGUCCACCGCCGCACGCGCCGCCGCACACGGCGGCCUGUCGUCCCAACUUGCAGGAAAAUUCAACUAACUCCAAAAAUUAUCAAAUUUUACAGGCAAGUAGAUUUCAAUAAGAGGAACAACUUUCAUACCUGGUCCAAAGUCCAAUUCAGCCGGGAAGUGGCCUGAAAACUCCUCCAUCAGCCAGAACCCUAGAAAUUAGGUGCGGUUCAAUUCAAUGUCAAACUCAACUCCACCGCCUCCAAUGUUGAUUGGGCUUUGUUCCUGGACUCUAAAGACACUUGAGGGUGGUGAUGGUUGACGGAAAUCCCUUCGAAAAUAGGCGGAUCGCCGUCAUGGCUUCGGAACACCCACUGUCAGUUCUUCACCAAAUUACCCUAAAUUACUUCGAAUAGGGAGUGGUGAGAUAAAGCUUGGGCAUGUGAAUUCGGUCCAAUUUGAUGGAAAUCCAAUGGAAAACCAUCAGAAAAUAUGGUGGAACAAGUCGGGUGCGCGGGUCAAGGGGAAACUCGAUUUCCCCCUCAUUCUCUCCUUCCCUCAUUUCCCCUUCUUUCUUCCUCCCUCAUUCGCUACCUCCUUUCUCUAUCCUCCUCCCCUUGGCCGAAACUCUCCCCUUUUCCUCUUGAAACUCCCUUCUUCUUUCUUUUCUUCCCUUUUUUUUAAUUGGCUGCUGCCUAACCUUUUUUUUUUGUUUAAAUCUGAUUGGUCAUUUCCCUCUUCUAACCAAUUGGUCCUUUAACCCAAAUAUCGGUAUGGGCCUCUUACUCACAAAGUGGGAGAUAAUUAAUUCCUAAAAUCUAUAGUAUCACAACUUUAAACGUCGGUAAUUAUACUGUUAUAAUCCGAACUCGCAAACGGCUUUCGCUUGUGCGUUCAUGGGAUCGAGCUCUAUUCAGAAAUAUAAAUUGUGACCUCGAAAGAUCUACGGAUUUUAAAUAAUUAAUUUCCAAACUUCAAACUUCGUAACUGGUUUAAUUAAAAUCUAAAUUCAAAUAAAUUACUAUAAAUUCCCAAAAACAACAUAAAAUUUCAAUAAUAAUAAUGCGUGGAUUAUAACAGUGAAAUCCGGGAACGAGAUUUCACAAGGUUUGUGCAGUUAAUUAGAGUUCUAAAACUACUGAAUGGUUCUUUAUUCUUCCCAUGGCAUAUUUAUUCUUCCCAUGGCAUUGCCAGAUGUUGAAUAUUUGAUUGGACAAUGUUAUUAUUAGAGUAUUAUAUGACUUUUGUUUUGGCUGUGGAUUUAUUGGUGGUUCUUUAUUUCAUUCUUUCAGCGGAUGAAGAGCUUAAGACUGCUAGGAAUUUACAUUUUUAUUUUGAGGCACUUGAAUAAACAAUUUGGUUUUUCUAUAAUAAUAAUUAAGGAUCAUUGAUGGUUGGGCUAGUGUACUAGUUACGAAUAAUUAUAUGAAUGUUAUAGUUUAUGGAUUGCAUGUUAUUCUAUGGCCUGAGAACUAGUUCCUUGGUUAAGAUUAAUGGAUUAUCAAACAUUAUACAUAUUCUCUAAUUGAAUACAUUACUAUGUUUAUGAGUUCAAGAUCAAUUUAUUAUGGCUGGUAUAGAUAUCAAUAGUUGACAUAUCCAAUUUGGUGUGGUUACUUUUCGUUUAAGUAUUUCACGCUUAUACGUAUCAUGUUGUUUGCUUAAAUGAUACAAUGGAUGUCCUAUUAGGUGUAAAUGUCUACAUGCAUGCCUAUUCUGAAACCAAAAUCAAGUUGAUGGUUCAUGUUUUGAAGUUAUAUAUAUGUGUGAGUGUGUGUGUGUGUGUGUGUGUGUCUCAUAUGCCUAGACAAGCUAUACAAAGAAAGUAUACCGUUUCUAUUAGUUAUUCUGAUUACAUGUACGUAGUAAUGACUUGCAGUGGUGAUAUGAGUUUAUUGAAAUGAUAAACCACAAAUGACUUGAUCCCUUUAGGGUAUGUAGGCAGUCUAACGAGGAGGUUAGAUGCAGCCAUAAAGUAUACUAAAAUUACUACGCAAUUCAAAUCUUGAGUUAUGCUUUGUACAUAUCCCGGAGGCGGGGUAUGUUAGAUAUACAGAUACUUGGUGACGUCACGUGUCGAUCCUGGACAUAUGUCGGGAUCGGGGCGUGACGGCUCAUUUCAAUCAUUUUGUACCCCUACAUAUUAUUGUGAUUCAAUGAAGCUCCCCAUUAAAUGAAUUGCACCAAAUAGGGGAGGCCUUCGCGGGAUCUCUGUGUCCGAAGCCGACAAACACAGAGAUCCAAACCACUCAUUUUAAAUUAUAUGGUUCUUAUUAGCUCAUUCUAAUGGCCUUCCUCACACAAACCACUGAGUUUAGAUCUCCCUCUCUUUAACUACCUUGGAUAUGGGGUCACUCUUUAACCACCACCACCCACCCACAACAAAAGUACAACUAUAAGCAAAGUUGUAUGAGGGGUCGCUCUAAAAUUGAUCUUAAAAUUAAAUAGUCCGUCGUUCCAAAAAUUGUUUUGGCAAUAUUGCAUUUAAAAUUAUCUGACAAUAUAACAUUAUUCCGAAAAAAAUUUGUAUAAAUUAUAAGUUCAAACAAAAGACACUAUAUAGCUUAUUCUUGACUAUUUUAGGUGUAUAUAUACUCCAUUGCUGAAAAUUCUACUAUGCUCAUCAUAAUUCUUGCCAAUUGACCAGGCAAUUGGGUUAAAUUACCUUUGACCAAAAAUAUGAUGGUCCGUCGAUGCCAAAUUGGGCAGGCAAUUGUUGGGCUCCAAGAAGCUCGUUGAACUACCCUUGCAGCCCGUUGGCAAUAAGUAACGACGGGCCUGACGUCAAGUAGCUGGAGGCUGACCUUAACCCCGUGCACCAAUGUUGAACCAAACAGCUCUAAUUUGGGCGCCCCACAACUAUUGGAUUUUCAACAAUUUGUUGAUCCGGACUAUUAAAUUUCAAAAGAUACAAGUAAUUUAAAAGAUGAUGUUGUGCCACGUGGCACUUUGUGGCGCAUUUGAUAUUAAAAUUUUGAAAAAUUCAACGGUCAGGAUUAAUCCCACGGUAAAAAAUACAAAAAAAAAAUUAGAAAAAAUUUACAACAAAAAAUAUCUAAAAAAACUUUCAAAUUUCACACUUAAACAAAAAUCUGAGCUGAUAUUACUAAUAGAUAAAGACACGUGGUGCGAUGAAAGUGGUUGAAAAUGGAAAAGUAUCCUCUCCGGCUCCCUUCCACCAAAUCCACCAAGUUCAAAGAUCCGAGUAAUUUAAAUUUGAUCAAACGGCUACAAACAAAGUUCACUAUAAAAGUUAUAAUAGAUUUGAUCAAAUUUCAAGGGCCGAUCCGAACUUGUGAAUUUGGCGGAAGGGAUCCGGAGUCAUUUCUGUUGAAAAUCUCAUCGCCUCUCCUUUCAGCCCUUCAAGGAAAACCCACUUCUUGGGCCGUCUUCAACCACGUAAAGCUUCACUCUUAUAUUAGUUUCGGUGUUUAAAAUUGUUGGGAUUUGCAGUUUUGGAUUGAAAUUUGUGUUUUGGGAUUUGUUGGGUGCUCGCAUGUGUUAAUUUGGAAAAUUUUAGUUGUGGAUUAUGGGGAACUGAUGUAAUGGCGAUCCCGUUUCAUGUAAGUUGCUUUUGUUGAUGUGUUUUUGGUGAAAUAAUGACGAGGAGGGUUGGAUAGUUUGGCUGGUUUUAAUUUUUUUUUGUGAAAUUAGAGUGGGAUCAAUCAAGGUUGAGACUUUUUAAGGUAAGAGUUAUUGUGAAAGUUAUGUUUUUACAAAUUUUUGGGCAAAUUUUGUGACUUGGUGGAUUUGGAAUUUUGGUUAUAUUAGAUAUAUGUGUAAAGAAAAUAGUUGAACUGCAUGAAGCUUGAGGGGUAAUGAGGGUUUUAGGUAUUUAGUGACAUUCAGGCCAUGCUUGAUGUCUAUUUGAUGUCGGUGUAUCGGAAAUGCUUGAACAAAGAAGAAAGGUGCUCGAAGAGCUGCAGUAGUUAACUACUUGGUUUGAUUAGAUUGCUAUGUUAAUCAAAAUGUCCCCUGUAGUAUGUUUAUAGGGUUAAAGUUUUACUUUAGCGUUCUUUAGCGACUUGGUUUCAAAAGUUCACUUUCCUUGGUCUGUGAGGCCAAUGGUAGAAUGAUCAUGGAAAAAUGAAAUUGUUCUGUCUUAAUUUUGUCUGGUAAGAGCGGGUAUGCAUUCUUACAGGACUCGUUUGUCAUUCUUUUAAGCUGUUUAAUGUGCUCAUUUCAGUAUGCAUCAUCCAAAGUCUUUAACCGCUCAAAGUAGCACUACAAGGGCCAGGGAGCUAUCAUCUGUUUGUAAAUAAGAGCUAUAGACAUGUCCUAUAAGGUCAAUAGGUCUCAGUUGCAUAUCUAACUUGUUUCUCAUGUGUUUUCAUCCUAAAGGUUAGAAAAGGUGGGUGCUCUAGACACGCAAGGAGUGGUUCAUCAACACCAAGGGAUGGCGGCUGAUCUCAUGUAUGUGGUUACAUGCUGGAGUUUUCCAUGUGCUUGCCAAUAUGCUGAGUCUUGUAUUCAUUGGAAUUCGGCUUGAGCAAGAAUUUGAAUUUGGUAAGCAUCUGGAUUUUUAGCUUCAUGUAUGUUAUCAUGCAUGUAUGGCCACAUCCAUAAGUGAUUGUAGUAAAAGAUAAUACAUAUAUAUAUAUAUAUAUAUAUAUAUAUAUAUAUAUAUAUAUAUAUAUAUAUAUAUGAGCAAAAAGCCGUCUCAAAGAAGGAGAACGAAGCUUUAAUCUCAUUGGCUACUACAUAAUGGAUAAAAAGGUCGUACCUAGUGCACAAGGCUCCUGCUUUACGCAGGGUCUGGAAGAGGUGAAUGUCGGCUAGCCUUACCACCAUUUAUGGAGAGGCUGCUCCCAAAUCUCGAACCCGAGACCUACCGCUCAUGAGCGAAAGCACUUGCCAUCGCACCAAGUGCGACCUCUAGCUACUACAUAAUGGAUGCAUCAAAAAAAAAAUCCACACAUAUAUGACAUUAGCGUAAAAUUAUAUGAAAUGGGUUCAGUCUAAAACUUGUAACAAGCUAAGUUGUACAUUUCUUGAAUUCAUCUGGCAAAAGGCUAGUUCUGUCUUAGCUAACUUUGUAAUAUACUUCUACUAAAGCAUGCCAACAAUCUAAGUUUAAGUUCCUAUUACUACUAAGGCAUUCCAUCUUUCAACUCUAAAUCUUAAGAAUAAUCAGAAAUCCACCAACUUUAAAGAUAUUUGACCCUCCCACAACAUGGAAUUGAUGGUUUACAAACACAGUAUCAAACAGAAAAUAGUAUUGCAUAUGAACAUGAUUUGAACGAAAUAGGAGCCAGAAGAAAGAAAUGCCCACCAUCCUGUCAUGAACUUUUUUGAUGCCCAACUUCUAACAAUUUUGGAAAACGUCUGCACAGAGAUAAAAAGAGAUUAGAAUGAUUGUUAUGAAGAUUAAGAAAAAGGAGCACAAACACUCAAAGCAUCGGAAAACUUAUGCCCCAACUUAGGCCACCAAAAAGUAACAAACUUUGACACACUGUAACCGUUUCUUCUUCUCCUUCCGAUUCAGAGUGUAUUAUGCGUCUUGCCUAGUUGUAUUAUGUUGAAAAGUUGGACUGGGCAUUCAUAUGGCUUCCCUUUCUCCGGCCAAAACCAAACAACAGCUUGCUCAUCCCCUGCAAUUAAAAUACAACAAAAAAAAUCAAAAGAAUAAGUUAAAAUUUAAAAUCUCAUCUGGGUACGUUGGGUUCGAUAUUUUAUCAAUUGUUGUUUCUGAGUUGUGUUUUUUGCGGAUUUUCACAACCAAAAAUAAACCUUAAUACCCAGACCUAAAUUCUUGUUCGGAUUUUAUUAGAUUUUUUAUACCGUAUAACUUACCAAUUUCCAUUGUGUUUGAGAAGAUAAACUACUUUUGUAAAGAACUUUAGAAUUCUAAAUUAGGAUAAAUUGCUUAUCUUUAGCAAAAUGGAUUCUACUGCUAUUCUUCACAGGCGACGGUGAAUGUUUGGGUGCCGCUGCUGGUUGGGAUUGCGCUAGUUGUUGCACACGCGGCGUUGAGGUGGACCGAUGGGUUGCCGUGGACAAAGAGAGCUCUGCGUUGUUGACUGGUUAUUCGGCUCGAUUAUGCGAAUUCAUGGAUUUGGAUGAAUCAGUGAUGGCGGUGGUUUGGGUAAACUAUUUGGAGAAACAAUUUACAGCGUCACACGGUGGGGAAGCAUCCAGAAAUCAGGUGGGUCGACAGACUGAAACGGUGGGGCAAGGAAGAAUUCAGAAAUGAAGUAAAAGACCAAAGAAUAAUAAGGGGGUGUAUUCAAUUAUUGGUAUUUUAAGAGCUUUUAAUUUUUUUAAUGAAUAUAGGGUGUAUUCAAUUACGAUUUUAAAAAGGUUCACAAUAUUACAAAUGUAUUCAAUUAGUAUUUGAUUUUAAAGAAUUUUAGAAAGUUGAGUAAUUAUAGGAAAUUUGAGAGAUUUUGUAGUAUAUUUUAAGCAUCUAUAAAUCUCUUAUCUUCCCAUGAGAUUUCAAGGUAAUUAAAUUAAAAUUUUACAUAAAAUCUUUACAAAUCAAUUAAACUUCAUAAAAAUCCAUGAAUUUAUAAACCUUUUAAAAUCUCAUCAAUUCUCAAUUGAAUACACCCUUUUAAAGCAGGACUCAAGAUGGAAUCUCAUUGUACAAUAUACAGUAACGACAGAAACAGAGAAAGAAUAAAAAUGGAAUAACACUGUAGAAUAAACAGUGUUUUAGGCAAUUUUCUCUUUUAGUGUGUGUAUAUAAUUUGCAUAGUAUGUAACACUGAGAAAAAUGACACGUAAUAUAACAACAACAAAACACUAAGAACUACUAAAUCUUAUUCUAUUAUGCAUGGGUUAGCCGUAUAAAUUCUAAAAUUUCACUAAGCCGGUUUGGUGAUAAGUUUUUCGUUACCAUCGUACUCCAUAUCUUUCUUACCAUUUCUUCCCAAAUGUUCUUACUUCCUCUACCCUCUGAACUAACCCAAGAAACAUAAAUUUUUUUUUUUUUAAAAAACCCCAAAAAGUAGAAAAAAAAGAGGCAAACUUCAGAACCCAUUUCAUUCAAUUUUUCCCACAUUUUGAUUUCGAUGAGAUUCGAAUCAAAACCCAAAUGGGGUUUCUGGGUCUGAAUCCAAAUUUUUGAUUGAAGACAAAAAAAACGAAAAAAGGGGAGAUUUUUAUGGAGAGAGGCCAACCUGCUGCGCCGAGCAGCUUAGAGAUAAAGGUGGUGAGUCCACGGCGGAGCGACAACGUUGUGCACCCGGCGGGACAGCCUCCGGAGACGACGACGCCGCGGCAAUCGUUCAGCGACUACAGCCCGUUGAAGAGGUGGGUGUCAUGGCUGGUGCCGUCGAUUGUGGUGGCCAACAUUGUGGUUUUUGUGGUGACCAUGUUCGUGAACGAUUGCCCCAAGAACUCCGACACUUGCAUUGGUCGGUUCCUCGGCCGCCUCUCCUUUCAGCCCUUCAAGGAAAACCAUGUAAAUUUUUCACUCUUUUAUUUGUUGGGGUUUGGAGUUUUGGAUUGAAAUUUGUGUUUUGGGAUUUAUUGGGCAUUUACAUGUGGAAAUUUGGAAAAUUUUAGUUGUGGAUUGUGGGGAACUGCCGUAGUGGCGGCGAGCCCGUUUGUGUGUUUUUUGGUGAAACUAUGAUGAGGAGGGUUGGAUAGUUGGAUUGGUUUAGUUGUGAAAUUAGAGUGGGAUCAAUCAAGGUCGAGACUUUUUUAGGUAAGAGUAAUUGUGAAAGUUAUGUUUUUACCAUUUUUUAGGUAAAUUUUAUGACUUGGUGGAUCUAGAAUUUUGGUUAUAUUACAUAUAUUUGUAAAGAAAACAGUUGAACUGCAUGAAGCUUGAUGUAAUUCUGCUUUUAAUCAAUGUUGGACUUGGGAACCCUAGUGAAUAUAGAAGUGAAUCUACGAUUAGUUGAGAAACUUAAGGGAGCUUGACGGGUAAUGAGGGUUUAUGUAUUUAGUGACAUUCAGGCAAUGCUUGAUGUCUAUUUGAUGUCGGCAUAUUGGAAAUGCUUGAACAAAGAAGAAGGGUGCUUGAAGAGCUGCAAGUAGUGAACUACUUGGCUUGAUUAGAUUGCUAUGUUAACCAAAAUGUACCCUGUAAUAUGUUACAGGGUUAAAGUUUUACAGUAGUGUUCUUUAGCGAUUUAGUUUCAAAAUUUUCGUUCGACUUUCCUUGCUCUGUGAGGUCAAUGUUAGAAUGAUUAUGGAAAAAUGAAAUUGUUUGUCCUAGUAUCUCUGGUAAGAGCGGGUAUGCGUUCUUCAAGGACUUGUUUGUCAUUCUUUAAAGCUGUUUAAUGUGCUCAUUUCAGUAUGUGUCAUCCAAAGUCUAUAACUGCUAAAAGUAGCACUACAAGGCCGAGGGAGCUAUCAUCUGUAUGGAAAUAAGAGCUAUAGACAUGCCCCAUAAGGGUCAAUAGGUCUCAGCUGCACAUCUAAGUAUCUAACUUGUUUCUCAUCUGUUUUCAUCCUGAAGGUUAGAAAAGAUGGGUGCUCUAGACGUUCAGAGAGUGGUUCAUCGACACCAGGGAUGGCGGCUGAUCUCAUGUAUGUGGUUACAUGCUGGAGUUUUCCAUGUGCUUGCCAAUAUGCUGAGUCUUGUAUUCAUUGGAAUUCGGCUUGAGCAAGAAUUUGGUUUUGGUAUGCAUCUGGAUUUUUGGCUUCAUGUAUGUUAUCAUGCAUGUAUAGCCACAUCCAUAAAUGUUUGCAGUAAAAGAUAAAGCACACAACAUAAAUUGUAGAAUAAUAAAUUAGUUACCAAGUGCAAAACUUCUUUCAUAAAUCUAGAAGAGACACUUUCCGGAUGGUUUCAUCUACCUUGCGAUUAAUCUACAGAGGAUUUCUCUGCAUUUGUUUAUUGAAUUGUAAUCCUAGAGUAGUGGUCAUGUAGUGCUGGUUGCAUUAUAACUUUCACCAGUAUGUUGCUAGGUUUGAUGGAAACAAGAGGACGUUUUAUUCAGCGGUGAGCAAAGAAAAGAGUUUAUACACCGAAGAUGGGGUUCAAACUUUAGUUUUAGACAUAGUAUUUCAUUUUAUAGAAUAAAAUUGCUUGAAACAAAAGCUGAGAGAUUAUUUCAGUUUUCCAUCACAUCUGUGGGAACAAGGAUUGUUUUGGAUAUCCAGUACAUGUAGACAUGGUUCCUCAUUUUGAAAUGUUUCAAGAUGCCGUCUAUUUGAAAAGAUUGAAAAAAUAAUAGUUUGAUGCUGAUCUACAUCAUGUACGGUUGUUUUGAUGAACUGUUUUAACUAAUUGGUUUGAAAUUCUAAUUUUUUUUUUAUUUGUUCUUCGGCAGUUCGAAUUGGUUUCCUAUAUUCUCAUGUCUGGUUUUGGUGGGAGUUUGCUUUCAGCUCUUUUUAUUCAAUAUGGUAUUUCUGUUGGUGCUUCUGGUGCACUUUUUGGUUUACUCGGAAGCAUGCUUUCAGAGCUCAUAUCAAAUUGGACAAUGUAUGUAAAUAAGGUAAAUAAAGUUUCUGUAUACUCAACGAUGCACCUCUUUAUAGUAUGUGCACGACCCUUUGAUCUUACAGUUUCAGAUUUCAAUCCGCAGUUGGCAGCAUUGCUUACUUUCCUUUUCAUCAUCAUAAUAAACUUAGCAGUGGGAAUUCUACCACACGUGGACAACUUUGCUCAUAUUGGAGGAUUUGUCUCCGGAUUUCUUCUUGGAUUUUUUUUUCAUUUUGAACCAAAUGUUACAAAUUUCAAUCAAUGCUCUCGAGUCUUGAACCAAAUGUUUUUUCAUUUUGGAUGAUUGCCAAAUGUUUCCAGAGAGCUUCUGAAGUCAAGGUGCUUUAAGGGUCUUGGUCCUUGGCGUACCGAAAAUGCCAGACAAUAGGGCCCAGUAGUGGAAGUAAGCUAGUGAAGUCGUCUAAAAAAACAAGCCAAAGUUGUUCCUCCUAUGAUCCUAUCCUUGCUUUUCAGUGCAGUGUUCGUUUGCUGUAGGAGCUCCCUGCAGUCGGGACUCGGAGGGAAUGCGACGGAUAGGCUGGCGCUGCUUGCCAUCAAAGCUCAAAUAAAGCAAGAUCUCCAUAAUUACAACGUGAUGAGCUCCUGGAACGAAUCCACGCACUUUUGCAUGUGGAAUGGUGUGACGUGCAGUCGACGACAUCGUCAAAGGGUCACUACCCUAGACCUGCAAUCUCAAAAUCUGGUAGGGAAACUAUCCCCAAACAUUGGAAAUCUAAGUUUUCUAAGGGAGCUGUGGCUGUUAAAUAACAGCUUCAGUCAUGAAAUUCCUCCACAAAUUGGGAAUUUGCGUAGGUUGCAGGUAUUGCGAUUAGACUUUAACUCGUUUAGUGGCAGUAUUCCACACAAUAUAUCAUAUUGCUUCAACCUUAUCCAUGUGAAUUUCACUCGCAACAAGUUGGUGGGUAAAAUUCCUUCAGAAAUUGGAUUGUUGUCGAAGCUGCAAAAACUUGCAUUAGAAUAUAAUAAUGUAACGGGACAGGUCCCUCCUUCCUUGGGGAACCUUUCGUCUCUCCAGGGACUAAGUCUUCUUAGUAAUAACUUGAUGGGAAACAUCCCUAGUUCUCUUGGCCGGUUGAAAAAAUUAACCUUCCUGGGAUUGGGGGUAAAUCAGUUGUCUGGUAGCAUCCCUUCCUCCAUUUAUAACCUAUCUUCUCUUGUUACAUUUACCAUGCCAUUUAACCAAAUUCAAGGGAGUAUUCCAUCAGAUAUUGGCAAAAAUAUUCCUAAUCUUGGAUUCUUUAACGUCCACAAAAACCAACUCACUGGGUGCAUACCUCACUCAAUAUUCAAUGUCACAAGUGUUUUGGGUUUUGAUGUUGGGAGUAACAACCUAAUCGGACAGGUAUCGAAUCUCCAAAAGCUUCACAACCUCCUGCAUUUCAGCAUUCAAAAUAAUAAUAUUGGAAGCGGUAAAGAUGGUGACUUAAGUUUUCUCUCGGACUUGACCAAUGCCACCCAGUUACAACGGUUGUUUAUUAACAACAACAAUUUUGGAGGGACAUUGCCCAUGUCAAUAUCCAAUCUCUCAACCAAACUUGAUAUGUUUUGGGUUGGCGGUAACCAAAUAUAUGGAAGCAUCCCAUCUGGGAUAGGGAAUCUGGUGAGCUUGGAAUCGUUGUAUUUGGGGUAUAAUAGCUUCACAGGUAACAUCCCCUCUGACAUGGGUAAGCUGUCAAACAUUGGAAUAUUAGAUAUUUCCAAUAACACAUUAUCAGGAAAUAUUCCGUCUUCCAUAAGAAAUUUAACCAAGUUAUUCCGUCUUGCGUUGCAUAGAAAUCAUCUUGAGUGCAGCAUUCCUUCAGGUAUGGGGGAAUGCCAUGGGUUGCAAUUGUUGAAUCUUUCUUAUAACCUCCUAAAUGGCACAAUACCCAAACAAGUUUUUAGACUCUCCUCCUUAUCGAUUUCUUUGGACUUGUCUAAUAACCUCUUCACAGGUUCCCUUCCCUCGGAGGUUGGGAAUUUCCAGAGUCUAAGUGAACUGUAUCUUUCUGAUAACAUGUUAUCUGGAGAACUCCCCAGUAGGCUUGGUGGUUGUGAGAGUUUAGAAGUCCUGCAUUUGCAAGGAAACUUCUUCAAUGGGGCCAUUCCAUUGUCUAUGAGUUCAGUGAGAGGGAUUCAAGAUCUAGACCUUUCUCGCAAUAAUUUUUCAGGUGAAAUUCCGCAUUUUUUAGAAGGCUUUAGAUUCUUGAAUAAUUUGAACUUAUCCUUCAAUCAAUUUUGGGGAGUGGUACCAACUGGAGGUGUUUACAAAAAUGCGAGUGCUAUUUCAGUUAUUGGCAACACUAAUCUGUGCAGCCCUGUUGCUAAUUUAAGCUUCCCAAGUGCAAGUCUAUAGAGACCAAGACACAAAGAUUGUAUCGUAGCUUGAAACUAAUACUCCCUUUAGUAUUUGGACUUACUCUUCUAGGAAUAGCCAUGGUGUUCUCCUAUUUCUUUCUUUGUUCGUCAAGGAAGAAAAGGAAAGAAAUUUCAUUGAGCACUUUGGGGAACACUACUCUACAAGUGUCAUAUGCUGCUCUACUCAAAGCUACCGACGGGUUCUCAGAGGCUAAUUUAAUUGGUGCUGGUAGUUUUGGGUCUGUGUACAAAGGAGUUCUUGAUGAGGAUGACAAAUCUCAACUUGUUGCCGUGAAGGUGUUUAACUUGUUACGCCAUGGAGCUUUAAGGAGUUUCAUAGUCGAAUGUGAAGCUUUGAGAAAUAUUAGGCAUCGAAAUCUCGUCAAGAUUAUAACAAUGUGUUCAAGUGUUGAUUUUCAUGGUAAUGAUUUCAAGGCUCUAGUUUAUGAGUUCAUGGACAACGGGAGCUUAGAGGAGUGGCUGCAUCCACCUAUUGAAACUGAAGAGUUAAGAGACCAUGUACCCAAGAAGUUAAGUCUUCUUCAGAGGCUAGAAAUUGCCAUUGGUGUUGCUUGUGCACUGGAUUAUCUUCAUAAUCAUUGUAAAACUCCAGUAGUUCAUUGUGAUCUUAAGCCAAGCAACGUUCUCUUGGACAAUGAAUUGAUUGGCCAUGUUUCUGAUUUUGGAUUAGCAAGGUUUAUCUCACAAGUAACAAGUAAUGUUUCAGCAAUUCAGAGUCGGACAAGUUCUGUUGGAAUAAGAGGAACAGUUGGUUAUGCAGCUUCAGGUAUAUAUAUGUUAGAUAUGUACUUCAUUAUAUUUCCUUUUUUAUUUUGGAGUAUUGAAUUUACAAAAUUCAAAAUGAACUAUUUAUACACAAAUGUGAUGUUUGAAUUGUAGAGUAUGGCAUGAGGAGUGAGGUGUCAACGAAUGGUGAUGUCUACAGCUUUGGCAUUCUCUUGUUGGAGAUGUUUACACGGAAGAGACCCACUGACAACAUAUUUGGUGAUAGCUUGAACCUUCAUAAUUUUGUCAAGAUGGCUCUCCUCGGGCGAGUUACUGAGAUUGUAGACGCGCCACUUCUUCAAGGAGGCACAAACGAGAAUCCCAAUCAAUGCAACGCAAGAAUUCAUAAAGUUGAGGUGUGCUUGGGUUCAAUAUUUAGAAUUGGAAUUGCUUGUUCUGCUGAAUCCGCAACAGAUCGACUAAAGAAUAUCAAUGAUGCUGCAUCUGAACUUCAUUCCAUUAGGAAUACUUUUCUUGGAUAGAAACUCUUUUUUAUGUGCUUUUGUGAUAGAGAAGUUUCGUGUGAAGGGUGUAUUACUACUUUUAUGUACUGCCUGUGUAAGUCUAGCUUUUAUGUUACCACAGUAGAUGUGGAAGUUUGCAAUGUAAAUAAUCACCAAUGAGGUUCAUUGUGUGAAGAGUGUAUUACUACAUCUUGUACUUGGUAUUUUUGUGUAAGAUUCACAUCGAUUUGUUUGGAUCAAAACUUAAACUUUGGGCUCGAAGGAAGUUGGCCCAAAGAGCAGCCUAAAGGGGAGAGGUACUCGAAGGCCCAGUCAAAACCCAGCCGAAGUCCAGAAGACAGGAGAAGCUUGUUUCUGACUAGGUGCAGGCCAUGCAGACCACUUGCUCACCUACCCAAAGGCCAAGUGGUAUAGACCAGCCAGCUAAUCAGCCCAAAAAGUACUUUUAAAUGGUAGUACAAGUAAAUAGCUGAUGAGUCACUACCCUUCAAACUGCAUUCGGGCAAGGUUGUUGCUACCGGAGGCCAAGCCAAGGUGUCUAUAAAAGGAGAAAGAGAGGUCAGAAUCAAGGACACUCAAACAAACAAAUACAAGCACAAACUCUGCUCAAAGCCAGAUUUGCCUUCAAAACUAAGCUGUAGUCAGCCCAAGCCUUCAUCCAUUUCGGGAUAAACCUUUUGUAAUAGCUCUGCUACCCUGUUCAACUCUUGUUGUAGUAUCGAUUUCUUUUGUAAACUCACCUCCCAACCCUUUUUCUAAGCUUUCAAACUUUCUGAUAAACCACAAAGAUAGGAAGUUGCAAGACGAUCAGCCUUGCCUGACAAGGUUAAACCUUGCCCAACCCUCUUUGUUUUUUUUCUUUUCAUUCAUUAGCCUAGCAAUAUGUUGUAUACUACAAGUUGUAUCCCAGUUGUUUCUAGUAAUAUGGCUAUUAAAGGACUCUCUCAGCACUUGAAUCCGAUUUGAAUAUGUCUUCACAGUUUAAGCCAGAUUUAAGUUCUAAGUCUUCGGGCAUAUAAGAUUUGAUCAUUCUAAAAGUCCUUGGCCUCAAGGCAUAAAAAAGAACCUGAUGUGGACUUAACCCAUCCACUACAAGCUUUGAUAACAAGAAGUCCGAAGUUACUUGGGGCGCAAGUAAUCGACCUGUCACUUAGUUUUAUUGCUGUUAUAUUAUGAUUACCAUAUAGCGUCCGAGGACAGGAUGAAUUCUGAUGGGAAGCCUCAAGGCCUAUUCAAGGCCCCACAAAGGCACCUAUUUGGAUUCAUCCUAUUUCUCGGGCAAGAACAUUGAGUAUAGAAGGGGUUUUGAUGGGAAGCCUCAAGGCCUAUUUAAGGCCCCACAAAGGCAUCUAUUUGGAUUCAUUCUGCUCUUUGAGCUCAGGUAAUCAGAAGUAUGAUGGUUAUAAGACCCAUAUAACCAAGAAAAGGAACCUUAUGUGUUCGAGUACUAAGUUAGUUAUUUAUGGGAAGCCUCAAGGCCUACACCUAAGGCCCCACAAAGGCACCUGUCAAUAACUAAACUUAGUCUCUCGAAUAUAUAAUUAAACUCAAACAUCCGUUCUACAUCUGCCAUGCUGAAAAUGGCAGUGGCACGCCUGAGCACUUAAAAGUUAAUUUUGAUUGUGAGCCUCAAGGCCUACACCUAAGGCCUCACAAAGGCACCUUUCAAAGUUAACUUUGUCAUUCUCUUUCAGCCUUGCCCGACAAGCCCGCCAGUAAAGCAGGAGCCCGACAUAAAAGCAUCAACCGGCGCCAACCUCUCGGGGAGCUGUGUGCUCGUCGGACAGGAAGCAUCCCCCACGGAAAUUCCUGCCACGAACACGAUUAAAGUCUAGUUAGGGCCACGAAAUUGUUGAAUAUUCACAUUGACAUAUUUGAAAUUUUUGAAAGAUUCAUAACCUCAAAACCCUCAACGUUCAAUAAAAUCAUCUUGGCAGCUGUAAGAUGGUGAGUUGAGUUUCCUAUCAGACUUGACCACCAUCAGUGUUAGAUUCUGCAAGGGAAUUCCUAAUCUCAAGCUGCCCUAUUGCAAGUCUAAAGAGCUCCAAGAAAAGAAGAUUAGCUUGAAAUUAAUAAUCCCUUUAGUAUUCGGACUUGAUCUACUUGCAAGUGUCAUAUGCUACUUUCUCAAAAGCCACUGAUUGGUUUUCUUCAGCUAAUUCGACUAGUGUUUAACAUGUUAUACGUCAUGGAGCAUCAAAGAGUUUCAUAGCCGAAUAUAAGGCUUUGAGAAAUUUCAAGCAUCAAAAUCGUGUCAAGAUCAUAUCUACAUGUUUUCUCGAUGAUUAUUUCAAGGGUCAUGUUUAUGAGUUGAUGCACCAAAGGAGCUUAGAGGAGUGGUUGCUUCCCCUCCUGUAAUUGAAAAGGUAAGAGAUCAAUACAUCCAACAAUUUAAAAUCUUCUUCAAGGGCUAGAUAUUGUUAUUGGUGUUGCUAUUAUGCACUGGAUUAUUUUCAUAACCAUAGCGAAACACGAAUAGUUCAUUAUGAUCUAAAGCCAAGCAAUGUUCUUCUAAACACCAAGUUAACUGGACAUGUUUAUUGAAAGUAGAUUAAUAUCAGACUGUUACUUAUAUGAACUCCUCCAUAUAAGUGAAGGGAAUUGGGUUCAAGUUGGUUGGUUUGGUUAAUAGGGUUUGCAAAUGGCCAUCUUUUGUAGAAUUUUAACCCCAACUUUAAAGCCCAUGGGCUAUGACAAAUCAAGGUUUUCUAGCAUUGUUGCUAUCAAUAUUCUCCCAUGCGCAUUCUGAAGUCUAUUCCAAUGGUUUUAGCAGUCGUUCUACUAAUCUUGACAAUGAACGAGUUUUUAUUUAUUUUUUAUUCGAGCAAAUGAUAUUAUCUACACUAAGAGGAAGGGGAUAGUUUUAGUCUUAUAAUGGGCUAACAAUAAUGUGGUUUAAAUUCGUCUUUGGUGAGAAACGAACCCAAGACCUCUCACUUACAAGUGAAGAGAAUACCACUAGACCGUAGUACUAAGUGGCAUGAAAGAGUUUCUAUUAAACCCGCAAAAAUGAAAAUUCUCAACCAUUCAUUAAUGGAUACUAACAAAUUUUUUUUUAGUACAAAGAUAUGUCACGAUAAUGUAACUUAUAGUUGUGUCACUGACCUUUUAACUUAUUGCCCUAUCUUUAACUCACUCCAAUUAAUAUCGUCCUCUAAUUGUUAGUAUCUAAUGAAUCUCAUCAUAAAUUGUUACCCAAUAUAUUAAUUAUCAAAGCAAAUAAACUUGAUUGAGUUAUAAAUUUAUUGUGACCCAAUUGGUAUGGUUAGUAGAAAAAUCAAUUUUGUUCAUAAUUUUCAUGUCUUCCAAGUGAACAUGGGGCUAUAAGUGAAGUUCCAAAGGUUACGGUGGUGUAAUUUGGUCCAUGAAUUGUCUCCUUCAUUUUGCAUGCAUGCGGUAGGUUACUGACUACCAAUAAUUCUCGUUACCAAGCAAAUUAAAUACCAUUAAUUAAGAGCUUAAAAAGUCUUUAAUUAUUACCUCUCUAUUUUGCUUUAGCAAUUAGGAAAUUUUCCCCUUUUGCGUACAAUAUUAUAAGAAUAUUUGUGUUCUCCACACUCAAAUGAUGGUGAUGCUUACUACCUUAUUUAUCACUGUUAUAUGAGUUUAGUACCUUGGAUAGACACAAAUCUCAAAAUUUAAACAAAUACAACGGUAACAAAUAAGGUGGUAAGCAUUACCACCACUUGAGAGUGAUGACUAAAAAUCUCCCCAAUAAUAUAAGUAGUUAAGUUUGUUGGUGUGGUAGUUGGUCUUUAGCAAGCUUCUUAUAGAAAAGAAGAAGCAUUUAUUUGAAAAGAUUCAGACUCCUUUUGGAUAUAGAUAAACAAUGGCUUGUUAAAAACCAAAAUGAUAAGGCAUUCAACAUUCAACAUUCACCUAAAAAAAAUGAUAUACAUGAUAUCCAUCAAUGUUUUGGUAACAAAUUCCCAAAUUGCUCUAUCUACCAAACAUUUGCAGAUCAAUAGUUACAGAAGGUCACUUUUAUGAUAUUCAACCCAAUACCCACAUUAUUGGCAAAACAAACAUUGUAUAGAUCUUUUGAGUACCCGAGCCAAUGACAAUAACAUUGACGGCAACUACAAAAAAUUUACAUUAUAUAAAGAGGCAAUCUCAGAAUCAAAAUUGUCAAAAUCCAUAUUUGAUGGCAUUUUUUCAUCAGUCAAUCAAUACACACAUAACACAUAAUCACAAACUCGAUAAAAAUUCAAACCCAUAAAUCCAUAAUUAGCAAUGUUUUUUCUUAACCCCCAAAAACAAUCCAAAUCUUAGUGGUUACAUUCCUUAGUCAAGCACUCAACCACUUGGGCACAUCGACUACAACUUGGGAAUGUUACGCAAAUCUUAGGCAGCUUGAAUCAUUAAAUUUGAGUUGGAAGAAGCUCUGUUACCUGCUCUGCUAGUUGAGGAGUGUCACCAAAUUCGGCACUAUCAUCAGCAUCAACACAUUUCACAAACUCCCACUUCCAAAACAUUUCACAAAAUCAAAAAUCAAAUGAGUUUAUGUAGCAGAAAAGAUUGACGGAAAAAUAGACUAGGAAAAGCAAUUAAUAUUAAAUAGAGGAUAAAUGAUGUUGUCCAGUAAAUAAGACAGUUGUAUAUAUUUCUCGACCAUGAGAAAACAUCAAAUUAAUAGAGGCAUUAAUCCUAAGUUUGCCAUUCAUUGUUGUCGGUCUAAACUUGAUGACAUAUUGUAAAGUCCUCGUACAUACAGAUUCAUGAAAUAUUAAUUUAUUUCCAUGAGUUAUUUGAUUUUGCAAAUUCAAAAUAAUUGAAGAAUACUGAGAAUUACUAAACAUCCAAAGAUAGCAUUUGUGAAUUACUAUCCCAUUUGUGAAUUACUGUCCUUCUAAGCAUCCAAAGAUAGCAUACCCAAAAUACCAAAUUCAACUCCAAUAUAAUAAAAAAUUAAAAAACAAAUUAACCAAAUUGGGAUAGUUAGAUCAAAUAAAGAUUUACGUCAACCAAUUACACAAAAUAAUUCAUGCAAAGUAGGCUCCUAAGAAAAUAUACCACUAUGGAGGUGGAGGAGGCCCAGGCUCAAACAGUGGAGGACGGUAGCAUUUAAAUAUACCGCAGCAGCAUGGAAUCCACAAACUGCAUAAUCAAAACCAAAAUUUUAAAAUUUAUAUUUAUAUUUAAAUUUGAAAGAAAAAUGCAGUAGAAUUGUAUAAUGAGAAAUUCUCCAAUGUGGAUAAAUUAAUCUUGCAGGAUGCGAUCAGUUGUAUUGGGCUGGCAACCGGCUUAUGCUCAAAUCCAACUAAAUUUAUCAUACAGCCUUCCAACUACAAUUCAAGGGAAGAAGUUCCAAGUCCAUGCAUAAUGUUUGCUCAACUAAAAUAAAUUGCUUUUCAUGAUUAAAAUAGCCAACCAACCAACACUCAUUUGAUAAAAUUGAACAUUUGGAGUUAUAUAUCCACAUAUUCCACAUAUUUAAGAUCGAACGAACCUUCUCAUGAAGACCACCCAAGGGUCCAUUAGUGAGUUGUGUGACCAGAGGAUUUACUGCACUUGAGUUUCCUCGUGCAGCUGCAAGAGCUAUGAGCUUACGUUGACUGUCAAUCACUUCUCCGCUUAAGGUUUGCGUCACCGAUGAUGCAGAAUUAAUAGCUUCCUGCAAAGAAGUGCAAUAAGAAACCUUAAUUUGUUAAAAUGUGAGUAACUACAGUGUUCUCAAUUGAUUAAAACAUCAUCCGAUGGUGUUUUCUAGGCUUUUUUUUUCCUUCCUUUCGCAGGCCAUUAUUUCAUUAGCCAUCUGAAGAAUUGCAAUUGAUAGAAUCGGUGUUCUUUGAAAUAAUCAUAACACUUCACAACACAAUGGCAACAAUUUAUACAAAUUCUAACAACAAAUUGUCAAAAACAAUGAGAACAAUUACCAGAAAUUUCAAAUCUUUUGGGGGUUCAGAGUAAUUACCAAAGAGAUGAAAGCUAAAAUCAACAUUAGUCCAAUUUUUUCAAAAUAAGAACAGCUCCGAUCUGAGAAAUACAAUGCAAUUUCUGAAGGAAAAAAAAAAGCAAGAAAACCCUAAAAUCCCUAAGAACCCUAAUUUAUAAACCCUAAACAAACGCAAAAGGAGAGGAGACUCAAAUAAAGGGAAAAUCGAGAAAUUCAACAUACUAUCGGAGCGAGGACGCUUUCUGACGACCAAAUUCAUCGACACCGGAGGCGGUUGUCGACCAUCGCUGCACCUUCAUUUCGCCUCCGCCAUGUUUGAGGCUUUCGACCGUCACUACUUGGUUUGUGUGCUUCAUGUCGAGAGAUAUGGGGAGCCGAGAGGUUGUGGGUUUUCUAGUAGAGAAGGACAGAAACAGGAAGAGUGAGAGAUGAGAGAGCGCUCGCGUAGGAGAGAAAGAGGAAGAGUGAGAGAUGAGACCAGAGCGCACGCGUCUAACCCAUCGCAAUCCGUUAUAAACUUACCCUAUCAACUUUUGAGAAAUACCCUCCCAACCCAUCCCCAUUUGGCUGACAUUGUUGUAAAUAGCGUCAAAUUGAGUGGCAAAGAUUUGAAAUUACACCCGCUCAUUGCUGCAAGAAUCAGUUGUUUCAGGCGUAAUCGGAUGAAUAAAACACAUUUAAGUUAAAUUUAACACAAUUAUGAACAAACAGAGGGAUACAUGAGUGAAUGAAGUCGAUAAGAUAAGCAGUUUUGCUUUUAUAUACAUUCAAGUGAGCUAGCAUAUAAACAUAUUGUACAACGAGUGGGAAGAAACUGAACGUCUUUGAUUACAAAGAUAUGGUUUCCAAAAAAGUUUUUUUUUCUUAAGAAAUAGAAGAAACAUGUAGUUCACACAUAAUAUGUGUCUUGCAGUGUAGACAGUCAUUGAACAGGUAAUAUCAAGAAAAGAAAUUAAAAUAUUAGGCAUAUGAGUGCAAGCUUACAAAUACGUUGUUUUUGUAUAAUUUCUUCUCCCUUCAAUGAUAGUUUGUUUCUUAUGCAGAAAAAUAAAAUGACCAGGUCAAUGAUACUCACAUGUGCAAAAUGCUAAUUCUAAGGUCUAAAGCUAACUGAGUUUUUAAGUGUAAAAUCCCUAAUUUCACUGCAUUUGGAUUGAUCACAGUUCGUGACUUGUUAAACUUGAUAUCCCCUUGUACAUUUUGUGAACUUGACAACUUAAAGAAGUGCUCAUAAAAGCAAAUUACACAAUAUCUACUGAAAAACUUAGAGAAGAGACUUAACUAAUCAACAAACAGGUGCCUCACACUUAAAUAUUAAAGACCAAAGAGAGAAAACCAAGCCGAACUCUUCAAAAUUCGUUGGCACACAUGCUUCAUUAGCUCAAUUGAAUGUAUAAUGCCUACUUAGAUACAACAAUUCGAACAAUAGCUCAUAAACAGUGCUGAAAUUCCAUUAGCACUAAUCACACACUGCAGGAACAUAGAUCCUAGCAAAGCUACACCAAUUAAAUGACAACGACUAAAAACCACAAACAGGAAAAAUAGAAAAACAGAGUUAUUAGACAGCAUGAUUCAGAUAUAAUUUUAUUAGGGUUGGUAAAAGAACAACCCAUCCAGCACUUCGAACACACCGUGGGAUUUAAAAGUAGGUCUUUCUUGAUUAUAAGCUCAUAUGUCUUGCACCUAAUUUUCAAACACUCAAGCGUCAGUGUCUUAAUACUUCUAACCCACAGUUCAAAACAGAAAGAACCUCAUUUGAUGAAAAUGCCAAAAUUUUCUAAGAAUGGAGUCCAAAAAUUUAUUUUUAAGCAUCCAAAAAGCCAUUAAACUAAAAAUAGUUAGUUCUUCGUACCUUUGUAUGAAGAUAUCACAGGAAAACAUUAGCCUUCCUACAUGCUAUGUUGGAAUUUCAGGGGUUAGAUUAGAGCCACACUUGAGUUCGACAUUGAAAGUGAGGCCUCGCUGGUGUGUUUCCACACCACAUGCUCUGCAAAAGAGAUACAAUCUCAGAAUCAUAAACACAUUGAUAAGAAAUAUACACACCAUAUAUAUAGCAAGAGAAACUUAAGAAACGAAAAGUUCAAUCAAAGUGAGUGAAGUGAACCUUUCUUCUUUUUUUAACCCAAAGCAUUGAAAGUAGCGCAAACCAUUCUUUUGUCCUCUUUCUCCCCUCUUCCCGUGUCCCUCACUCUUUUUCAUCCUUUGAAACAAUAACUGAUAAGGAAAAAUUAAAAAUUACUAUGCAAUCUUGAUUCUGCUAACAUUCCAAAAUUAUUAUCAGUAAGUCUCCAUAUAACCUUUUUGAUUCGCUUCUUUUUCCUCCUAUUUCCCAACCAACAACACAUUUCUUAUCAUCUUUCUUACUAACAUAUGGGCACACACAAAAUAUGUGAGAAAAGUUUUUAUUUUUGUUUUUGAAAUAGAAUGAGAGAGGAAGAGAGUGCUAGAGAAUGUGAAAGUGGGAAGGUUUUUUUUUAUUUUUUAAUUAAAGAUAUGUUAGGAUUACAUGUAAGUGAGACUUUGAAAAAAAAAAACAAAAUUUGAUUGUGUAAAAUUACAUUUCUUAUGCAUGUUCUGUUUUAAUUAGAGGGUUAAACUGGUAAUUUCAUAAGAUUUUGAUUGACAAUGAGUUUCAUUAAUUAGUAGAGAUUCAUAUAUAUGACAAUAAACAAAAAAAAAACAAUAUGCAAAAGAUACAAAAAGUAACAAUAGCACCUUCAUAUUUACCAUUUACACUUGAAGUAAAAUCUCGAAAUAUUUCAGAAAUAUUGUUGAUGCACAAAAUCAGCGAUGACUUUGGUACAACAGAAAGUGUCAAGUUUGUGACCUUCGCUAGAUUGCUCCAGUCACUAGUGUGGAUAAGUAUGUAAAUGGAUAAAGAGAGGGAAGCAAACACAAGAUGUAUGUGGUUCACCCAAAUUGGCUACGUCUACAGAGUAGAGGAGUUCUCAUUAAUUGUGAAGGGUUUACACAAGUACAUAGGUUCAAGCUCUCCUUUAGUGAGUACUAGUGAAUGAUUUAGUACAAAUGAAAUUAGGAAAUAUUGUGGGAGAAUGAUCUCCUUUUAUAGAAGAGAGUUUCUAGCUUUGUUUUGACAUUGACAUGUGUCGUGUUAUGAUUGACUUCUGAUGUUGACACGUGUCGCAUUAUGAUUGGCUUCUGAUGUCGACACGUGUCGCGCUGUGAUUGGCCUCCUGGUUGGAGGGAAACUCUUCUGGGUCAUUGACAAUAUAACGUUGAUCGGUGCUCGGUAGUUUCGAGAUUGAUCAAGUAUGGUACAAACAAAUAUCAUAUGAAAUGCACAAUGUUACAAAUGAAAUUGAUUAAUUAGCACACAAAAAAAAUUGAUAGUGGAGAAUUGGAAAUAACUAUAGGUCGUACCCAGUGCACAAGGCUCCCGCUUUACGCAGGAUCUGGGAGAGGUGAAUAUCGGCUAGCCUUACCCCCAUUUAUGGAGAGGCUGCUCCCAAGUCUCGAACCCGAGACCUACCGCUCAUGGGCGAAGGCACUUGCCAUCGCACCAAGUGCGACCUCUAGAAUUGGAAAUAACUAUAAAAAAUUAAAAAUAUCAAUAGACCAGGAGAAAACUACUUUAAACAAAAUGAAAACUCAGAAUUUAGGAUAAAAAGAAGGAAAGAAAUCAAACAGAAAAGAAGACAAAAGAGAAGAAAAAAAUUAAAGCAAAAUACCUGAAGCUCGGUGAGAUUCAAGCUUCGAACUGAAAAAUGAAACAUUCGGCGGUCAACACCCAAUCACUAAUUAACUAAGUGGUGACCUGCUGACCAUGAACACGUGAAUAAAAUUGUAGAGGUUAAUUAUACGGAAUCUUACCGCAAAAAAAAUAAAAAAUAAAAAACUAAUUGAAAUUAGGGGUGGGUUCAAAAACGAAAACCGAAACCGAACCGAACCGAAAUCGAAAAAACCGAAUCAAAUUAAAAAAAUCGAACCGAACCGAAUUAAUUAAAUUAAUAUAUUUUUUUUAUAUUUAAUUAUUUGUUUUGGGUAUUAUUUUUUAAACCCAAUUUGUAAGCCCAAUGUGUUGCCCAAAAUCAGAAAUUCCAAAUGCAUCGCUACUUUUCCAUUAACUACAAGGAAGAAGUCGUAUAAAAAAGCAAGACCUAAAAUAGUGAUAACAAAAUGGUGCUAACUCCUGACACAGUACUGUUAGUUUCUUAUUCUUGUUUAAUAUGGCUUCUUGCUUCAAGUAUUUGUAUGCUUAUUCAAUACUUCAUUGCUUAUUGUUAUAUGCAGUGAUCAGGUAUUGGUUUUGAUAAAGUGUUUUCCCAUUUGAUAUUACUUCUUCCGACUAAAUAGUAAAUUACAUUACUAAAUGACCGAUAAUACAUACAAAGAGAGCAUAAUCGAUAUAUGACCCUCAUUGGUUAGUAUGAUAAUGCUCUCAUUGUACGUACUAUCGUGAUAAAAUAAUCAGCACAUGUUCACCAACAUACACCAGCUCUUUAUAUUAUUCAUGGUUAAGAGUUGAGGUGUGAAGAAAAUGGUAGAAAAUUUUACUUUUCUAAAAAGAAAUCUAUUUACAAUUAAACUUUAAACACAAAAUAUUAAAAAAAACCUUUAUGUUAUAAUUCUAGUUGAACUUUAAAUAUUUAUUUUCAUUUUCUUUUAUUCUAGUUGGAAUAUUUAUGUUAUGAUUAUGUUGGAGAUGUUAAAAUUUAAGACUUCAAUUUUUUUCAUUUUUUGAAAAAAAAAACACCGAAACCGAACUGGAAAAAACUGAAAAAAAAAAUGAACUGAACCGAAAUUUCGGUGAUUUCGGUUUUGGAAAAAAACCAAACCGAUUUGACCCGAACCCAGCCCUAAUUGAAAUUAUGUGUUGCACACAGUGAUAUCGAAGAAGAAUAAUUUCUAUUUAACUGAAAUUAAAUCCGAAUAAAUGAUUCAUAAAAUUACAGAUUUUCAAUCAAAUGCGGAAUAUACACAACAAUUUUAUUUCUGAUUUGAAUAUAACCAACUAAAUCCCAAGUUGUAUCAGUAUCAAUGGAUCCAACAUGGUGACCAUCUGCCCCUCAAGUAUUCAUAUCUGCAAACCCCCGUCUAAAGAAAAAUUCAUCCAGAAAUUAAUCACUGAGUAUGCAAGGUUGGCAUGCAUAUUCACGUUUUAUCGUGGCCAUGAUGAUAGGAAUUAAAAAAACACGAAAAUAGGAAUGAUGUACCUUUACUUAGAUUUCAGGGUUCUAAAACCUGUUGCUGAGAUUUGAGAAACAUAGGAAAUGUGUUUCAUGAUUUCAAUUUAGAUUUGCAUAAGAGUUCAGAAACACAUACAUCCCUUCUUUUCAUUCCGCGCCUAGGCUUGCAACACCAAAAUAGCACCAGAUCUUUGCAAUGUGCAGGGAAUAUACUGAAAAAACUUAAACCACAAUCAAUCAUCAUCUAUCUAAACAAAAUCAGAACCCAAACCCCUAAAUAUAUAAUAAUAAUAAUGAUUCUAGUAGAAAUUCCAAUCCAUUACAACAAAACACAGAGCUAAAACAACAAAACACAGAAUACCAGGUAUUGCUGGAUGUAGAUAUCCAAAACAGUGGCACCCAUCUAUUGAUCUAAUUACGUAUCCAUUCCCUAUCCAUGGCAGACAAAGUUUGUACUCCCUGUUUACAUGUUAUAAAACAUUUACUAGACCAGCAAUCAAAAUUAACAACCCUAAUUGUUGUAUACGCUAAGCUCUCCAACUGAAAAUGUUUAAUUAAAUUUUCCAACUUAAAACCCUAAAUUAAAUCCUACAAUUUGAAAUAGCAGAAACAAAAUUAGAGAGAAGGAAGAAAUCAAUGACCUUCGAGUUGUUGAAAGCUCAGAUAGGUGUUUCUUUUCAUCCAGCCCUAAAAUUAACCCAGCCUGUGUAUAGAAAAAUUGAACAAAUUUAGACAUUUAUAUGUAUGUAUAUUCCAGUAAAAAGAAUGAAAUGCAUUGAACCCUAAAUUGCAAAACUACAUCAAACUGAUUAAAGAAAAGAAACAGAGAGGGAGUGGGACAGAGAGAAAACCCUAAAAACAGAACCCUUUGGCAACCUAAUACAAAAUCAAGCCAACAAAUUCCAUUCCAAUUUUGACAAAACAAAUCGAAAAAGAAUAAUGAAAACCUGAAUGAAUUACGGAGGAACCGAUGGGUUUAUGCAUCAGCAAUGUGAUAAAACCCAGAAACACAAAACCUAAUAUGUAACAGCUACAAAAACCCAAAUAAAUAAAUAAAACACUCAAAUUUCAAACGAAGAUGUCAUAGAUGGAGGAAGAGAGAAGCGAUAGAGGGGGAGAGAUACUAACUCAACCCCACCAUCUCUCUGCAGCCAACACACUGAUUCCCUCAACCCUACCCUCAAAUCUUGUACCCAAUCAACUCUCUUUCUGUCCCCCUAAUCGUGCACCCGCCGUCACCUUCUCUCUGCAACCAACCCCCUCUCCUCUCUUCCCCAUAUCACACCCCCACCUGUGAGGGCACUGACAGCAGACUACCUCCCUAGAAACCGGCCCUAAAAACCCAUACCCAUACCUCCCUUACUCGUUCCCUUUAACCCUCGCAUAAAAUCCUCCCAUCUAUCUGUCUUUGCAAAUCGCAGAAAACAAACCCUAAACCAAAUCCCUAAAAUCCCACCUCAAUCCUCCCACACUUCUCUUGGACACUCCCUAUCUCUCUCUGCAAUUCGUAAAACAAAUCUCCUAAAUCCUAUCUCGGGCACCCGCAUCUCUCUACAAAUCACACAAACAAAACCCCAAACCUAAUCCUUGAAAUCCUACCCAAACCUAAUCCCUGAAACCCUUUCUCUUGGACAUCCCAUACCACAGAAAAUGUAUCUGAACUUUAGUUUAUAAAAUCGCAGGCCGCCUUCUCUCUUCCUACCUUUUAACAAUUCACCAGUAAGAUUAUCUCAAUAAAAACUUAUAUUAGCAAAUCCAGUGACGAAUGAUGUCAAACUGAAGCCGUAAUGAAAGCAUAUUUUGAGAAAGAAUGAAAAGCCGUCUUUCUACAACUUGAAACCAAAAUUUAAGUGAAUGGCCUUGUAACUAAGGUUAUUGAACAUGAUUAACUAUUCGCAACCCUCAACCUUGUCCCAUCUUUCUGUCCCUGCAAAUUGCAGAAAACAAACCCUAAACCAAAUCCCUAAAAUCCCGCCUAAAUCCUCCCACACUUCUCUUGGACACUCCCUAUCUCUCUCUGCAAUUCGUAAAACAAAUCUCCUAAAUCCUAUCUCAGACACCCCCAUCUCUCUACAAAUCGCACAAACAAAACCCCAAACCUAAUCCUUGAAAUCCCACCCAAACCUAAUCCCUGAAACCCUUUCUCUCGGACAUCCCACACCAUAGAAAAUGCAUCUGAACUUUAGUUUAGAAAAUCGCAGGCCGCCUUCUCUCUUCCUACCUUUUAACAAUUCACCAGUAAGAUUAUCUCAAUAAAAACUUAUAUUAGCAAGUCCAGUGACGAAUGAUGUGAAACUAAAGCUGUAAUGAAAGCUUAUUUUGAGAGAGAAUGAAAAGCCAUCUUUCUACAGCUUGAAACCAAAAUUUAAGUGAAUGGCCCUGUAACUAAGGUUAUUGAACAUGAUUAACUAUCCGCAAUAUGACAACCAUCUGCAACCCUCAACCUUGUAACCUGGAUCAAGCUGGUUUCACACAUACCAAUAGAAAACCAAAAUAUCAAUGUUUGGGGAAGUUACCUUAUUUGAAAUACCACUAAAAAACAGAGUACACUUUUAGGCAAAUAUUGUUUAAACACGCAAACAUAAUUCAUGAUAUGUGCCAAAAAGAAAAUACCUCUCGAUUAGAUUUCUUUUGUUCAUGAACUUUCUCCCUGACAAACUCCUGAGAUAGAACCAAAAAAGAAAAUAAGUCACAACUGAUGCAAGUAGAGGGGAAUGAGGCAGAGAAAAGUAUGAAUUUAUGAGUACACCACUCCUGUUUUAGGUUCCCAACUUAUAAGGAUGCUAACUUCAUCAUAUAGGACUAUUGUUAAACUCAUUUCUUUCCGAAAUUAAAUUAAGAAAAAAGUUCGACACUGGCAUGCCACAACACAAUGUUACAUAAAGUAAUCUUACCAUCACAACCAAAUUGACACAAAACUUCUAACAGUCAUUUUGAAAGUGAAAAUCAAGCAAAUACUCAUUUUCCGAAAAAGAAAAAACCCAACAAAAAUAAACAAAAAGUAGAAGUACCUAAGUUCCCAAUAGUCCAAUCCAUCAGGAAAAUACAAACUUGCACAUGUUUGAGUAAAAGGACCAUAAGAAAGAAGCAGGGGAUGCAAAAUUUUGAGAAUGGGUCUAAUAAUACUCAUCAAGUACAGAUAAUCAAAGUUAAAAGGAGGUAAUAAAGGUAUUGAAAAAAGAAGAAUAUAUUCUACAAGUGAAUGAAACAAAAUAUGGUGAAACUAGAAUGGAAACACUUCAGGAGGCCAGAGGAAGAGGGACAAUACUAUAGCAAAUAAAUUGAUAAUGCUUGUGCUCUCCUCUGUUCUUUCCCAAGUUGAUCCUACAAACAAAAGCACAGACAAAACUUAAAAAACGAUGCCAAUCAAUGAAAGCUAUAUUAUACCCAUCCUGAAUCUUUUAUAAAACAAGGCACCAAGAAAAUUUCAACAGCAAAUAUUUCAUACGAUAAACAAAACGAUGAAAUAAAUUUCAACAUCGGCUUGUUUCAGACAUUAACAUCUUACUUUGAAAUUUCUCCCAUGGUUCGUUGACAGUCAUUGUAGAGUAAACAUUAGGUGGACAACUCUUUGACUACGUCAUUAGACAACUACAAAAGCUUACUUUCCAUAAGCUUGUAACUUACAAAUUCCAAACUACAUGUAUCAUUUGUGUGCCCUCAGCUUUCAUUCUGUAAUCACAUUUACGAUUGAAACAUUAACCAAAUCCAACAACAACAACAACAAAGCCUUUUCCCACUAAGUGGGGUCGGCUAUAUGAAUCCUAGAACGCCAUUGCGCUCGGUUUUGUGUCAUGUCCUCCGUUAGAUCCAAGUACUCAAGUCUUUUCUUAGGGUCUCUUCCAAAGUUUUCCUAGGUCUUCCUCUACCCCUUCGGCCCUGAACCUCUGUCCCGUAGUCACAUUUUCGAACCGGAGCGUCAGUAGGCCUUCUUUGCACAUGUCCAAACCACCGGAACCGAUUUUCUCUCAUAUUUCCUUCAAUUUUGGCUACUCCUACUUUACCUCGGAUAUCCUCAUUCCCAAUCUUAUCCUUUCUCGUGUGCCCAUACAUCCCACGAAGCAUCCUCAUCUCUGCUACACCCAAUUUGUGUACGUGUUGAUGCUUCACCGCCCAACAUUCUGUGCCAUACAACAUCGCUGGCCUUAUUGCCGUCCUAUAAAAUUUUCCCUUGAGCUUCAGUGGCCUACGACGGUCACACAACACGCCGGAUGCACUCUUACACUUCAUCCAUCCAGCUUGUAUUCUAUGGUUGAGAUCUCCAUCUAAUUCUCCGUUCUCUUGCAAGAUAGAUCCUAGGUAGCGAAAACGGUCACUUUUUGUGAUCUUCGCUAGAUUGCUCCGGUCAUUAGUGUGGAUAAGUAUAUAAAUGGAUAGAGAUAGGAAAGCAAACACAAGAUGUACGUGGUUCACCCAGAUUGGCUACGUCCACGGAAUAGAGGAGUUCUCAUUAAUUGUGAAGGGUUUACACAAGUACAUAGGUUCAAGCUCUCCUUUAGUGAGUACAAGUGAAUGAUUUAGUACAAAUGACAUUAGGAAAUAUUGUGGGAGAAUGAUCUCGUAAUCACGAAACUUCUAAGUACCGGAGUGUGGUAUCGUCUUGACUUGCCUUAUCUGUCUCAUAGGUAGAUGUGGCAUCUUCUCUGGAAGUACUCUUCCUCCAUCCAGGGGUGGUAUCUUUAACUGGUGGAGAUGCACAAGGUAAUGUAUCAAUUUCACUUGAAGCUUACUUGUAGUUUCAGGCUUGGUCAAGCGCGAUACAAACCAUGUAGUAGGAGUCCCCCAAGUCGCCGAGCUAGGGGAUCUGCUGAAAGAGGUGACAGACAAGGUAAGCAAUCAGAGCUCCGGCUGAUUGUUCACAUUCUCCCUAUCUUGCAGGCAGCAUGAAGGAUAAAGAGAAGAAAAAUGAGAAGAGAUGAUAUGGGAUACUUUUGCUUUUGAAGAAGUAACUUUCCACAGGCUUAUUCUUGAACUGGGCUGGAGGGUUUUCUGGUUUCCUCCAGAGUAUAAGGCCGACUGAAGAAUUUGAGGGUCAAAACAAGUCCAUCAAAUCUAGAGUACGUUCGACCCUGCUGAUAUGGGAUACUUUUGCUUUUGACAGAGUAAGUGGAUGUAUCGGCACGUGUGCUGUUACGCUUGUCUCCACAUGCUUCCUUGUAUCCUUCUCACUUGCCCUAUCUGUUCCUCAGGCAGAUGCGGUAUCUUCCCUGGAAGCAUAAGAUGUUGAAGAUGAGUACUCGAGAGCAAUGCCAGGUAAGUAAUCAGGUAAGGGGUUCCAGGCAGUCAGUUCCUGGCUGGAAGCUUGAUUCCAAGUGCUGACUGAUUGCUCUCUUUCUCCUUGUCUUGCAGGUAAGAACAAGGCCAAAGGAAAAGACAGGGAAAAAGCAUGAUAUGGGAUACUCUCUUGCUUUUAACCCUGAUGAUAUGAGAUAUUCUUGCUCUAGUAUAGCUUGUUUGCAGAGAGGUAUUAUCGGGGGGAAAGAAAGCUGAAUAUUUCGAAAGGCUUCGUUGGGAGUGCCCUCUCAGAUAUGAGGAAGGGUUGAGCAUUUUUGCAGGUCUGCCUGUCCGUUGGGGAUGGAGGUCGACAUAUAUAUAGGAGUCUCCCUAACAAUCAAGUAGUAAUGCUAUUCCUUUACCCUGCUUGGUCAUAGCACGGUAGUGGGAGCUGCCAGCUUCACAUGUUUUAACUCUGUCAGAGCACUUUGAAAAAGUGGUCUGUGGUAUCUGGAAAGCUGAUGUUGCGUGUGAAGAUUACAGACAAGCUUUAUCCAAGGAGAUCCGGCUCUUGAAGUUGGGAAAGUGGUGCCUCUUCGGAUUUUCGAACAAGCAAUCCUUGUCGGGGAUCUGGCUCUCGAGAGAUUCGGAGAACGAUGCCUCUUCGAUUUUUUGAGAAAGCAAUCCUGCUGGGGGUCUGGCUCUCGAGAUUCGGAGAGCGGUGUGUCUCUUCGAUUUUUGAGAAAAGUAAUCAUGUUGGGAGUCUGGCUCUCGAGAUUCGGAGGGCGGUGCCUCUUCGAUUUUGGAGCAAGCAAUCUUGUUGGGAGUGUUUUCUCGAAUGUGAGUAAAGGUUGGGCAUGUUUGCUAGUCUACCUUGCCACGAAGCACAGAGGUUGACACACAGGGACUUUCCAAUUAUCCAGCAAUGGUACUGUUCCUUUACCCUCUCUUCGAUUUUUGAGAAAGUAAAUCAUGUUGGGAGUCUGGCUCUCGAGAUUCGGAGGACGGUGCCUCUUCGAUUUUGGAGCAAGCAAUCUUGUUGGGAGUGUUUUCUCGAAUGUGAGUAAAGGUUGGGCAUGUUUGCUAGUCUACCUUGCCACGAAGCACAGAGGUUGACACACAGGGACUUUCCAAUUAUCCAGCAGUGGUACUGUUCCUUUACCCUUGUGGGUAAUAAUAUGGUAGCUAGACCUUCAAAAUUUAUGUGUCUAAACUUUGUUAGUGUUGUUUCUUUGCUAUUCUUUUACCCUUCUUGGUCAGAGCGAUGUAGUGGGAGCUGCAAGCUUCACGUGUCUCAACUUUGGUCAGAGAACUUUGGCAAAGUUAUCUGUGGUACCCAUGAGCUACUGUUGCGUGUGGGAAGUGGGUGAUUGAACAGUAACGAUUCAUGUGCUUUCUACUUCACCAGAAAUCUUCGACAGAAUGCCCAUAAUUUCCGCAAAGCUGAGUGUGCGUGUGACAGGUGCUGACAAGGCUGGAAAAGUAGGUGCCUCUUCGAUUUCUGAGAUCGGCCCUCGUGGUCUCUGAGCAGCCCAGCUUUUGAGAAAGCAAGCGCCUCUUCGAUUUCUGAGAUCGGCCUUCGUGGUCUUUGAGCAGCCCAAGCUUUUGAGAAAGCAAACGCCUCUUCGAUUUCUGAGAUCGACCCUCGUGGUCUCUGAGCAGCCCAGCUUUUGAGAAAGCAAACGCCUCUUCGAUUUCUGAGCAGGCGCCUCUUCGAUUUCUGAAGCUUCGUCGAGUGCAGAUUUUUUAUAGGGGCUGGACAUUAAGUUCCAAAGCACACUUGAAUCUCCACCAGUAGAAGCUCCAUUCUUGCACUUCUAAGAUCUUGAUUUGUCCGACCUCUUCUCUCUUCAACACCUUUGAAAAUGUCUGGCCCCUCCGACCGUCGUUUUGACUUGAACCUUGUUGAAGAGGCAGCCCCGCCUUCUCCAGACAACAUAUGGCGCCCAUCCUUCGUCUCCCCUACUGGUCCUCUUACCGUUGGGGAUUCCGUGAUGAAGAAUGAUAUGACCGCUGCGGUGGUGGCCAGGAACCUUCUCACUCCCAAAGAUAACAGACUACUUUCCAAACGGUCUGAUGAGUUGGCUGUUAAGGAUUCUCUGGCUCUCAGUGUUCAGUGUGCAGGUUCUGUGUCUAAUAUGGCCCAACGCCUAUUUGCUCGAACCCGCCAAGUUGAAUCAUUGGCGGCUGAAGUGAUGAGUCUCAAACAGGAGAUUAGAGGGCUCAAGCAUGAGAAUAAACAGUUGCACCGGCUCGCACAUGACUAUGCUACAAACAUGAAGAGGAAGCUUGACCAGAUGAAGGAAUCUGAUGGUCAGGUUUUACUUGAUCAUCAGAGAUUUGUGGGUUUGUUCCAAAGGCAUUUAUUGCCUUCGUCUUCUGGGGCUGUACCGCGUAAUGAAGCUCCAAAUGAUGAUCAACCUCUGAUGCCUCCUCCUUCUAGGGUUCUGUCCAGUACUGAGGCUCCGAAUGAUCCCCCUCCGGUGCCUUCUCUUUCUGGGGCUCUACCGACUGCUGAGACUUCUCCUAAGCAACCUUUGUGAAGGCUCCCUCUUGUUUGUUUAUUUUGACUCAUGUAUAUGUACAUAUUUGUAACUUAUCGGGGAUAUCAAUAAAUAAGCUUUCCUUCAUUUCAACGUAUUGUGUUAAAUACACCAAAGCCUUCUUCGCUAAGUUCUUUGAAUUUUCUUUUGUUGAAGCUUGUAUGUUGAAGCUUUGUGAGUGGAGCAUGUAGGUUGAGGUAGUGUUCCCUUAAUUUCCCGAGUGAGGAAAACUUCUCGGUUGGAGACUUGGAAAAUCCAAGUCACUGAGUGGGAUCGGCUAUAUGAAUCUUAGAACGCCAUUGUGCUCGGUCCUGUGUCAUGUCCUCCGUUAGAUCCAAGUACUCUAAGUCUUUUCUUAGAGUCUCUUCCAAAGUUUUCCUAGGUCUUCCUCUACCCCUUCGGCCCUGAACCUCUGUCCCAUAGUCGCAUCUUCUAAUCGGAGCGUCAGUAGGCCUUCUUUGCACAUGUCCAAACCACCGUAACCGAUUUUCUCUCAUCUUUCCUUCAAUUUCGGCUACUCCUACUUUACCCCGGAUAUCCUCAUUCCUAAUCUUAUCCUUUCUCGUGUGCCCACACAUCCAACGAAGCAUCCUCAUCUCCGCUACACCCAUUUUGUGUACGUGUUGAUGCUUCACCGCCCAACAUUCUGUGCCAUACAGCAUCGCCGGCCUUAUUGCCGUCCUAUAAAAUUUUUCCCUUGAGCUUCAGUGGCAUACGGCGGUCACACAACACGCCGGAUGCACUCUUCCACUUCAUCCAUCCAGCUUGUAUUCUAUGGUUGAGAUCUCCAUCUAAUUCUCCGUUCUUUUGCAAGAUAGAUCCUAGGUAACGAAAACGGUCGCUCUUUGGUAUUUCUUGAUCUCCGAUCCUCACCCCUAACUCGUUUUGGCCUCCAUUUGCACUGAACUUGCACUCCAUAUAUUCUGUCUUUGAUCGGCUUAGGCGAAGACCUUUAGAUUCCAACACUUCUCUCCAAAGGUUAAGCUUUGCAUUUACCCCUUCCUGAGUUUCAUCUAUCAACACUAUAUCGUCUGCGAAAAGCAUACACCAAGGAAUAUCAUCUUGAAUAUGUCCUGUUAACUCAUCCAUUACCAACGCAAAAAGGUAAGGACUUAAGGAUGAGCCUUGAUGUAAUCCUACAGUUAUGGGAAAGCUUUCGGUUUGUCCUUCAUGAGUUCUUACGGCAGUCUUUGCUCCUUCAUACAUAUCCUUUAUAGCUUGGAUAUAUGCUACUCGUACUCCUUUCUUCUCUAAAAUCCUCCAAAGAAUGUCUCUUGGGACCCUAUCAUACGCUUUUUCCAAAUCUAUAAAGACCAUGUGUAAAUCCUUUUUUCCCAUCUCUAUAUCUUUCCAUCAAUCUUCGUAAGAGAUAGAUUGCCUCCAUGGUUGAGCGCCCUGGCAUGAACCCGAAUUGGUUGUCCGAAACCCGUGUCUCUUGCCUCAAUCUAUGCUCAAUGACUCUCUCCCAGAGCUUCAUUGUAUGACUCAUUAGCUUAAUACCCCUAUAGUUCAUGCAAUUUUGUACGUCGCCCUUAUUCUUGUAGAUAGGCACCAAAGUGCUCGUUCGCCACUCAUUUGGCAUCUUCUUCGUUUUCAAAAUCCUAUUGAAAAGGUCAGUGAGCCAUGUUAUACCUGUCUCUCCCAAAACUUUCCACACUUCGAUUGGUAUAUCGUCUGGGCCUACUGCUUUUCUAUGCUUCAUCUUCUUCAAAGCUACAACCACUUCUUCCUUCCGGAUUCUACGAUAAAAAGAGUAGUUUCUACACUCUUCUGAGUUACUCAACUCCCCUAAAGAAGCACUCCAUUUCAUGUCCUUCAUUGAAAAAGAUUAUGAAAAUAACCUUUCCAUCUGUCUUUAACCGCGUUCUCUGUAGCAAGAACCUUUCCAUCCUCAUCCUUGAUGCACCUCACUUGGUUUAGGUCCCUUGUCUUCUUUUCCCUUGCUCUAGCUAGUUUAUAGAUAUCCAACUCUCCUUCUUUGGUAUCUAGUCGCUUAUACAUAUCGUCAUAAGCCGCUAACUUAGCUUCUCUCACAGCUUUCUUCGCCUCUUGCUUCGCUUUUCUAUACCUUUCACCAUUUUCAUCAGUCCUAUCCUUGUAUAAGGCUUUACAACAUUCCUUCUUAGCCUUCACCUUUGUUUGUACCUCCUCAUUCCACCACCAAGAUUCCUUUUGGUGUGGGGCAAAGCCCUUGGACUCUCCUAAUACCUCUUUUGCUACUUUUCGGAUACAACUAGCCAUGGAAUCCCACAUUUGGUUAGCUUCCCCCUCUCUAUCCCACACACACUGGGUGAUUACUUUCUCUUUGAAAAUGGACUUGUUUUUCUUCUUUUAGAUUCCACCAUCUAGUCCUUGGGCACUUCCAAGUCUUGUUCUUUUUUUUCUCACUCUUUUGAUAUGUACAUCCAUCACCAACAAGCGAUGUUGAUUAGCCACGCUCUCUCCUGGUAUAACUUUGCAAUCCUUACAAGUUAUACGAUCCCCUUUCCUCAUUAGAAGAAAAUCUAUUUGUGUUUUUGACGACCCACUCUUGUAGGUGAUCACAUGUUCUUCUCUCUUCUUAAAGAAGGUGUUGGCUAAGAAGAGAUCAUAUGCCAUUGCAAAAUCCAAGAUAGCUUCCCCAUCCUCGUUUCUCUCCCCAAAACCAUGGCCACCAUGAAAACCUCCAUAGUUGCCUGUCUCCCUGCCCACGUGUCCAUUUAAAUCUCCUUCCUAUAAAUAACUUCUCCGUCUGAGCAAUUCCUUGCACCAAGUCUCCAAGGUCUUCCCAAAAUUUCUCCUUCGAACUCGUAUCCAACCCUACUUGAGGUGCGUGCGUACGCACUAAUCACAUUGAUAAGUUCUUGUCCUAUUACAAUCUUGAUUGCCAUGAUUCUAUCUCCUACCCUCUUGACAUCUACAACAUCUUGUGUCAAGGUCUUGUCCACGAUGAUGCCAACACCGUUUCUCGUUCUAUUUGUGCCCGAAUACCAUAGUUUAAACCCUGAGUUUUCUAGAUCCUUUGCCUUACUACCAACCCACUUAGUUUCUUGUAGGCACAUAAUAUUUAUCCUUCUCCUCACCAUAACUUCUACUACUUCCAUAGAUUUUCCCGUUCAAGGUUCCUAUAUUCCACGUUCCUAAACGCAUUUUGCUCUCUUGAACUCUACCCUUCUGUCCUAGCUUCUUCACCCUUCCCCGUCUAAUAGGAUCAAAAUACUUCUUUUGUGUGUCCCGUGUAAAGUUGAUAGGAGCAUAUGCUCCUAAACAACUUUGAGUGGAGUCGUUCGAAAAGAAGUUUCUAUAGCCCCCUUGCUCAUUUAACACUGCAUCCGGGUGCCGAUGGAGAUACAGCGACCCUUGCUCACUUAUCACUGUGCUCGGGCCACACAGCGCGCCACUUACGGGUGACGCCCUAGCUUUAGCGCGAUUUCGUUCUGGAUUCAUUUUCAUAAGGAUUCGACGUAAUCAUGGAGUGCUGGCUGUCGACUACCUGACGCUCUCCCCCUCCUCCUUUAUCCGUCUCUCUCUCUGUGGCUUUCUUAUAACACAAAAAUAUCCCUAAUUAGAGCAUGCCACACACCAACACAUUGCUAUUAUAGAAGUAUUUUUCUUAGUGGCAAGUAUUAUACUCUCAUUUGGCCAAGAGGAUAUGAAAUUGGUUGAGUAUAUUGUUCUAGCCAUUUGGAUCAAUAAGCUCAAGUUUGUAUUGUACAAAACCAUAAGUACUCAGACAUAUGAAAUCCAAUCUUUCACUUUACAAACAACAUAUGGGUAAGAAAUAGAAAGCUUUAGAACACAAAUAUACCUGAAGUGCUGAAAUAUGAGCUGAGGAAAUGUUUUCUUCUUAUUUUGAGGGAAGAAAAAUGCAGCUCUGAAUUAGGACCCAUUUCUUAACCUGUGGUUCCUAUAACCCAUAAAUAAUUUUAGUGUCAUUCAAAAUCACAAAUACCCCAGAUGAAUUGAAAAACUGCAGAGAUUAGUUUCAUGAAUACAUAAUGAAGCAGAAAGCCAUAGUUAAUCUAAAAAGAGCGUUUAGUUAAUCUAAAAAGAGGCAUACACAUACUACCAAUCCUCCGAAUGUUCUCUGCACGAUGUUCUGCUUUAAAACUAAGGUCGUAAUUCAAGCCAUGCCUGACAUUGUCCCCAUCAAGAAUGUACAACAGCUUCUGCUGUAGUACAAACUCCCACUCAAAGCACAUGCCACCGUGCUCUUCCCUGCACAAACAAAAUAAAUUAUACGCAAGUAAUGAGCAACUUUCUUUCGGCACAUAGUCUAAGUUCAUACUUAACCUUUAGCAUCGUUCAAUCAUAUACUACCAGUAUGUUGACCAAGGUAUGAUUCUAAUUUACAUAUGUUCUUAUAAAAAAGUUUAUACACAUAAAUUUCAAUAUGUCUCCUUACAAUUUUUAAAGGGAUUAGUGAGGAUAAGAUUAGGGAUACGCUUUAGACAUCAACCCCUUCUUAAUCCUUCAAUUGUAAUCUAGUCCUUCAUAUUAAGCAUGGCCUAAAUGCUUAACAAUCAGGGAUAACUUGUAUGGAAAUGAACUGACAAUGAAGGUGGGUUUUUGUCUUUUGGGUGAUCUCAUGAUGCAAACAUAUACUGGAGGAUAGGUAGCUAAAGCUAUUUAUGCUUCGUUCACAUUUUAGUAUCUAUUUGUACAGUGCGAAGUUCUUACCCCAAAGUUUGCCUUAUAUGUGACAGCUUUCUCCAUGUAUGCGCCAUUGAAAGUUGAACCACUGAAAUCAGAUUCCCUCAUAUCCGCUCAUGUUAAAUUGGCUAGCUCUUCUGCAUCAGUCAGUUUACAUUGAUGUGAAAAUGCAGAUACUAAUGACAAAAUUAGUCUUCUUCUUUUCAAACCAAAUACAUUAGCUUUAGCAGGUCGUUCAUUAUGGAGGGUAGCAGACAAAUGCAACAAAGAAAAACAACAAUUUGCGGAAAGAAAGAAAUUAACAAAAUAAAAAAUUGGUUUUUUUUUCUCAUGUGAGGGACCAUACCAAUAUUUGAUUCAACCAAGGGUUUUUCUCUGAGCUAAAAGUUCGGACUUCCACUUUUCAACUGAGGAUGAAAUAACAGAGAAAACGCACAAAAUAAAAGGCCUAAUUCCAAAUUAUUUAAAGGAAAAUAAAAAAAUUAAUUUGAAUCAAACUGAAGAAAAAAGUUCAAAUUAAGAAAAUCCUAGUAAGUGGAAAAGGAUAUGGUGAGUGACUAUUUGCCUUGAAAACUCACAGUUUGGAAUGGAUCAUCAAUCAUCUCUGGAGUCAUCAAGUGGCAGCAUCAGCUUCACAUCCAACAACAGGAAGUAACUCUGUAUUCUUGUAUAAAAGAGUGCUCAUAUGGGUUAGCAAGAGUGGGGCAUUGAGUCUGCCAAUCGAAAACCUUAACCUCCCACUCCCUGUAAGCUGUAGGUACAACAUUCUCGGGAAGUUCUAUUGGGCACCCUUCCCUUGUGAAGUCUGCUCCAUGGCCAUCCCAUUCACCGGACACAUUCCUGGCAAAUUCGGACCAAACACAUAAAAGAGAGAUUGAAUUACAGCAGCACGUCAAAUAUAUUAACUUAUAGAUUCUAGACUUCAAAUAGUUAACAUAACAAAUACAAAUUCAACCAUCAUCUCUCUUAUCCAUUGCCUUUUCUACUAUAAAUGAAACCGGAUAUUAAAUAACCCAUGGUUUUAGAUUGGCAGAUUGCAAUUUCUUUGGAAAUUAGUCGUAAAAGUUAAUACAUUUCAUCACUCCAUUUCUGACUUAUCCUUUUAUCAACUGUUGUGCACCCUAAUCCAAAGAAUGGAAUUUUACCCGCCAAAUAUCAAACUGGAUAUCUAACAACUAGAAAUUUUCCAUUGGAUAUCUAAUAAAUUUCAAUUACUCAAUUUCUAUACAACCCCAAAUCCAAAUACCGUAUGUUGCUCCAAAUAUCAAUGCAAAGAUGCAAACCUUUUUUACGCUACAACAAGAACCAUACAAUUUUAAUAAAACCCACAAAAACCAAGUAAAUAAGCAGAUUUUUGGCAAAAGCACUUAAAAUACACUCACCAGAAGCAAAAGUGGAAAUGGGAUUGAAGCCUUUGCUGCGGUCCUCCUCCUGGAGCUGCAGCUUAACAUCUGACACAGCGCUGUUGGCAGAGGAAGAGGCAGCGCUCUGGACAAUCUGACCUCUCUGGCGGCAGUUGUGAGGCAGUUGGAAUCUAUAGGCCUCGGUUGAUGGAUCUCCCAUUUGGUCACACUGUUGUUAUAUCCAUUUUUGUUCUUCCUUGUCAAUCAGGAUCUGCACCCCUGAAAACCCACAAAGACAUUAGAAAUGGAACCCUCUGCAUUUCUUUUGAAAAUAGAAACACAGAGAUCAGACGAAUCAUUUUAAAUCAUAUGAUUCACAUUAGCUCAUUCUACUAACCUUCCUCGUACAAACCACGAGUUCAGAUCUCCCUUUCUUUAACUACCUGGCUAUCCAAGUUCUUGAAUUUCGAAAACAAAAAUCCGAAGAGGAUCUUGACUCCAAAUAGGGUAGCUUUUCUACCGUGCAGGUAGCUAGCCCUAAAAAUAAGGGAAACCCCACCCCACGCACAACAAAAGUACAAUGUCGCUCUAAAAUUGAUAUUAAAAUUAAGUAUGUUUUAACGAAAAAUUUGUGGUACUGUUUAUUUUAACGAAAAAUCAUAUUUUUAUACUAAAAAGUCAAAUCUGGGACUAUUUAUUUUACCCUUUAUUUUAUCUUUAUCGUUAAAACUCAAAGUUUUCAAACCCUUUUUAUUAAUUUUUCUCAAAAUUAACUAGUCCAUCAUUCCAAAAAUUGUUGUGACAAUGUUGCAUUUAAAAUUGUCUGACAAUAUAACAUUAUUCUGGACAAAACUUUUGUAUAAAUUAUUAGUUCAAACAAAAGACGUUAUAUAGCUUCUUCCAAUUUUAGGUAUAUAUAGUCCAUUGCUGAAAAUUCUACCAUGCUCAUCAUAAUUCUUGACAAUCAACCAGGCAAUUGGGUUAAAUUGUCCUUGACCAAAAAAAUGAUGGUCCAUCAAUGCCAAAUUGGGCCGGCAAUUAGUUUCCCAAAAUAAAAAAAAAUUGGGCAGGCAAAGGUAGUUGAACUACCCUUUCAGCCUAUUGGCAAUGAGUAACGAUGGGCCUAAUGUCAAGUAGGAGAGGCUGGACAACUGAUUGUUUCCCAUAGCUUCUGUGAUCCAAACAAUGCUUUGAAUUGGAUGCACCAUCUUUCGUAAUUUUCUUUCUUCAAUGUGGGAACCUGGAGCUGCACUAAGUUGGACGCCAUAACUGCUACACUUGCCAGAAUGGUAUUCUGGCUCUGAUACCAAUUGUUGGUAUUCACAAGAGUUUACUAACUCAAUACCAAAAUAUGUGGGUGAUAAGUUUACAAACUAUAUCACACCUCUCACUUGCACUCUCAAUAAUAUUGGACAAAGAAAUAGAGAAAGGAGGGAAGCUACAAGCUUUGGCAAACAAUGCACUUUGAUAUAUUUAAAAAAGUUUGCAAACACACUUCUUAAAUGGAAUGACAAAUCAGAGAGAUAUAUAUUCUAAAGCCUUACGUGAGGCUUAUUUAUACAAGCAGAAAAGAAGGACCACUCAAGUGCUUUUAAUAAAAUAAACACAACAGCACACACAAACAAAUCAUAUGAACUUUGGACAAUCUAGCACACAUAUGCAGCUAUCUUUCCAGCUUGCAAUCAACACACUUUCGGCUAGCAUAUCACAUGGCAGCACACUGCUGUCUUGUAAUCUGCUUUCGGCUAACAGAUGGAGGAGCAAUGAUGUUUAUAUUUGCUGGAUACAACCUGGAAAGAAAAGCUAGCAUCACAUGGACAUAUAGUUAGACAUCACAUGGCUUUUAAUUUAAAUUUCCAACAUGCCCCCUCAAAUUAAAACGCCUUCAUGCCUAGCAUUUCACGUAGUAGUCGGAAUGAUUCAACUGGUAGUGGCUUAGUGAAGAUGUCUGCCACUUGUUCCUUCGUGUGACAAUAGACAAGCUCAAUUGUCUUUUGCUUCACAUGGUCCCUUAGAAAAUGGAACCUGGUAUCAAUGUGCUUGCUCCUUCCAUGUUGAACAGGAUUCUUUGCAAGCUUGAUUGCAGACAUGUUAUCCACAUGAAUCACAGUCGAUUCCACUUGUGGAUGACACACUGACUUCAAUAGAUUUCUUAACCAAAUUGCCUCACACACUGUUGAGGCUACAACAACAUACUCGGCUUCACAUGAUGACAAAGCAACAAUUGAUUGCUUCUUUGAAGUCCAUGAGAAAGUUGUUGAUCCUAGAAAAACACAUAGCCAGUUGUGUUUUUCCUUUCAUCUUGAUCACCUCCCCAAUCACUAUCUGAAUAACCAAAUAAUUUUGCAUCUUCACCAAAAUUAUAAAACAGACCAUAGUUUAGAGUACCUCUUAUGUACCUCAAAAUUCUCUUGGCGGCCAGCCAAUGAGACUCCCUUGGUGUUUCCAUGUAUCCACUCACGAGUCCAACACCAUAAACUAUAUCAGGUCUUGCGAUUGUAAGGUAUCUUAGGCUUCCAACCAAGCUUUUGUACACGGUCGAGUUUACAAACUCACCUUCUCCUUCCUUGGACAGCUUCAAGCCAGUUGCAACUGGAGUGUUGACAAUAUUGCACUUGUCCAUAUUGAAUUUCUCCAAUAUAUCUCUCAUGUACUUUUGUUGAGAGAUGUAGAUACCGUCACUUUCUUGCUUCACCUCUAUGCCAAGAAAGUAUGACAUUAACCCAUUGUCAGUCAUCUCGAAUUCACUGAACAUGGAUUGCUUGAACUCACAGAACAUUGCUUCAUUGUUCCCUGUAAACAACAAGUCAUCUACAUAGAGACAAAUAAUUAAGAACUCCCAUUUUUCACCGUUCUUCAUGUAAACUGAAUGCUCGUAUGGACAUUUCUGAAAUCCAUUUUGGUGAAGGUAGUUAUCAAUCCUUGAGUUCCAAGCUCGUGGUGCUUGCUUGAGGCCAUACAAAGCCUUCUUCAAACGAUACACCUUAUCUUCUUCUCCUUGUACUUGGAAGCCUUCCAGUUGUUCCACACACACCUCUUCCUCAAGAACUCCAUUAAGGAAGGCUGACUUGACAUCUAGUUGAUAAAUUUUCCAUUUAUGAUGAGCAACAAGAGAGAUUAGCAAUCUUACCGUGUCAAGUCUUGCAACUGGAGCAUAGACUUCAUCAUAGUCAACUCCAUACUUCUGUUUGUAGCCCUUUGCUACAAGCCUUGAUUUGUACCGAUCCACACUCCCAUCUGCAGUGCGUUUGAUCUUGUACACCCACUUGACACCAAUAGCCUUCUGAUUUGGUGGGAGCUUUGUCAACUCCCAAGUGUCAUUCUUCUCGAUGGCAUGGAUUUCUUCCUCUAUGGCUAUUCUCCAACGAUCUUCUUCCAUAGCUUCAUUGAAUGAGAGAGGCUCGUGGUCUACAUACAAGCAGAAAAAGUUGGUUUCUUAUUCUUCUUCUUGUCCAUAUAUCUCAGUGAGACUUCUUAGCCUUACUGGAGUUGAGGAGCUGCUUUCUUCACUGGAUGUAGGACCACUCUUUGCAGUUCUGUGCAAUGGAGUUGUUGUGUUUGUUUGAGCAGGCUGUUGCUCAACAGGUAGUACAACUUCUGGUUCUUCAAAAUCAGUGGAGACGAUCUUUUCUUUACUGACUUCUUUGUUGUUCCACUUCCAUGCCUCUUCCUCACUGAAGAUGACAUCUCUACUAACCACUAGUUUGCCAGUUAGUGGGUUGUAGAGCUUAUAUGCCUUGGACUCUUCACUAUAGCCCACAAAAACACACUUCUCACCUCGAUCAUCGAGCUUUCUCAUCUUGGCUUCUGGAACUUAAGCAUAUGCAACACACCCAAAAACUCUUAGGUGUGCAACAUUCGGCUUGUAUCCACUCCAAGCCUCUUGUGGUGUCAUCCUCUUGACACUCUUUGUUGGACAUCGAUUAACAAAUAAAUCGAACAAGCUACAACUUCUGCCCACAAUUCUUUUGGAAAAUUCUUCUCCUUAAGCAUGGACCUUGUCAUGUCAAGGAUGGUUCGAUUCUUUCUUUCGGCUAUCCCAUUUUGUUGUGGGGUAUAGGCAGCAGUCAGUUGAUGCCUAAUUCCUUGCUCCUUGCAGUAUGCUUGGAAAGCAUUGGAGGUGUACUCUCCACCUCUAUCUGAUCUCACAGCCACAAGCUUGUGGUUGCUUUCAGCCUCUGUGAGUGCCUUGAACUCCUUGAAGAUUCUUAGGGCAUCCGACUUCUCCUUGAGAAAAUAAACCCAAGUUUUCCUACUAAAAUCAUCAAUGAAAGUAAUAAAAUACCUAUUACCUCCAUAAGACAUGGGAUACAAUGGACCACAUAUAUCUGUGUGCACCAACUGCAGUGGUGCCUUUGCUCUCCAUGUAUCACCAACAGGGAACGAUAGUCGUGCUUGCUUGCCAAGCACACAACCUUCACAUACUUGGUGUGUGGCUUCAAUCUGGGGUAGACCACGAACCAUUCCUCCACUUGACAGCAACUUUAGGCCAUUGAAAUGAAGAUGGCCAAAUCGAAGAUGCCAUUUCCAUGACUCAUCUUCCAUUACAUCGAUGUUGCAACUCCCAAUCUUUGUGUUCAACUUCAACGAGAACAUUCGGUUCUUUGACAUUUGAACACGUGCAAUAAGUUUUCUCCUUGCAUUCCUGAGAGUGAGAAACAUAUCCUCCAUAUGUAUAACAUACCAUUUCUGGAGCAGUUAACCAAUGCUCAUAAUGUUGCUCUUCAUACCUGGUAUGUAGUAGGUAUCGGAGAUGUAUUCUUCUCUACCAUCCUUCUGGAUGAUUUUGAUCUUUCCUUUGCCUUCAACUGGCAACUUUGAGGAGUCACCAAGACUCACAGAUCCAUAAUGCCCAUCUUUGAGUUCGGCAAAAAACUCUUUCUUUCCACACAUGUGGUUACUUGCACCAGAGUCCAAAUACCAAACAUCUUGUUGGCUACUGAUAUCAUGGUGUGCUAGUAAGACUGUAAAUUCUUCACCAGCAUUUCCACUUGAUUCUGCCAUGUUGACAUGCUCACCAAUGUUAUAUGAACAUUCAUUGGCAUAAUGUCCAUAUUGCUUGCAACUGUGACACUGGAUAUGCGCCUUUCCUCGAGUUGAUCUCCACUCUUGAGAUUGACCUCGGUUUUGUGCAUAGCCUCGACCUCUUCCUCGGGCUCGUCCUCGGCUACGGUUGGAUGAACUCCCACGACGUGAGUUCCACUGCCCACGACCUCCAUUUGGUUUGUCAAUAUUCAACUUUGACUCCAAAGCUUGCUCUAGCAUUGUAGGGCUUGCAUUCUUUUAAAUGCGUUGCUCAUGAACUAGGAGGGAUCCUAGUAGCUCCUCUGUGCUCAUCGCCUCCAAAUCCUUGGAUUCCUCAAUGGCAGUCACCACAUGCUCAAACUUAGAUGUGAGUGAUCGGAGUAUCUUCUCCACAACUCGUACUUCAUCGAGUCUCUCGCCAUUUCUCCUCAUCUGAUUUACUAUCACAAUGAGCCUUGAGUGAUAGUCGGAGAUGCUCUCCCCUUCAUUCAUGUGAGCAGUUUCAAAAUCUGCUCGAAGUGACUGUAACCUCACUUUCUUGACUCGAUCUACUCCUUUGUAGAUUGUACUGAGUGUGUCCCAUACUUGCUUGCUCGUUGUUGCUUCUGCAACCUUCUCGAACGUUGAAUCUUCCAGACCCUGGUAUAGAAAAUACAGCGCCUUCUGGUCCUUAUUUCGUAAGUCCUUGAGAAUGUUCCUUUGGUCUGCAGUAUAUGCGGCUUCUUGCUCGGCAGUGGGUACAACAUACCCACUACUAACUAUUUCCCAUAGCUCCUGUGAUCCAAACAAUGCUUUGAAUUGGAUGCACCAUCUUUCGUAAUUUUCUUUCUUCAAUGUGGGAACCUGGAGCUGCACUAAGUUGGACGCCAUAACUGCUGCACUUGCCAGAAUGGUAUUCUGGCUCUGAUACCAAUUGUUGGUAUUCACAAGAGUUUACUAACUCAAUACCAAAAUAUGUGGGUGAUAAGUUUACAAACUAUAUCACACCUCUCACUUGCACUCUCAAUAAUAUUGGACAAAGAAAUAGAGAAAGGAGGGAAGCUACAAGCUUUGGCAAACAAUGCACUUUGAUAUAUUUAAAAAAGUUUGCAAACACACUUCUUAAAUGGAAUGACAAAUCAGAGAGAUAUAUAUUCUAAAGCCUUACGUGAGGCUUAUUUAUACAAGCAGAAAAGAAGGACCACUCAAGUGCUUUUAAUAAAAUAAACACAACAGCACACACAAACAAAUCAUAUGAACUUUGGACAAUCUAGCACACAUAUGCAGCUAUCUUUCCAGCUUGCAAUCAACACACUUUCGGCUAGCAUAUCACAUGGCAGCACACUGCUGUCUUGUAAUCUGCUUUCGGCUAACAGAUGGAGGAGCAAUGAUGUUUAUAUUUGCUGGAUACAACCUGGAAAGAAAAGCUAGCAUCACAUGGAAAGAUAGUUAGACAUCACAUGGCUUUUAAUUUGAAUUUCCAACAAUAGCUCCCUCGCCCUUGUAGUGCUACUUUUAGCAAUUAUAGACUUUGGAUGAUGUAUACUGAAAUGAGCACAUUAAACAGCUUAAAAUAAUGACAAACAAGUCCUUUAAGAAUGCAUACCCGCUCUUACCAGAGAUAUUAAGACAGAACAAUUUCAUUUUUCCACGAUCAUUCUACCAUUGGCCUCACAGACCAAGGAAAGUCGAACGAAAAUUUUGAAACCAAGUCGCUAAAGAACACUAAAGUAAAACUUUAACCCUAUAACAAACUGCAGGGGACAUUUUGAUUAACAUAGCAAUCUAAUCAAACCAAGUAGUUAACUACUGCAGCUCUUUGAGCAUCUUUCUUCUUUGUUCAAGCAUUUCCGAUACGCUGACAUCAAAUAGACAUCAAGCAUGGCCUGAAUGUCAUUAAAUACCUAAAACCAUCAUUACCCCUCAAGCUCCUUUAAGUUUCUCAACUAAUCGUAGAUUCGCUUGUAUAUUCACUAGGUUUCCCAAGUCCAACAUUGAUUAAAACCAGAAGUACAUCAACCUUCAUGCAGUUCAACAAUUUUCAUUGCACCACAUGUCAUUAUCUAUAAGUAAUAUUAUCUUAGAUUUUUGUUCAAGUGUGAACUUUGAAAGUUUUAUUAGAUAUUUUUUGUUGCAAGUUUUUUCUAAUUUUUUUGGAUUUUUUAACGUCUGAUGUGAGAAAAUAUUGGGUUCCAUGUAUUUGUUUUUCCAUUUAGGAUGAUUGCCAAAAUGAAUUAUGGAUGAUAAUGCUAUUUCGAGUCAGCUUCUGGACUCAAGGUGCUUUAAUGGUCUUGGUCCUUGGCGUUCACCGAAAGUGCCAAACAGUUCCCAGUAGUGAAGUCGUCUAAAAAAACAAUCCAAAGUGGUUAUCAUAUUUGAAUUUUCAAUAAAAAGAAACUGUGGUGGAGGUUCAUCCUAUGAUCCUAAAGGUGCUUUAAUGAUCUUGGUCCUUGGUGUUCACUGAAAGUGCCCAACAAUAGUUCCCAGUAGUGGAAGAAAUGGAACUCACUAUGAUGCUAUUCUUGGACUUUUUCCAGAUAGUCUAAAAAACCAGUCAAAGUGGUUAUCAUUUACUUGGACUUUUUCCUUCCCAUAUUUGAAUUUUCAAGAACCAGAAACCGUGAUGUAAGUUCCUCCUAUGAUGCUAUUCUUCUAUAAAUUGUCUUCCCAUGCAACAAAUGGAACUCACCACUUUCACAACUCAACACCUAUCUCUCUGUCUUUUUGCUUCUCUCUCUAGUUAUUUUGUUAAUCAGAUCAGAAAUGGGGGUUUUGGUUGUGAAAUUGAUCUUAACAUGCUUUUCAGUGCAGUGUUCGUUUGCUGUUGGAGCUCCCUGCGAUCGGGACUCAGAGGGAAUGUGACGGAUAGGCUGGCGCUGCUAGCCAUCAAAGCUCAAAUAAAGCAAGAUCUCCAUAAUUACAAUGUGAUGAGCUCCUGGAACGAAUCCACGCACUUCUGCAUGUGGCAUGGUGUGACGUGCAAUCGACGACAUCGCCAAAGGGUCACUAAGCUGGACCUGCAAUCUCAAAAUCUGGUAGGGAAACUAUCCCCAAACGUAGGAAAUCUAAGUUUUCUAAAGGAGUUGUGGCUGCGAAAUAACAGCUUCAGUCAUGAAAUUCCUCCACAAAUUGGGAAUUUGGGUAGGUUGCAGGUAUUGCGAUUAGACAUUAACUCGUUUAGUAGCAGUAUUCCACACAAUAUAUCAUAUUGCUUCAACCUUAUCGUUGUGAAUUUCACUCGCAACAAGUUGGUGGGUAAAAUUCCUUCAGAAAUUGGAUUGCUGUCGAAGCUUCAAAAUUUUAUAUUAGAAGAUAAUAAUAUAACGGGACAGGUCCCUCCUUCCUUGGGGAACCUUUCGUCUCUCCGGGCACUAAUUCUCGUUAGUAAUAACUUGAUGGGAAACAUCCCCAGUUCUCUUGGCCAAUUGAAAAAAUUAACCUUCUUGAGAUUGGGGUUAAAUCAGUUGUCUGGUAGCAUCCCUUCCUCCAUUUAUAACCUCUCUUCUCUUGUUACAUUUUCCAUGACAAAUAACCAAAUUCAAGGGAGUAUUCCAUCAGAUAUUGGCAAAAGUCUUCUUAAUCUCGAAAUAUUCAACUUCGGCAUCAACCAACUUACUGGGUCCAUACCUCCCUCAAUAAUCAACGUCACAAGUGUUUGGUUUUUUGACGUUGGGAGUAGCAACCUAAUCGGACGGGUACCGAAUCUCCAAAAGCUUCACAACCUCCAGGUUUUCAACAUUCAAUAUAAUAAUAUUGGAAGCGGUAAAGAUGGUGACUUAAGUUUUCUCUCGGACUUGACCAAUGCCACCCGGUUACAAUUUUUGAUUAUUAACACCAACAAUUUUGGAGGGACAUUGCCCAUGUCAAUAUCCAAUCUCUCAACCAAACUUGAAAUUUUUGCAGUUGACACUAACCAAAUAUAUGGAAGCAUCCCAUCUGGGAUAGGGAAUCUGGUGAGCUUGGAAUGGUUGUCUUUGGGGAAUAAUAGCUUCACAGGAAACAUCCCCUCUGACAUGGGUAAGCUUUCAAACCUUGGAUUAUUAAAGAUUUACAAGACCAAAUUAUCAGGAAAUAUUCCGUCUUCCUUCAGAAAUUAACCAAGUUAUACCAUCUUUCGUUGGUUGGAAAUUAUCUUGAGGGCAGCAUUCCUUCAGGUCUGGGGGAAUGCCAUGGGUUGCAAUUGUUGUAUCUUUCUUAUAACCUCCUAAAUGGCACAAUACCCAAACAAGUUUUUAGACUCUCCUCCUUAACGAUUUCUUUGGACUUGUCUAAUAACCUCUUCACAGGUUCCCUUCCCCCGGAGGUUGGGAAUUUCCAUAGUCUAAGUGAACUGGAUCUUUCUGAUAACAUGUUAUCUGGAGAACUUCCCAGUAGCCUUGGUGGUUGUGAGAGUUUAGAAGUCCUGCAUUUGCAAGGAAACUUCUUCAACGGGUCCAUUCCUUUGUCUAUGAGUUCAGUGAGAGGGAUUCGAGAUAUAGACCUUUCUCGCAAUAAUUUUUCAGGGGAAAUUCCACAUUUUUUAGAAGGCUUUAGAAUCCUGAAUAUUCUGAACUUAUCAUUCAAUCAAUUUUGGGGAGUGGUACCAACUGGAGGUGUUUUCAAAAAUGCGAGUGCUAUUUCAGUCAUUGGCAACACAAAUUUGUGCAGUCUUGUUGCUAAUUUAAAGCUUCCCAAGUGCAAGUCUAAAGAGACCAAGAAACGAAGAUUGUCUCGUAGCUUGAAACUAAUACUCCCUUUAGUAUUUGGGCUUACUCUUCUAGGAAUAGCCAUGGUGUUCUCCUAUUUCUUUCUUUGUUCAUCAAGGAAGAAAAGGAAAGAAAUUUCAUUGAGCACUUUGGGGGACACUAUUUUGCAAGUGUCAUAUGCUACUCUACUCAAAGCUACUGAUGGGUUCUCAGAGGCUAAUUUAAUUGGUGUUGGUAGUUUUGGGUCUGUGUACAAGGGAGUCUUGAUGAUGAUGAUAAAGCUCAACUUGUUGCCGUGAAGGUGUUUAACUUGUUACGCCUUGGAGCUUCGAAGAGUUUCAUAGCCGAAUGUGAAGCUUUGAGAAAUAUUAGGCAUCGAAAUCUCGUCAAGAUUAUAAUUGUCUGUUCAAGUGUUGAUUUUAAUGGUAAUGAUGUCAAGGCUCUAGUUUAUGAGUUCGUGGACAACGGGAGCUUAGAGGAGUGGCUGCAUCCACCUACUGGAACUGAAGAGUUAGGAGAUCAUGUACCCAAGAAUUUAAGUCUUCUUCAGAGGCUAGAAAUUGCCAUUGGUGUUGCUUGUGCACUAGAUUAUCUUCAUAAUCAUUGUGAAACGCCAAUAGUUCAUUGUGAUCUCAAACCAAGCAACGUUCUCUUAGACAAAGAAUUGACUGGCCAUGUUUCUGACUUUGGAUUAGCAAGGUUUCUCUCAUAAGUAACAAGUAAUGUUUCAGCAAUCCAGAGUCAGACAAGUUCUAUUGGAAUAAGAGGAAUGGUUGGUUAUCCAGCUCCGGGUAUAUAUAUGUUAGAUAUAUACUUCAUUAUUUUUCCUUUCUUAUUUUGGAGUAUUGAAUUUACAAAAUUCAAACUGAUUUAUUUAUACAGAUAUGUGAUGUUUGAAUUGUAGAGUAUGGCAUGGGGAGUGAGGUGUCAAGGAAUGGGGAUGUCUACAGCUUUGGUAUUCUCUUGUUAGAGAUGUUUACAGGGAAGAGACCCACUGACAACAUUUUUGGUGAUAGCUUGAACCUUCAUAAUUUUGUCAAGAUGGCUCUCCUCGGGCGAGUUACGGAGAUUGCAGAUGCACCACUUCUUCAAGGAGGCACAAACGAGAAUUCCAAUCAAUGCAGUGCAAGAAUUCAUAAAGUUGAGGUGUGCUUGAGUUCAAUAUUUAGAAUUGGAAUUGCUUGUUCUGCUGAAUCCACAACAGAUCGACUAAAGAAUAUCAAUGAUGCUGCAUCUGAACUUCAUUCCAUUAGGAAUACUUUUCUUGGAUAGAAACUCUUUUUUAUGUGCUUUUGUGAUAAAGAAAUUUCGUGCUCGUGAAGUCUAGCUUUUAUGUUACUGCAAUAGAUGUGGAAGUUUGCAAUGUAAAUAAUCACCAAAGAGGUUCAUUGUGUGAAGAGUGUAUUACUACUUCUUGUACUUGGUAUUUUUGUGUAAUAUUCACAUCGAUUAAAAUCUAGUUCGUGCCACAAAAUUGUUGAAAAUUCACAUUGACAAAUUCCAAAUUUUUUGAAGAUUCAUAACCUCUAGACCCUCAAGAUUCAAUAAAAUCAACUUGGAAGCUGUAAAGAUAGUGAUUGGAGUUUCCUAUUAGACUUGACCAACAAAAUUGUUGGUUAUGAAGGUGUUUAACAUGUUACGUCACGGAGCAUCAAAGAGUUUCAUAGCCGAAUACGAGGCUUUGAGAAAUAUCAAGCAUCAAAAUCUCUUCAAGGUCAUAUCUGCAUGUUUUCUCGAUGAUGAUUUCAAGGCUCUAGUUUAUGAGUUGAUGCACCAAAGGAGCUUAGAGGAGUGGUUGCAUCCCCCUCCUGUAAUUAAAAUCUUCUUCAAGGGCUAGAUAUUGUUAUUGGUGUUGCUAUUAUGCACUGGAUUAUUUCAUAACCAUAGCGAAACACCCAUAGUUCAUUGUGAUCUAAAGCCAAGCAAUGUUCUUCUAAACACCAAGUUGACAGUGGACUAAUCUCAGACUAUUACUUAUAUGAACUCCUCCAUAUAAGUGGAGAGAAUUUGGUUCAAGUUGGUUGAUAUGGUUAAUAGGGUUUGCAAAUGGCCAUUUUUUGUAGUACUUUAACCCCAACUUUAAAGCCCAUGGGCUGUGACAAAUCAAGGUUUUCUAGCAUUGUUGUUAUCAAUAUUCUCCUAUGUGCAUUCUAAAUUCUAAUCCAAUGGUUUUAGCAGUCGUUCUACCAAUCUUGACAAUGAAAGAGUUUUUAUUUUAUUUUUUCGAACAAAUGAUAUUAUCUACACUAAGGGGAAGGGGAUAGGCUUAGCCUCGUAAUGAGCUAACAAUAAUGUGGUUCAAUUUCGUAUUUGACGAUAAUCGAACUUAAAACAUAUCACUUACAAGUGAAGAGAAUAUCACUGGAUCGUAGUACUAAGUAGCAUGAAAGAGUUUCUAUUAAACCAACAAAAAUGAAAAUUCUCAACCGUUCAUAAAUGGAUUUGAAUUUAGAUUUAUUACAAUUGAUAGAUUUUUUUUUUUUGGGUAAUCAAUAGGAUACUAACAAAUUUGUUUUUAGAACAUACGUCACAAUAAUGUGACUUGUAGCUGUGUCACUGGCCUUUUAACUUAUUGCCCUAUCUUUAACACACUUCAAUUAAUAUCAUCCACUAAUUGUUAGUAUUUAAUGAAUCUCAUCAUAAAUUGUUACCCAAAAUAUUACUUAUCAAAGCAAAUAAACUUGAUUGAGUUAUAAAUUUAUUGGCAUGGUUAGGAGAAAAAUCAAUUUUGUUCAUAAUUUUCAUGUUUUCCAAGUGAACAUGGGCUAUAAGUGAAGUUCCAAAAGAUACGGUGGUGUAAUUUGGUCCAUGAAUUGUUUCCUCCAAUUUGCAUGCAUGCGGUAGGUGACUAACUCCCAAAUAAUUCUCGUUACCAAGCAAAUUAAAUACCAUUAACUAAGAGCUUAAAAACUCCUGAAUUAUUACCCCUCUAUUUUGCUUUUGCAAUUAGGAAUUUUUCCCCAUUUGCAUAAAAUAUGAUAAGAAUAUUUUUGCUCUCCACACUCAAAUGAUGGUGAUGCUCACUACUUUAUUUAUCACCGUUAUAUGAGUUUAAUACUUUGGAUAGACACAAAUCUCAAAAUUUAAACUCAUACAACGGUAAUAAAUAAGGUAGUAAGCAUUACCACCCCUUGAGGGUGAUGACUAAAAAUCACCCCAAUAAUAUAAGUAGUUAAGUUGGUGUGGUUGUUGGUCUUUAGCAAGCUUCUUAUAUAAAAGAAGAAUCUGGGUACUUUGGCCGUUUUGCAGAAGAAAAAGAAAGGGGCAUUUGAUGUUUGGACAUACAUAGUGAUGGUGCUAGCUACCUGCUUCUUGGUGUUUUUUAAAAGAAAAUAAGAAAAAAAUGAGAAACGGCUAACUUGCACCCUUUGGAUAUUAUGAUGCCAUUUUGCUUGGUUGAGAAACUUGUGGCUUUUCUAAUGGAGAUUGCGUAAAGGUGCAAACAAUUUGUUAGUGGUUGUGCAAAAUAGGUUUCAUAGUAGAAAAAAUGCCCGCGCUCCGCCGCGGGUUUUGAAAUCGUAAACCACAAUUUAACAUACCCAUUUCUAAAUUAUUCAGAAAUCAAUCGGAGAAAACUUCAAAAUAGAAGAAAAAUGAGUUUUCAAUCAAAGAAAACUUCAAUUUCAUGCAAGCUUUUUUGUUCUAAUUUCAGGGCUUAACAAUGCAAGAUUGGAAUUUCCAAUUGGUUCAAGGAAGUAAGAUAAACCAAUAUGCAAAAUGAACUAAAAAAAUAGAAUCUAAUCCAAUUUGAUUUGCCGUUCAGGUUCAAAAAGACAAAACGAAGAAUAUUUGUAAGCAGCCAAACAUCAGUUAAAACUAAUCAAUUAAAGGCAAUAAAACUAAAGCAUUUCAUUGAAGACAUAGAUAACAUAUUUGGUUCUUUGUACCUAAAAUGGAAAACAUUUGCUUUCCUAUAUGCUCUACAGUUUGCGAAAGUGCUGGAAAUUUACAAAAUAUAAAGAGACAAUCUCAAAAUAAAACACAGUUGAAGGAAAAGUAAUAAGAAAAGAAUAGUGUUUUUUACCUAUGAUCCAUGUGAGGAGUAGAAUUUCCAGUCACAAUUGACAACCCAAGAGCUCUGUAAAUCAAAUAUAUAGGAAAGGAUCUAUAAAAAGUGAAUUACAGUUUCUCAAAUCAGAAAGUAACAUUUAUUGGAAAAGAUUCAGACUCAUUUUGGAUAUAGAUAAACAAUGGCAUAUUAAAAACCAAAAUGAUAAGGCAUUCAACUUCAACAUUCAACAUUCAUGUAAAAAAAUAAAAAAGAUAUACAUGUUACCAUCAAUGUUUUGGUAACAAAUUCCCAAAUUGCUCUAUCUACCAAACAUUUUCAGAUAUAUAGUUACAGAUGUUCACUUUUAUGAUAUUCAACGAAAUACCCACAUUAUUGGCAAAACGACAUGGUAUAGAUCUUUUGAGCACCCGAGCCAAUGACAAUAACAUUGAAGGCAACUACAGAAAUUGUACAUUAUAUAAAGAGACAAUCUCAUAAUCAAAAUUGUCAAAAUCAAUAUUUUAUGGCUACAUUUUUUCAUCAGUCGCUCAAUAUACACAAAACACAGAAUCACAUACUCGACAAAAAUUCAAACCCAUAAAUCCGAAAUUAGCAAUGUUAUUUCUUACCCCCCAAAAACAAUCCAAAUCUUAGUGGUUACAUUCAUUAGUCAAGCACUCAACCACUCAAGCACAUCGACUACAACUUGGGAAUGUUAUGCAAAUCUUAGGCAGCUUGAAUAAUUAAAAUUGAGUUGGAAGAAGCUCCGUUACCUGCUCUGCUAGUUGAGGAGUGUCACCAAAUUCGGCACUAUCAUCAGCAUCAACACAUUUCACACACUCCCGCUUCCAGAACAUUUCACAAAAUCGAAAACCAAAUGAGAUUAUGUAGCAGAAACGAUUGACGGAAAAAUAGAUUAAGAAAAGCAAUUAAUAUUAAACAUAGAGGAUGAAUGAUGUUGUCCAAUAAAAAAGACAGCUGUAUAUAUUUCUUGACCAUGAGAAAACAUCAAAUUAAUAGAGGCAUUAAUCCUAAGUUUGCCUGUUCGCUCCCUAAAUUCGCCAUGGGCCUCGCGGGCAUGUCGGGAAUUUAUUCAAACACGAAAUUGGUGGGGUGCGGGCGUGCCACUACUAGAUGCCGCUAGUAGACGGAUUUUGAAUGAUUGAGGUUGCACCUGAGUUCGACUUCUGACCACGAGAUUGUGUCAUUGAGUGGGAGUGACUCAAAUCAAGGUUCUUUGUUUCCCUUAAAAAUAAGGACUUUACUUAUAUGGAGAGGUAGAACAAUAUGUAAAUGACAAAGGAAAACGAAUGACUAAUAUUGUAGAUUGCUUGUAAAUUAAAUGACUGAAGAUAAGUUGUACAUGAAAACUACAAAGGAGAUCGAUACUACAAGUGAGCAGCAGAGCUAAUAAACUAGAUAAAAGAAGGCUUUUGAUUAAGGUUGAUCCUGAAAAAGAUGAAGGCAUGGUGCUGACUACAGCUUCAUAUGCAAAUCUGACUUGAGCAGAGUUUGUGUAUUUGUUUGAUUGAGUGUCCAUAAUCCUUGUGCAUCUGCCCCUUUAAAUGGAGAUCUGAAAAGAGACACAUGCUGAGAACCUUGUACUUGCCCGAAAGAAACUUGGGCAGCUUGCAUUGCUUUUGCCAACUUGCAUAUAGAAAUAAUAUUUAAAAGGGAAACUUACAUCUUCACCACAUGUUUUUAGCACAUGUCUCCCCAACUUGUAAUAAGUUGGCUUCUUUCACAUGUUCUCUGCAGGAUGUAUGUAUGCUUUCCAAUCCAUUUGUAAUGGGAAAGCAUGCAAUUGUUGACUUGGCAAAUCUCCACCACCCAAACAAAUUGGAGAAACAAUAUUAUAGUGUAAAAACUCAUCCACUUGCAGCCAAAUAUCUUUCUAAGUUAGCUUUGUUGCAUAUUAAUCCUUCAAAUACCAUAUUUUAUCCCAAUGGCCCAAGUAAAUUGGGCACAUUUUAAGUGCAAACAGAAGCCCCCCAAGUUUUAUAAAUUUGAGCAAAGUUUGUGAAACUUACGACUCCAAUAAGCUCUUCUCGAAAUGGAGGAUAUAGCAGGCAUAAGAGAAUUGAGCAUGAAGAACACUGAUCUCAAAGGGCAAUUGUUUGGGUUAAAACUUGAACUCCUCUAGACGAACAUCAACUUUGUUUGCUCUCCAGUGUUGCCAGGAAUGUCAUUGAAGGAAGAGGCACGUCUACCCCUUCGGUCCUUUUGUCGUUGAUAAACUUGGCAAGAUGAGCAAGGCAAUUGGUAGUACAACUAGCAUUGGAAAGAAUGUUGUAUGACUUGUGCUCCUUCUUGUUGAUACCAAAACAACAUGGAAGCAUCCUCAUUGGUUACAGAGAUAGUAAACUGGAAAAAUGCCCGAAGUCGGGCAAACUGGAAAACACAGAAAAAGAUAGAGAAGAGAGAAACUUGGGCAACUUUUCUUUUUAUUGUUCUUUUUCUUUUUUGCCUCUUUUCAUAUAAUAUAUAAUAUAACUUUCAUAUAUAUAUAUAUAUAAAAACCCAAAGCCCUUUCAGGCAACCCAAAACAGAAAGAGACAGGAAGAAAGAGAAAGGAAGGAAAAGAAAAAAGAAAGAAGAAAGAAGAAGGAAAAGGAAAGAUAGACGACAGCCACUUUGGGUGACUUUUCUUCCCUCUAUAUAUAAUAUAAUAUAAAGACAUAUAAUAUAUAUAUAUAUAUAUAUAUAUAUAUAUAUAUAUAUAUAUAGAAACCUUUGGGCAAAAUGGAAGAAAGAGAGAGAGGGAGAAAGAGAAAGAAAAAGAGAAAGAGGGUGUCCUUUCGGGCAAGAAAGGGACAGAAGAGAUAAGAGGGAAAGAAAAAAUAAAGAGGAAGAGGGAGAAGGAUAUAAAAAAAACGAAAUGGAAAUCAAACAGGUCAGCACUGGAAAUGGCUGCAGGGCUAGAACUUCUGCAAGGAGGUUUGAGCAUCAACAUCAGCAAAUCUGCUUUGGUCACCUAGAAAUUUGUGCGGAAGGGAUAGAUUCUGCAUUUGUGAAUUUCUUUCUUGCUUCAUCAGACUUCUGAUUUUGAACUCCUAAGGUAUUUUGAAAUAGUUCUCUUGGGGAAGUUACUGUCCAUCCCAAAAUUCAAAAAUCGAGAUGCAAAGGAUGAUCAAGCUGUUGGAGUACUGUUAGUUGAGGACGGUGCUGGUAUUAGGACACCUGGAUUUCCGGUUCCUGAUCGUAUAGGUUUUCAUUUGUCUGUGCAGUAAGUUUGCGAGCACCAAGCCCCCCAGUCUUCACAAUUUUCUUGUGCACAGUCGUUUCCCCGAAGCUCAUUAUUCUCAGUUGCUUAAGAGUCCACGAGUCUCAAUUUGUAGAUCUAACAAAGCUUGAUAUGAACGCCGAGAUUGCAAUGAACGGCCGAAUCAAUCGAUGCAGAGAAAGAUCCCAUAUGUAAUUGAUGCCCAAGUCUGGUUCUUUGCAUUAUAAUCGAAACACAUCUUGUUUUCUGACUUUGCCUCUGAGCCCAGGCCGGGCAUUUGGGUGAGCUGCAAAAGUAAAUUUCUGCACACCUCCUCCAACUAGUGGUGAGUUGAAGAUGACGGCUGAAGUGUAAUGGCUGGCUUUGAAGCUGCAGCUGCUAUGUUGGCUGCAUGUUGGGAGGUAACGACAGGCGGCUGUGAGCUGCUGGUUGGAUGUUGCAAGUUGCAACCAAUGGAGCCAAUGGGAGAGCAGAAGCAGAAUGACUACCUUCUAACAUUUGUAAUUUGUUUUGUCUUGUGAGAGUAGAAUUCAAAACUUGUAAAUCUGAUGCAGAUCCUUCUUAACCAGCCAAGACAUAAAGGAACAUGAGAUCAAAUGCGCAAGCAGCCAUAACAUUUUUUUUUAAAGUAAGCCACUCUUGUUACGGGAAGGUCCUUGCUCACUUUGAGAUGAUUUUUCUUUCUAGGAAUUGGUCAUCCUCUCUUGCAUCCUUCUCCAUAUUUUGACCAAGAUUACUUCACGAUAACUGGGAAAAUUAGAUCUCAUGACUGCAUGCUGUGGUAACCCAUGGUGAAGUUUUGAGGGAUCGAGAUGGCUUGUGUCUCCUUCCACUGUUUUAGACACCUCAAGCAGUACAAAGUGAGGAGAAUGGGCAGCAAAGUCAGAUGCUCUUGUUGUGGUUGCUGCUGUAGUUGUUGGUAUAUCAACAAUCUUCUGCUUUUCAGGGUCUGUUUUGAUCGGGGAUGGAUCUGCUGAAGCUUCCACUGAUGAUGCGGCAACAGCAAGAGCAUGAGAAGAGUUUAUUGCAAACGCACUACCCGCAGAGAAACUGAGUCCUGAUCCACGAAUGAAACUCAGAUAAAUGGCAUUUGGAGGGGGAUGACCAGCAGUUAUCAAGGGACCAUAACAAAGAGGGUAGGCAAGAAACAGAGCAACCAGCGUAGUAUGUAACAAGAACACUUCAUGUUUGCCAGAUCGAAUGUGGGGCCCCCACAUUUGAUUGACAAUAUCUAAAUCAAUUGUAGUGGAGAAUAUAUCAUGUCCCUUGGGCAAAAUUGUAGUUCCGUCGGGCAACCACUCAUUGGGUAAGAUAACCCAGUCGGGCAAGACAACAUCUACCCAAGUCGGGCAAGUAAGCAAAACAGAGGAGUAGAAAGAAAAAGAAAAGGAAAGGAAAAGAGAAAGAAAGAAAGGAAACAAAAGGGAAAAGACCGAGAGAGAGAGCCCUUUCGGACAAAUCAAAACAACAAAAAGAAAGCCCUUGUCGGGCAAUAGAAACAUAAACUACAGCCUUUUCGGGCAGAGUAUAAGAAAAGGUUAUAUAUAUAUAUAUAUAUAUUCUUGUUUUUUGUUGCCUGAUAACUCAAAAAGCCAAAGAAAGGCCUUUUCAGACAAAAAGGGAAGAAAGAGAAAAUGAGAAAAUGAGAAAGAAAGGAACUAAGAAAAAAUGUACAGGAGGAUAAUAGAAGGGAAAGCCAUUCGGGCAAGUUGUAGGAGCCUAUUGGCUACCCAUGUGUUAUUUUUCUCUUAACACUCAAAUCUUUUUCUCUUCUUAAAAUUAAGUAUAGAAAGAUCAGAUCCACCUUUUAAAUUGGCCAUACUAUGUAGCUUGGGAAUCAAAGGAGGUGGUCAUUCAAGUUUGAUCCUAAGCUUUGUCCUUCUCGAGAUCUCGAUGCGAGCAACAUGCUUGUGUUGGUGGGGAGGAGUGUACGAGCUUUUUUUUUCUUCUUCGGGCUCCACAUGAGGUGUGAGUUCGAGCCCCCCAAGAGUUGGUGUUUGGCCUACAACGGCUUGGUCUUCUACAACCAUAUCCAUUUUCAUGGAUUUUUCAUUAGGUGGGGCCAUUGUUUGGCCUUCAUCAAUGUGUAUGAUUUGUUCUUCCUUGGUUGUAGUAGGGUGAGUGAGCUUUGUAGAGCGGAUUUGACAUAUUUGAUCUAUCAACUUUCUCAAAGUUUCUCCAAAAGUUGUAUAGCCUUCCUCCACCCUUUUAAAACACUUAGUCACCUCUUCACCAUACUCGAUGCUUGCCACAUGGAGUUUGGACACCUUCUCUAAUUUGCCCACAUCCUCUUUGUAAAGCUUUUCAUUCGGAUGAUCAUGAGUUGACAUCUCAUAUAUUGGCUCUUUUGAAGCAUUUUGAUACUCAAAGCCAUUUGUUGGCCUAUCAUAGUAUUCAUGAAUGUGAUUGUCUUUAAAAGAAUAAUAAUCUUCAUCAUAGCCAUAAGUUGGCCAAUCUUCAAGAUUAUUAUUUAUUUGAUGGCCAUUAGUUGGCCGACAAUCAUGUUCCAUGGGACUUAAGUACUCUUCAGCCAUGUACCCAUAAGUUGGCAACUCAUAGGUUGGCUCUAUGUGAUAGCCAUAGCUUGGGCGCUCUUCAACACCGUCAUCCUCCUCAUACUCCGAAAAAGCAUAUUGAGAAAAAUCAUGAACAUAAGGAUUGUUCAUAAUCUAACUCUAUAUAAGGGUCCCACUGGGCGUGCCAAAAUAUAUUUGCUCCCUAAAUUCGCAAUAGGCCUCGCGGGCAUACCAGAAAUUUAUUCAAACACGAGAUUGGUGGGGUCCGGGCGUGCCACUACUAGAUGCCGCUAGUAGACGGAUUUUGAAUGAUUGAGGUUGCACCUGAGUUCGACUUCUGACCAAGAGAUUGUGCCAUUGAAUGGGAGUGACUCAAAUCAAGGUUCUUUAUUUGCCUUAAAAAUAAGGACUUUACUUAUAUGGAGAGGUAGAACAAUAUGUAAAUGACAAAGGAAAGUGAAUGACUAAUAUUGUAGAUUGCUUGUAAAUUAAAUGACUGAAGAUGAGUUGUACAUGAAAACUACAAAGGAGAUCGAUACUGCAAGUGAGUAGCAGAGCUAAUAAACUAGAUAAAAGAAGGCUUUUGAUGAAGGUUGAUCCUGAAAAAGAUGAAGGCUUGGUGUUGACUACAGCUUUGUAUGCAAAUCUGGCUUGAGCAGAGUUUGUGUAUUUGUUUGUUUGAUUGAAUGUCAUAUGAUCUCUUGGGGAGAGAAACGAGGAUGGGGAAGCUAUCUUGGAUUUUGCAAUGGCAUAUGAUCUCUUCUUAGCCAACACCUUCUUUAAGAAGAGAGAAGAACAUGUGAUCACCUACAAGAGUGGGUCGUCAAAAACACAAAUAGAUUUUCUUCUAAUGAGGAAAGAUGAUCGUAUAACUUGUAAGGAUUGCAAAGUUAUACCAGGAGAGAGCGUGGCUAAUCAACAUCGCUUGUUGGUGAAGGAUGUACAUAUCAAAAGAGUGAGAAAAAAGAACAAGACUUGGAAGUGCCCAAAGACUAGAUGGUGGAAUCUAAAAGAAGAAAAACAGGCCAUUUUCAAAGAGAAAAUAAUCACCCAGUGUGUGUGGGAUAGAGAGAGGGAAGCUAACCAAAUGUGGGAUUCCAUGACUAGUUGUAUCCGAAAAGUAGCAAAAGAGGUAUUAGGAGAGUCCAAGGGCUUUGCCCCGCACCAAAAGGAAUCUUGGUGGUGGAAUGAGGAGGUACAAACAAAGGUGAAGGCUAAGAAGGAAUGUUGUAAAGCCUUAUACAAGGAUAGGACCGAUGAAAAUGGUGAAAGGUAUAGAAAAGCGAAGCAAGAGGCGAAGAAAGCUGUGAGAGAAGCUAAGUUAGCAACUUAUGACGAUAUGUAUAAGCGACUAGAUACCAAAGAAGGAGAGUUGGAUAUCUAUAAACUAGCUAGAGCAAGGGAAAAGAAGACAAGGGACCUAAACCAAGUGAGGUGCAUCAAGGAUGAGGAUGGAAAGGUUCUUGCUACAGAGAACGCGGUUAAAGACAGAUGGAAAUGUUAUUUUCAUAAUCUUUUCAAUGAAGGAAAUGAAAGGAGUGCUUCUUUAGGGGAGUUGAGUAACUCAGAAGAGUGUAGAAACUACUCUUUUUAUCGUAGAAUCCGGAAGGAAGAAGUGGUUGUAGCUUUGAAGAAGAUGAAGCAUAGAAAAGCAGUAGGCCCAGACGAUAUACCAAUCGAAGUGUGGAAAGUUUUGGGAGAGACAGGUAUAACAUGGCUCACUGAUCUUUUCAAUAGGAUUUUGAAAACGAAGAAGAUGCCAAAUGAGUGGCGAAUGAGCACUUUGGUGCCUAUCUACAAGAAUAAGGGCGAUGUACAAAAUUGCAUGAACUAUAGGGGUAUUAAGUUAAUGAGUCAUACAAUGAAGCUCUGGGAGAGAGUCAUUGAGCAUAGAUUGAGGCAAGAGACACGGGUUUCGGACAACCAAUUCGGGUUCAUGCCAGGGCGCUCAACCAUGGAGGCAAUCUAUCUCUUACGAAGAUUGAUGGAAAGAUAUAGAGAUGAGAAAAAGGAUUUACACAUGGUCUUUAUAGAUUUGGAAAAAGCGUAUGAUAAGGUCCCAAGAGACAUUCUUUGGAGGAUUUUAGAGAAGAAAGGAGUACGAGUAGCAUAUAUCCAAGCUAUACAGGAUAUGUAUGAAGGAGCAAAGACUGCCGUAAGAACUCAUGAAGGACAAACCGAAAGCUUUCCCAUAACUGUAGGAUUACAUCAAGGCUCAUCCUUAAGUCCUUACCUUUUUGCGUUGGUAAUGGAUGAGUUAACAGGACAUAUUCAAGAUGAUAUUCCUUGGUGUAUGCUUUUCGCAGACGAUAUAGUGUUGAUAGAUGAAACUUAGGAAGGGGUAAAUGCAAAGCUUAACCUUUGGAGAAAAGUGUUGGAAUCUAAAGGUCUUCGCCUAAGCCGAUCAAAAACAGAAUAUAUGGAGUGCAAAUUCAGUGCAAAUGGAGGCCAAAACGAGUUAGGGGUGAGGAUCGGAGAUCAAGAAAUACCAAAGAGCGACCGUUUUCGUUACCUAGGAUCUAUCUUGCAAAAGAACGGAGAAUUAAAUGGAGAUCUCAACCAUAGAAUACAAGCUGGAUGGAUGAAGUGGAAGAGUGCAUCCGGCGUGUUGUGACCGCCGUAUGCCACUGAAGUUCAAGGGAAAAUUUUAUAGGACGGCAAUAAGGCCGGCGAUGCUGUAUGGCACAGAAUGUUGGGCGGUGAAGCAUCAACACGUACACAAAAUGGGUGUAGCGGAGAUGAGGAUGCUUCGUUGGAUGUGUGGGCACACGAGAAAGGAUAAGAUUAGGAAUGAGGAUAUCCGGGGUAAAGUAGGAGUAGCCGAAAUUGAAGGAAAGAUGAGAGAAAAUCGGUUACGGUGGUUUGGACAUGUGCAAAGAAGGCCUACUGACGCUCCGAUUAGAAGAUGAGACUAUGGGACAGAGGUUCAGGGCCGAAGGGGUAGAGGAAGACCUAGGAAAACUUUGAGAUAGACCCUAAGAAAAGACUUAGAGUACUUGGAUCUAACGGAGGACAUGACAUAGGACAGAACACAAUGGCGUUCUAAGAUUCAUAUAGCCGAUCCCACUCAGUGACUUGGAUUUUCCAAGUCUCCAACCGAGAAGUUGUCAUCGCUCGGGAAAUUAAGGGAACACUACCUCAACCUACAUGCUCCACUCACAAAGCUUCAACAUACAAGCUUUAACAAAAGAAAAUUCAAAGAACUUAGCGAAUAAGGCUUUGGUGAUUUAACACAAUACGUUGAAAUGAAGGAAAGCUUAUUUAUUGAUAUCCCCGAUAAGUUACAAAUAUGUACAUAUACUUGAGUCAAAAUAAACAAACAAGAGGGAGCCUUCACAAAGGUUGCUUAGGAGAAGUCUCAGCAGUCGGUAGAGCCCCAGAAAGAGAAGGCACCGGAGGGGGAUCAUUCGGAGCCUCAGUACUGGACAGAACCCUAGAAGGAGGAGGCAUCAGAGGUUGAUCAUUUGGAGCUUCAUUACGCGGUAUAGCCCCAGAAGACGAAGGCAAUAAAUGCCUUUGGAACAAACCCACAAAUCUCUGAUGAUCAAGUAAAACCUGACCAUCAGAUUCCUUCAUCUGGUCAAGCUUCCUCUUCAUGUUUGUAGCAUAGUCAUGUGCGAGCCGGUGCAACUGUUUAUUCUCAUGCUUGAGCCCUCUAAUCUCCUGUUUGAGACUCAUCACUUCAGCCGCCAAUGAUUCAACUUGGCGGGUUCGAGCAAAUAGGCGUUGGGCCAUAUUAGACACAGAACCUGCACACUGAACACUAAGAGCCAGAGAAUCCUUAACAGCCAACUCAUCAGACCGUUUGGAAAGUAGUCUGUUAUCUUUGGGAGUGAGAAGGUUCCUGGCCACUACCGCAGCGGUCAUAUCAUUCUUCAUCACGGAAUCCCCAACGGUAAGAGGACCAGUAGGGGAGACGAAGGAUGGGCGCCAUAUGUUGUCUGGAGAAGGCGGGGCUGCCUCUUCAACAAGGUUCAAGUCAAAACGACGGUCGGAGGGGCCAGACAUUUUCAAAGGUGUUGAAGAGAGAAGAGGUCGGACAAAUCAAGAUCUUAGAAGUGCAAGAAUGGAGCUUCUACUGGUGGAUAUUCAAGUGUGCUUUGGAACUUAAUGUCAGCCCCUAUAAAAAUCUGCACUCGACGAAGCUUCAGAAAUCGAAGAGGCGCCUGCUCAGAAAUCGAAGAGGCGUUUGCUUUCUCAAAAGCUGGGCUGCUCAGAGACCACGAGGGUCGAUCUCAGAAAUCGAAGAGGCGUUUGAUUUCUCAAAAGCUGGGCUGCUCAAAGACCACGAAGGCCGAUCUCAGAAAUCGAAGAGGUUUUCUUUCUCAAAAGCUGGGCUGCUUAGAGACCACGAGGGCCGAUCUCAGAAAUCGAAGAGGUUUGCUUUCUCAAAACCUGGGCUGCUCAGAGACCACGAGGGCCGAUCUCAGAAAUCGAAGAGGCACAUACUUUUCCAGCCUUGUCAGCACCUGUCACACGCACACUCAACUUUGCGAAAAUUAUGGGCAUGCUGUCGAAGAUUUCUGGCGAAGUAGAAAGCACAUGAAUCGUACUGUUCAAUCACCCACUUCCCACACGCAACAGUAGCUCAUGGGUACCAUAUAUAACUUUGCCAAAGUUCUCUGACAAAGUUGAGACUACUUUUCCAGCCUUGUCAGCACCUGUCACACGCACACUCAGCUUUGCGGAAAUUAUGGGCAUUCUGUCGAAGAUUUCUGGCGAAGUAGAAAGCACAUGAAUCGUACUGUUCAAUCACCCACUUCCCACACGCAACAGUAGCUCAUGGGUACCACAUAUAACUUUGCCAAAGUUCUCUGACAAAGUUGAGACACGUGAAGCUUGCAAGCUCUCACUACAUCGCUCUGACCAAGAAGGGUAAAAGAAUAGCAAAGAAACAACACUAACAAAGUUUAGACACAUAAAUUUUGAAGGCCUAGCUACCAUAUUAUUACCCACAAGGGUAAAGGAACAGUACCACUGCUGGAUAAUUGGAAAGUCCCGGUGUGUCAACCUCUGUGCUUCGUGGCAAGGUAGACUAGCAAACAUGCCCAACCUUUACUCACAUUCGAGAAAACACUCCCAACAAGAUUGCUUGCACCAAAAUCGAAAGAGGCAUCGCCCUCCGAAUCUCGAGAGCCAGACUCCCAACAUGAUUACUUUCUCAAAAAUCGAAGAGAGGGUAAAGGAACAGUACCACUGCUGGAUAAUUGGAAAGUCCCUGUGUGUCAACCUCUGUGCUUCGUGGCAAGGUAGACUAGCAAACAUGCCCAACCUUUACUCACAUUCGAGAAAACACCCCCAACAAGAUUGCUUGCUCCAAAAUCGAAGAGGCACCGCCCUCCGAAUCUCGAGAGCCAGACUCCUAACAUGAUUACUUUCUCAAAAAUCGAAGAGAGGGUAAAGGAACAGUACCACUGCUGGAUAAUUGGAAAGUCCCUGUGUGUCAACCUCUGUGCUUCGUGGCAAGGUAGACUAGCAAACAUGCCCAACCUUUACUUACAUUCGAGAAAACACUCCCAACAAGAUUGCUUGCUCCAAAAUCGAAGAGGCACUGCCCUCCGAAUCUCGAGAGCCAGACUCCCAACAUGAUUACUUUCUCAAAAAUCGAAGAGACACCGCUCUCCGAAUCUCGAGAGCCAGACCCCCAGCAUGAUUGCUUUCUCAAAAAUCGAAGAGGCAUCGUUCUCCGAAUCUCGAGAGCCAGAUCCCCGACAGGAUUGCUUGUUCGAAAACCGAAGAGGCACCACUUUCCCAACUUCAAGAGCCGGAUCUCCUUGGAUAAAGCUUGUCUGUAAUCUUCACACGCAACAUCAGCUUUCCAGAUACCACAGACCACUUUUUCAAAGUGCUCUGACAGAGUUAAAACUUGUGAAGCUGGCAGCUCCCACUACCGUGCUAUGACCAAGCAGGGUAAAGGAAUAGCAUUAUUACUUGAUGUUAGGGAGACUCCUAUAUAUGUCGACCUCCAUCCCCAACGGACAGGCAGACCUGCAAAAAUGCUCAACCCUUCCUCUUAUCUGAGAGGGCACUCCCAACGAAGCCUUUCGAAAUAUUCAGCUUUCUUUCCCCCGAUAAUACCUCUGUAAACAAGCUAUACUAGAGCAAGAAUAUCUCAUAUCAUCAGGGUUAAAAGCAAGAGUAUCCCAUAUCAUGCUUUUUUCCCUGUCUUUUCCUUUGGCCUUGUUCUUACCUGCAAGACAAGGAGAAAGAGAGCAAUCAGUCAGCACUUGGAAUCAAGCUUCCAGCCAGGAACUGACUGCCUGGAACCCCUUACCUGAUUACUUACCUGGCAUUGCUCUCGAGUACUCAUCUUCAACAUCUUAUGCUUCCAGGAAGAUACCGCAUCUGCCUGAGGAACAGAUAGGGCAAGUGAGAAGGAUACAAGGAAGCAUGUGGAGACAAGCGUAACAGCACACGUGCCGAUACAUCCACUACUCUGUCAAAAGCAAAAGUAUCCCAUAUCAGCAGGGUCGAACGUACUCUAGAUUUGAUGGACUUGUUUUGACCCUCAAAUUCUUCAGUCGGCCUUAUACUCUGGAGGAAACCAGAAAACCCUCCAGCCCAGUUCAAGAAUAAGCCUGUGGAAAGUUACUUCUUCAAAAGCAAAAGUAUCCCAUAUCAUCUCUUCUCAUUUUUCUUCUCUUUAUCCUUCAUGCUGCCUGCAAGAUAGGGAGAAUGUGAACAAUCAGCCGGAGCUCUGAUUGCUUACCUUGUCUGUUACCUCUUUCAGCAGAUCCCCUAGCUCGGCGACUUGGGGGACUCCUACUACAUGGUUUGUAUCGCGCUUGACCAAGCCUGAAACUACAAGUAAGCUUCAAGUGACAUUGAUACAUUACCUUGUGCAUCUCCACCAGUUACAGAUACCACCCCUGGAUGGAAGAAGAGUACUUCCAGAGAAGAUGCCACAUCUACCUAUGAGACAGAUAAGGAAAGUCAAGACGAUACCACACUCCGGUACUUAGAAGUUUCGUGGUUACGAGAUCAUUCUCCCACAAUAUUUCCUAAUGUCAUUUGUACUAAAUCAUUCACUUGUACUCCCUAAAGGAGAGCUUGAACCUAUGUACUUGUGUAAACCCUUCACAAUUAAUGAGAACUCCUCUAUUCCGUGGACGUAGCCAAUCUAGGUGAACCACGUACAUUUUGUGUUUGCUUUCCUAUCUCUAUCCAUUUAUAUACUUAUCCACACUAAUGACCGGAGCAAUCUAGCGAAGAUCACAAAAAAGUGACCGUUUUCGCUACCUAGGAUCUAUCUUGCAAGAGAACGGAGAAUUAGAUGGAGAUCUCAACCAUAGAAUACAAGCUGGAUGGAUGAAGUGUAAGAGUGUAUCCGGCGUGUUGUGUGACCGUCGUAGGCCACUGAAGCUCAAGGGAAAAUUUUAUAGGACGGCAAUAAGGCCAGCGAUGUUGUAUGGCACAGAAUGUUGGGCGGUGAAGCAUCAACACGUACACAAAAUGGGUGUAGCGGAGAUGAGGAUGCUUCGUGGGAUGUAUGGGCACACGAGAAAGGAUAAGAUUGGGAAUGAGGAUAUCCGAGGUAAAGGAGGAGUAGCCAAAAUUGAAGGAAAUAUGAGAGAAAAUCGGUUCCGGUGGUUUGGACAUGUGCAAAGAAGGCCUACUGACGCUCCGGUUCAAAAAUGUGACUACAGGACAGAGGUUCAGGGCCGAAGGGGUAGAGGAAGACCUAGGAAAACUUUGGAAGAGACCCUAAGAAAAGACUUGAGUACUUGAAUCUAACGGAGGACAUGACACAAAACCGAGCGCAAUGCCGUUCUAGGAUUCAUAUAGCCGACCCCACUUAGUGGGAAAAUGCUUUGUUGUUGUUGUUGUUGUUGUUGAUUGAAUGUCCAUAAUCCUUGUGCAUCUGCCCCUUUAAAUAAAGAUCUGAAAAGAGCCACAUGCUGAGAACCUUGUACUUGCCCGAAAGAAACUUGGGCAGCUUGCAUUGCUUUUGCCAACUUGCAUUGCUUUUGCCAACUUGCAUGUAGAAAUAAUAUUUAAAAGGGAAACUUACAUCUCCACCACAUGUUUUUAGCACAUGUCUCCCCAACUUGUAAUAAACUAACAAUUAAAAUAAACAAGUUGGCUUCUUUCACAUGUUCUCUGCAGUAUGUCUGUAUGCUUUCCAAUCCAUUUGUAAUGGGAAAGCAUGCAAUUGUUGACUUGGCAAAUCUCCACCACCCAAACAAAUUGGAGAAACAAUAUUAUAGUGUAAAAACUCAUCCACUUGCAGCCAAAUAUCUUUCUAAGUUAGCUUUCUUGCAUAUUAAUCCUUCAAAUACCAUAUUUUACCCCCAAUGGCCCAAAUAAGUAAAAACGGGCACAUUUUAAGUGCAAACAUUGCCAUUUAUUGUUGUCUGUCUAAACUUGAUGACAUAGUGUUCUCUUACAUACAGAUUAAUGAAAUAUUAAUUUAUUUCCAUGGGUUAUUUGAUUUUGCAAAUUCAUAAUAAUUGAAGAAUACUGAAAAUUACUAAACCCCAUCACAACAUCCCAUCAGUGAAAAAUCAAAGACAAAAGUAAAUUACUAUCUUUCUAAGCAUCCAAAGAUAGCAUACCCAAAAUACCAAAUUCAACUCCAAUAUAAUAAAAAAAUUAAAAAACAAAUUAGCCAAAUUGAAAUAGUUAGAUCAAAUAAAGAUUUAAGUCAACCAAUUACACAAAAUAAUUCAUGCAAAGUAGGCUCCUAAGAAAAUAUACCACUAUGGUGGUGGAGGAGGCCCAGGCUCAAACAGUGGAGGGCAGCAACAUUUAAAUAUACCGCAGCAGCACGGAAUCCACGAACUGCAUAAUCAAAACCAAAAUUUUAAAAUUUAUAUUUAAAUUUAAAUUUGAAAAAAAAAUGCAAUAGCAUUGUAUAAUGAGAAAUUCUCCAAUGUGGAUAAAUUAAUCUUGUGGGAUGCGAUCAGUUGUAUUGGGCUGGCAACCGGCUUAUGCUUAAAUCCCACUCAAUUUAUCAUACACCCUUCCAACUACAAUUCAAAGGAAGAAGUUCCAAGUGCAUGCAUAAUGUUUGCUCAACUAAAAUAAAUUGCUUUUCAUGAUUAAAAUAGCCAACCAACCAACACUCAUUUGAUAAAAUUGAACAUUUAGAGUUACAUAUCCACAUAUUCCACAUAUUUAAGAUCGAACAAACCUUCAAAUGAAGACCACCCAAAGGUCCAUUAGUGAGUUGUGUGACCAGAGGAUUUACUGCACUUGAGUUUCCUCGUGCAGCUGCAAGAGCUAUGAGCUUACGUUGACCGUCAGCUACUUCUCCGCUUAAGGUUUGAGUCACAGAUUAUGUAGAAUUAAUAGCUUCCUGCAAAGAAGUGAAAUAAGAAACCUUAAUUUGUUAAAAUGUGAGUAAUUCUCAAUUGAUUAAAACAUCAUCCGAUGGUGUUUUCUAGGCUUUUUUUUUUCCUUCCUUUCGCAUGCCAUUAUUUCAUUAGCCAUCUGCAGAAUUGCAAUUGAUAGAAUCGGUGUUCUUUGAAAUAAUCAUAACAUUUCACAACACAAUGGCAUCAAUUUAUACAAAUUCUAACAACAAAUUGUCAAAAAACAAUGAGAACAAUUACCAGAAAUUUCAAAUCUUUUGGGGGUUCAGAGUAAAUACCAGAGAGACGAAAGCUAAAAUCAACAUUAGUCCAUUUUUUUCAAAAUAAGAACAGCUCCGAUCUGGGAAAUACAUUGCAAUUUCUGAAGAAAAAAAAAAGCGAGAAAACCCUAAAAUCCCUAAGAACCCUAAUUUAUAAACUAUAAACAAACGCAAAAGGAGAGAGGAGACUCAAAUAAAAGGAAAAUCGAGAAAUUCAACAUACCAUAAUCGGAGGGAGGACGCUUUCCGACGGCCAAAUUCAUCGACACCGGAGGCGGUUGUUGACCGUCACUGUACCUCCAUUUCGCCUCCGCCAUGUUUGAGGCUUUCGACCGUCACUAGUUGGUUUGUGUGCUUCAUGUCGAGAGAUAUGGGGAGCAGGAAAAGCAGAGGAAGAUGAAAGAUUGUGGGUUUUCCAGUAACAGGAAGAGUGAGAGAUGAGAAGAGAGCGCACGCGUGUAACCCAUCGCAAUCCGUUCUAAACCAUACGGAUAAAAUUACCCUCUCAACUUUUGAGAAUUACCCUCCCAAGUUCCCAACCCAUCUCCCUUUGGCUGGCAUUGUUGUAAACAGCGUGAAAUUGAGUAGCAAAGAUUUGACUGUAGCUAAGCUACAGUCAAUUGCUCCUUAACUUUAGAAUAGACUAGAAAUUACGUUUGCACAUUGCUGCGGGAACCAGCUGUUUCACGCGGAAUCAGAUGAAUAAAACAUAUUUAAGUUGAAUAAAUUCAACAUAAUUAUGAACAGACAAAGGGAUACAUGAGUGAAUGAGGUCGAUAAGAUAAACAGUUUUGCUUUUAUAUACAUUCAAAUGAGCUGGCAUAUAAACACAUUGUACAAUGAGUAGGAAGAAACUGAACGUCUUUGAUUAGAAAGAUAUGGCUUCCAAAAAAGUUAUGUUUCCUUGAGAAAUAGAAGAAACAUAUAGUUCACACAUAAUAUGUGUCCUGCAGUGAAGGCAGCCAUUUCAACAAGUAAUGCCAAGAAAAUAAAUUAAAAUAUUAUGCAUAUGAGUGCAAGCUUACAGAAACGUUGUUUUUGUACACUUUCUUCUCCCUUCAAUGAUAGUUUGUUUCUUAUCCAGAAAAAUAAAAUGAUCAGGUCAAUGAUACUCACAUGUGCAAAAUGCUAAUCCUAUGGUCUAAAGCUAAUUGAGUUUUUAAGUGUAAAAUCCCUAAUUUCACUACAUUUGGAUUGAUCACAGUUCGUGACUUGUUAAACUUGAUAUCCCCUUGUACAUUUUGGGAACUUGACAGCUUAAAGAAGUGCUCAUAAAAGCAAAUUACACAAUAUCUACUAAAAAACUUAGAGAAGUGACUCAAUUAGUCAACAAACAGAUGCCUCACACUUGAAUAUCAAAGACCAAAGAGAGAAAACCAAGCCGAACUCUUCAAAAUUCGUUGGCACACAUGCUUCGUUGACCCAAUUGAAUGUAUAAUGCAUACUUAGAUACAACAAUUCGAACAAUAGCUCAUAAACAGUGCUGAAAUUCCAUUAGCACUAAUCACACACUACAAGAACAGAGAUCCUAGCAAAGCUACAUCAAUUAAAUGACAAAGACUAAAAACCACAAACAAGAAAAAAAGAAAAACAGAGUUAUCAGACAGCAUGAUUCAAAUAUAAUUUUAUUGGGGUUGGUAAAAGCACAACCCAUCCAGCACUUUAAAAGCAGGUCUUUCUUGAUUAGAAGCUCAUAUGUCUUGCACCUAAUUUUCAAACACUCAAACGUCAGUGUCUUAAUACUUCUAACCCACAGUUCAAAACAGAAAGAACCUCAUUUGAUGAAAAUGCCAAAAUUUUCUAAGAAUGGAGUCCAAAAAUUUAUUUUUAAGCAUCCAAAAAGCCAUUAAACUAAAAAUAGUUAGUUCUUCGUACCUUUGUAUGAAGAUCACACAGGAAAACAUUAGCAUUCCUAAAUGCUAUCUUGGAAUUUCGGGGGUUAGAUUAGAGCCACACUUGAGUUCGACAUUGAAAGUGAGGCCUCGCUGGUGUGUUUCCACACCACAUGCUCUGCAAAAGAGACACAAUCUUAGAAUCAGAAACACAUAAAUAAGAAAUAUACACACUACAUAUAUAGCAAGAGAAACUUAAGAAAACGAAAAGUUCAAUCAAAGUUAGUGAAGUGAACCUUUUUUCUUUUUUUUUAACCCAAAGCAUUGAAAGUAGCACAAACCAUUCUUUGGUCCUCUUUCUCCCCUCUUCCCGUGUCCCUCACUCUUUUUCACCCCUUGAAACAAUAACUGAUAAGGAAAAAUAAAAAAUUACUAUUGAAUAAUCUAACAAAUCAUUUAGCACCAUCGGUUGCCAACCUGCAAUCUUGAGUCUGCUAACAUUCCAAAAUUAUUAUCAGUAAGUCUCCAUAUAUCCUUUUUGAUUCGCUUCUUUUCCUCCUAUUUCCCAACCAACAACACAUUUCUUAUCAUCUUUCUUAGUAUCAUAUGGGCACACACAAAGUGUGUGAGAAAUUUUUUUUUAUUUUUGUUUUUGAAAUCGAAGGAGAGAGGAAGAGAGUGAUAGAGAAUGUGGGAGUGGGAAGGUUUUUUUAAUUUUUUUUUAAUUAGAGAUAUGUUAGGAUUACAUGUAGGUGAGAUUUUGAAAAAAAACAACAAAAUUUGAUUGUGUGAAAUUACAUUUCUGCCCCAUAUUUUUUAUUCAUGUUCUGUUUUAAUUAGAAGGUAAAAUGGUAAUUUCAUAGGGUUUUGAUUGAAAAUGAGUGUUUUAUUAAUUAGUACAGAUUCAUAUAUAUGACAAUAAACAAAAAAAAAUGUGCAAAAGAUUCAAAAAGUAACAAUAGCACCUUCAUAUUUACCGUUUACAUUAUAGUAAAAUCUCAAAAUAUUUCAGAAAUAUCAUAUGAAAUGCACAAUGUUACAAAUAAAAUUGAUUAAUUAGCACACAAAAAAAAUUGAUAAUGGAGAACAGGAAAUAACUAUAAAAAAUUAAAAAUAUCAGUAGACCAAGAGAAAACUACUUUAAACAAAAUGAAAACUCAGAAUUUAGGAUAAAAAGAAGGAAAGAAAUCAAACAGAAAAGAAGACAAAAGAGAAGAAAAAAAUUAAAGCAAAAUACCUGGAGCUCGGUGAGAUUCAAGCUUCGAACUGAAAAAAGAAACAUUCGGUGGUCAACACCCAAUCACUAAUUAACUAAGUGGUGACCAUGAACACGUGAAUAAAAUUGUAGAGGUUAAUUAUACGGAAUUUUACCGCACCAAAAAAAAAAAAAAAAAAACACUAAUUGAUAUUUGGGGUGGGUUCGAAUUCUUUUGGUUUGGUUCAGUUUUAGUGGUCUAGAAACCGAACCGAAUUAAUUAAAUUAAUAUUUUUUUUAUUUAUUUAAUUAUUUGUUUUGGGUAUUAUUUUUUAAACCCAAUUUGUAAGCUCAAUGUGUUGCCCAAAAUCAGAAAUUCCAAAUGCAUCUGCUACUUUUCCUAUAACUACAAGGAAGAAGUCGUAUAAAAAAGCAGGACCUUCAAUAGUGUGGUGCUAACUCUUGACACGGUACUAUUAGUUCCUUAUUGUUGUUUAAUCUGGCUUCUUGCUUCAAGUAUUUGUAUGCUUAUUCAGUAUUUCAUUGCUUAUUGUUAUAUGCAGUGAUCAGGUAUUGGUUUUGAUCAAGUGUAUUCCCUUUUGCUACUAAAUAGGAAAUCAUAUUACUAAAUGAUCGAUAAUACAUACAAAGAGAGCAUAAUCGAUAUAUGAUCCUCGUUGGUUCAAAGUGGGUUAUAGUAUGAUAAUGCUCUCAUUGUACUUACUAUCGUGAUAAAAUAAUUCAGCUCAUGUCCACCAACCUAUACCAGCUCUUUAUAUUAUUCAUAGUUAAGAGUUGAGGUGUGAAGAAAAUGGUAGAAAAUUUUACUUUUCUAAAAAGAAAUCUAUUUACAGUUAAAUUUUAAACACAAAAUAUUAAAAAAAAAACCUUUAUGUUAUAAUUCUACUUGAACUCUAAAUCUUUGUCUUUGAUUCUAAUUGGAAUAUUUAUGUUAUGAUUGUGUUGGAAAUGUUAAAAUUUAAGACUUCAGUUUUUUUCAUUUUUUGAAAAAAAAAACGAAACCGAACCGGAAAAAACCAAAUGGAAAAAAAAUGAACCGAACCGAAAUUUCAGUUUGGUUUCGAUUUUGGCAAAAAACCGAACCGAUUUGAACCGAACCUAGCCCUAAUUGAAAUUAUGUGUUGUGCACAGUGAUAUCGAAGAAGAAUAAUUUCUAUUUAACUGAAAUUAAAUCCGAAUAAAUGAUUCAUAAAAUUACAGAUUUUCAAUCAAAUGCGGAAUAUACACAACAAUUUUAUUUCUGAUUUGAAUAUAACCAACUACAUCCCAAGUUGCAUCAGUAUCAAUGGAUCCAACAUGGUGACCAUCUGCCCCUCAAGUAUUCAUAUCUGCAAACCCUCGUCUAAAGAAAAAUUCAUCCAGAAAUUAAUCACCGAGUAUGCAAGGUUGGCAUGCAUAUUCACGUUUAAUCGUGGCCAUGAUGAUAGGAAUUAAAAAAACACGAAAAUAGGAAUGAUGCACCUUUACUUAGAUCUCAGGGUUCUAAAAUUUGUUGCUGAGAUUUGAGAAACAUAGGAAAUGUGUUUCAUGAUUUCAAAUUAGAUUUGCAUAAGAGUUCAGAAACGCAUACAUCCCUUCUUUUCAUUCCCCUAAACGCUAAAGCCUAGGCUUUCAACACCAAAACACCCAAAUAGUACCAGAACUUUGCAAUGUGCAGGGAAUAUACUAAAAAAAUUUAAACCACAAUCAAGCAUCAUCUAUCUAAACAAAAUCAGAACCCAAACCACAUACAAAAUCUCUAAAUAUAUAAUAAUAAUAAUAAUAAUAAUAAUUCUAGUAGAAAUUCCAAUCCAUUACAACAAAACACAGAAUACCAGGUAUUGCUGGAUGUAGAUAUCCAAAACAGCAGCACCCAUCAAUUGAUCUAAUUACGUAUCCAUUCCCUAUCCAUGGCAUACAAAGUAUGUACUCCCUCUUUACAUGUUAUAAAACAUUUAGUAGACCAGCAAUCAAAAUUAACAACCCUAAUUGCUGUAUACACUAUACACUAUGCUCUCCAACUGAAAAUGUUUAAUUAAAUUUUCCAACUUAAAACCCUAAAUUAAAUCCUACAAAUUGAAAUAGCAGAAACAGAAUUAGAGACAAGGAAGAAAUCACUGACCUUCGAGUUGUUGAAAGCUCUGAUGGGUGUUUCUUUUCAUCCAGCCCUAAAAACAGAACGCACAAUUGUAAUAUAAUAUCCAAUCAUAGGUUAAGAAUCAAAUUAACCCAGCCUGUGUAUAGAAAAAUUGAACAAAUUUAGACAUUUAUAUGUAUGUAUAUUCCAGUAAAAAAGAAUGAAAUGCACUGAACCCUAAAAUGAAAAACUAUGUCAGACUGAUUGAAGAAGAGAAACAGAGAGGGAGAGAGAGUGGGACGGAGAGAAAACCCUAAAAACAGAACCCUCUGGCAACCUAACACAAAAUCAAGCCAACAAAUUCCAUUUCAAUUUUGACAAAACAAAUCGGAAAAAAAUAAUGAAAACCUGAACGAAAUACAGAGGAACUGAUGGGUUUAUGCAUCAACAACUUGAUAAAACCCAGAAACACAAAACCUAAUAUGUAUCAGCUACAAAAACCCAAAUAAAUAAAUAAAACACUCAAAUUUCAAACGAAGAUGUCAUAGAUGGAGGAAGAGAGAAGUGACAGAGAGGGAGAGAUACUUACUCAACCCCACCAUCUCUCCGCAGCCAACACACUGAUUCCCUCAACCCUACCCUCAAAUCUUGUACCCAAUCAACUCUCUUUCUGUCCCCCUAAUCGUGCACCCGCCGUCACCUUCUCUCUGCAACCAAACCCCUCUCCUCCCCCAUAUCACACCCCCACCUGUGAAGGCAGUGACAGCAGACCACCUCCCUAGAAACCGGCCCUAAAAACCCAUACCCAUACCUCCCUUACCCGUUCCCUUUAACCCUCGCAUAAAAUCCUCCCAUCUCUCUCUCACCCUUGUCCCAUCUCUCUGUCUCUGCAAAUCGCAGAAAACAAACCCUAAACCAAAUCCCUAAAAUCCUGCCUCAAUCCCCCCACACUUCUAUUGGACACUCCCUAUCUCUCUCUGCAAUGCGUAAAACAAAUCUCCUAAAUCCUAUCUCGGACAUUGUAACCUGAAUCAAGCUGGUUUCACACAUACCAAUAGAAAACCAAAAUAUCAAUGUUGGGGAAGUUACCUUAUUUGAAAUACCACCAAAAAACAGAGUAUACUUUUAGGCAAAUAUUGUUUAAACACCCAAACAUAAUUCAUGAUAUGUGCCAAAAAGAAAAUACCUCUCGAUUAGAUUUCCUUCGUUCACAAGCUUUCUCCCUGACAAACUCUUGAGAUAGAACCAAAAAAGAAAAUAAGUCACAAUUGAUGCAAGUAGAGGGGAAUGCAGCAGAGAAAAGUAGGAAUUUAUGAGUACACCACUCCUGUUUUAGGUUCCCAACUUAUAAGGAUGCUAACUUCAUUAUAUAGGACUACCGUUAAACUCAUUUCUUUCCGAAAUUAAAUUAAGAAAAAAGUUCGACACUCGCAUGCCACAAUACAAUGUUACAUAAAGUAAUCUUACCAUCACAACCAAAUUGACACCAAACUUCUAACAGUCCUUUUGAAGGAGAAAAUCAAGCGAUUAAUCAAAUACUCAUUUUCCAAAAAAGAAAAAACCCAACAAAAAUAUAUAAAAAGUAAAAGUACCUAAGUUCCCAAUAGUCCAAUCCAUCAGAAAAAUACAAACUUGCACAUGUUUGAGUAUAAGGACCAUAAGAAAGAAGCAGGGGAUGCAAAAUUUUGAGAAUGGGUCUAAUAAUACUCAUCAAGUAAAGAUAAUCAAAGUUAAAAGGAGGUAAUAAAGGUAUAGAAAAAAAGAAGAAUAUAUUCUACAAAUGAAUGAAACAAAAGAUUGUGACACUGGAAUGGAAACACUUCAGGAGGCCAGAGGAAGAGGGACAAUACUAUAGCAAAUAAAUUGAUAAUGCUUGUGCUCUCCUCUGUUCUUUCCCAAGUUGAUCCUACAAACAAAAGCACAGACAAAACUUAAUAAACGAUGCCAAUCAAUGAAAGCUAAAUUAUCCCCAUCCUGAAUCUUUUAUAAAACAAUGCACCAAGAAAAUUUCAACAAUAAAUAUUUCAUACGAAAAACAAAACACGAUGAAAUAAAUUUCAACAUAGGCUUGUUUCAGUUAACAUCUUACUUUGAAAACCUUAACCUCCCACUCCCUGUAAGCUGUAGGUACAACAUUCUCGGGAAGUUCUAUUGGGCACCCUUCCCUUGUGAAGUUUGCUCCAUGGCCAUCCCAUUCACCGGAUACAUUCCUGGCAAAUUCGGACCACGCACGAACACAUAAAAGAGAAAUUGAAUUAUAGCAGCACGUCAAAUAUAUUAACUUAUAGAUUCUAGACUUCAAAUACUUAACAUAACAAAUACAAAUUUAACCAUCAUCUCUCUUAUCCAUUGCCUUUUCUACUAUAAAUGAAACCGUAUAUUAAAUAACUGACCGUUUUAGAUUGGCAGAUUGCAAUUUCUUUGGAAAUUAGUCAUAAAAGUUAAUACAUUUCAUCACUCCAUUUCUGACUUAUCCUCUUAUCAACUGUUGUGCACCCUAAUCCAAAGAAUGGAAAUUUAACCGCCAAAUAUCAAACGAGAUAUCUAAUAACUGGAAAUUUUCCUUUGGAUAUCUAAUAAAUUUCAAUUACUCAAUUUCUACACAACCCCAAAUCCAAAUACCGUAUGUUGCUCAAAUAUCAACGCAAAGAUGCAAACUUUUUUACGCUACAACAACAACCAUACGAUUUUAAUAAAACCCACAAAAACCAAGUAAAUAAGCAGAUUUUUGGCAACAUCGCUUAAAAUACACUCACCAUAAACAAAAGUGGAAAUGGGAUUGAAGCCAUUGCUGCGGUCCUCCUCCUGGAGUUGCAGCUUAACAUCUGACACAGCGGUGUUGGCGGAGGAAGAGGCAGCGCUCUAGACAAUCUGACCUCUCUGGCGGCAGUUGUGAGGCAGUUGGAAUCUAUAGGCCUCGGUUGAUCCGUUGCUGUUUUUUUUUUUCAUUGGAUCUCCCAUUUGGUCUCACUGUUGUUAUAUUUGUUUUUGUUCUUCCUUGUCAAUCAGGAUCUGCACCUCUGAAAACCCACAAAGACAUUAGAAAUGGAACCCUCUGCAUAUCUUAUGAAAAUAGCGUUGAGCCUUGAGGUGUCCUCGCAACCCUAAGGUAUGGCGCAGUUGGAGUUUUCAACUACAUGAGCGCAACCUUCUCCGGAUCUCUGUGUACGAACCCGACAAACACAGAUCCACACAACUCAUUUUAAAUCAUAUGAUUCUCAUUAGCCCAUUCUACUCACCUUCUUAACACAAACCACGAGUUCAGAUCUUACUCUUUUUAACUACUAAAUAUCCGAGUUCUUGAACUUCGAAAACAAAAAUCCAAAGAGUAUCUCGACUCCAAAUAAGGUAGCUUUUUUACUGUGCAUGUAGCUACCCCAAAAAUGAGGGAAACCCAACCCCACCCCCCAAAAAAAAAACCACCCACAACAAAGUACAACUAUAAGAAAAGCUUUAUGAGGGGUCACUCUAAAAUUGAUCUUAAAAUUAUCUAGUCCGUCAUUCCAAAAAUUGUUGUGACAAUGUUGCAUUUAAAAUUGUCUGACAAUAAAACAUUAUUCUGGGCAAAAUUUUUGUAUAAAUUAUAAGUUCAGCCAAAAGACAUUAUACAGCUUCUUCCUGACUAUUUUAGGUCUAUACUCCAUUGCUGAAAAUUCUAUUAUGCUCAUCAUAAAUCUUGCCAAUCCACCAAGCAAUUGGGUUAAAUUACCCUUGACCUAAAAAAUGAUGGUCCAUCGAUGCCAACUUGGCCAGGCAAUUGGUGGGCUCCAAUAAGCUCGUUGAACUACCAUUGCAGCCCGUUGGCAAUAAGUAACGACGGACUUGAUGUCAAGUAACAGAAGGCUGGCCCCAAUCCCGUGCACCAAAUCGAACGAAACAGCUCCAAUUUGGGUGCCCCAUAGCUGUUGGAUUUUCAACAAUUUGUUGAUAUGAACCAUUAAAUUUCAAACGAUAAAAAAAAUUUAAAAAGAUGAUGUUGUGUAAUGUGGCACUUUGUGGCGCAUUUGAUAUUAAAAUUUUGAAAAUUUCAACAGACAGAUUAAGCUGAUGGUAAAAAAAAUCCAAAAAAAUAAGAAAAAACUUGCAACAAAAAAUAUCUAAAAAAACUUACAAAGUUCAUACUUAAACAAAAAUCUAAACUGAUAUUACUAAUAGAUAAUGACUUAAUGAAAAUGAAAGGAAUCACUCCGGCUCUCUUUCACCAAAUCCAUAGGAACCAUUGAAAUUUGGUUGUUACAAACAGAACCCACUGUAAAAGUUAUAAUAGGAUAGAUCAAAUUUGAAUGGCCCGAUCCCGGUCUUAUAGAUUUGGUGAAAGGGAUGGAUCCUUUCCGUUGAAAAUUUCAUCGCCUCUCCUUUCAACCCUUCAAGGAAAACCCACUUCUUGGGCGUCUUCAACCACGUAAAGCUUCACUUGGGGUUUGCGGUCUUGGAUUGAAAUUUGUGUUUUGGGAUUUGUUGGGUGCUCGCAUGUGGAAUUUUGGAAAAUUUUAGUUGUGGAUUGUGGGGAACUGACGCCCAUUUCAUGUAGGUUGCUUUUGUUUGUGUGUUUUUGGUGAAAUAAUGAUGAGGAGGGUUGGAUAGUUGGACUGGUUUUAUUUUUUUUGUGAAAUUAGAGUGGGAUCAAUCAAGGUUGAGACAUGCCCCAUAAGGGUCAAUAGGUCUCAGUUGCAUAUCUAACUUGUUUCUCAUGUGUUUUCAUCCUGAAGGUUAGAAAAGAUGGGUGCUCUAGACGCGCAGAAAGUGGUUCAUCAACACUAGGGAUGGCGGCUGAUCUCAUGUAUGUGGUUACAUGCUGGAGUUUUCCAUGUGCUUGCCAAUAUGCUGAGUCUUGUAUUCAUUGGAAUUCGGCUUGAGCAAGAAUUUGGAUUUGGUAUGCAUCUGGAUUUUAGUUCAUGUAUGUUAUCAUGCAUGUAUGGCCACAUCCAUAAGUGUUUGUAGUAAAAGAUAAAGCACACGACAUAAGUUGUAGAAUAAUAAAUUAGUUACCAAGUGCAAAACUUCUUUCAUAAAUCUAGAAGAGAAACACUUUCCGGAUGGCUUUAGCUACCUUGUGAUUAAUCUACAGAGGAUUUCUAUGCAUUUGUUUAUUGAAUUGUAAUCCUAGAGUAGUGGUCAUGUAGUGCGGGUUGCAUUAUAACUUACACCAGUAUGUUGUUUGGUUUGAUGGAAACAAGAGGAUGUUUUAUUUAGCGGUGAGCAAAGAAAAGAGUUUAUAGACCGAAGAUGGGGUUCAAACUUUAGUUUUAGACAUAGUAUUCCAUUUUACAGAAUAAAAUUGCUUGAAACAAAAGCUGAGAGAUUAUUUCAGUUUUCUAUCACAUCUGUGGGAACAAAGAUUGUUUUGGAUAUUCUGCAGUUCGAAUUGGUUUCUAUAUCUCAUGUCUGGUUUUGGUGGGAGUUUUCUUUCAACUCUUUUUAUUCAGUAUGGUAUUUCUGUUGGUGCUUCUGGUGCACUUUUUGGACAAUGUAUGUAAAUAAGGUAAAUAAAAUUCUGUAUACUUAAUGAUGCACCUCUUUAUAGUAUGUGCCCGACCCUUUGAUCUUACAGUUUCAGAUUUUGAUCCACAGUUAGCAACAUUGCUUACUCUCCUUUUCAUCAUCAUAAUAAACUUAGCAGUGGGAAUUCUACCACACGUGGACAACUUUGCUCGUAUUGGAGAAUUUUUCUUUGGAUUUCUUCUUGGAUUUUUGUUUUUGAUCCAUCCCCAGUUUAAAUGGCUUACCCAACGGAAUGCUCCCCCUGGACGUGUUACUACUCCAGUUAAAUCUAAACACAAGACGUAUCAAUAUGAGUAUUGUGGGUCCUCUCUUUGAUACUAUUGAUUGUUGGGUAAGCUCCUCCUCGAUCUCUGAUUUAACUAUUUGACUUCAUGAACCUAAUCGACUCCCUGCAUGAGAAUCUGGUAGCCACAGUUGACGUGUGCACAUUUUUUUUUAUCAAAUCAGAGAACUGGAUUUUGUGUAGAUAUGUAGAUAUCAUGUGUCCUGUAAUAUUUUCAUUGCGAAUAGGCUCUGUAUCUGCUUGUUUCUCAUCAUAAUGGUUUGGAGAAGGCAUUGUGUUAUCGCUAUUCUCUGUGUAAUACUAAUUUAUCACUUUGUUGAUAGCGGCUUCUACUUUGCUAUUUUGGAUUGCAUGUGUUGGCAAUACUGUAGACAUCGAAAUUUCGGUAAAUAAAUGUUGACCGAUAAAUCAAAGUGUCAACGCUCAUGUAUUACAUAAAUUUUACACGUAGCGUGUGACUCAACGAAAAUUGAAAUGAGUUGGAAAAGUCAUCAAAAACAGGACACGUGUCAACACCUGGCAGAAACAACUUAUUUCAUCUGGAAUAUUAUAUUCAAAAUUAGGCUAUAGAAAUUUCUAUAAAUAGAAGGCCAAUUCAUUCAUUUAAAGGGACCAAUUCAAAUUACACCUUGAAGCUCUGAAGCUCUGAAGCUCUGAAACUCCGAAGCUCUCAAGCAAAUCCCGAAGGAUCAAGAAAGCCCUUUUCGUUCUUCAUCAAAUCCUCCUUCAAGAUCAAGCCCCGACGGCCCUUGAAGAAAGUGUUCUUCGUUCAUCGUUCUUCCAAGAUCAAGCCCCGACGGCCCUUGGAUCAACAAUCCACCAAUUCAAGAUCACGCCCUAAAGGCCCUUGAAGAACUUCCACCAAUUCAAGAUCAAGCCCCGACGGCCCUUGAAGAAGGCACCAUCAUUCAUCAUCUGUUCAUCCGAGAUCAAGCCCCAACGGCCAUUUGGACCAACAACGUCGACAAAUCCACACAUUCCAACCGUUCUUCAAGAUUAAGCCCAAAAGUCCUUGAAGAGCCGUUCAUCACUGUUCUUCAAGAAUAAGCCCAAAAGCCCUUGAAGAUCCGUUCAUCACUGUUCUUCAAGAUCAAGCCCAAAAGCCCUUGGAGAUCCGUUCGUCACUGUUCUUCAAAGAUCAAGCCCAAAAGCCCCUUUGAAGAUCCGCUCAAAUCCACCUUCAAGAUCAAGUCCACGGCCCCUUGAAGAAACUUCCAACAGUUCAUCCAAGAUCAAGCUUUGACGGCCCUUAGAUCAACGAAACAUCCACAAAUACACACCUUACGAAGAUCGAAUCAGAGGAUCAAAAUUUAAGAGAGAUUGUAACCCAAAACCAUCAAAAAUACAAAUAUUUGUUUGUGCACGUUGUUCUUAUCUCUUUCGUUUCAGGAAUUUUCCGUGUUCACAAAUACUUUGUUGUUUUGUUAUUGGAAAUAAAGGUUCAUUUUCCUUGUAUUGUGUAGUAUCAAUAUAUGCAGGCAUUUUCUGAAAGAAGUCAUGUUUUUUACAAGUAUACUCUUGGCUUGGUUACUCUUUUUCGAGGGGUCAAUCUAAACAACCAUUGUUCCUGGUGUCAUUAUUUGAGUUGUGUCCCUACAUCAAAAUGGAAUUGCAAGUCAAAAUAUUUAUUGUCUGAUAAUAUGUUGUACUUUUCUGCGCAUAUUAGCUUCUACCUUAAUAUUUGAUAGACAGAAGUGCUUGCUUAUUAAAAUGAUCAUGGUUGCAUUCAGUCGUUCUAGUUUGGCAUGCCGUUUAGUCUAAUGCCUUAAAGAAAAGUAAUUUAAGAAAUGACUCGCGAAAUUCUGUGUCAGGAAAUUGUUUUUGCAACGUACUUUGUUAGUACUAUAAAUUGGUUUUGUACUGACAUAUUGUUCUUUAUAUGCAUAUAUGCACCAAUCUUGCAGUCGAGCCAGAUAGGGAAUCAGCUGAACUUAACGUGCGUAAGCAAUGGUAGAAAUGGGACAUAUUCAUUGUCGGAUCCCAGCCCCUCCCGGACUCAGCAGCUAUAUGCUGCUCUUUGUAGUUGACCAUACAUGUACAGAUUUCAGAGUUGAUAGAAUGUUGAUUGAUAUGCUUCAUUCUUGUAGUAAGUAUUCUUUCUCUUUCUUUUGUUUUUUGUUGGGUAAAAUAGUCAUUUGUAUUCACCAAGCAAUGGUUCUCAUUGUCAUUAUUCUUUUCAUUCUUUUACUGCCCUUGUACCUCUUUUCUACUAUUCAUAACAGUUGAAACCCAUACCGAUAAUUAUGAAAUUUACUUGCCAUGUAAAACUACUCAAACAUGCAAUUUACCCAUACCUAAGUUUGUUGAAUGUGGGAUGUUAUGGAUCCUCUCAAUCGGACCUUUGUUCUGUACCUUCUCGUCUCUCUCUCAUUCUGCAAUGUUGCAAGAUGAUCGGACAUAUGUAUACUUUGUAGUUCAUCCUCUAGAGACCAGCUUUGAAAAAAAAAUCAACUAAAUAAAAAAUCAUUUAACCAUUUAAUUAACAUUGUCAAAAUUUCAGUAUUUAAUUGAAAAACAUAGUUCAUUUAUUUAUUGGAUAACAAUUAGAUGACAAAACAAGUAUGAAUUACUUUGGUUUUUGGCGAAGUUGGACUUUAAAGUGAGGCAUUAAUAACUGGAUAUGUCUACAGUGGUGGAAUUCUCUUGCUAGAGACUUGAGCCCCCAUGAAGAAUAAAAAUUAAGAAAGCUUGAUCUCACUAGUAACUGAUACAAUUUUUAGAAAGGUUGCAUCCACAACAGGCUUUCUUGCAAUGGUACUUUAGGGGAACUAUGAGAAAAUCAGCAAUCUCACAAUCCAGCCCCUCAAAAAACAUAGAGACUUCAAAAUUUCCUUUCAUAGCCAGGGUCGCCUAGCAAGGUUACUUUCAUAUUAAAUGACACCAGCGUGACGUUUGAUGUGACCAAAAUAUAGGAUUCCUUGUAUUUGUUUUUUCAUUUUGAAUGGUUGCCAAAUGUUUCGAGUCAGCUUCUGGAAUCAAGGUGCAUUAAUGGUCUUUGUCCUCGGCGUACCGAAAGUGCCGGACAAUAGGUGGUUGCCAAAUGUUUCCAGUCAGCUUCUGGAAUCAAGGUGCUUUAAUGGUCUUCGUCCUUGGCGUACCGAAAGUGCCAGACAAUAGGUGGUUGCCAAAUGUUUCCAGUUAGCUUUUGGAAUCAAGGUGCUUUAAUGGUCUUGCUCCUUGGCGUUCACCGAAAGUGCCAAACAACAGUUCCCAGUAGUGGAAGUAAGCUAGUGAAGUCGUCUAAAAAAACAAGCCAAAGUUGUUGUCAUUUACUUGGACUUCUUCCUUUUCAUAUUUGAAUUUCAAGAACCAGAAAUUGUGGUGUAAGUUCCUCCUAUGAUCCUAUCCUUCUAUAAAUUUCCUUGUCAAGCAACAAUGGAACUCACCAAAUUCACAACUCAACAGCCAUCUCUCUAUUUCUUUCUGCUUCUCUUUCUAAUUAUAUAGUUAACCAGAUCAGGAAUGGGGGUUUUGGUUUUGAAAUUGAUCUUAAUAUACUAGCUUAUCAGUGCAGUGUUCGUUUGCUGUUGGAGCUCCCUGCAAUCGGGACUCGGAAGGAAUGCGACGGAUAGGUUGGCGCUGCUAGCCAUCAAAGCUCAAAUAAAGCAAGAUCUCCAUAAUUACAAUGUGAUGAGCUCCUGGAACGAAUCCAUGCACUUUUGCAUGUGGCAUGGUGUGACGUGCAGUCGACGACAUCGCCAAAGGGUCACUAACCUGGACCUGCAAUCUCAAAAUCUGGUAGGAAAACUAUCCCCAAACAUUGGAAAUCUAAGCUUGCUAAGGGAGCUGUGGCUGCAAAACAACAGCUUCAGUCAUGAAAUUCCUCCACAAAUUGGGAAUUUGCGUAGAUUGCAGGUAUUACGAUUAGACAUGAACUCAUUUAGUGGCAGUAUUCCACACAAUAUAUCAUAUUGCUUCAACCUUAUCUUUAUGAAUUUCACUUACAACAAGUUGGUGGGUAAAAUUCCUUCAAAAAUUGGAUUGUUGUCGAAGCUGCAACAUUUUGCAUUAGAAUAUAAUAAUGUAACGGGACAGGUCCCUCCUUCCUUAGGGAACCUUUCGUCUCUCCGGGGACUAAGUCUUCUUAGUAAUAACUUGAUGGGAAACAUCCCCAGUUCUCUCGGCCAAUUGAAAAAAUUAACCUUCUUGGGAUUGGGGUUCAAUCAGUUGUCUGGUAGCAUUCCUUCCUCCAUUUAUAACCUCUCUUCUCUUGUUACAUUUUCCAUAGUAAUCAACCAAAUUGAAGGGAGUAUUCCAUCAGAUAUUGACAAAAGUUUUCCUAAUCUCGAAAAAUUCAACGUCGGCUCUAACCAACUUACUGGGUCCAUUCCUCCCUCAAUAUUCAAUGUCACAAGUGUUGGGAGAUUUGACGUUGGGAGUAACAACCUAAUCGGACAGGUACCGAGUCUCCAAAAGCUUCACAACCUCCUUUUUUUCAACAUUCAAUUUAAUAAUAUUGGAAGCGGUAAAGAUGGUGACUUAAGUUUUCUCUCGGACUUGACCAAUGCCACCCAGUUACGAGUGCUGCUUAUUGACAACAACAAUUUUGGAGGGACAUUGCCCAUGUCAAUAUCCAAUCUCUCAAACAAACUGGAAAUGUUUUGGGUUGGCGAUGACCAAAUAUAUGGAAGUAUCCCAUCUGGGAUAGGGAAUCUGGUGAGCUUGGAAUCGUUGCUUUUGGAGAAUAGUAGCUUCACAGGUAACAUCCCCUUUGACAUGGGUAAGCUUUCAAACCUUGGAGAAUUAGAUAUUUCCAUGAACAAAUUAUCAGGAAAUAUUCCGUCUUCCUUAAGAAAUUUAACCAAGUUAUUCCAUCUUGCGUUGCAUAGAAAUCAUCUUGAGGGCAGAUUCCUUGAAGCCUAGGGGAAUGCCAGGGGUUGCAGUUGUUGAAUCUUUCUUAUAACCUUCUAAAUGGCACAAUACCCAAACAAGUUUUUAGACUCUCCUCCUUAUCGAUUUCUUUGGACUUGUCUAAUAACCUCUUUACAGGUUCCCUUCCCCCGGAGGUUGGGAAUUUACAAAGUCUAAGUGAACUGGACAUUUCUGAUAACAUGUUAUCUGGAGAACUCCCCAGUAGCCUUGGUGGUUGUGAAAGUUUAGAAGUCCUGCAUUUGCAAGGAAACUUCUUCAACGGGUCCAUUCCUUUGUCUAUGAGUUCAGUGAGAGGGAUUCAAGAUCUAGAUCUUUCUCGCAAUAAUUUUUCAGGUGAAAUUCCACAUUUUUUAGAAGGCUUUAGAAUCCUAAAUAAUCUGAACUUAUCAUUCAAUCAAUUUUGGGGAGAGGUACCAACUGGAGGUGUUUUCAAAAAUGCAAAUGCUAUUUCAGUUGUUGGCAACACUAAUUUGUGCAGCCCUGUUGCUAAUUUAAAGCUUCCCAAGUGCAAGUCUAAAGAGACCAACAAACGAAGAUUGUCUCUUAGCUUGAAACUAAUACUCCCUUUACUAUUUGGACUUGCUCUUCUUGGAAUAGCCAUGGUGUUCUCCUAUUUCUUUCUUUGUUCGUCAAGGAAGAAAAGGAAAGAAAUUUCAUUGAGCACUUUGGGGAACACUAUUUUGCAAGUUUCAUAUGCUACUCUACUCAAAGCUACUAACGCGUUCUCAGAGGCUAAUUUAAUUGGUGUUGGUAGUUUUGGGUCUGUGUACAAGGGAGUUCUUGAUGAUGAUGAUAAAGCUCAACUAGUUGCCGUGAAGGUGUUUAACUUGUUACGCCUUGGAGCUUCGAGGAGUUUCAUAGCUGAAUGUGAAGCUUUGAAAAAUAUUAGGCAUCGAAAUCUCGUCAAGAUUAUAACUGUGUGUUCAAGUGUUGAUUUUCAUGGUAAUGAUUUCAAGGCUCUAGUUUAUGAGUUCAUGGACAACGGGAGCUUAGAGGAGUGGCUGCAUCCACCUACUGGAACUGAAGAGUUAAGAGAUCAUGUACCCAAGAAUUUAAGUCUUUUUCAGAGGCUAGAAAUUGCCAUUGGUGUUGCUUGCGCACUGGAUUAUCUUCAUAAUCAUUGUGAAACACCGAUAGUUCAUUGUGAUCUCAAGCCAAGCAAUGUUCUCUUGGACAACGAAUUGACCGGCCAUGUUUCUGACUUUGGAUUAGCAAGGUUUCUCUCACAAGUAACGAGUAAUGUUUCAGCAAUUCAGAGUCAAACAAGUUCCGUUGGAAUAAGGGGAACAAUUGGUUAUGUAGCUCCAGGUAUAUAUAUGUUAGAUAUAUACUUCAUUAUGUUUCCUUUUUUAUUUUGGAGUAUUUAAUUUACAAAAUUAAAAAAUGUGAUGUUUGAAUUGCAGAGUAUGGCAUGGGGAGUGAGGUGUCAACGAAUGGUGAUGUUUACAGCUUUGGCAUUCUCUUGUUGGAGAUGUUUACAGGGAAAAGACCCACUGACAACAUGUUUGGUGAUAGCUUGGACCUUCAUAAUUUGUCAAGAUGGCUCUCCCCAUGCAAGUUACUGAGAUUGCAGACGCACCACUUCUUCAAGGACGCACGAACGAGAAUCUCAAUCAAUGCACUACAAGAAUUCAUAGAGUUGAGGUGUGCUUGAGUUCAAUAUUUAGAAUUGGAAUUGCUUGUUCUGCUGAAUCCGCAACAGAUCGACUAAAGAAUAUCAAUGAUGCUGCAUCUAAACUUCAUUCCAUUAGGAAUACUUUUCUUGGAUAGAAACUAUUUCUUAUGUGCUUUUGUGAUUGAGAAAUUUCGUGUACUGCCUGUGAAGUCUAGCUUUUAUGUUACCACAGUAGAUGUGAAAGUUUGCAACGUAAAUAAUCACCAAUGAGGUUCAUUGUGUGAAGAGUGUUUUACUACUUCUUGUACUUGGUAUUUUUGUGUAAUAUUCACAUCUAUUAAAGUCUAGUACGUGCCACGAAAUUCUUGAAUAUACACAUUGACAGAUUCCAAAUUUUCGAAAGAUUCAUCACCUCAAGAUCCUCAACUUAUAUUCAACAAAAUCAUCUUGGAAGCGGUAAAGAUGGUGAUUUGAGUUUCCUAUCAGACAUGACCACUAUCAAUGUAAGGUGCUUUCGAAAAUCAAAGUGCUAUUUCAAUUGUUAACAACACUAGAUUCUGCAAGGGAAUUUCUAAUCUCAAGCUGCCUAAUUGCUGCUAGAGUUUGAAUAGAAAAUGUGGGGUAUUGUUGGAACUUUUGUGAAUAUGUGGGAUUGGGAGUCCCGCAUCGCCCAUUUCCCAUCUUAAAGUUAUCUUUAUAAGUGUGUCCUCACACUUAUGGUUUGAAAACAAUUGGGCCUAGGCCAUGGACCUUGGGCCUUAGGCUUGGAAGGUUUAGGUGUAUAUUAAAUGUCAAAGAUGGGCCUUGGGCCAUGGUGCUCGGAUGGACGAAAACACAAGUUACGUUUUUUAUUUUUGGGAUUUAGUUUUUUUUCUGAAAGGAUAAAACUGAUUGAACAGUUAUGUCAGUUUUAUAACUGAUAAGAAUGAACAGUUAUGUCUGUUCAAUUUAUGCCAUUAUAUAUAUGGCAAUAAGAUCAGAAACUUAACAUAGAAUUUCCAACGCUUCCUUUUCAUCUUACACAGAGAAACGCACAACCAAUUCGCCAAGAAUCCAAGUUCGAGUGCAAGAACUUGGAUUAGAUAGUUGUAUCCUGCAAGAUAGAUGUCCGUUGAACUAUUGCAUGGGUGUAGGGGUGAAUUUCUGUCUUAGGUGAUUGCAUUUGCAAGCCUUUAUCUUCAAGAACAAGUCAAUGAUUUGUGAUUUUAUAUGCAAUUUACUUAAGUGUUUGUAUUUUGAUAUUUAUAGUAUUUGUUGUUGAAUUUAGCAUUCGAAAUAAACUGUGCAAAAUAUAUAUUGUGUCAGUGACAUUUGAUUGGUUUCCAACAUUCUAAGACAGAAAUUUUCAUUAUGAAACCAUGGAUCAAUCAAAUGUUGGUGUCGUCAAGCAACACGUUGAGAAACCUGAGAAAUUCAAGGUUGUUGAUUUCAAACGUUGACAACAUAAAAUGUUGUUCUAUUUGACAACUCUGAACUUGCGUCAUGUGAUUACUUCUGAGGCCCCUUGGAGAAUUAGAUAUUUCCAUGAACAAAUUAUCAGGAAAUAUUCCGUCUUCCUUAAGAAAUUUAACCAAGUUAUUCCAUCUUGCGUUGCAUAGAAAUCAUCUUGAGGGCAGCAUUCCUUCAAGCCUAGGGGAAUGCCAGGGGUUGCAGUUGUUGAAUCUUUCUUAUAACCUUCUAAAUGGAACAAUACCCAAACAAGUUUUUAGACUCUCCUCCUUAUCGAUUUCUUUGGACUUGUCUAAUAACCUCUUCACAGGUUCCCUUCCCCCGGAGGUUGGGAAUUUACAAAGUCUAAGUGAACUGGACAUUUCUGAUAACAUGUUAUCUGGAGAACUCCCCAGUAGCCUUGGUGGUUGUGAGAGUUUAGAAGUCCUGCACUUGCAAGGAAACUUCUUCAACGGGUCCAUUCCUUUGUCUAUGAGUUCAGUGAGAGGGAUUCAAGAUCUAGAUCUUUCUCGCAAUAAUUUUUCAGGUGAAAUUCCACAUUUUUUAGAAGGCUUUAGAAUCCUAAAUAAUCUGAACUUAUCAUUCAAUCAAUUUUGGGGAGAGGUACCAACUGGAGGUGUUUUCAAAAAUGCGAAUGCUAUUUCAGUUGUUGGCAACACUAAUCUGUGCAGCCCUGUUGCUAAUUUAAAGCUUCCCAAAUGCAAAUCUAAAGAGACCAAGAAACGAAAAUUGUCUCGUAGCUUGAAACUAAUACUCCCUUUAGUAUUUGGACUUACUCUUCUAGGAAUAGCCAUGGUGUUCUCCUAUUUCUUUCUUUGUUCGCCAAUGAAGAAAAGGAAAGAAAUUUCGUUGAGCACUUUGGGGAACAAUAUUCUGCAAGUGUCAUAUGCUACUCUACUCAAAGCUACUGACAGGUUCUCAGAGGCUAAUUUAAUUGGUGCUGGUAGUUUUGGGUAUGUGUACAAAGGAGUUCUUGAUGAGGAUGAUAAAGCUCAACUUGUUGCCGUGAAGGUGUUUAACUUGUUACGCCGUGGAGCUUCGAAGAGUUUCAUAGCCGAAUGUGAAGCUUUGAGAAAUAUUAGGCACCGAAAUCUCGUCAAGAUUAUAACCGUGUGUUCAAGUGUUGAUUUUCAUGGUAAUGAUUUCAAGGCUCUAGUUUUUGAGUACAUGGACAACGGGAGCUUAGAGGAGUGGCUGCAUCCACCUACUGGAACUGAAGACUUAAGAGAUCAUGUACCCAAGAAGUUCAGUCUUCUUCAGAGGCUAGAAAUUUCCAUUGGUGUUGCUUGUGCACUAGAUUAUCUUCAUAAUCAUUGUGAAACGCCAAUAGGUCAUUGUGAUCUCAAGCCAAGAAACGUUCUCUUGGACAACGAAUUGAUUGGCCAUGUUUCUGACUUUAGAUUAACAAGGUUUCUUUCACAAGUAAAGAGUAAUGUUUCAACAAUUCAAAGUCAGACAAGUUCCGUUGGAAUAAGAGGAACGGUUGGUUAUGUAGCUCCAGGUAUAUAUAUGUUAGAUAUACACUUCAUUAGAUUUCCUUUUUUAUUUUUGAGUAUUUAAUUUACAAAAUUCAAACUGAACUAUUUAUACACAAAUGUGAUGUUUGAAUUGUAGAGUAUGGCAUGGGAAGUGAGGUGUCAACGAAUGGUGAUGUCUACAGCUUUGGCAUUCUCUUGUUGGAGAUGUUUACAAGGAAAAGACCCACUGACAACAUGUUUGAUGAUAGCUUGAACCUUCAUAAUUUUGUCAAGAUGGCUAUCCCUUAGCGAGUUAGUAAGAUUGCAGAUGCACCACUUCUUCAAGGAUGCACGAACGAGAAUCCCAAUCAAUGUAGUGCGAGAAUUCAUAAAGUUGAGGUGUGCUUGAGUUCAAUAUUUAGAAUUGGAAUUGCUUGUUCUGCUGAAUCCACAACAGAUCGACUAAAGAAUAUCAAUGAUGCUGCAUCUGAACUUCAUUCCAUUAGGAAUACUUUUCUUGGAUAGAAACUUUUUUUUAUGUGCGUUUGUGAUAGAGAAAUUUCAUGUACUGCCUGUGAAGUCUAGCUUUUAUGUUACCACAGUAGAUGUGGAAGUUUGCAAUGUAAAUAAUCACCAAUGAGGUUCAUUGUGUGAAGAGUGUAUUACUACUUCUUGUACUUGGUAUUUUUGUGUAAUAUUCACAUUGAUGAAAGUCUAGUUCGUGCCACGAAAUUGUUGAAUAUUCACAUUGACAGAUUCCAAAUUUUUUAAAGAUUCAUAAUCUCAAGACCCUCAAGAUUCAAUAAAAUCAUCUUGGAAGCUGUAAAGAUGGUGAUUUGAGUUUCCUAUUAGACUUGACCACUAUCAGUGUAAGGUGUUUUCGAAAAUCAAAGUGCUAUUUCAAUUGUUGACAACACUAGAUUCUGCAAGGGAAUUCCUAAUCUCAAGCUGCCCAGCUGCAAUCUAAAGAGCUCCAAGAAUAGAAGAUUAGCUUAUAGCUUGAAAUUAAUAAUCCCUUUUGUAUUCAUACUUGCUCUACUUUGCAAGUGUCAUAGGCUACUUUCUCAAACGCCACUGAUUGGUUUUCUUCAGCUAAUUUGACAGUUUUGAGUUUGUAUACUGACAAUAGAGCUCGGCUUGUACUUGUAGAUAUGAAGGUGUUUAACAAUAUCAAGCAUCAAAGAGUUUCAUAGCCGAAUGUGAGGCUUUGAGAAAUAUCAAGCAUCAAAAUCUCGUCAAGGUCAUAUCUGCAUGUUUUCUCGAUGAUUAUUUCUAGGCUCUAGUUUAUGAGUUGAUGCACCAAAGGAGCUUAGAGGAGUGGUUGCAUCGCCUCCUGUAAUUGAAGAGGUAAGAGAUCAAUACAUCCAACAAUUUAAAAUCUUCUUCAAGGGCUAGAUAUUGUUAUUGGUGUUGCCAUUAUGCACUGGAUUAUUUUCAUAACCAGAGUGAAACACGGAUAGUUCAUUGUGAUCUAAAGCCAAGCAAUGUUCUUCAAAACACCAAGUUGACUGGACAUGUUUAUUGAAAGUAGACUAAUCUCAUACUGUUAAUUAUAUGAACUCCUCCAUAGAGGUGAAGGUAAUUGGGUUCAAGUUGGUUGGUAUGGUUAAUAGGGUUUGCAAAUGACCAUUUUUUAAAGAAUUUUAACCCCGACUUUAAAGCCCAUGGGCUAUGACAAAUCAAGGUUUUCUAGCAUUGUUGCUAUCAAUAUUCUCUCAUGUGCAUUCUGAAUUCCAAUCCAAUGGUUUUAGCAAUCUUUCGACUAAUCUUGACAAUGAAAGAGUUUUUUUUUUUUUUGUUCGAACAAAUGAUAUUAUCUAUACUAAGAGGAAGGGGAUAGGUUUAGCUUCAUAAUGGACUAACAAUAAUGUGGUUCAAAUUCGUCUUUGGCAAGAAUCCAACUCAAGACUUCUCACUUACAAGUGAAAAGAAUAGUACUAAGUGACAUGAAAGGGUUUCUAUUAAACCCACAAAAAUGAAAACUCUCAGCAGUUUAUUAAUGGAUUUGAAUUUAGAUUUAUUACAAUUGAUAAGAGAUUUUUUUUUUCAGCAAUCAAUAGGAUACUAACAAAUUUGUUUUUAGUACAAAGAUAUGUCACGAUAAUGUGACUUAUAGCUAUGUCAUUGGCCUUUUAACUUAUUGUCCUAUCUUUGACGCACUCCAAUUAAUGUCGUCCUCUAAUUGUUAGUAUUUAAUGAAUCUCAUCCUAAAUUGUUACCCAAAAUAUUAAUUAUCAAAGCAAAUAAACUUGAUUGAGUUAUAAAUUUAUCAUGAUCCAGUUGGCAUGGUUCGGAGAAAAAUCAAUUUUGUUCAUAAUUUUCAUGUCUUCCUAGUGAACAUGGGGCUAUAAGUGAAGUUCCAAAGGAUACGGUGGUGUAAUUUGCCCCAUGAAUUGUCUCCUCCAAUUUGCAUGCAUACGGUAGGUGACUGACUCCCAAAUAAUUCUCGUUACCAAGCAAAUUAAAUAUCAUUAAUUAAGAGCUUAAAACUCUUUAAUUAUUACCUCUCUAUUUUGCUUUUGCAAUUAGGAUAUUUUCCCCUUUUGCGUAAAAUAUUAUAAGAAUAUUUUUGUUCUCCACACUCAAAUGAUGGUGAUACUCACUACUUUAUUUAUCACCGUUAUGAGUUUAAUACCCUGGAUAAACACAAAUCUCAAAAUUUAAACCCAUACAACGGUAAUAAAUAAGGUUAUAAGCAUUACCACCACUUGAGGGUGAUGACUAAAAAUCACCCCAAUAAUAUAAGAGGUAGUUAAGUUAGUUGGUGUGGUAGUUGGUCUUUAGCAAGCUUCUUAUAGAAAAGAAGAAUCUGGGUACUUUGGCCGUUUUGCAAAAGAAAAAGAAAGAAAGGGGCAUUUGAUGUUGCAACAGGCAUAGUGAUGGUGCUAGCCGCCUGCUUCUUGGUGUUUUUUUUAAAAGAAAAUAUAAAAAAAUAAGAAAAGGCUAAUUUGCACCCUUCGGAUAUUAUGAUGCCAAUUUGCUUGGUUGAGAAACUUGUGGCUUUUCUAAUGGAGAUUACGUAAAGGUGCAAACAAUUUGUUAAUGGUUGUGCAAAAUAGGUUUCAUCCUAGAAAAUAUGUUCGCGCUCCGCUGCGGGUUUUGAAAUCAUAACCCACAAUUUAACAUGCCCAUUUUUAAAUUAUUCAGAAAUCAAUCAGAGAAAACUUCAAGUAGAAGAAAAAUGAGUUCUCAAUCAGAGGAAACUUCAAUUUCAUGCAAGUUUUUUUGUUCUAAUUUCAGGGCUUAACAAUGCAAGAUUGGAAUUUGCCUUUGGUUCAAAGAAGUAAGAUAAACUGAUAAGCAACAACAACAACAACAACAAAGCCUUUUCCCACUAAGUGGGGUCGGCUAUAUGAAUCUUAGAACGCCAUUGCGCUCGGUUUUGUGUCAUGUCCUCCGUUAGAUCCAAGUACUCUAAGUCUUUUCUUAGAGUCUCUUCCAAAGUUUUCUUAGGUCUUCCUCUACCCCUUCGGCCCUGAACCUCUGUCCCGUAGUCACAUCUUCGAACCGGAGCGUCAUUCGGCCUUCUUUGCACAUGUCCAAAUCACCGGAGCCGAUUUUCUCUCAUCUUUCCUACAAUUUCGGCUACUCCUACUUUACCUCGGAUAUCCUCAUUCCCAAUCUUAUCCUUUCUCGUGUGCCCACACAUCCCACGAAGCAUCCUCAUCUCCGCUACACCCAUUUUGUGUACGUGUUGAUGCUUCACCGCCCAACAUUCUGUGCCAUACAACAUCGCUGGCCUUAUUGCCGUCCUAUAAAAUUUUCCCUUGAGCUUCAGUGGCCUACGACGGUCACACAACACGUCGGAUGCAUUCUUACACUUCAUGCAUCCAGCUCGUAUUCUAUGGUUGAGAUCUCCAUCUAAUUCUCCGUUCUCUUGCAAGAUAGAUCCUAGGUAGCGAAAACGGUCGCUUUUUGUGAUCUUCGCUAGAUUGCUCCGGUCAUUAGUGUGGAUAAGUAUAUAAAUGGAUAGAGAUAGGAAAGCAAACACAAGAUGUACGUGGUUCACCCAGAUUGGCUACGUCCACGGAAUAGAAGAGUUCUCAUUAAUUGUGAAGGGUUUACACAAGUACAUAGGUUCAAGCUCUCCUUUAGUGAGUACAAGUGAAUGAUUUAGUACAAAUGACAUUAGGAAAUAUUGUGGGAGAAUGAUCUCGUAAUCACGAAACUUCUAAGUAUCGGAGUGUGGUGUCGUCUUCUUGACUUGCCUUAUCUGUCUCAUAGGUAGAUGUGGCAUCUUCUCUGGAAGUACUCUUCCUCCAUCCAGGGGUGGUAUCUUUAACUGGUGGAGAUGCACAAGGUAAUGUAUCAAUUUCACUUGAAGCUUACUUGUAGUUUCAGGCUUGGUCAAGCGCGAUACAAACCAUGUAGUAGGAGUCCCCCAAGUCGCCGAGCUAGGGGGUCUGCUGAAAGAGGUGACAGACAAGGUAAGCAAUCAGAGCUCCGACUGAUUGUUCACCUUCUCCCCAUCUUGCAGCAGCAUGAAGGAUAAAGAGAAGAAAAAUGAGAAGAGAUGAUAUGAGAUACUUUUGUUUUUGAAGAAGUAACUUUCCACAGGCUUAUUCUUGAACUGAGCUUGAGGGUUUUCUGGUUUCCUCCAGAGUAUAAGGCCGACUGAAGAAUUUGAGGGUCAAAACAAGUCCAUCAAAUCUAGAGUACGUUCCACCCUGCUGAUAUGGGAUACCUUUGCUUUUGACAGAGUAAUGGAUGUAUCGGCACGUGUGCUGUUACGCUUGUCUCCACAUGCUUCCUUGUAUCCUUCGCACUUGCCCUAUCUGUUCCUCAAACAGAUGCGGAAUCUUCCCUGGAAACAUAAGAUGUUGAAGAUGAGUACUCGACAGCAAUGCCAGGUAAGUAAUCAGGUAAGGGGUUCCAGGCAGUCAGUUCCUGACUGGAAGCUUGAUUCCAAGUGCUGACUGAUUGCUCUCUUUCUCCUUGUCUUGCAAUAAAAACAAGGCCAAAGGAAAAGACAGGGAAAAAGCAUGAUAUGGGAUACUCUUGCUUUUAACCCUGAUGAUAUGAGAUAUUCUUGCUCUAGUAUAGCUUGUUUGCAGAGGUAUUAUCGGGGGGAAAGAAAGCUGAAUAUUUCGAAAGGCUUCGUUGGGAGUGCCCUCUCAGAUAUGAUGAAGGGUUGAGCAUUUUUUCAGGUCUGCCUGUCCGUUGGGGAUGGAAGGUCGACAUAUAUAGGAGUCUCCCUAACAACAAGUAGUAAUGCUAUUCCUUUACCCUGCUUGGUCAUAGCACGGUAGUGGGAGCUGCCAGUUUCACAUGUUUUAACUCUGUCAGAGCACUUUGAAAAAGUGGUCUGUGGUAUCUGGCUCUCGAGAUUCGGAGAACGAUGCCUCUUCAAUUUUUGAGAAAGCAAUCAUGCUGGGGGUCUGGCUCUCGAGAUUCGGAGAGCAGUGUCUCUUCGAUUUUUGAGGAAGUAAUCAUGUUGGGAGUCUGGCUCUCGAGAUUCGGAGGGCGGUGCCUCUUCGAUUUUGGAGCAAGCAAUCUUGUUGGGAGUGUUGUCUCGAAUGUGAGUAAAGGUUGGGCAUGUUUGCUAGUUUACCUUGCCACGAAGCACAAAGGUUGACACACAGGGACUUUCCAAUUAUCCAGCAAUGGUACUGUUCCUUUACCCUCUCUUCGAUUUUGAGAAAGUAGUCAUGUUGGGAGUCUGGCUCUCGAGAUUCGGAGGAUGGUGCCUCUUCGAUUUUGGAGCAAGCAAUCUUGUUGGGAGUGUUUUCUCGAAUGUGAGUAAAGGUUGGGCAUGUUUGCUAGUCUACCUUGCCACGAAGCACAGAGGUUGACACACAGGGACUUUCCAAUUAUCCAGCAGUGGUACUGUUCCUUUACCCUUGUGGGUAAUAAUAUGGUAGCUAGACCUUCAAAAUUUAUGUGUCUAAACUUUGUUAGUGCUGUUUCUUUGCUAUUCUUUUACCUUUCUUGGUCAGAGCGAUGUAGUGGAAGCUGCAAGCUUCACGUGCUCAACUUUGGCAGAGAACUUUGGCAAAGUUAUCUGUGGUACCCAUGAGCUAUUGUUGCGUGUGGGAAGUAGGUGAUUGAACAGUAAGAUUCAUGUGCUUUCUACUUCACCAGAAGUCUUCGACAGAAUGCCCAUAAUUUCCGCAAAGCUGAGUGUGCGUGUGACAGGUGCUGACAAGACUAGAAAAGUAGGUGCCUCUUCGAUUUCUGAGAUCGGCCCUCGUGGUCUCUGAGUAGCCCAGCUUUUGAGAAAGCGAGCGCCUCUUCGAUUGAUUCGGAGAACGAUGCCUCAUCGAUUUUUGAGAAAGCAAUCAUGUUGGGGGUCUGGCUCUCGAAGAUUCGGGGAGCAGUGUUUCUUCGAUUUUUGAGAAAGUAAUCAUGUUGGGAGUCUGGCUCUCGAGAUUCGGAGGGCGGUGCUUCUUCGAUUUUGGAGCAAGCAGUCUUGUUGGGAGUUUUUUCUCGAAUGUGAGUAAAGGUUGGGCAUGUUUGCUAGUCUACCUUGCCACGAAGCACAGAGGUUGACACACAGGGACUUUCCAAUUAUCCAGCAAUGGUACUGUUCCUUUACCCUCUCUUCGAUUUUUAAGAAAGUAGUCAUGUUGGGAGUCUGGCUCUCGAGAUUCGGAGGACGGUGCCUCUUCGAUUUUGGAGCAACCAAUCUUAUUGGAAGUGUUUUCUCGAAUGGGAGUAAAGGUUGGGCAUGUUUGCUAGUCUACCUUGCCACAAAGCACAGAGGUUGACACACAGGGACUUUCCAAUUAUCCAGUAGUGGUACUGUUCCUUUACCCUUGUGGGUAAUAAUAUGGUAGCUAGACCUUCAAAAUUUAUGGGUUUAAACUUUGUUAGUGCUGUUUCUUUGCUAUUAUUUUACCCUUCUUGGUCAGAGCGAUGUAGUGGGAGCUGCAAGCUUCACGUGCUUAACUUUGGCAGAGAACUUUGGCAAAGUUUUCUGUGGUACCCAUGAGCUAUUGUUGCGUGUGGGAAAUGGGUGAUUGAACAGUAAGAUUCAUGUGUUUUCUACUUCCCUAGAAGUCUUCGACAGAAUGCCCAUAAUUUUCGCAAAGCUGAGUGUGCGUGUGACAGGUGCUGACAAGGCUGGAAAAGUAGGUGCCUCUUCGAUUUCUGAGAUCGGCCCUCGUGGUCUCUGGGGAGCCCAGCUUUUGAGAAAGCGAGCGCCUCUUCGAUUUCUGAGAUCAGCCUUCGUGGUCUUUGAGCAGCCCAACUUUUGAGAAAGCAAACACCUCUUCGAUUUCUGAUAUCAACCCUCGUGAUCUCUAAGCAACCCAGCUUUUGAGAAAGCAAACGCCUCUUCGAUUUCUGAGUAGGUGCCUUUUCGAUUUCUGAAGCUCCGUCGAGUGCAGAUUUUUAUAGGGGCUGGCAUUAAGUUCCAAAGCACACUUGAAUCUCCACCAGUAGAAGCUUCAUUCUUGCACUUCUAAGAUCUUGAUUUGUCCGACAACAUAUGGCGCCCAUCUUUUGUCGCCCCUACUGGUCCUCUUACCGUUGGGGAUUCCGUGAUGAAGAAUGAUAUGACCGCUGCGGUGGUGGCCAGGAACCUUCUCACUCCCAAAGAUAACAGACUACUUUCCAAACGGUCUGAUGAGUUAGCUGUUAAGGAUUCGCUGGCUCUCAGUGUUCAGUGUGCAGGUUCUGUGUCUAAUAUGGCCCAACGCCUAUUUGCUCGAACCCGCCAAGUUGAAUCAUUGGCGGCUGAAGUGAUGAGUCUCAAACAGGAGAUUAGAGGGCUCAAGCAUGAGAAUAAACAGUUGCACCGGCUCGCACAUGACUAUGCUACAAACAUGAAAAGGAAGCUUGACCAGAUGAAGGAAACUGAUGGUCAGGUUUUACUUGAUCAUCAGAGAUUUGUGGGUUUGUUCCAAAGGCAUUUAUUGCCUUCGUCUUCUGGGGCUGUACCGCGUAAUGAAGCUCCAAAUGAUCAACCUCUGAUGCCUCCUCCUUCUAGGGUUCUGUCCAGUACUGAGGCUCCAAAUGAUCCCCCUCCGGUGCCUUCUCUUUCUGGGGCUCUACCGACUGCUGAGACUUCUUCUAAGCAACCUUUGUGAAGGCUCCCUCUUGUGUGUUUAUUUUGACUCAUGUAUAUGUACAUAUUUGUAGCUUAUCGGGGAUAUCAAUAAAUAAGCUUUCCUUCAUUUCAACGUAUUGUGUUAAAUACACCAAAGCCUUCUUCGCUAAGUUCUUUGAAUUUUCUUUUGUUGAAGCUUGUAUGUUGAAGCUUUCUGAGUGGAGCAUGUAGGUUGGGGUACUGUUCCUUUAAUUUUCCGAGUGAGGAAAACUUCUCGGUUGGAGACUUGGAAAAUCCAAGUCACUGAGUGGGAUCGGCUAUAUGAAUCUUAGAACGCCAUUGUGCUCGAUCCUGUGUCAUGUCCUUCGUUAGAUCCAAGUACUCUAAGUCUUUUCUUAGAGUCUCUUCCAAGGUUUUCCUAGGUCUUCCUCUACCCCUUCGGCCCUGAACCUCUGUCCCAUAGUCGCAUCUUCUAAUCGGAGCGUCAGUAGGCCUUCUUUGCACAUGUCCAAACCACCGUAACCGAUUUUCUCUCAUCUUUCCUUCAAUUUCGGCUACUCCUACUUUACCCCGGAUAUCCUCAUUCCUAAUCUUAUCCUUUCUCAUGUGCCCACACAUCUAACGAAGCAUCCUCAUCUCCGCUACACCCAUUUUGUGUACGUGUUGAUGUUUCACCGCCCAACAUUCUGUGCCAUACAGCAUCGCCGGCCUUAUUGCCGUCCUAUAAAAUUUUUCCUUGAGCUUCAGUGGCAUACGGCGAUCACAUAACACGCCGGAUGCACUCUUCCACUUCAUCCAUCCAGCUUGUAUUCUAUGAUUGAGAUCUCCAUCUAAUUCUCCGUUCUUUUGCAAGAUAGAUCCUAGGUAACGAAAACGGUCGCUCUUUGGUAUUUCUUGAUCUCCGAUCCUCACCCCUAACUCGUUUUGGCCUCCAUUUGCACUGAACUUGCACUCCAUAUAUUCUGUCUUUGAUCGGCUUAGGCGAAGACCUUUAGAUUCCAACACUUCUCUCCAAAGGUUAAGAUUUGCAUUUACCCCUUCCUGAGUUUCAUCUAUCAACACUAUAUCGUCUGCGAAAAGUAUACACCAAGGAAUAUCAUCUUGAAUAUGUCCUGUUAACUCAUCCAUUACCAACGCAAAAAGGUAAGGACUUAAGGAUGAGCCUUGAUGUAAUCCUACAGUUAUGGGAAAGCUUUCGGUUUGUCCUUCAUGAGUUCUUACGGCAAUCUUUGCUCCUUCAUACAUAUCCUUUAUAGCUUGGAUAUAUGCUACUCGUACUCCUUUCUUCUCUAAAAUCCUCCAAAGAAUGUCUCUUGGGACCCUAUCAUACGUUUUUUCCAAAUCUAUAAAGACCAUGUGUAAAUCCUUUUUCCCAUCUCUAUAUCUUUCCAUCAAUCUUCGUAAGAGAUAGAUUGCCUCCAUGGUUGAGCGCCCUGGCAUGAACCCGAAUUGGUUGUCCGAAACCCGUGUCUCUUGCCUCAAUCUAUGCUCAAUGACUCUCUCCCAGAGCUUCAUUGUAUGACUCAUUAGCUUAAUACCCCUAUAGUUCAUGCAAUUUUGUACGUCGCCCUUAUUCUUGUAGAUAGGCACCAAAGUGCUCGUUCGCCACUCAUUUGGCAUCUUCUUCGUUUUCAAAAUCCUAUUGAAAAGGUCAGUGAGCCAUGUUAUACCUGUCUCUCCCAAAAGUUUCCACACUUCGAUUGGUAUAUCGUCUGGGCCUAUUGCUUUUUUAUGCUUCAUCUUCUUCAAAGCUACAACCAUUUCUUCCUUCCGGAUUCGACGAUAAAAAGAGUAGUUUCUACACUCUUCUGAGUUACUCAACUCCCCUAAAGAAGCACUCAUUUCAUGUCCUUCAUUGAAAAGAUUAUGAAAAUAACCUCUCCAUCUGUCUUUAACCGCGUUCUCUGUAGCAAGAACCUUUCCAUCCUCAUCCUUGAUGCACCUCACUUGGUUUAGGUCGUACCUAAAAUGGAAAAUAUUUGCUUUCCUAUAUGCUCUGAAGUUUGCAUAAGUGCUGGAAAUUUAUAAUAUAUAAAGAGACAAUCUCAAAAUAAAACACAUUUGAAGGAAAAGUAAUAAGAAAAGAAAAUACUAUUUUUUACCUAUGAUUCAUGUGGGGAGUAGAAUUUCCAGUCACAAUUGACAACCCAAGAGCUCUGUAAAUCAAAUAUACUGGAAAAGAUCAAUAAAAAGUGAAUUACAGUUUCUCAAAUCAGAAAGUAACAUUUAUUUGAAAAGAUUCAGACUCAUUUUGGAUAUAGAUAAACAAUGGCAUGUUAAAAACCAAAAUGAUAAGGCAUUCAACAUUCAACAUUCACGUAAAAAAAAAUGAUAUACAUGUUAUCCAUCAAUGUUUUGGUAACAAAUUCCCAAAUUGCUCUAUCUACCAAACAUUUGCAGAUCUAUAGUUACAGAUAUUCACUUUUAUGAUAUUCAACCCAAUACCCAAAUUAUUGGCAAAACGACAUUGUAUAUAGAUCUUUUGAGCACCCGAGCCAAUGACAAUAACAUUGAAGGCAACUACAAAAAUUGUACAUUAUAUAAAGAGGCAAUCUCAUAAUCAAAAUUGUCAAAAUCAAUAUUUUAUGGCUACAUUUUUUCAUCAGUCAAUCAAUACACACAGAACACGGAAUCACAUACUUGACAAAAAUUCAAACCCAUAAAUCCGAAAUUAGCAAUGUUAUUUCUUAACCCCCAAAAACAAUCCAAAUCUUAGUGGUUACAUUCAUUAGUCAAGCACUCAACCACUCAGGCACAUCGACCACAACUUGGGAAUGUUAUGCAAAUCUUAGGCAGCUUGAAUCAUUAAAUUUGAGUUGGAAGAAGCUCUGUUACCUGCUCUGCUAGUUGAGGAGGGUCACCCAAUUCGGCACUAUCAUCAGCAUCAGCACAUUUCACACACUCCCGCUUCCAAAACAUUUCACAAAAUCAAAAACCAAAUGAGAUUACGUAGCAGAAAAGAUUGAUGGAAAAAUAGAUUAAGAAAAGCAAGUAAUAUUAAAUAUAGAGGAUGAAUGAUGUUGUUCUGUCAACUAAAAGCAGCCAUGAGUAUUGGAUGGCUAGUGAAGUUAGGCUAGUCAACUUUCUUUAUGUAAAUUAGGCAAGUUAGGUAAGUUAGGCAAGUUAGGCAAAGUUAGGUUUUAUGUCUUCUUUCUUUCCCUAUAUAUAUGUUCAUCUUGUAAUGAGAAAAUCAUCAAAUAAAUCAAGGAAUUAACUCUAUUUUGGCAUGGUAUCAGAGCCAUUCUGAUCCAAAAAGAGUUUCUAUUCUGAUUCACUUACUGGCACUACUGCCAUCUACCCAAUAAGACCUGCUAUUCUGCAGGUCUUCUACUUUCAUACCAAUACCUGCUAUUCUGCAGGUCUUCUACUUUCAUACCAAUCCAAUCUUACUCUUUUUCAUUUGGCCAUAUCUGCCAACAUUAUUACCCAUAUCCAGCUUGUUAACCAUACAUAUUCCGCUGCAUCUUUUCCCAUAUUCUUCCCAUUUGCAGUAUCUCUGCAAAACCCAGAAAUCUUUCCACACAAAAAAUAUACUACCCAAUACCCCAUAAACCAUACCCGUUGGAAUCACCCAACAAAUUUACCCAUAACCUCUGAGGCAGUAAUAAUGGGUGACUCCAAGACCACUGUUUCAGCUACUGUUACUCAAAGUGAUAUGUCUCUACAUAUCACCCCAGACAAGUUGGAUGGGUCCAACUAUUCCUCAUGGUCCCAAAGUGUCCGCAUCUACAUCACUGGCAGAGGUAAAUGGUCUUAUGUCAGUGGAACAAAAAUGGCACCAGCAGAAGCUGAUGCAUUGUAUGCUAUAUGGGAGGAAGAGAAUGCCAUGGUUCAAUCUUGGUUACUCAACUCCAUGACCAGAGAUGUACGAGCCAUUUUUCUCCGACUCUCUACUGCAAAAGAUGUUUGGGAUGCUGUAACCCAAACUUACUCAAUUGAAAAAGAUGCAUCAAAGUUAUACGAACUUCGCCGUCAAGCACUGGCGACUCGCCAGAAUGGAGAACCUUUAUCUGCAUAUUAUGGUAAACUUCAGCAAACAUGGCAAGAAAUUGAUUUCUUGCGUCCUGGUAAAUUGAAGUGCGCUGAUGAUAUUGCUACCCGAGAGACAGAAAUUUCGGAAGAAAGAUUGUAUGAUUUUCUGGCUGGUCUUGAUCCUCAUUUAGAUCAUGUUCGCAGUCAAGUUUUGACUCAAACAACUCUGCCUUCUGUUCGUGCUACUUAUGCUCUUGUGAAUACUGAAGCAAGUAGGCAAACCAUUAUGUUGGUUGGCCCACAAGUGGAAGGAUCCGCCAUGGUAGCUGCUCCGUCUCGAUUUCCCCGUGGAAUCUCCAAUUCUCGAUUAGGUGGAUCCAAAACUACUGAUACAAGGAAGUGUACUUAUUGUGACAAGGAUAAGCAUACUAGAGACACUUGCUUCAAGCUGCAUGGAUAUCCUGAUUGGUGGGUUCAAAAGAAGGAAAAUAAAAAGAAAGGCAUUGGUGGAUCACAAGCACACUUGACACCAAAGCCUUCCAUACCUCGGGUGGAUCAAUCUGCUCACUUAGUUUCUCCUACUACUGCUUCUACUUCCUUAGUCGAUGCAGGUAACUUUGGUUUUGCCUUGAACACUACAAUUGUUCCUCCCAAUAAACCUUGGAUCAUUGAUUCAGGGGCUUCUGACCACAUGACCAAUGACUCUACAUGGUUUGUUUCUCACACUACUCCACCUUUAAAUACCGUUAAAGUUGCUAAUGGUAUUUCUACUCCAGUGCUUGGAGCAGGCUCCAUCUCAUUAACACCAGGCUUAUCUCUCUCAUCUGUUUUACAUGUUCCUAAUCUUUCUCACAAUUUGCUUUCCAUUGGUAAACUUACAAAUCAACUAAACUGUCUUGCCAUCUUUUCUCCUACCCAUUGUUGGUUUCAGGAUAUUCGAACGAAAGCAUUGAUUGGUCAUGGUAGAGAGAGGGGAGGUCUAUACUACUUGGACUUACCACCAGAUUGUGAGAAGACAAGUUACAGUUGUCAAGUGGAGGCCAAACAAUUUGAAGCUUCUGAAAAAAUUUGGUUAUGGCACAAAAGAUUGGGACACCCUUCCUUUCAGUACCUGCAAUAUCUAUUCCCUUCUUUAUUUUCUAAAGUCAAGGUUUCUGAUUUCCAUUGUGAAACUUGCAUUCUUUCUAAAAAUCAUCGUGUCUCAUUUCCUUUAAGUUCCCAUAAAAGUAAUGUUCCUUUCUCUCUUAUUCAUUCUGAUUUUUGGGGACCAUUUCAUAUUCCUACUUAUACUGGUGCUAAAUACUUUGUCUCUUUCAUUGAUGACUGCACUCGAGUUUCUUGGGUAUACUUACUCAAAAAUAAGAGUGAGGUUAUGACUAUUUUUCCAAUCUUUCAUCAAAUGAUUCAAACCCAAUUUCAUGCUAAAAUUCAAGUUGUUCGAUCUGACAAUGGGAAAGAAUAUUUGAAUUAUGGACUUGGAACAUUUUUUCAACAACACGGUAUCAUUCAUCAAACAUCUUGUCCACAUACUCCUCAACAGAACGGUAUAGCAGAACGUAAAAAUCGUCAUCUCUUGGAUGUGGCUCGCUCUUUAUGUUCUGCUAUGCACGUUCCUAAACGUUUUUGGGGUGAUGCCAUUCACACAGCUGUUUUUCUUAUCAAUCGCAUGCCAUCACGUGUUCUCCAAUUUCAAACACCUAUCCAGACCCUUUCCCAAUAUCAUUCUCUUCCUUCACUCCUUCAUAUUCCUCCAAAAGUGUUUGGUUGUGUCUGCUAUGUUCACGUCCCCAUGCAAAAUCGUGAUAAGUUGGAUCCUAGAGCCAUCAAAUGUGUGUUUAUUGGCUAUUCUGCUACUCAGAAAGGGUAUCGAUGUUACUAUCCUCCCACUGGGAAAUUUUUUGUCUCUAUGGAUGUUACCUUUCGGGAACACGAGGCUUUUUUUUCAAAAGAAGAUUUGGCCACUUCUCUUCAGGGGGAGAUAUGGAGUAAGGAGGAAGAGAAGUUGCCCCUUGGCAUUGGUGGUAUGCAUUUUUUAGAUGAACACUUGUCUGAUGUCGGUGAUUUGCCUAAUGAUGAGGCACAAGGUGAAAAAAUAUUGAAGGUGUAUGAGAGGACAAGAAAAAAGGGAGAUAAAGAAAAAAGGGAUGAUGAGAUAGACCACCCACAGACAGAUCCCCACAUUGACCAACUCUCUGACCAAUCAGCUGCUACUCGUACGAAUUAUCCUGAGGUAACCACUCAUUCUCCCUCUCUUCAGCCUACUAUAUUUGAUGAGUCCAAUCAUGAGAUUUCAUUAAGUGAUGAUCCAAAUGAUUCAAAUGAACCACAUCAUGAGUCUCAGGGUUCUCGUUAUCCUAUUCGAGAAAAUCGAGGGAUACCCCCUGUUCGUUAUGGUCAUUCUUCUACAAAGGGUAUUCAAUAUCCUAUAUCUAAUUUUGUUUCAUCUCAUCGCUUGUCAGACUCUUAUAUAUCUUUUGCAAACCAAUUGUCAUCAGUCUCAGUUCCUAAUAAGUUACAGGAUGCUCUUAAAGAUCCAAAAUGGAAAAAGGCUAUGAUUGAAGAGAUGGAAGCGCUUCGAAAAAACUCCACUUGGGAACUGAUUGCACUUCCUGAAGGCAAGAAACCUGUUGGGUGUAGAUGGGUGUUCACAGUAAAGCAUAAAGCUGAUGGUUCAGUGGAAAGGUACAAGGCUAGACUGGUAGCCAAAGGUUAUACUCAAACCUAUGGCAUUGAUUAUCAGGAGACAUUUGCUCCGGUAGCAAAGAUCAACACUAUCAGGGUUCUUAUGUCAUUGGUAGCAAAUCUAGGGUGGCCUCUACGACAGUUUGAUGUAAAAAAUGCAUUUUUACAUGGAGACUUGGAUGAAGAGGUAUACAUGGAUCUUCCUCCAGGAUUCACUACCACUUGCGAUAUUGGCAAAGUAUGCAGGUUAAGAAAGUCCUUGUAUGGAUUGAAACAAUCACCAAGGGCAUGGUUUGGCAGGUUCGCUCAAUCAAUGAGAAGUUAUGGGUUCAAGCAAACUCAAGCUGACCAUACCUUAUUUCUUAAGCAUGAUAGAGGUAAACUUACAGCCUUAAUUGUUUAUGUGGAUGAUAUGGUGGUUACAGGUAAUGAUGUCGAGGAAAUUCAAAAACUUCAAAAGUAUCUAGCCAAGGAAUUUGAAAUGAAGGACUUGGGUACUCUGAAAUAUUUCUUGGGUAUUGAAGUUGCAAGAUCAAAGCAUGGCAUUUUUCUUUCUCAAAAGAAAUAUGUUUUAGACUUAUUAACUGAGACUGGGAUGUUAGCUUGUAAACCUGCAGACACACCAAUUGAGCAAAACCAUAGAUUGGGAGACUAUCAUGAUCAAGUUCCGGCUAACAAGGAAAGGUACCAAAGAUUAGUUGGGAGGUUGAUUUAUUUGUCUCAUACACGACCUGACAUAGCCUAUGCUGUAAGUGUAGUGAGUCAAUUUAUGCACAGGCCAAGCGAAGCCCACAUAGAUGCUGUACAACGUAUUCUCAGGUAUUUGAAGUCUGCCCCUGGAAAAGGCUUGAUGUUUUCCAAUCAUGGACAUCAAGAAGUUGAAGGGUACACUGAUGCAGAUUGGGCUGGGUCAGUAACUGAUCGCAGAUCGACUUCUGGAUACUUUACAUUUGUUGGAGGAAAUCUAGUUACUUGGCGCAGUAAGAAGCAACAUGUAGUGGCUAGAUCCAGUGCCGAAGCUGAAUUUAGAGGUAUGGCACAUGGUGUGCAAGAAUUGUUAUGGCUCAGGACUUUGUUGAGAGAAUUAGGCUUUAAUUCUGCAAAGCCAUCAAAACUUUAUUGUGAUAACAAAGCUGCCAUUAGCAUUGCUCAUAAUCCAGUUCAACAUGAUCGUACUAAACAUGUUGAAGUGGAUAGGCACUUUAUUAAGGAAAGGUUGGUUGAUGGUACCAUUAACUUGCCUUAUGUGAAGAGUGAUGACCAGCUAGCAGAUAUUUUAACAAAGGCAGUGUCAAGUAGGAUUUUCCAUCUUUCACUCAGCAAGUUGGGCAUUCGAGAUAUUUACGCACCAACUUGAGGGGGAGUGUCAACUAAAAGCAGCCAUGAGUAUUGGAUGGCUAGUGAAGUUAGGCUAGUCAACUUUCUUUAUGUAAAUUAGGCAAGUUAGGUAAGUUAGGCAAGUUAGGCAAGUUAGGCAAAGUUAGGUUUUAUGUCUUCUUUCUUUCCCUAUAUAUAUGUUCAUCUUGUAAUGAGAAAAUCAUCAAAUAAAUCAAGGAAUUAACUCUAUUUUGGCAUGUUCAAUAAAUAAGACAGCUGUAUAUAAUAAAUAUCAAAUUAAUAGAGGCAUUAAUCCUAAGUUUGCUAUUCAUUGUUGUCAGUCUAAACUUGAUGACAUAUUGUAAAGUUCUCUUACAUACAGAUUAAUGAAAUAUUAAUUUAUUUCCAUGAGUUAUUUGAUUUUGCAAAUUCAAAAUAAUUGAAGAAUACUGAAAAUUACUAAACCCCAUCACAACAUGCCAUUAGCCAUUAGUGAAAAAUCAAAGACAAAAGUAAAUUACUAUCUUUCUAAGCAUUCAAAUUAAAAAACAAAUUAGCCAAAUUGGAAUGGUUAGAUCAAAUAAAGAUUUAAGUCAACCAAUUACACAAAUAAUUUAUGCAAAGUAGGCUCCUAAUAAAAUGUACCACUAUGGUGGUGGAGGAGGCCCAGGCUCAAACAGUGGAGGAAAGCAGAAUUUAAAUAUACCGCAGCAGCAUGGAAUCCACAGACUGCAUAAUCAAAACCAAAAUUUUAAAAUUUAAAUUUAAAUUUGAAAAAAAAAUGCAGUAGAAUUGUAUAAUGAGAAAUUCUACAAUGUGGAUAAAUUAAUCCCACUCAAUUUAAAUUUAAAGGAUGCAAUCAGUUGUAUUGGGCUGGCAACCGACUUAUGCUCAAAUCCCACUCAAUUUAUCAUACACCCUUCCAACUACAAUUCAAAGGAAGAAGUUCCAAGUCCAUGCAUAAUGUUUGCUCAAUUAAAAUAAAUUGCUUUUCAUGAUUAAAAUAGCCAACCAACCAACACUCAGUUGAUAAAAUUGAACAUUUGGAGUUACAUAUCCACAUAUUUAAGAUCGGACAAACCUUCUCAUGAAGACCACCCAAAGGUCCAUUAGUAAGUUGUGUGACCACACGAUUUACUGCACUUGAGUUUCCUCGUGCAGCUGCAAGAGCUAUGAGCUUACGUUGACCGUCAGCCACUUCUCCGCUUAAGGAUUGAGUCACCGAUGAUGCAGAAUUAAUAGCUUCCUGCAAAGAAGUGAAAUAAGAAACCUUAAUUUGUUAAAAUGUGAGUAAUUACAGUUUUCUCAAUUGAUUAAAACAUCAUCCGAUGGUGUUUUCUAGGCUUUUUUUUUUCCUUCCUUUUGCAGGCCAUUAUUUCAUUAGCCAUCUGCAGAAUUGCAAUUGAUAGAAUCGGUGUGCUUUGAAAUAAUCACAUAGAAUCGGUGUGCUUUGAAAUAAUCAUAACACUUCACAACACAAUGGCAGCAAUUUAUACAAAUUCUAACAACAAAUUGUCAAAAACAAUGAGAACAAUUACCAGAAAUUUCAGAUCUUUUGGGGGUUCAAAGUAAUUACCAGAGUGACGAAAGCUAAAAUCAACACUAGUCCAAUUUUUUUAAAAUAAGAACAGCUCCGAUCUGAGAAAUACAGUGCAAUUUCUGAAGAAAAAAAAGCGAGAAAACCAUAAAAUCCCUAAGAACCCUAAUUUAUAAACCCUAAACAAAUGCAAAAGGAGAGAGGAGACUCGAAUAAAGGGAAAAUCCAGAAAUUCAACGUACCAUAAUCGGAGCGAGGACGCUUUCCGACGGCCAAAUUCAUCGACACCGGAGGCGGUUGUCGACCGUCACUACUUGGUUUGUGUGCUUCAUGUCGAGAGAUAUGGGCAGCGGAGAGAGAGGAAAAGUAGAGGAAGAUGAAAGCUUGUGGGUUUUCCAGUAGACAAGGACAGAAACAGGAAGAGUGAGAGAUGAGAGGAAAGCACACGCGUCUAACCCAUCGCAAUCCGUUCUAAACAACAAAAUUACCCUCUCAACUUUUGAGAAUUACCCUCCCAACCCAGCCCCAUUUGGCUGGCAUUGUUGUAAAUAGCGUGAAAUUGAGUGGCAAAGAUUUGACUGUAGCUAAGCUACAGUCAAUUGCCCCUCAACUUUAGAAUAGAUAACUAGAAAUUAUUACCCGCACGUUGUUGCGGGAUUAAAAGUCAUAAAAAGCAUUAUGUUUGAAAGAUAUAAAAGUUGUACAAUUCACUGCUAUAUUUAAUUGAUACUCCACUUAAAAAUCGUAGAAGUUUUGGCUAUCUAUGUACAUAAAAUAUUAGAUCAAGACAUUCCACUUGGGUAGUUUAUGUAAUUUUCGGUCGACAACAGUACUUAUAUACAAAAGAUUAUGAAACUUUGGGCUAUUUACAUGCAAAAAUGUUAAGAAAUAUUGUGUCAUUUACAUUGAUAAAAUAUGACAAAAAUUAUUAAAUGGAACACCAAAAAUUCCCUCCAAUACUCUUGAUUGUCAAGAAAGUAGUUUAAACCAAUCCACAGACCGAAACUUCCAUGUGUAUUCAGUUUCUAUAAAUCAACCAACUACUCCAUUCCAAACUAUCCAACAAAUAUUUGAUAGCAAUACAACCAACCACCAACAAACAUUUUAUACCCAUCCAAAGACCAAAACCCUUUCAAAUUUCCAUGAGUAUUAAUGAUUUUCAACUAUAUUAUUUGAAGACGGAGACACACAGAGCUAGCAUAGGAACCAAAGAAGAUCUGCAAAAGCAAGUUAAGAGAUCAUCGUAUUACAGAAGCAAAUACAUAAUAAAAUUAAGAGAGUAUCAUAUUACAAAAGCAUAAUAAUGUUCGUUUCCUAAUGUAUUACAAAAACCUAUGAUUUCAUUCCACUUCACAUAAUUCACAGGGUUUAUUUUUAAAACCCACAAAAUUUACAGCUUAGUUCAAAGAAUUUGGUCUGAUUAUUAAUAUUCACACGGAAAAGAUAAGACUCAAAUAAACUGGGCAUUUGAAGUCACUUUCAUAUUUCUUAUAAUCACAUCAGUAUCAUAUAUAUAUACAAAUGUAGCAAAAGAGAAUAGCGAGUGCAAGCACAAAUCUUGUGAUAGUACACAAAAAAUGACUAAACCCGAAAUUCCCAAAACAUACACCAAUCUUAUACAAAAAUCGAUAUCUUAUCGAGAAGAAAUUAGAAUAUCAAAAUCCUAUAACAAAACAUGAGGCACAAUUAUCACAAUUAGAAAAAUAUUUCAAAUAAGAGCCAAACCAAAAAUGCACAUAAAGGUAAGUUGUGAACUCAAAUAAAACUCACUAUGAUGCUCAUUUCUAAUUAUGAAUGCUCUCGGGACUCCAAUCUUCUCAUCCCAGUCGAAAAUAAUGUCAAAUGCAGACUCCUCUGCUGUUUAGAGGGUGAUUGUGGUAACCCAAUUUUCCAAUUAUGUUGCCUUCCAAUUUUUUCUUGCAACCAAGUUUCUAAAAAAAAAAACAGAUUGAAUUCAAAAGGUAAUUGGACCAAGGCAUCAAAAGACAUAAGAAAAAGUAUAGAAAGAAUAAACCACAUAUAUCACGUAUUAUACUACUUUGUAUUCCAAAUACGUGUAAGAAUAUAUCCAUCAACGGCAUCAUAUUUAAGAGUUAGCUUCCAUCAAACCCUUCAUCUAAUCCCACCCUUACUUUCUUCUUUAACCCUUCAUAAUCCCACUUUUACUCUCUCAAACCCCUCAACUUACCCUGGACUUUGUUUCUGCAGCUUAGUUUCAUUUAAAAGCUUAUUUCUCAACAAAAUCAUCAUUAGUUUCAGUCUUAAAUAAUCAACGCAAGAGAACUUAGGAAAUUAUUCUCCACUCUCUUGGUGACCAAACAGAUGAUAAGUGGAGAAAAGGGGUUGUUAAGAAGAAGAGUACCUCAAAUGUUCAGAAAUUAAGAAAUUGAGAAGCUCAGUUGCAUCAUAUAUAUUUAAUAAAUCUCCAUCUUAAAUUAGCUUAAAUCUCCAUCUCAAAUGUUCAGUUGCAUCAGAAAUUAAGAAAUUGAGAAAAGGGGUUCUUCAUAACAUCAAUUUCCAUCUUAAAUUAGAAUAAUCUCUAACGUUAGAAAUAUGAGUACAAACGAAUGCUUAGUAAAAGAAUCGGCCAAUUCUAAUUAAGAAUUGUUAAUCGAACUGUAAAAGCAACAUAUAUAUUUUCCAACUUCUAACACAGAACCAACAGAGAGAAUCCAAUUGAAAACCAUUAUACAAUCAGAAGAAGAGAUAUUUCGAGAAGAAGAGUUCAUUACUGAAGGCAGGGGAGCAGCAGCAAAAACUGAAAAAAGCGAACUUUGGCCUCAAAUUUUAUCUAGAAUAAUUGAAAACAAUAACAAAAUUAACAGUUAAGGGUGAUAAUGUUAUUAAUAUGUGGGUUGUGUCUUUGAAACACCAAGAGGUCAAAAAAUCGAAACAAAGUGGAAUAUAAAUCUUAAAAAAAUUUAGACAAAAACAUCCUCCCCAGAUAAAAUUGAACGAAAAAUUCAUAAAUAUAAAAUUACAAAAAUUAAAUCAUUGGAAAAACAAAACGUACAUGACAACGAAUAAGGUACUUGCAGGCCUCUUAAGCUUGUUCGGAUCCUUCUCAACCUCCUUGCAUCUCCACGUUUACUCUUCAACCUAUGAAAAUCAGAAACCAACAGACACACAAAUAAAGAUGAGAUAUGUGCAUAAUAUCAAACAAAGCUUGGUGGUGAUCUUUUCAAAAGUCAAGUUCGGAGUACAACUUUAUAUUUUUUUUUCACUUACACUGAUGAUAAGUAUAAUCAAGACAGAGAAACUCAUGAACCAGCCUGUCAAAAUCAUUGACGGAGAAAUGAUAAAUAAACGGAUUCAGAAACCUAUUAAGCACUUGGACAAUGAACAUUCCUAAAAAAGGAAUUUCUUGGACAUGCAACCAACAGGUCUACAGAAAAUUAAACACAAAUACAAAAUCAACGGUUCAUAUCGAGAUCUCCGAUCAAAUCGCAAAAAGUGUAAAUACAUACAAAAUCCUUUGAGCCGCACGAUAUUGGAGAAAAUUCAUCUGGUGGUUCAUCAAUUGAAGGCGAUGAUGAUCCAAAAUCAAGAGCGGGGUAGAAGCCAGGUGGCCUUUCUCGAGGUUUAAUUGACAGCAAUUGGCUAGAGUCACCAACGACAUCUGCCCACCCGUAAUGCGGCUCAGCCCUUCAUCAAAAAGUGAAAGAUCAAAAUUACUUUUACAGUAAGAGCAAUACCAGAAAAUGUAAUCUAAAUUCUUUAUAUUUGGUUCCCCUGAAAUCCUUUUGACUGCUUCAACAUACUAUAUGCAGACAGAACCAGAACCAAGUCCAGACUCUUACUCGUAAUAGGUCUCCUCAUCCACAACAAUAUCCCAGCUUUCCCCUGUCGUGCUUUUCCCAUAUUUGUGCACCUUACUGCAAAGAGAGAGCAAGUUAACUUAUCAAAGAAAAGCCAGAACAAUAGAUGCCAAUGCAGUUCAGCAAGUUUAUUUCCUUUCGUACCCAUUUCCAAAGUGCUCUUCUCCUCAUGUCCUUGACCAACCUAGACAUAAGAGAACAAAAACAGAGUUACAUCAGAUUAAAUUAUUGAAAGAAAAAGUUCACUUAUGUUGUAACGAAUUGACAUUAGAAUCAAGCAACCGAGUUCUGAAAUACGAAUUUAAAAUGUAACUAUUUGCUGUGUCCGAAAUGAAUCUGUGAAAUCAAAUAGUUAAACCCUAAAAAGCACCACUGCAAAUAGCAUAAGAAAAUUGAAAUUAACCCUAAAUAAAUUGGGAGAGAAGAAUAUGAAAAGGGAAUACCUUUCGGCCCUUUGAGUUAUUGGAAAAAAAAAACCCAACAGAGCAAAAGAUAAACAAAAAUACAGGAGGAAAGAAUAUAAAUUUUCAACUUGUAAGAUUCAUACGCGAACAGAUUGGCGGUCAAAAGCAUUUCGGAACUCAGAGCCAUCAAGCUUUUUGAUCUGCAGGAAAUUAUUUAUGAAGUUUGAGAUUCUUAUAGACGCUUCAGACACAUCGACAUAUUGAAAAAGCAAUAUUCAACAACCUAGUACCCAUGCUUCAUAGAAGGUUACAGAAAAUAUGAAUGUCUGGACUCUGGAGUGAGAAAGUAAAAGGACUUACCGCAUACUUCAUAUCUUCUAAGUUUGUGUAGUCCACAAUCCCUGUUGUGCCUACAAAAGAGGCAUAGGUCUUAGGAUUACACUUUUGAAAUAACACUAUAUGAAAUAGUAGUGUAUAUCCCAAAAACAAUCUGAAAUCUGGUUGAUCAUCGAAGAGUUCGAAGGGAUUUACCUUUGGAUUCUUCGGCUUUCAGAUGGAGUUUGCUUGUGUGAGGGAGAGAGAGGUGGAGCUGCUAGGGUUUGAGUAUGGAAGAGAUGAAAAAUGGAGAGAGCACCUGUUUUGGCUGAAGCAGCUCACACGCGCGUGGAUCAAAAGUAGCGGCAUGGCCUCCCAUCCCCGAAACCCACCCGCAUGUCCCUCCCGAAAAUCCUUUCCCCGAAAUCCCGGCCAACGUCUCCCUCUCAACCCUUCUGUCGCCCUUCCCUCUCUCUCCCCGAGUCAAAGCCCAAAUCCAACCCAAAGAGUGAAGACCCGUUCUUAAGCCCAGUGGCAAUCUUGUAAAUGAAGCGAAAUUUGGGCUGAAAUCAGCCCGGUGGCAAACUCGUAAAUAACGUGAAAUUGAGCUAAAAUUGCACAGUGCCGUUUCCCCACCCCACCCUUUAGACUAAAGUAAUAAUUUGGGAAAAGGGAAAAUUUUUGAAAUGUCAUAUAAACUUGUACAUAUUUUUCAAUUUGUCAAAUAAAUUAAAAUUUUCAGCAAUUUAUCAUACCAACUUUCCGAAAUCAUCGAUUUGUCAUCUCAUCCUAAUUCUGUUAAAUUUUCCAUUCAAAGUCACAUAACUUGUGUUCAGGGUUAUUUAUGUCAUUUUAACACCUCAUUUCCUUCUAUUAAGUUGCAUUCGAUCACAAUAAUUAUAGGGUUUCUAAAGCUACAAAAAGGGACUGAUAUACGAUACGUGGUCUAAGAGUUUUCGUUCAAAAGGAGAACGACGACGCUUGUGUGUGUUUCAAAUUGAAGAUGACUAAAGAAUAGAGUCAUUGCGAACCCUUCAAUCUAUAUGAUAAAGUUGGAUGAAAUUAUUUAUUAUGGCUGUUUGGAUGAAAUUAUUUAUUAUGACUAUCUACGACAAUGAGAAAUCUGAUUCUUCUAGUUGUAGCUACUCCCGUUUUCUAUGUUUAUUUGCAUUCUUAUUUGAUGGAAUGGCGUUUUACCAUGACAUUGAAUGGUUUUUUAUUUGGUUCUUUGUUUAGUUUGAACUAGAAAAUUUGCCCGCACUUUGCUGCGGGUUUUGAAACCAUUAUCUACAACAGGCAAGAAUAAUUUCCAUAGAAAGUAACUAAAAAGACGGUCUAGCACCUAAGAACCAAUGAAGUGAAACUUUGCUUGUUAUAUAUGGAUAUACAUGCUAUAAGAAACCAUUCAUAUUCAGUUCCAGCGACAAUAUCGCUUUUCUUUAGUCCAUUUUGAAUGGUAUUUCCUGUGGCUUUGGAUCGACAAUAGUACUUGCAUACAAAAGAUUACGAAACAUUGUUUUAUUUACCUGAAGAAAAAUGACAAAAUAUUGUUUUACUUAGUUACCUUCAAAAAAUUUAGAAUUACACUAAAAAUGCUUUUGCUAUUCAAAUAUCAUAUGCCAGAUUGAAAUCGAAAAACUAGACUUCGAAUUCAAAACUAUUCACAUGUGGAAUAAAUUGAAAUGCCUCAAAAUAUUAUCAUUAUCCAAUUGUAUAUGGAAAAUGCCUGAAAGUAAUCCAUGCCUUUCUCAAAAAUAGGUCAUUCAGCGUAAAGCACCAAGUAAUAGCCUCUAAUAUCAGAGAAAAUACCUGCCAAGAAAAGAAAUUAAAAUAUUAGGCAUACGAGUGCAAGCUUACAGAAACUUUGUUUUUGUACACUUUCUUCUCCCUUCAAUGACAGUUUGUUUCUUAUCCAGAAAAAUAAAAUGAGCAGGUCAAUGAUACUCACAUGUGCAAAAUGCUAAUCCUAUGGUCUAAAGCUAACUGAGUUUUUAAGUGUGAAAUCCCUAAUUUCACUGCAUUUGGAUUGAUCACAGUUCAUGACUUGUUAAACUUGAUAUCUCCUUGUACAUUUUGGGAACUUGACAGCUUAAAGAAGUGCUCAUAAAAGCAAAUUACACAAUAUCUACUAAAAAUUUAGAGAAUGGACUCAAUUAGUCAACAAACAGGUGCCUCACACUUAAAUAUUAAAGACCAAAGAGAGAAAACCAAGCCGAACUCUUCAAAAUUUGUUGGCACACAUGCUUCAUUGGCCCAAUUGAAUGUAUAAUGCAUACUUGAUACAACAAUUCGAACAAUUGUUAGAGAUUCACAUAAGCCUCCAAACUUUAAAAAAUUUGAAACCUUAAGAAAGCAGAACCUGUUUUCCUUCAUAUUUUUGCUGUUUCGAUUAGCUUAUCUCGCUAUCACUUGAUUCAUUAGUUCUGAAGGAAGUUCUAAUCACUACGAAAACAGCUUAAUAACAGUUGAUUAUCUCUAAAACAAAGAGGGAAAACAUAGAAAUACUAUUUGUACUCAAAAUCCCAAAUGUGUAACACAUGGUCGUAAUCUACCUUGAUUUCUAAAUUUAAAAUUCGACACAAAAAUGAAAUUUGGAAUGAUUAGCAGGGAAAUAAGAGAGAGAAGUGUGAGCGAAUAUACCCAUGAGGCCUUUGGAUCCGAGUUCGGAGCUGGAAGCGCAGAGGUUAUGAACCCAAAGCAUGGAAGAAGCGGGAAGGAUUUUCCUCUGUGCUGCCUCAUGCACGUGUCUUGUACCAUUCAUCCAAGCAUUGACUGUGUCAAAUAUUGGGCAGUGGGUAAUCUUAAAACUGAUAUAAUCAUAGAAAUAACUUUGUUCAAUCUUUCAGGAUCUUAGCAACAUGUCUUUUGUUUCAUGACUUCUCAACAAAAGAUGUGGCAUCAACAAUAUUUGUGAUGUUUAUUGAAUUUUGAUGUAUAUUUGCUUUAUGAAACAAUUACAAGAUGAAACAUAUAUAUAGGGAAGAAAAAGAUCAUAAGCCUAAUUUUGCCUAACUUACCUAUCUUGUUUGACUAACCUAACUUGCCUAAUUUUGAACAAGAAAGUUGACUAGCCUAAUUUCACCAUUAUUCCAACAUGUUUAUUUCAUGCAUUUUAACACUCCCCCUCAAGUUGGAGUGUGAAUGUCGAUGACACCCAACUUGCUAAUUAAGACCUCAAAUUGUGCCGAGCUUAGUGGUUUGGUGAACAAGUCUGCAGGUUGAUUCGAGGUCCGUAUGUAAGCUGUUUGCACCAUUCCCAUUUGAAUCUUCUCACGUAUUAGGUGACAAUCUAUCUCUAUAUGCUUCGUUCGUUCAUGAAACACUGGGUUCGAAGCAAUGUGCAUGACAGCUUGAUUAUCACAAAACAUUGUGACUGGUUGUGCAUGAUUUACUUGCAAGUCCUUCAAAAUGUUUCUUAGCCAUAUAACUUCACAACAAGUAGUAGCCAUAAAACGGUAUUCUGCCUCUGCACUAGAACGAGAUAUUGUGCUUUGUUUCUUCGUUUUCCAAGAUAUCGGUGCUUGUCCAAGGAAGAUACAAUAAUCGGUUAUUGACCUUCUAAUGUCUUUACACUGAGCCCAAUCAGCAUCACAAAAGGCUUGUAAUUGUAGUGAACCUGUAGAAGGCAAAAGAAUUCCCUAUCCAGGAGAUUGUUUGAUGUACCUGAGAACCUUAUGCACCGCUUCAAGGUGUGGUUGUCGUGGCUUAUCCAUGAAUUGGCUCAACAUAUUAACCACAUAAGUCAGGUCAGGCCGCGUGAUGGUUAAGUAAAUCAGCCUCCCUACGAGUCGCCUGUAUGAAGAAUGAUCAUGUAGGAGCGUCCCAUCAGUUUGUGUAAGGGACAGGUUUGGUUCCAUUGGUAAUCGUGAGGGCUUCGCACCAAGGAACCCAACAUCUUCUAGUAUCUCCAACGCAUAUUUGCGUUGGCACAAGGCAAUCCCUUGUUUAGAUCUUGCAACUUCUAUCCCCAAAAAGUAUUUGAGUUUUCCCAAAUCCUUUAGUUUAAAAUGUUGGGAAAGGAUGAGUUUAGUCUCUUCAAUCUCUCAAAUUGUUACCUGCAAGUAUCACGUCAUCAACAUACACAAGUAAUGCCAUAAAACUGCCUUGACGGUUUCGGACGAACAAUGAGUAAUCUGACCAUGAUUGAUGAAAACCAGCAGUCUUGAGAGCACUAGACAGCUUGAUAAACCAUUGUCUUGAGGCCUGUUUUAAACCAUAAAUGGAUUUGUGUAAUUUGCAUACUCGUGUCUCCCCCUUUCGUCCGAACCCAGGAGGCAAGGACAUAUAAACCUCCUCGUAUAAGUCACCAUGUAAAAAUGCGUUGUUCACAUUAAGUUGAUGAAGAUGCCAGCCUCGUAUGGAGGCAAUACUCAGGAGGACGCGGACGGUGGUGAGCUUGGCAACUGGAGCAAAAGUUUCCCGAUAAUCAAGCCCCUCAAUUUGACUGUAGCCUUUAGCAACGAGACGAGCUUUGUAGCGUUCAACACUGCCGUCAGGUUUAAGCUUCACCUUAUAGAUCCAUUUGCAACCGAUGGGAUGUUUGUGAGGUGGUAAGGGCACAAGAGUCCAAGUGCGAUUGUCAUGAAGGGCAACAAUCUCUUUUUGCAUGGCGUCACGCCAUUUUGGAUCCUGAACAGCUUGCGAAAAACUGGUGGGUUCUUUGAUAAUGGUGAGGGUGGUGAGAAAGGUUUUGUGAGUGGGGGAUACAUGGUCAUAAGAUAAAUAACGAGAUAUGGGGUGAGAUGUACCUGAUGACUGGACCAUGCUUGUGGAAGAUGUGGGAGCAACACGGGAAGGGAGGGCCACCUCAACAUGAAAGUCCUGCAAAAAUGUGGAAGUUUUGGUCGGUCGAGUGCUACGACGGAGUGGAGGUGGUUGGUCUGGUGAUGGAGUGGUUGGAGGUGGUGAAGAGUGUAGGGUAUGUGAAUGUGUUGAUAAGGUAUCUGGUGGUGGAGUUGUAGUAGGUAAAGGAGAUGAGAGUGGGGUGAUGUCGGCAAGUGUGGGAGAGGUAAUGUUUAUUUCUUCGGGUGCAAGGCUUGAGUGCGACUCAAUGGGAGAGGUCAAGUCAAACGUGAUGGGUGAGGGUGUAAUGUUUGAUGGAGACGGGGCAGCGGAAGUGGUAUGAUUUUGGAAUGGAAAAUGAUCUUAAAAAAAAACAACAUCCCUAGAAACAAAAGUCUUAUUGUGUUUUAUAUCAAACAAUUUAUAACCCUUUUUACCAUAAGGAUACCCAAGAAAAAUGCAUUGGAUUGCACGGGGGUCGAAUUUAGAGGGCCUUUGGGCGUGUGUAGAAGCAAAACAUAAACUACCGAAAACCUUUAAAUGGGAAUAGUUAGGUGCUUUGUGAAACAGUUUUUCGUAAGGUGUUUUACCUUGGAGAAGUGGAGUGGGUGUUCUAUUGAUGAGGUAGGCUGAGGUUAAGAUUGCAUCCCCCCAAAAACGUUUUGGCAACAAGCUUGAAAGAGCAAAGCCCGAGCAACAUUGAGCAAAUGCAUGUGUUUACGUUCGACAACACCAUUUUGUUGUGGUGUGUUGACACAACUAGAUUGAUGUAUGAUGCCUUUGAGAGCAUAAAAUUGCUCAAGCUUAAACUCAGGGCCAUUGUCACUUCGUAUGAUUUAACUAUGGUAUUGAAUUGAGUCUCAAUCAUUUGAAUGAAUCCGACUAAAAUGUCUUUUGUGUCAGAUUUAUGUUUCAUCAAAUAAACCCAAGUGCUUCUAGUGUAGUCAUCUACGAUGGUAAGGAAAUACUUGGCACCUGAAAUAAAAGCAACUUGAUAACCACCCCAAAUAUCAAUAUGCAAUAAUUCAAAACAUGAUUUGGUAGAAAUAGAGCUCAAAGGAAAGGGUGAUCUUGUUUGUUUGGCCAAUGGGCAAAUUAAACAUUUUUCCAAAUCACAAGCCUUAUUGUUAAAUAAAGGUAAUAACGAAGUGACUUUAUGAUGGGUGUCCUAGGCGUUGGUGCCAAAGCUUUGGUGAGACGGUUUGAAUAUUGUUGCAUGUUCCUUUCUUUGAUGGGUCGAGGUAGUAAAGUCCAUCCCUUUCAGUUCCUGUCCCAAUCAUCUUCCCCGAGCGAAGGUCCUAAAUGACACAAAAUUGGGUGAAGAAAAUGGUGACAUAUAAGGAAUCAUAGGCUAGUUUACUGAUAGAUAUUAAAUUCAACCUAAAGAACGGCACACAUAGGACAUUUUCAAGGAUAAGAUUAUGAGAGAAAACAACUUGUCCAAUGUGAGUGACUUUGGCAACUGAACCAUUUGGCAAUUCAACUGUAUGAUUUUCAACAGCUCGUGAGUGUGUAAGGAGACUAGGACUGCAAACUAUAUGAUCUGUGGCACCACUGUCCAGGAUCCAAAUACUUUUGGUUCCUUUACAUGAAAAAUAGAAGGCUUUACCUGAAAGUUCUUCAUGACUAGGAAGAUUACUGACUUGAUUGGCAAAUGAUGAUUUGUUCUUGUUCAACAUCUGAAGAAUUUGCUUGCAGUCCUCCUGAGAGAACGGGAAAUUAGGCACUGUCUCUUGCUUGUUACUUUGUGAAACUUGAUUCCCCUUUGAAGAAAAGAGACGAUUGGAUUCGGUCUCUGUGGCUGCUUUCCGUUUUCGACAGAAAUCGAAGGUGUGGCCUUUCCAUCCGCAAAAAGUGCACUUGAGAUGUGCACGACAAUUUUUGGUGAUGUGAUUGGUUUUAUUGCACUUUCCACAUCGCAUCUCCUUGUCUUCAGGUGUAGGUUCUCGCAACAGAUUCUUCACUGCAAAGACAGCAGUUUCUAGUUGUGUGCUUUUCCCAUUGGAAACCUCUGCCUGGCGUUCAUGUCGAAGGACCAACGCAUAUGCCUUGUUCACCGUAGGCAGUGGUUCGAGAAGAAGAGUAUUGCUUCGAACCGUAGCAUACAAUUCGUUCAGUCCCAUAAGGAACUUCAUGGUUUUCUGAGUUUCAACAUAUGAGUUCAUCUCAUUCUUUGUUCCACAACUGCAUGCUAGAAUGGAACACAAAGUAUCACGUUCAUCCCAUAAACUUUUAAGUUUAGUGAAGUAAGAACUUACACUCAUAUUGCUUUGGACGCAAUCAUGGAUCUCGUUCUCAACAUGGAACAGCUGAACUAUAUUCACAUGUGAGAACCUCUCCUGCAGAUCGGUCCACAUUUGUCGAGCAUCCUUGUAGUUGAUGACACUCCCUGAAAUCUCCUUUGACAUGGAGCCUAGUAGCCAUGUAUUGACCAAGUUGUUGCAGCGAUUCCAUUGCUGCAGCUCCUCAAAAUUAUCCUCACUUGGUUUGUUGAUCGUUCCAUCAACAAAACCAAGUUUGUUCUUGACCGUUAAGGCCAUACUCAUGGAUUGAACCCAAGUGUUGUAGUUGUCUUCCACCAAUGGUUGUGGUACGAGGAUUGCACCAGGUUGAUCCGAGUGGUGGAGAUAGAGCGGGUGGUUGGGAUUUUCCCAUUUUGAAUGAGAGGCCAUGCCUAGAAUGGUUGACCUCGUGGCUGCUUUAGAGCUGUGUUUUGUGAUUUUUCCCAGAUCACAGCUCUGAUACCAUAUUGAAUUUUGAUGUAUAUUUGCUUUAUGAAACAAUUACAAGAUGAAACAUAUAUAUAGGGAAGAAAAAUAUCAUAAGCCUAAUUUUGCCUAACUUACCUAUCUUGCUUGACUAACCUAACUUGCCUAACUUUGAACAAGAAAGUUGACUAGCCUAAUUUCACCAUUAUUCCAACAUGUUUAUUUCAUGCAUUUUAACAAUGUUAAUUCUGAAUCAUGUCUCUAUUUUAGAUUGAGAGAGAGAGAGAGCAUGAUUUAAGAUGACAAAAGUGCCAUGCAUCCCUUUAAUCUCAGCCGCGUGAUCCUAACCCUAGAUAGAUAUUUCCAUCAUUUUAGCACCCUAAGGGCCGACCUUACGAAGAAUCUAAGAAGGCCCAUCAAACACAUGAUGGGCGGCCCAAAACAAAGUAACCCAACCCCUAAAACACACUAACCCACCCAGCCCUAAUUUGAUGGCAAUGGCAUAAAUAAAGUAAAAUCAAGUGGCAAACAAUUGACUGUAGCUAAGCUACAGUCAAUUCAAUCCUCAACUUUAGAAUAGAUAGUGUUUGUGUGUAGAAUGUUGUGCGUAGAAUGUCGACUACUUGUUUUAUAUUGAUGUCUUCCUGUGUUUUGUUUAUUUCUUUUAUGUAGAAAGCUGUAACAAGAAAAUUGAAUUGUAGAAGCCGUAGCUCAUAUUCAUUCCUUGGCAGCGUAUAAAUAUAUUGGAUUACAAAGAGUCCUACUGGAAUAAAAGAUGACAUAAAUCAACAUGAUUUGGUUUGUUUACAGAGGGUGGAUUGGAUUGGGACAAGGUCUCUUGUUUAACAUUUUAUGUAUUGAGUCGAGAAUUUGAGAGUUUUUAUCUUUUUUUUAGACAUAUAAAUGGCGUUCAUUGAAAGUUGGUUAUUGUGGGGCAAGUCAGACUUUAAGUUUGACUUGAACACUCUUAAUCUCAAAAUUUAAAGUACUAAAACCUAUUUUCAUGUCCAUGCACUUUUAUGCUGAUGGUUACUUUGUAUCUAAGUAGGGAAUGUUUAUUUGUUUUGUCAUUUUACCGAUUGCUUAAACUUUGAUCACUUAUUUUGUACAAAUAAAUAUGAAUUAUUUACAAUUGCACCAUGGAGGUCACUUUAUAGAAGCCUGUAAUGGAACAAUGACUUGUGUCGGUGGUCGUGUUGCUUGGUUUGACAAUAUGAACUGCGAUCUAAAUGUCCAAGUGGGAUAUUGAGGAUUGUGCGAAGAAGUUAGGGUAUACUAAGAGAUGGUUUGGGAGUGAGGUGCUUAAAAAAAACACCUAUGAAAAAAAGUUGUGAGGGUUUUAGGUGUUUGGUAAACUAAAAAAAAAGUUUAUUUUGGAAGCUGCUGUGAGAAUAAGCUAAAAUAAAAGGAAAAAGCUGAAGCUGCUAUUUGCAGCUUUGGAAAACUGGUUUUUUUUUCAAAAUACACAGAGCUACAGUGCUCCUUUAAUGAAAAUACCCACUAUGAGAUUUUUUUUUUUGCAAAAGCACUUUUACAAAAAAAGUUUACCAAACACUCUGCUAAUUUAUUUCACAGCCGCUUAUUCUCACAGCAAUUUUUUCAAAGCACAGCAAUACCAAACCAGCCCUAAGAUUGCUAAGUACUAUUACACAUUGCCAAAUGACAGAACUUACAAGCCUAUGGUUGCUGAUAGUGAUUUUUGGACUCUAGCUACUGUAUUGCCCCUAAAUAGAGUGGUACUGGUGUACAUUGUUGAUGAUGACCAACUGAUCAAUUCAGCCCCAAACAUUGAAAUUCAAGCUUCAGCAAACCCUUUCGACAUUCCUCACAUGUCAGCCCCGAACAUCGAAAUUCAAGCUUCAACAAACUCUUUUGACAUUCCUCACAUGUAUGAUCCUUUAGGUAUAUUUGAGGGAUUUUUGGAGCAAGCUUAUGAAGGAGAUUGGGAACAAGACAAUCUUGUUGAGGUAGGUAUGCAUAACAUGGAAAAUGAAGAGAAAGAUGGCAAUGGCAAUUCGGAAGAUUCAGAUUAUCGAGACUCAGACUAUGAACAAAGUGAUGUCGAUGACAACUUAUUUGACGACAAUGUAGAGAAAACUAAAGGGAAAUAUACCAAUGGAAAAUGCAAUGGAAAUAGGUAAGCAUCACGUAAUACUGAACCCUUCCCUGAUUUAGGAUUUGGAGAUGUUGAAACAGACUACGAAGAUUCGGAUGGCUUUAGAAGUGGUUCUAGCUCAUCAUCUGAAGGUGAACAACCAAUGAAGCGGAAAAGUAAGAAUAAAAUGCCCAAACUCAUUCCUUUCAGAAGUGAUUUGAAUAUCAAGAACCCACAAUUUAGAACUGGAAUGAUAUUUUCCAAUAGAAAGGAGUUCAGACAAGCAGUGACAUAUUAUGGUUGUGUGAAUGAAAGACAAAUAAGAUUCCCAAUAAGAGAGCGUUAUAAAGUUCAGGGUAAGCGUUCAAAUGAGGGAUGCCCAUGGGUGAUUUAUGCAAGCAAAAUAGAUGGGAGCUCUGCACUUAUAGUGAAGACACUCAAUGAUGUCCAUACAUGCCCGAGAAAGGAAAAGCUUAGACUACACACCUCAACUUGGUUAUCACAUAGGUAUGCUGAGGAUUUGCUUGACAAUCUUAAAUGGGAUGUGUCAAAAUUCCAACAAACUGUUCAUAAACAAUACAAUUUGCACGUAACACUGGCUCAACUUUAUAAAGCACGGUCAUUGGCAGCUGAGAAGAAUGAAGGAGCUUAUGUGGAGCAAUAUGCAAGGUUAUGGGAUUGUUGUGAGAAGCUCAAGCGAAGAAAUCCUGGCAGUACAAUUUUGGUGAAGACUAAAAUGGAAUGAGGAAGGGCUAGGUUUCAGAGGUUGUAUGUAUGCUUUCCAGCAUUGAAAAAGGCUUUUUGGAAGGUUGUAGGCCAAUGGUGGGAUUGGAUGGAUGCCAUAUUAAAGGUCCACAUCCAGGUUGUUGUGCUAGGAUAGCACCAAACCCGUUGGAACCAACUCAAGCUAACUCACAAGAAAUUUAUCAAAUGAAAUGCAAGAACAAAAUAUUAAAGACACCAAGAUUUUAACGAGGUUCCUCAACAGUCAGUGUAACUGGAGUACGUCUUUGGAGCAGUAAGAGCUCACCCAAUAAUCCACUAUCAACCAAAUGAGAGUUUACAAAGUGUUGGCAAUCUCACAACCCAAAUAACCCAAUACACCCAAUAACUCUCACUCACCAAAGAAACAAAUAGAGAGGGAAAUAUAGUGAAUAAUUUCCUCUCUAUACAAAGCUCAAAGCUAAUACACAAAUACAACUUUGAUUGAGUAAGUACCAACAAAGAAAGAAAUCACCUUUCUUUCUUCUCUUUCUGCUCUCAGUUUUCUGCUCUCUGCAGCUCUCUUUGCUCUCUCAAAGAUGGGCUACUAAAACUGAAAAUUAGUGCACUCAUCCUCUUCUCUUUUCUUCUCCGAAACCAAACAUAUUAUUGCUUUGAAAAAGCCACAAACAAGCCAUAAAACAAGGAAACAUAAUCAUGUUGUCCUUUCUUUUUUUUUCUUUAUAAUUUUUUAUAGCCAAAAGUUGGCCACUUGGCCACAUACUCCAACAAUCUCCACCUUGGCCAAGUUCCGAAAAAAAAGCCAUGAUAAGCCAACCAACACAAUAACACACAACAUCACUCCCAAACACUAGCAAGAGAACAACUCAUGCCGAGCCAAAUGCUCCAAAACUCCUACUGCUCAACGCCUUCUUUAUAUAGGCAUAAUGUGAGCCAAGUUCAAACAAUGAACAAAUUUGGCUACACCAACAACCUUAGUUAACAUAUCAGCGGGGUUGUCUUUAGUUGGAAUCUUCUGGAUAAUGAUUUCCCCUUCACCAACAAUUUCACGAACAAAGUGAUAACGCACAUUUAUGUGCUUGGUCCUCGCAUGAUGAACCUGAUACUUAGCCAAAUAAAUGGCACUCUGACUAUCACAAUGUACCUUCACCUGCUUCUGAUCAACCCCCAAAUCUCUAAUCAGCCCAUGUAUCCAAAUGGCCUCAUUUAUAGCUUCAGCAACUGCCAUAUAUUCAGCCUCUGUAGUAGACAAGGCAACAGACGACUGCAAAAUGGACCUCCAACAAACUGGUCCUUUAGCCAUAGUAAACACAUAGCCUGUAGUAGACUUCCUUCCAUCCAGAUCACCUGCAUAAUCUGAAUCAACAUAACCAACUGCAAAAUGACCAAUACCAGAGUCAUCCCUCUCAAAGCAUAAACCAACAUCUCGAGUACCAUGGAGAUAUCUCAAUAUCCACUUAGCUGCUUGCCAAUGCUCUUUACCUGGAUUAUGCAUAUAUCGACUCACCAUGCCAACUGCAGCAAUAUCCGGUCUAGAGCAUACCAUUCCAUACAUCAAACUACCAACCAAAUUUGCAUAUGGUAUAUUUUUUAUUUGCAGCUUCUCUUUAUCAGUUUUAGGACACUGUAGAGAACUCAAUUUAAAAUGAGGAGCCAAAGGGGUACUAACCGGUUUGGUUGAAUCAUGAACUCCAAACUUCCGAAUCAACUUCUCAAGGUAUUGUCUUUGAUUCAAACUGACCAAACCCUUCUCUCUAUCUCUAGUGAUCUCCAUGAUCAGGCAUUGCAUUCUCUUAUGGUUGUCACGAAAUCGAAUUUUAUAUAGGCUCUGUUAUAUGAGAAACAGGUUGAGAAAUCGAAUUUUAAUUAGGGCAAAAGGCAAAUUUAAUGACACACCCACACCCCGAAAUCCCCAAAUAUUAGGAUAGGCACGUGUUGAUCGACACCCCAGGGUGACAAGGCCAUUUUAAACAUGCAUGCAAAUUAAAUUAUAUAAUUAGAAAGAAAUAUGCCAAUGCAAGAACAUGUUCAGAGCAUACAACUAAUUAAGAAUAAUGUGAAAGAAUUAUUAUAAAAAGGUACGAACAAAGGAAUAGGUCAUACACUGAGAAGACUCGAAGAUAUCUAUGCAGAAAUGCCCUGACGCUGAGAUCGAAUGCCGCAACUCUAACUCCUAAAGGGGCCACAAAACAAAGGGUGAGUGGACCAAAGUUUAUAAUACUAAUACUAAUAAUAAGAAAACCAUUUUCUUUCUGAACAUACUAACCCCCUGUUUUGAAAACACAUAUAUAGUACUACAUAGUAGGUUUUCCGAAAACUCUAACAUGCCAUGAAAACAUUCGUAAAAUAUGUACGUAUAAAACAAUGCUCAAUAAAUUUGAUAUCGCCGCCCGAAGGCAAAUCCGUAAAUCUCAUCAAUGAUGUACUCACUAGGGGUAUCAUAGUCUCCCUAAGGCAUAACAUAUCCAUCACCCAAAGGUGAAGUUGUACGACUCUGGGAUAUGCCAAAGAAGAAACAUAUACAUGUAACAUCACUCACUGACACUAGCUGUGGUUAGUGAAGUUGUCCGACACUGGUUUCGUCAAUGAAGCUGGGAGUAUGACAUAAAUAUCCUCAACUGUGUCCUAUGGCCAUAGACGUCUACAUACCCGUGUUGUGUGGAUGUGUUGUAUGAUAACCCACUAGAUAAGCAUCGAAAACAUAUCUCAAAAACUCGUAUCAAAUCACCGGAGCUCAAAAGCUUAAAGCAUCAUCGCAUAAAUCCAUAAUAAAACAUAUGCGUAAAUCCGUAUAAUUUCAUAUAUGAAAAUCCAAUCAUUCCUAAUCUUUCGUAAAAUGUAAACUCGAUAAAUCAUAAAUAAUGCAUAAAACGUUAAAUCAUGAAAUCAUGCUUUUUGUGAAUUUGCGCCUAGUAUUUUAUAAAAACAUGCAAGUUAAGAAGGGCUCCACUCACAUAUAUUUUGUUGCACGGGAACCGCUAGAACUAGAGAGGAAGGUGUCACUUCCCACCGACCACCUAAACAUAAAUAGAGAUCAUUUAAUAAAACUCUACUAAAAUGGUCGAAUUUGGGAAAACAGACAGCAGAUUCGAAUUCGGCACGUCGAAAACCCUAAGGAGGGACCUCGGGUUCUUCCAUCCCACCCCACGUGCCGCCGCACUAGCCGCCAUGGGACGGUGGCCCAAAAGGCCACGCACCGCCGCAUGUGGCAGUUUCCAGCAACAAAAACCCAAUUUUCCAACCAACUCCAAAAAUUACCAAAUUUUACAGGAAUGUAGAGCUCAUCAAGGGGAAGAACUUUCAUACAUGGGUCGAAGUCCAAUUCGGCUGAGAAACUCCUGAAAACACCCUCGAUCCGUCGGAAACCUUAAAAAUAGGUGUACUUCAAUUCGCCAUCUCUGUUACUCCGCUACCUCCAAACUGGUUUGGGGUUUGUUCAUGACCUUAAGAGAAGUCUUUUGGUGGUGGUCAUCGAUGGUGAAGGUUGCUGGAGUGACAGAUCACCCAGGUGGUGUCCUCGAAGCCGUCGAUGCGAGAUCCACGAAACCUAGGCCAAAAUCUAUCGACUAUUAAGUAUGUAUGCUUGCAAGAUUAAAUGAAAACCUCCAAAACGUAUGGAGUUUAAUUGAAUUCUAAUCACCACCACCACCCUCACAUAAUUAGGUCAAAAGGCGAAUUUAGGAGGGCUCCUUUCAAUCAUUUUGUACCCUUGCAUAUUAUUGUGAUUCGAUGAAGCUUCCCGUUAAAUGAACUGCACCAAAUAAGGGAGAUCUUCUCUUGAUCUCUAUAUUCGAAGCUGAUAAACAUAGAGAUCCAGAGUACUCAUUUUAAAUCAUACGGUUCUCAUUAGCUCAUUCUACUGGUUUUCUUUACACAAACCACGAGUUCAGAUCUCACUCUCUUUAACUACCUGGAUAUCCGAGUUCUUGAACUUCAAAAACAAAAAUCUGGAGAAGAUGUUGACUCCAAAUAGGGUAGCUUUUCUACUGUGCAUGUAGCUAGCCCAAAAAAUAAGGGAAACCCAACCCCACCCCCCAAAAUAAAAAAUAAAAAAAAACCCACCCACAACAAAAGUACAACUAUAAGUAAAGCUUUAUGAGGGGUUGCUCUAAAAUUGAUUUUAAAAUUAAAGGAAAACUAACGAAAAAUUCAAAAAAAACUUUAGUUUUAAUGAAAAAUGACAAAUAAAUGUGUAGUGAAUAGUACCAGAGAAAGGUAAAAAUGUGAUUUUUUGUUAAAAGUGAACAAUACCGGAGUGUUUCGUUAAAACUCUCUAAAAUUAAAUAGUCUGUCGUUCCAAAAAUUGUUUUGACAAUGUUGCAUUUAAAUAUUGUUUGACAAUAUAACAUUAUCCUACAAAACAUUUGUAUAAAUUAUAAGUUCAAACAAAAGACAUAAUACAGCUUCUUCCCGACUAUUUUAGGUGUAUACUCCAUUGCUGAAAAUUCUACCAUGCUCAUCAUAAUUCUUGCCACACCAGGCAAUUGGGUUAAAUUGCCCUUGACAAAAAAAAUGAUGGUCCAUCGGUGCCAAAUUGGGCAGGCAAUUGGGGGGCUCCAAGAAGCUUGUUGAACUACCCUUGCAACCCAUUGGCAAUAAGUAACGAUGUGCCUGACGUCAAGUAGCAGAAGGCUGGCCCCAACCCCGUACACUGAAGUGAACCAAACAGCUCCAAUUUGGGCACCCCAUAGCUAUUGGAUUUUCAACAGUUUGUUGAUCCGAACCAUUAAAUUUCAAACGAUAAAAGAAAUUUAAAAAGAUGAUGUUGUGCCACGUGGCACUUUGUGGCGUAUUUGAUAUUAAAAUUUUGAAAAAUUCAACAGCCAGGAUUAAUCCCAUGAUAAAAAAUCCAAAAAAAAAAAAAGAAAAAAAAUUAGAAAAAACGUACAACAAAAAAUAUCUAAAAAAACCUUCAAAUUUCACACUUAAACAAAAAUCUAAGCUGAUAUUACUAAUAGAUAAUGACACGUAAUGCGAUGAAAGUGGUUAAAAAUGGAAAGGGAUACUCUCCGGCUCCCUUUCACCAAAUCCACCAAGUUCAAGGAUUCAGAUCAUUGAAAUUGAUCCAACGGCUACAAAUAAGGACCCACUUUAAAAAUUAUAAUAUGUUGGAUCAAAUUUCAAGAAUCGGAUACCCGGACUUGAUGGAUUUGGUGGAAAUGAUCCGGAGUCCUUUCCGUUGAAAAUCUCAUCGCCUCUCCUUUCAGCCCUUCAAGGAAAACCCGCUUCUUGGGUCGUUUUCAACCACAUAAAGCUUCACUCUGUUAUUAGUUUAUGUGUUUAAAAUUGUUGGGGUUUGCAGUUUUGGAUUGAAAUUUGUGUUUUGGGAUUUGUUGGGUGCUCACAUGUGGAAAUUUGGAAAAUUUUAGUUGCGGAUUGUGGGGAACUGACACAGUGGUGGUCCCAUUUCAUGUACUUUGUGUGUUUUUGGUGAAAUACUGAUUAGGAGGGUUGGAUAGUUGGACUGGUUUUAUUUUUUUUGUGAAAUUAGAGUGGGAUCGAUCAAGGUUGAGACUUUUUUAGGUAAGAGUAAUUGUGAAAGUUAUGUUUUAUAAAUUUUUUGGCAAAUUUUGUGACUUGGUGGAUUUGGAAUUUUGGUUAUAUUAGAUAUAUGUGUAAAGAAAAUAGUUGAACUGCAUGAAGCUUGAUGUAAUUCUGCUAUUAAUCAAUGUUGGACUUGGGAAUCCUAGUGAAUAUAGAAGCGAAUCUACGAUUAGUUGAGAAACUUAAAGAAGCUUAAGGGGUAAUGAGGGUUUUAGGUAUUUAGUGACACUAAGGCAAUGCUUGAUGUCUAUUUCAUUUCGGCGUAUCAGAAAUGCUUGAACAAUAAAGAAAGGUGCUCGAAGAGCUACAGUAGUGAACUACUUGGUUUGAUUAGAUUGCUAUGUUAAUCAAAAUGUCUCCUGUAGUAUGUUAUAGGCUUAGGGUGUGUUUGUUUGGACUCAUUGUCUUUCACUAGAUUAGACUGGACUAAGUUUUAGUCCAGUCCUGUGUUUGUUUCCUACCCGGACUAAGUUUAAUGGGAUUAGGAGGGACUCGCCUCGACUGAGUCCCUCGCUAACGGGUCUUCGCGAGCCCCCCAAUUCGGAGAGGAUUGCUAAGCCGCCCUCUAAUCCUGUCAUCUCACUUCUCUUUCACACCUUCGGACAUCAACCGCAGCAACUGCAACUUGCUCCUCGUCCCUUCGCACCUUCACCCUUUCCCUUCUCCUUCCUUGUCGCACCACCUCGUAGCCGUCCAACAUAUAAACAAUAGAUGACGGACCUGUAUCACUGGCGAUGGUCUGAUCAGGUGAGCUUCAUUUUCCUUGCAUUUCAAUGGGUACUUUUUUAAUUUUCCAAAUUCAAUUGCUUUUUGUUCAUUCCUUUCUUUGUUUAUGCAUUUCAAUGGGAUUUUCGAGUUUCUUUAGGGUUUUUGGUGAUUAACUAUAAUCCAACAUUCAUAAUUAUCAAAUUUAGUAUAACGGCACUGGGUCACUGACAGCAGCUUGUUUUUUGGAUAUACUUAUUAAGAAUUUGACAUUAGGGAAUCCAUUCACAGCUUAUGGAUGUUUUCAAUUUUUCUGGUUCUUAUUCACCCUUUUGUGGAGAUCUUAGUAGUGGAUUAGGGAUAUAUCAUGUCCAUGAUGACUGGUAUUGUAUUGGCAGUGACGGGGUAUCUAGUUGGAUUGGAUGUGUUGAACAAUUAUGCGAUGAGCUAAGAUUUAAGAAGAAGCCUCUCUACCUGUUUUGAUCAUACUUGAUCUUUUUCGAGCUUUGUAUUCGAGUAUUUAACCGUUUCUUCAGCCCUUGAGGGUGCCACUUGUUUUCUAGUGAAUAUAUAUUGGAAGCUUCUCUUUGGAAAUUUUUGUGAGUAAUCAUUUUCUGAAGCUUUCAUCAACGGAUUUAUCUUAUUGGAAGGUUCUGCUUGUUGCACAUCACCAUAGAUGUUCUAUUAUUUUGAUCCAAAAGUUUUUCUUCAUUAUUCAGAUACUCUUAUGCAUAUCUUGGACAGUUUAAUCAUUAUAAUUUUAUACAUAUUUGAGUUCACCUAUCAAAAGGAAUAUCAAACAAAUUGAUAUUAACAAAUCCUCGUGGAGCUAGGAGAUCACCAAUUUCGUGUUGAACUUUAAGAUUUUGUUAUAAACCAGGAUACUUGUACAUUUAACUAUAGUGACUUCUAGUUAUCAUGGAGAAUUUAGACUUGUCUACUAUGUUUGUACCAUACUUAGGGCCUCCGUAUUUAGACCUCGUAUAAAUACUCGGGGGACUCAAAUAUAAUUAUGUAAUAAAUGAAGGGGCAAAUAUGUAAUAAGUGAGGAGCCCUUAUUCUAUAAAAGGACUCCUCACUCUCCUCAUUAAGGGGGGUGAAGGUUUAGGCCAUGGGAAGAGAGAAAACAUCUCAGAGAGGGCAAACACAGAAAAUAGGCUAGAGAGCACACUGCCUCUAGCCUUCUUGUAUAUUCACCAUUCAGAGUGAAACAAUAUCAACAUCAGUGUGGACGUAGCCCAAACAUUGGGGUGAACCACGAUACAUCUUGUGUUCUUUACUUUCUUGCAGAUUCACGGUCGGAUUUAUGUUGUUCCAAGACACCUCCGGUUUUGUGCAUCAACAUUUGGCGCCGUUUGUGAGAAACGACACGAAAAGCUAUGUUGGUUCUCUUUCAUUUUUUUCAUCUUACCAUUGUGAAUCUGCACAACCCAAGAACCCAGAACCUCCCUCCUUGGGCUUUUCUAGAAAACUCCUAGCUUUCUCUCUUUCUACUCAUUUUCUUUCUCUAGAGUUUGGCCGAGUUAUCAAUUUCAUCGCAAUUACAAAUGAAUUCAAGGCGAUAAUAAGAGAGAGAAACAUAAACUGUCUCUUCUUCUCCUUCCAUGCGUUUCUUCAUAACCCACCACUUCUAGCCUUUUUCCCUUCCUCGCUCUCAGAAACCCAGAAGAAAAAAUUGCAAUCAUGAGGCUUCAACGGCGGAGGAGGUGGUGGUGGCGUCCUUAAUUUCUACACAAACGGGCGAUCCAUCUCCAUCUCCGUCGCCAUGAACGGCCACAACCCAUCUCAGAACAAUCCCUACCACCGAUCCCAGCUUCCCAACCUGUUUAUGGACCCUACCGCAUCCCAGAUCGCUCACCAAACACAGUUUCAACCACCGCAACCAGUCCCGGAACAAUUCGAAGUUACUGAUAACAUUGAAAGCAUUCCGGUCCGCUGUGGUUUUCAAUCUCAAAGACGAAACUUACCUGCUACUUCAUGGCCUCGGGAUGGAUGCUGUGUUGCUACUGUGGCGAAAGAAUUUUACCCAGACUCUCCCUCUCUGCUCACAUGGCCUAUCUUCCACCAUCUCAGCGGCUGCAGUCCUCAAUUCAAGGUUCACGCCACCAAAUAUUCUGUCUCGCCUCUCACAACUUCAUGCGCCUCCAGAGUUCUUCUCCAGAUUUGCGCUCCAUAGAUUAUUUUCUAUGUCGAUUUCCAUCAGAUUCGCGUCGAUCGUGUCACGAUCUACGCGUUGAUGGUGGUUUGAGAUUGUGAGGUGAUGGUUUGAGCUGUUUUUGAAUUCAGCUGGUUUUACCAGCUCGAGCUUCUAUGUUCGUCGCUCUUCGAUUCGAAUUUAAAGAUUUCGCAGACAGAGCUCUAACCAAAUCGGAAGAGAUUACAAGUAUUCGGCGGCAUUUCAGCAGCUGAUCCAAUUCGAUCUCGUGGUGGCUGAAACAUGUUUAAUCUUAACCAAAGGGUCAUGGUUCAUGGUUGUAAUUUCAUGAGACUGAAGCUUUUAUAUCGUGGGAUUUGGGUUGGGGUUAUGGGUUGAAUUCAGAUGGAUGUAUAAGAUAUCGGGACGAAAGACUCGGUGGAAGGGCCGAAGUGCUGGACCGAUCUUUGUCAUCCGGCCUUUGCCAUGGCAGUCGGACAUGGAUUCUGGACAACUACGGCCGCAUCUAUAUCUCGUCGCCAAAGUUUUGAAAGUUGCAGGAAAUGAAGUGGGAAACAAAAGCAAAAGAAGAAAAGAAUAGAAAAAGGAAAAUGAUGUCUGGAGAUGGAGAAAAUGAUGAGGUUUGUUAUGGGGGAGGCCAUAGUCCACCACUAUCAAGUCUGCCACACUCAAUCAUUCAUUUGCACUCAUGGAAAACAACCACAAAGAUAAGACUCUUAUCUUUACAGCUCUUACCCACUGUCAUUGAUGAAUAUUUUAUUAAGUUGUCUUCUGCAAACUGGAGCAAUUAUUAUAUAGUGAUACUGAUGUGUAAAGAAGGCAACAUGCCAAAAAAAAAUAAAUAAAUAAUGUCGGCAAGCCCAAAAUAGUGGGCUGGAAUGUUAUGUGAAGGGUGAAGGCCCAUAUGCACAAAAAAGCCAGGCCCUAUGGCUUCAAACUCCAACCUCCAUCCCUCCACUUAAGGUUCACCCUUUAUUAUCACCAACUAGGUGAUCAAAAGUACGUCUAGUACUCCAAUAUUAUUCGGCAGCCUGCUGUUAUUAUCAUUAACCAGGUGAUCAAAAGUACAACCCAUCCUUAAAAAAAUCAUACAUGAGCAUCACUCAUGACAAUCACCAUCAUACAUAAGCAUCACUCAUGUCAACAUUCAUGAACAUCACUCAUGUCAACAUCCAUGAGUAUCACUCAUGUCAAUCAACAUAAACAUUCAUGAGCAUCACUCAUGUCAAUUAGCUUCGAAAUCUUCAUUUACAGAGCUCUAGCUUCGAAAGCUUCAUUUAUAGAGCUCCAGCUUCAAAAGCUUCAUUCAUAGAGCUCCAGCUUCGAAAGCUUCAUUUAUAGAGCUCUAGCUUCGAAAGCUUCAUUUACAGAGCUCCAGUUUCGAAAGCUUCAUUUACAGAGCUCCAGCUUCGAAAGCUUCAUUUACAAGAGCUCCAGCUUCGAAAGCUUCAUUUACAAAAUCUCCAACUUCGAAAGCUUCACCUACAAAGCUUCAGUGCAUGGUAUACAAAGACCGCAACCAAGGCAACAUAAGCCACAAACCGAGCAGCCUCGCAACAUGUGCUACUUCUAGUUGAGUAUCAUUUCAGAUUGAGCACCGCCUCAUAUCGAGUAUCAGUUCUAGACGACAUCUAGUUACUUCGGCCCACACAUGGACUGAAUUUCAAGUCUCCAGCCAAAAGACUCUCUUGAUUGAAGACUUGGGGGACUACUGUUUGUACCAUACUUAGGGCCUCCGUAUUUAGACCUCGUAUAAAUACUCGGGGGACUCAAAUGUAAUUAUGUAAUAAAUGAAAGGGCAAAUAUGUAAUAAGUGAGGAGCCCUUAUUCUAUAAAAUGACUCUUCACUCCCCUCAUUAGGGGGUUGAAGGUUUAGGCCAUGGGAAGAGAGAAAACAUCUCAGAGAGGGCAAACACAGAAAAUAGGCUAGAGAGCACACUGCCUCUAGCCUUCUUGUAUAUUCACCAUUCAGAGUGAAACAAUAUCAACAUCAGUGUGGACGUAGCCCAAACAUUGGGGUGAACCACGAUACAUCUUGUGUUCUUUACUUUCUUGCAGAUUCACGGUCAUAUUUAUGUUGUUCCAAGACCCCUCCGAUUUUGUGCAUCAACAUACUAAAACUUGUACAAGUGAUUCAAGCAUGUUUUUGCUCUCGUCAGUAUUAGUUAUUAACUCAUUGGACUCCAUACACAGUUUCUGUGAUGUUUUCUUCCACAAUUUUAUGGUUUGCAAUUCUGCAGAGGUUUCUACUCAGUUUAAUUGUUUUAAUUGUCUCAUUGACCCAUGCUGUUACACGAAAGAGAGAAAUUAUGUGUUUAUCAGAAAUCUGGCUAAACCAGCAAUACAUCACUCAACUUCAUUAGAACAUGACAAAUUUCACCUUAUGGUUCACAGGCCGUACUUCUCUUUGGCAUCGUAGAUACAGUCUUUUCCAUUUAAGUUUAUUCUGAUUUAUUUGCUAGCUUAAAGUGUAGUUGAAUGAUGUUGUGCAUGGCUAUCUGCAGCGCAAUGGGCACUUGGGUUUUCUCCGUAGCAGGGGCUUUGUUAGCGAUUCCAGUGGGGAUAAAAAGGAAACUUUAGCAUUGCUUGUGUUCUUCGGCACAACAUGUACCAUGCUUGACAUUAUAAUGGGAAUCGCUCAGUGUGAAAGAGAACAUGCAGAACGCCAAGCGAAGCUAUUAGAAGCCCAGAUUUCUGCAACUAAUGCUUCAUUUGCUGAGACUGGGGCGGAAACAUAGUCUUGACUCCUAAGCAUAUGCAUCAUAUGCCCAUGUUUGGCUGCUGUCAGUUUUCUCUUCAAAUUUCUUUACUGUAAAAGAUUAAUAGUCGAACCUGUAGAAUGAACCCUUUGCUUGAAUUUUGCCUUCCCCUUUUCAUGGGUUAAUAAUCACACGAAAGUUGUUACUGAUAUAACGUCAGGUUUAACCUCCCUCGCAUGGCACGAUUCCAUGAGUUAAUCAUUCGAAGCAGAGAAUUCUAAUUCCUCUGUUUUUAUUUAUCUUGGAGAUACCUAUAUGAAAAUUACUUUAAAGUUGUUCAGCAGCAAAGGUUAUGACUUAUAAUAUACGAUGUAUAAUCACGAAGAGAAACUGGUGACAGUACUGUUUUCAUUAUCCUGCUUUCUAGUCUGACACUGCACCAAACGCUUCACUAAGCUGGUUCAGCUUAGUCUAGUCUAAGCCAGUCCAGCUUAAUCCCUGAAGCUAGUCCAUUCCGAGACAGUCUGGUACAACAAACGCACCCUUAAAGUUUUACAUUAGUGUUCUUUAGCGACUUGGUUUCAAAAUUUUCGUUCGACUUUCCUUGGUCUGUGAGGCCAAUGGUAGAACAUCAUGGAAAAAUGAAAUUGUUUUGUCUUAAUAUCUCUGGUAAGAGCGAGUACGCAUUCUUAAAGGAAAAAUGAAAUUGUUUGUCAUUCUUUUAAGAUGUUUAAUGUGCUCAUUUCAGUAUGCACUACAAGGGCGAGUGAGCUAUCAUCUGUUUGGAAAUAAAAGCUAUAGACAUGCCCCAUAAGGGUCAAUAGGUCUCAGUUACAUAUCUAACUUGUUUCUCAUGUGUUUUCAUCCUGAAGGUUAGAAAAGAUGGGUGCUCUAGACGCACAGAGAGUGGUUCAUCAACACCAGAGAUGGUGGCUGAUCUCAUGUAUGUGGUUACAUGCUGGAGUUUUCCAUGUGCUUGCCAAUAUGCUGAGUCUUGUAUUCGUUGGAAUUUGGCUUGAGCAAGAAUUUGGAUUUGGUAUGCAUCUGGAUUUUUAGCUUCAUGUAUGUUAUCAUGCAUGUAUGGCCAUAUCCAUAAGUGUUUGUAGUAAAAAGAUAAAGCACACGACAUUAGUUGUAGAAUAAUAAAUUAGUUUACUAGGAAGCAUGCUUUCAAUAUGGUAUUUCUGUUGGUGCUUCUGGUGCACUUUUUGGUUUACUAGGAAGCAUGCUUUCAGAGCCAUAUCAAAUUGGAAAAUGUAUGUAAAUAAGGUAAAUAAAGUUUCUGUAUACUCAAUGAUGCACCUCUUUAUGUGCACGACCCUUUGAUCUUACAGUUUCAGGUUUCUACCCGCAGUUAGCAGCAUUGGUUACUCUCCUUUUCUUCAUCAUAAUACACUUAGCAGUGGAAUUCUACCACACGCGGACAACUUUGCUCAUAUUGGAGGAUUUGUCCCCGGAUUUCUUCUUGGAUUUUUGUAUUGUGGAUCCUCUCUUUGAUACUAUUGAUUGUUGGGUAAGCUCCUCCUCGAUCUCUGAUUUAAUUUUUUAACUUCAUGAACCUAAUCGAUUCCCUGCAUGAGAAUCUGGUAGCCACAGUUGGCGCGUGCACAUUUUUUUCUUUCUUUCUAUCAAAUCAAAGAACUGGAUUUUGUGUAGAUAUGUAGAUAUCAUGUGUCCUGUAAUAUGUCUUCAUUAUUGUCAUUGUGAAUAGUCUCUGUAUCUGCUUGUUUCUGAUUAGAAUGGUUUGGAGAAGGCAUUGUGUUAUUGUUAUCGUUGUUCUCUAUGUAGUACUAAUUGGUCACUUUGUUGAUAGCGGCUUCUACUUUGUUGUUUUGGGUUGUAUGUGCUGGCAGGUUGUUGUUUUGUUAUUGGAAGUAAAGGUUCAUUUUCCUCGUAUCUAAGUAGUAUCAGAAUAUGCAGGCAUUUUCUAACAAACGUCAUGUUUUUUACAGGUGUACUCUUGGCCUGGUUACUCUUUUUCGAGGGGUCAAUCUGAACAAUCAUUGUUCCUGGUGUCAUUAUUUGAGCAGUGUCCCUACGUCAAAAUGGAAUUGCAAGUCACAAAAUAUUUAUUGUUUGGUAAAUUAACUUCCGCCUUAAUAUUUGAUAGAUAGAAGUGCUUGCUUAUUAAUACGAUCAUGGUUGCAUUCAGUCGUUCUAGUUUGGCAUGCCGUUUAAUCUAAUGCCUUCAAGAAACGUAAUUUAAGAAAUGACUCACGAAAUUUUGAGUCAGGAAAUUGCUUUUACAAUGUACUUUGUUAGUACUAUAAAUUGGUUUUGUACUGACAUAUUGUUCUUUAUAUGAAUGUGAGGCUUAGAGAAGUAUAACUGCAUGUUCAAGUUUUGAUUCUCUUGGUAAUGAUUUCAAGGCUUUGGUUUAUGAGUACAUGGAAAAAGGAAGCUUAGAGAAGUGGCUGCAUCCACCGACUGAUAUUGAGGAAGCAAGAGAGGCACCCAAGAGUUUAAAUCUUUUGCAAAGGCACAACAUUUCCAUAGAUGUUGCUUGUGCUCUCAAUUAGUCAAUUAUCUUCAUAAUCACUCCGAAACACCGCCAGUUCAUUGUGAUCUGAAACCAAGUACUGUUCUUUUGGACAACAUGUCGACUGGACAUGUUUCUGACUUUGACUAGCAAGGUUCUCACAACUGACCAGUAUAAAAGCUUCAACAAAUCAGCAAGUUCCGCUGGAAUAACAGGAGCGAUUGGUUAUAUGGUUUUAGGUAAAUAUUCAAAUUCUCUCCACAAUAUCCUUUUUUUUUAAUUUUUAAAUUUUGCAUAAUUCAACUAAACUCCGCCUAUGUAAGUUUAUCUUACAUUGCCGGUCCCAAGCCCGGAUAAAGGAGGAGGGGGAGGGCGUCAGGUAGUCGACAGCCGGCACUCCACGGUUACGUCGAAUCCUUAUGAAAAUGAAUCCAGAACGAAAUCGCGCUAAAGCUAGGGCGUCACCCGUAAGUGGCGCGCUGUGUGGCCCGAGCACAGUGAUAAGUGAGCAAGGGUCGCUGUAUCUCCAUCGGCACCCGGAUGCAGUGGUAAAUGAGUAAGGGGACCAUAGAAACUUCUUUUCGAACGACUCCACUCAAAGUUGUUUGGGAGCAUAUGCUCCUAUCAACUUUACACGGGACACACAAAAGAAGUACUUUGAUCCUAUUAGACAGGAGAGGGUGAAGAAGCUAGGACAGAAGGGUAGAGUUCAAGAGAGUAGAAUGCGUUUAGGAACGUGGAAUAUAGGAACCUUAACUGGAAAAUCUAUGGAAGUAGUGGAAGUUAUGGUGAGGAGAAGGAUAAAUAUUAUGUAUAAGAAACUAAGUGGGAUGGUCUUAAGGCAAAGGAUCUAGAAAACUCAAGAUUUAAACUUUGGUAUUCGGGCACAAAUAGAAUGAGAAACGGUGUUGGCAUCAUCGUGGACAAGACCUUGACACAAAAUGUUGUAGAUGUCAAGAUGGUAGGAGAUAGAAUCAUGGCAAUCAAGAUUGUAAUAGGACAAGAACUUAUCAAUGUGAUUAGUGCGUAUGCACCUCAAGUAGGGUUGGAUACGAGUUUAAAGGAGAAAUUUUGGGAAGACCUUGGAGACUUGGUGCAAGGAAUUGCUCAGACGGAGAAGUUAUUUAUAGGAGGAGAUUUAAAUGGACACGUGGGCAGGGAGACAGGCAACUAUGGAGGUUUUCAUGGUGGCCAUGGUUUUGGGGAGAGAAACGAGGAUGGGGAAGCUAUCUUGGAUUUUGCAAUGGCAUAUGAUCUUUUCUUAGCCAACACCUUCUUUAAGAAGAGAGAAAAACAUGUGAUCACCUACAAGAGCGGGUCAUCAAAAACACAAAUAGAUUUUCUUCUAAUGAGGAAAGGGGAUCGUAUAACUUGUAAGGAUUGCAAAGUUAUAUCGGGGGAGAGCUUGGCUAAUCAACAUCGCUUGUUGGUGAUGGAUGUACAUAUCAAAAGAGUGAGAAAAAAAAAACAAGACUUGGAAAUGCCCAAGGACUAGAUGGUGGAAUCUAAAAGGAAAAAAACAAGUCAUUUUCAAAGAGAAAGUAAUCACUCAGUGUGUGUGGGAUAGAGAGGGGGAAGCUAGCCAAAUGUGGGAUUCUAUGGCUAGUUGUAUCCGAAAAGUAGCAAAAGAGGUAUUAGGAGAGUCCAAGGGCUUUGCUCCACACCAAAAGGAAUCUUGGUGGUGGAAUGAAGAGGUACAAACAAAGGUGAAGGCUAACAAGGAAUGUUGUAAAGCCUUAUACAAGGAUAGGACCGAUGAAAAUGGUGAAAGGUAUAGAAGAGCGAAGCAAGAGGCGAAGAAAGCUGUGAGAGAAGCUAAGUUAGCGGCUUAUGACGAUAUGUAUAAGCGACUAGAUACCAAAGAAGGAAAGUUGGAUAUCUAUAAACUAGCUAGAGCAAGGGAAAAGAAGACAAGGGACCUAAACCAAGUGAGGUGCAUCAAGGAUGAGGAUGGAAAGGUUCUUGCUACAGAGAACGCGGUCAAAGACAGGUGGAGAGGUUAUUUUCAUAGUCUUUUCAAUAAAGGACAUGAAAGGAGUACUUCUUUAGGGGAGUUGAGUUACUCAGAAGAGUGUAGAAACUACUCCUUUUAUCGUCGAAUCAGGAAGGAAGAAGUGGUUGUAGCUUUAAAGAAGAUGAAGCAUAGAAAAGCAGUGGGCUCAGACGAUAUACCGAUAGGUUUAGCAUGGCUCACUGACCUUUUCAAUAGGAUUUUGAAAACGAAGAAGAUGCCAAAUGAGUGGCAAAAGAGCACUUUGGUGCCUAUCUACAAGAAUAAGGGCGACGCACAAAAUUGCAUGAACUAUAGGGGUAUUAAGCUAAUGAGUCAUACAAUGAAGCUCUGGAAGAUAGUCAUUGAGCAUAGAUUGAGGCAAGAGACACGGGUUUCGGACAACCAAUUCGGGUUCAUGCCAGGGCGCUCAACCAUGGAGGUAAUCUAUCUCUACGAAGAUUGACGGAAAGAUAUAGAGAUGGGAAAAAGGAUUUACACAUGGUCUUUAUAGAUUUGGAAAAAGUGUAUGAUAGGGUACCAAGAGACAUUCUUUGGAGGAUUUUAGAGAAGAAAUGAGUACAAGUAGCAUAUAUCCAAGCUAUAAAGGAUAUGUAUGAAGGAGCAAAGACUGCCGUAAGAACUCAUGAAGGACAAACCGAAAGCUUCCCUAUAACUGUAGGAUUACAUCAAGGCUCAUCCUUAAGUCCUUACCUUUUUGCGUUGGUAAUGGAUGAAUUAACAUGACAUAUUCAAGAUGAUAUUCCUUGGUGUAUGCUUUUCACAGACGAUAUAAUGUUGAUAGAUGAAACUUAGGAAGGGGUAAAUAUGAAGCUUAACCUUUGGAGAGAAGUGUUGGAAUCUAAAGGUCUUCGCCUAAGCCGAUCAAAGACAGAAUAUAUGGAGUGCAAGUUCAGUGCAAACGGAGGCCAAAAUGAGUUAGGGGUGAGGAUCGAAGAUCAGGAAAUACCAAAGAGCGAUCGUUUUCGCUACCUAGGAUCUAUCUUGCAAAAGAACGGAGAAUUAGAUGCAGAUCUCAACCAUAGAAUACAAGCUGGAUGGAUGAAGUGGAAGAGUGCAUCCGACGUGUUGUGUAACCGCCGUAUGCCACUGAAGCUCAAGGGAAAAUUUUAUAGGACGGCAAUAAGGUCGGCGAUGCUGUAUGGCACAGAAUGUUGGGCGGGGAAGCAUCAACACGUACACAAAAUGGGUGUAGUGGAGAUGAGGAUGCUUCGGUGGAUGUGUGGGCACACGAGAAAGGAUAAGAUUAGGAAUGAGGAUAUCCGAGGUAAAGUAGGAGUAGCCGAAAUUGAAGGAAAGAUGAGAGAAAAUCGGUUACGGUGGUUUGGACAUGUGCAAAGAAGGCCUACUGACGCUCCGGUUAGAAGAUGCAACUACGGGACAAAUGUUCAGGGUCGAAGGGGUAGAGGAAGGCCUAGGAAAACUUUGGAAGAAACUCUAAGAAAAGACUUAGAGUACUUGGAUCUAACGGAGGACAUGACACAAGACCGAGCAUAAUGGCGUUCUAAGAUUCAUAUAGCCGACCCCACUCAGUGACUUAGAUUUUUCAAGUCUCUAACCGAGAAGUUUUCCUUACUUGGGAAAUUAAGGGAACACUACCUCAACCUACAUGCUCCACUCACAAAGCUUCAACAUACAAGCUUCAACAAAAGAAAAAUUCAAAGAACUUAGUGACGAAGCCUUUGGGGUAUUUAACACAAUACGUUGAAAUGAAGCAAAGCUUAUUUAUUGAUAUCUCCGAUAAGUUACAAAUAUGUACAUAUACAUGAGUCAAAAUAAACAAACAAGAGGGAGCCUUCACAAAGGUUGCUUAGGAGAAGUCUCAGCAGUCGGUAGAGCCACAGAAAGAGAAGGCACCGGAGGGGGAUCAUUCAGAGCCUCAGUACUGGACAGAACCUUAGAAGGAUGAGGCAUCGGAGGUUGAUCAUUUGGAGCUUCAUUAUGCGGUACAUCCCUAGAAGACGAAGGCAAUAAAUGCCUUUGGAACAAACCCACAAACCUCUGAUGAUCACGUAAAUCUGACAAUCAGAUUCCUUCAUCUGGUCAAGCUUCCUCUUCAUGUUUGUAGCAUAGUCAUGUGCGAGCCGGUGCAACUGUUUAUUCUCAUGCUUGAGCCCUCUAAUCUCCUGUUUGAGACUCAUCACUUCAGCCGCCAAUGAUUCAACUUGGCGGGUUCGAGCAAAUAGGCGUUGGGCCAUAUUAGACACAGAACCUGCACACUGAACACUGAGAGCCAGAGAAUCCUUAACAGCCAACUCAUCAGACCGUUUGGAAAGUAGUCUGUUAUCUUUGGGAGUGAGAAGGUUCCUGGCCACCACCGCAGCGGUCAUAUCAUUCUUCAUCACGGAAUCCCCAACGGUAAGAGGACCAGUAGGGGAUAAGAAGGAUGGGCGCCAUAUGUUGUCUGGAGAAGGCGUGGCUGCCUCUUCAACAAGGUUCAAGUCAAAACGACGGUCGGAGGGGCCAGACAUUUUCAAAGGUGUUGAAGAGAGAAGAGGUCAGACAAAUCAAGAUCUUAGAAGUGCAAGAAUGGAGCUUCUACUGGUGGAGAUUCAAGUGUGCUUUGGAACUUAAUGCCAGCCUCUAUAAAAAUCUGCACUCGACGGAGCUUCAGAAAUCGAAGAGGCGCCUGCUCAGAAAUCGAAGAGGCGUUUGCUUUCUCAAAAGCUGGGCUGCUCAGAGACCACGAGGGCCGAUCUCAGAAAUCGAAGAGGGUUUGCUUUCUCAAAAGCUGGGCUGCUCAAAGACCACAAAGGCCAAUCUUAGAAAUCGAAGAGGCGUUUGCUUUCUCAAAAGCUGGGCUGCUCAGAGACCACAAGGGCCGAUCUCAGAAAUCGAAGAGGCACCUGCUUUUUCAGCCUUGUCAGCACCUGUCAUAUGCACACUCAGCUUUGCGGAAAUUACAGGCAUGCUGUCGAAGAUUUCUGGUGAAGUAGAAAGCACGGGUGAAUCCUUACUGUUCAAACAAUCAGCUUCAUGGGUACCACAGAUAACUUUGCCAAAGAAGGGUAAAAGAAGAGUAAAGAAACAACACUAACAAAGUUUAGACACAUAAAUUUUGAAGGUCUAGCUACUAUAUUAUUACCCACAAGGGUAAAGGAACAGCACAACUGCUGGAUAAUUGGAAAGUCCCUGUGUGUCAACCUUUGUGCUCCGUGGCAAGGUAGACUAGCAAACAUGCCCAACCUUUACUCACAUUCGAGAAAACACUCCCAACAAGAUUGCUUGCUCCAAAAUCGAAGAGGCGCCGCCCUCCGAAUCUCGAGAGCCAGACUCCCAACAUGAGUACUUUCUCAAAAAUCGAAGAGACACCACUCUCUGAAUCUCGAGAGCCAGACUCCUAGCAAGAUUGCUUUCUCAAAAAUCGAAGAGGCACCGUUCUCCGAAUCUCGAGAGCCAGAUCCCCGACAGGAUUGCUUGUUCGAAAACCGAAGAGGCACCACUUUCUCAACUUCGAGAGCCAGAUCUCCUUGGAUAAAGCUUGUCUGUAAUCUUCACACGCAACAUCAGCUUUCCAGAUACCACAGACCACUUUUUCAAAGUGCUCUGACAGAGUUAAAACACGUGAAGCUGGCAGCUCCCACUACCGUGCUAUGACCAAGCAGGGUAAAGGAAUAGCAUUACUACUUGUUGUUAGGGAGACUCCUAUAUAUGUCGACCUCCAUCCUCAACGGACAGGCAGACCUGCAAAAAUGCUCAACCCUUCCUCAUAUCUGAGAGGGCACUCCCAACGAAGCCUCUCGAAAUACUCAGCUUUUUUUCCCCCCGAUAAUACCUCUGUAAACAAGCUACACUAGAGCAAGACUAUCUCAUAUCAUCAGGGUUAAAAGCAAGAGUAUCCCAUAUCAUGCUUUUUUCCCUGUCUUUUCCUUUGGCCUUGUUCUUACCUGCAAGACAAGGAGAAAGAGAGCAAUCAGUCAGCACUUGGAAUCAAGCUUCCAGUCAGGAACUGACUGCCUGGAACCCCUUACCUGAUUACUUACUUGACAUUGCUCUCGAGUACUCAUCUUCAACAUCUUAUGCUUCCAAAAAAGAUACCACAUCUGCCUGAGGAACAGAUAUAGGGCAAGUGAGAAGGAAUACAAGGAAGCAUGUGGAGACAAGCGUAACAGAAUAUGUGCCGAUACAUCCACUACUUCGUCAACAGCAAAAGUAUCCCAUAUCAGCAGGGUCGAACGUACUCUAGAUUUGAUGGACUUGUUUUGACCCUCAAAUUCUUCAGUCGGCCUUAUACUCUGGAGGAAACCAGAAAACCCUCCAGCCCAGUUCAAGAAUAAGCCUGUGGAAAGUUACUUCUUCAAAAGCAAAAGUAUCUCAUAUCAUCUCUUCUCCUUUUUCUUCUCUUUAUCCUUCAUGCUGCCUGCAAGAUAAGGAGAAUGAGAACAAUCAGCCGGAACUCGAAAUCAAACUUCUGAUCUGGGACUGAUUGCUUGGAGCUCUGAUUGCUUACCUUGUCUGUCACCUCUUUCAACAGAUCCCUUAGCUCGGCGACUUGGGGGACUCCUACUACAUGGUUUGUAUCGCGCUUGACCAAGCCUGAAACUACAAGUAAGCUUCAAGUGAAAUUGAUACAUUACCUUGUGCAUCUCCACCAGUUAAAGAUACCACCCCUGGAUGGAGGAAGAGUACUUCCAGAGAAGAUGCCACAUCUACCUAUGAGACAGAUAAGGCAAGUGAAGACGAUACCACACUUCGGUACUUAGAAGUUUCGUGAUUACGAGAUCAUUCUCCCACAAUAUUUCCUAAUGUCAUUUGUACUAAAUCAUUCACUUGUACUCACUAAAGGAGAGCUUGAACCUAUGUACUUGUGUAAACCCUUCACAAUUAAUGAGAACUCCUCUAUUCCGUGGACGUAGCCAAUCUGGAUGAACCACGUACAUCUUGUGUUUGCUUUCCUGUCUCUAUCCAUUUACAUACUUAUCCACACUAAUGACCGGAGCAAUCUAGCGAAGAUCACAAACUUAAUACUUUCUGUUGUACCAAAGUCCUCACUGAUUUUGUGCAUCAACAAUCCUUAAGUCCCUACCUUUUUGCGUUGGUAAUGGAUGAGUUAAUAGGACAUAUUCAAGAUGAUAUUCCUUGGUGUAUGCUUUUCGCAAACGAUAUAGUGUUGAUAGAUGAAACUCAGGAAGGGGUAAAUGCGAAGCGUAACCUUUGGAGAGAAGUGUUGGAAUCUAAAUGUUUUCGCCUAAGCCGAUCAAAGACAGAAUAUAUGGAGUGCAAGUUCAGUGCAAAUGGAGGCCAAAAUGAGUUAGGGGGUGAGGAUCGGAGAUCAGGAAAUACCAAAGAGCGACCAUUUUCGCUACCUAGGAUUUAUCUUGCAAAAGAACGGAGAAUUAGAUGCAGAUCUCAACCAUAGAAUACAAGCUGGAUGGAUGAAGUGGAAGAGUGCAUCCGGCGUGUUGUGUGACCGUCGUAGGCCACUGAAGCUCAAGGGAAAAUUUUAUAGGACGGCAAUAAGGCCGGCGAUGCUGUAUGGCACAGAAUGUUGGGCGUUGAAGCAUCAACACGUACACAAAAUGGGUGUAGCGGAGAUGAGGAUGCUUCGUUGGAUGUAUGGGCACACGAGAAAGGAUAAGAUUAGGAAUGAGGAUAUCCGAGGUAAAGUAGGAGUAGCCGAAAUUGAAGGAAAGAUGAUAUAAAAUCGGUUACGGUGGUUUGGACAUGUGCAAAGAAGGCCUACUAACGCUCCGGUUCGAAGAUGUGACUACGGGACAGAGGUUCAGGGCCAAAAGGGUAGAGGAAGACCUAGGAAAACUUUGGAAGAGACCCUAAGAAAAGACUUAGAGUACUUGGAUUUAACGGAGGACAUGACACAAAACCGAGCACAAUGGCGUUCUAGGAUUCAUAUAGCCGACCCUACUUAAUGGAAAAAGGCUUUGUUGUUGUUGCAUAAUUAAACUAUUUUGUUCUUAGUUUGCUAACAAUAUUUUCUUAUAUUUGAAUGGCAGAGUAUGGUAUGGGAAGUGAGGCGUUGAUAACUGGAUAUGUCUACAGUUUUGAAAUUCUCUUGUAGGAGAAGUUUACAAGGAAGAGAACCACUGACAACGUGUUUAAUGGGGACUUAAACCUUCAUGUUACAAUUUUCAAUCAAUGUUCUCGAGUCUUGAGGCCCCCAUGAAGUUUAAAAAUUAAGAAAGCUUGAUCUCACUAGUAACUAUUACAAUUUUUAGAAAGGUUGCAUCCACACCAAGCUUUCUUGCAAUGGUACUUUAGGGGAACUAUAAGAAAAUCAGCAAUCUCACAGUCCAGCCCCUCAAAAAACGUAGACUUCAAAAUUUCCAUUCAUAGCUAGGGUCACCUAGCAAGGUAACUUUCAUAUCGACACCAGCGUGACGUCUGAUGUAACCAAAAAUAGGAUUCCUUGUAUUUGUUUUUUUCAUUUUGGAUGGUUGCCAAAUGUUUCCAGUCAGCUUCUGGAGUCAAGGUGCUUUAAUGGUCUUGGUCCUUGGCGUACGGAAAGUGCCAGACAAUAGGUCCCAGUAGUCCACAAAUUGGGAAUUUGCGUAGAUUGCAGGUAUUUGCGUAGAUUGCAGGUAUUGCGAUUAGACAUUAACUCGUUUAGUGGCAGUAUUCCACACAAUAUAUCAUAUUGCUUCAACCUUAUCCAUGUGAAUUUCUCUCGGAACAAGUUGGUGGGUAAAAUUCCUUCAGAAAUUGGAUUGCUGUCAAAACUGCAAAAAUUUGCAUCAUUCUAUAAUAAUGUAACGGGACAGGUCCCUCAUUCCUUGGGGAACCAUCCCUAGUUCUCUUGGCCAAUUGAAAAAAUUAACCUUCUUGGGAUUGGGGUUAAAUCAGUUGUCUGGUAGCAUCCAAUCCUCCAUUUAUAACCUCUCUUCUCUUGUUACAUUUUCCAUGCCAGGUAACCAACUUCAAGGGAGUAUUCCAUCAGAUAUUGGCAAAAGUCUUCCUAAUCUCGAAAUCUUCAGCGUCGCCUUAAACCAACUCACUGGGUCCAUACCUCCCUCAAUAUUCAACAUCGCAAGUGUUCAAUUAUUUGAAGUUGGGGUUAACAACCUAAUCGGACAGGUACCGAAUCUCCAAAAGCUUCACAACCUCCGGAUUUUCAACAUUCAAUAUAAUAAUAUUGGAAGCGGUAAAGAUGGUGACUUAAGUUUUCUCUCGACCUUGACCAAUGCCACCCAGUUAAAAAGGCUGAUUAUUAGCGACAACAAUUUUGGAGGGACAUUGCCCAUGUCAGUAUGCAAUCUCUCAACCAAACUUGAAAUGUUUUGGGUUCUAAAUAACCAAAUAUAUGGAAGCAUCCCAUCCGGGAUAGGGAAUCUGGUGAGCUUGCUAUCGUUGCGUUGGGGGAAUAAUAGCUUCACAGGUAACAUCCCCUCUGACAUGGGUAAGCUUUCAAACCUUGGAGAAUUAGAUAUUUUCAUGAACAAAUUAUCAGGAAAUAUUCCGUCUUCCUUAAGAAAUUUAACCAAGUUAUUCUAUCUUGCACUGAAUAGAAAUCAUCUUGAGGGUAGCAUUCCUUCAGGUCUGGGGGAAUGCCAUGGGUUGCAAUUGUUGUAUCUUUCUUAUAACCUCCUAAAUGGCACAAUACCCAAACAAGUUUUUAGACUCUCCUCCUUAUCGAUUGCUUUGCACUUGAAUAAUAACCGCUUCACAGGUUCCCUUCCUCUGGAGGUUGGGAAUUUCCAUAGUCUGAGUGAACUGGAUCUUUCUGAUAACAUGUUAUCUGGAGAACUCCCCAGUAGCCUUGGUGGUUGUGAGAGUUUAGAAGUCCUGCAUUUGCAAGGAAACUUCUUCAACGAGUCCAUUCCUUUGUCUAUGAGUUCAGUAAGAGGGAUUCGAGAUCUAGACCUUUCUCGCAAUAAUUUUUCAGGGGAAAUUCCACAUUUUUUAGAAGACCUUAGAAUCCUGAAUAAUCUGAACGUAUCAUUCAAUCAAUUUUGGGGAGUGGUACCAACUGGAGGUGUUUUCAAAAAUGCGAGUGCUAUUUCAGUUGUUGGCAACACUAAUCUAUGCAGCCCUGUUGCUAAUUUAAGGCUUCCCAAGUGCAAGUCUAAAGAGACCAAGAAACGAAGAUUGUCUCGUAGCUUGAAACAAAUACUCCCUUUAGUAUUUGGACUUACUCUUCUAGGAAUAGCCAUGGUGUUCUCAUUUUUCUUUCUUUGUUCGUCAGGGAAGAAAGGGAAAGAAAUUUCAUUGAGCACUUUCGGGAACACUAUUUUGCAAGUGUCAUAUGCUACUCUACUCAAAGCUACUGACGGGUUCUCAAAGGUUAAUUUAAUUGGUGCUGGUAGUUUUGGGUGUGUACAAAGGAGUUCUUGAUGAGGAUGAUAAAGCUCAACUUGUUGCCGUGAAGGUGUUUAACUUGUCACGCCAUGGAGCUUCGAGGAGUUUCAUAGCCGAAUGUGAAGCUUUGAGAAAUAUUAGGCACCGAAAUCUUGUCAAGAUUAUAACCGUGUGUUCAAGUGUUGAUUUUUAUUGUAAUGAUUUCAAGGCUCUAGUUUAUGAGUUCAUGGACAACGGGAGCUUAGAGGAGUGGCUGCAUCCACCUACUGGAACUGAAGAGUUACGAGAUCAUGUACCCAAGAAGUUAGGUCUUCUUCAGAGGCUAGAAAUUGCCAUUGGUGUUGCUUGCGCACUGGAUUAUCUUCAUAAUCAUUGUGAAACGCCAAUAGUUCAUUGUGAUCUCAAGCCAAGCAAUGUUCUCUUGGACAAUGAAUUGACUGGCCAUGUUUCUGACUUUGGAUUAGCAAGGAUUCUCUCACAAGUAACGAGUAAUGUUUCAGAAAUUCAGAGUCAGACAAGUUCCGUUGGAAUAAGAGGGACGGUUGGUUAUGCAGCUCCAGGUAUAUAUAUGUUAGAUAUAUAUUUCCUUUUUUAUUUUGGAGUAUUUAAUUUACAAAAUUCAAAAAUGUGAUGUUUGAAUUGUAGAGUAUGGCAUGGGGAGUGAGGUGUCAACGAAUGGUGAUGUCUACAGCUUUGUCAAGAUGGCUCUCCCCAAGCAAGUUACUGAGAUUAUAGAUGCACCAUUUCUUCAAGGAGGCAUGAACGAGAAUCUCAAUCAAUGCAGAGUGAGAAUUCAUAGAGUUGAGGUGUGCUUGAGUUCAAUAUUUAGAAUUGGAAUUGCUUGUUCUGCUGAAUCCGCAACAGAUCGACUAAAGAAUAUCAAUGAUGCUGCAUCUGAACUUCAUUCCAUUAGGAAUACUUUUCUUGGAAUAGAAACUCUUUUUAAUGUGCUUUUGUAAUAGAGAUAUUUCAUGUACUGCUUGUGAAGUCUAGCUUUUAUGUUACCACAGUAGAUGUGGAAGUUUGCAACGUAAAUAAUCACCAAUGAGGUUCAUUGUGUGAAGAGUGUAUUACUACUUCUUGUACUUGGUAUUUUUGUGUAAUAUUCACAUCUAUUAACGUCUAGUACGUGCCACGAAAUUGUUGAAUAUACACAUUGACAGAUUCCAAAUUUCGAAAGAUUCAUAACCUCAAGACCCUCAACUUACAUUCAACAAAAUCAUCUUGGAAGCGGUAAAGAUGGUGAUUUGAGUUUCCUAUCAGACUUGACCACUAUCAGUGUAAGGUGUUUUAAAAAAUCAGAGUGCUAUUUCAAUUGUUGACAACACUAGAUUCUGCAAGGGAAUUCCUAAUCUUAGGCUGCCCAAUUGGCAAGUCUAAGGAGCUCCAAGAAAAGAAGAUUAGCUCAUAGCUUGAAAUUAACAAUCCCUUUAGUUUUCGGACUUGCUCUACUUGCAAGUGUCAUAUGCUACUUUCUCAAAAGCCAAUGAUCGGUUUUCUUCAGUUAAUUUGACUGGUGUUGGCAGUUUCGAGUUUGUAUGAAGGUGCUUAACAUGUUAAAGUCACGGAGCAUCAAAGAGUUUCAUAGCCGAAUAUGAGGCUUUUAGAAAUAUCAAGCAUCAAAAUCUCGUCAAGGUCAUAUCUGCAUCUUUUCGCAGUGAUGAUUCAAGGCUCUAGUUUAUGAGUUGAUGCACACCAAAGGAGCUUAGAGGAGUGGUUGCAUCCCCCUCCUGUAAUUGAAGAGCAAGAGCUCGAUACAUCCAAUAAUUUAAAAUCUUCUUUCAAGGGCUAGAUAUUGUUAUUGGUGUUGCUAUUAUGCAUUGGAUUAUUUUCAUAACCAUAGCAAAACACGGAAAAUUCAUUGUGAUCUAAAGCCAAACAAUAUUCUUCUAAACACUAAGUUGACUGGACAUGUUUCUUGAAAGUAGACUAAUCUCAGACUGUUACUUAUAUGAACUCCUCCAUAUAAGUGAAGGGAAUUGGGUUCAAGUUGGUUGGUAUGGUUAAUAGGGUUUGCAAAUGGCCAUUUUUUGUAGAAUUUUAACCCCUACUUGUAGAAUUUUAACCCCAACUUUAAAGCCCAUGGGCUGACAAAUCAAGGUUUUCUAGCAUUGUUGUUAUCAAGAUUCUCCCAUGCGCAUUCUGGCAUUCUGAAUUCUAAUCUAAUGGCUUUAGCAGUCGUUCUACUAAUCUAAAAGAGUUUUUAUUUUUUUGUUCGAACAAAUGAUAUUACCUAUACUAAGAGGAAGGAGAUAAGUUGAACCUUAUAAUGGGCUAACAAUAAUGUUGUUCAAAUUCGUCUUUGACGAGAAUCGAACCCAAGACCUCGCAUUUACAAGUGAAGAAAAUAUCACUAGACCGUAGUACUAAGUGGCAUGAAAAUGUUUGUAUUAAACCUGCAAAAAUGAAAAUUCUCAGCCGUUCAUUAAUGGAUUUGAAUUUAGAUUUAUUACAAUUGAUAGAGAUUUUUUUUUUGGCAAUCAAUAGGAUACUAACAAAUUUGUUUUUAGUACAAAGAUAUGUCACGAUAAUGUCACUUAUAACCAAGGAAGAAAAUAUCGGUAAUAUCGGAAAUAUCGGUAGUCCGAAAACACGGAAAUAUCGAUGGAAAUAUCGGGAUAAUAUCGAUAUCGAUAAAAAUUAUAUGGAAACCACGGAAAUUGUAAGAAAAACUUGGAAAUUUUUAUUGAAACUUUGCAGGAUGUUUAUUUAGUCAAUUAUCUAUUAGUUUAUCACAAAAAAUUGGAAGGAAAUGCAUUGCAUGAUGGAUUUAACUGAUUUAAGUUGAUUAUAUAGCGAGAUGGCAAACAUUGUGAAUGUAGAAAAUAUGUAGUAAUUAAUGAAAGAAGUUUAAACACACCAUAAUCAUUUAUAUAUAAUGAAUUAGUACAAUAUUUUACACUUUAUAAAUUGCAUGGUAAGAUACAUGAGUGACUUAGUACCACAUAGAGUUCCUAUGAGAUUCAAAAUUUUCACUAUCUUCAUCAUCUCUAUUUGUAGAGUAAGUGUAUUGUGAAGAGUAGUCAGCAACCAUGGCAAUGGUUUUCAAGAACCAAAACCCAAAAGUCAAUAGGAAACCGAAUACUUCGGUAUUUUUCGGGAUUACCAAACAAAUGGGAUUUGGAAACCAAUCCCAUAUCGAAAAUUUCGGUAUUUUUCGGGAUGGGAUUCCAGAACUUCAGGAUGGUUUUGGUUUGGGAUUUUUCGGUUUGGGUUUGGGACUUUUUCGGUUUUGUUUGGGAUUUUCGAGAAUUUUUUCCAGCCCUAUGUAAGUGACCAAAUAAAAAAUAGAAAAAUUAAAAACCACAUGCCAUUGACUAAGUAAUUAAUUGACACAAUUUAAAAUAUAAUACCACAAAAAAUUUGGAAUAUGUGCAAAUUUGUUUCUUGUAAAAAGAAUUCAAAACAAAACAAUAUACAUAAAUAUGUGCAAAUUUGUUUCUUGUAAAAAGAAUUCAAAACAAAACAAUAUACAACAACAUAAGUGAUAUGGUGGUUAAGGCGUUAAGACUCAAAUGGGAGGGGGUUCGAAUCCCUUUAGUCUCAAAAUUGAGACUUUUCAGAAAAUUUUAAGAAUUUUUGGAUGUCAUAUCGCGAUAAUAUCGCGAUAUUAUAACUAAUGUCGCGAUAUUAUGUUAAUAUCGCGAUAUUAUCGAUAAUAUCGCGAUAUUUUGACGAUAACUCAUUGGAUACUUGUUAAAAUAUCGAUAACUCAAAAAAACGAAUUUCGCCGAUAUUUUCGAUAUUUAAAUCCUUGCUUAUAGCUAUGUCACUGACCUUUUAACUUAUUGCCCUAUCUUUAACGCACUCCAAUUAAUAUCAUCCUCUAAUUGUUAGUAUUUAAUGAAUCUCAUCAUAAAUUGUUACCCAAAAUAUUAAUUAUCAAAGCAAAUAAAGCCACCACUUGAGGGUGAUGAUUAAAAAUCACCCCAAUAAUAUAAGUAGUAGUUAAGUUAGUUGGUGUGAUAGUUGGUCUUUAGCAAGCUUCUUAAUGGUUGUGCCAAAUAGGUUUCAUACUAGAAAAAAUGUUCGCGCUCCGCCGCGGGUUUUGAAAUCGUAACCCAUAAUUUAACAUACAAUUUCUAAAUUAUUCAGAAAUCAAUAAGAGAAAACUUCAAGUAGAAAAAAAUGAGUUCUCAAUCAAAGAAAACUUCAAUUUCAUGCAAGUUUUUUUGUUCUAAUUUCAGGGCUUAACAAUGCAAGAUUGGAAUUUGCAUUUGGUUCUAAGAAGUAAGAUAAAUUGAUAAGCAAAAUGAACUAAAAAAAUAGAAUCUAUUCCAAUUUGAUUAUCCGUUCAAGUUCAAAAAGACAAAACGAAGAAUAUUUUUAGGGAACUUUAACGAAAAGCAUCCGGUACUGUUCACUUUAACGAAAAACCAUAUUUUUACACUAAAAAGUCAAUCCCGGUACUAUUCACUUUACCCUUUAUUUUGUCCUUAUCAUUAAAACUCAAAGUUUUCAAGCCCUUUUUAUUAGUUUUCCUAUAUUUUUAAGCAUCCAAACAUCAGUUAAAACUAAACAAUUAAAAACAAUAACACUAAAGCAUUUCAUUGAAGACAUAGAUAACAUAUUUGUUUCUUUGUACCUAAAAUGGAAAACAUUUGCUUUCCUAUAUGCUCUGAAAUUUGCAUAAGUGCUAGAAAUUUACAAAAUAUAAAGAGACAAUCUCAGAAUAAAACACAUUUGAAGGAAAAGUAAUAAGAAAAGAACAUAGUGUUUUUUACCUAUGAUUCAUGUGAGGAGUAGAAUUUCCAGUCACAAUUGACAACACAAGAGCUCUGUAAAUCAAAUAUAUAGGAAAAGAUCAAUAAAAAGUGAAUUACAGUUUCUCAAAUUAGAAAGUAACAUUUAUUUGAAAAGAUUCAGACUCAUUUUGGAUAUCGAUAAACAAUGGCAUGUUAAAAACCAAAAUGGUAAGGCAUUCAAUAUUCAGCAUUCAAGUUAAAAAAAAUGAUAUACAUGUUAUCCAUCAAUGUUUUGGUAACAAAUUCCCAAAUUGCUCUAUCUACCAAACAUUUGCAGAUCUAUCGUUAUAGAUAGACCUGUAAAUGAGUCGGGUUCAUUGGGUUUGGAUCAGGUUCGACCCGAUCUAUUAAUUUAAUGGGUCACCCGAACCCAACCCGUUAAACUAACGGGUCAUCCAAACACAACCUGUUAAUCUAUUAAGUCACCCGUUUUACCCAUUUCACCCGUUAACAAUUUUUUUUUUUUUUUGCUUUCAUAUUUCAUCCAAACCAAGAAAAGAUCGGUGCUUUCAGUUGUUUUCUUCUGCUACCUCACUCAAAACCCAAGUCUCCCUUGCAGCCGACUCCAUCACCGCCAACCAAUCUCUUUAAUGCGAUUCAAAACCCGAGUCUUGACCCUGUCCCGGUACGCUUUACUUCGUCCUCCAAUUCUUAUAUCAUUAUAAUAUACAUAUAUAUACCUCUAUAUAUAUACAUAUAUAUUAUAUUUUUAUGCAUUUCAGUUCUUUGCUUGUAACACUGAGAUUUGUACUCUCUCUCUAUCGCAACAGCAAAAGUCUCAGCAUUUCAGAGACACCCAAAAGAUUUUACAAUGAAGAGAGAAAGAGAGAUAGAGAAAGAGAGAGAGAGAGAGAGAGGGAUUUGGGUUCUGAGGUUGAGGUUCCAGUGGAGUUUGAGGUUGAGGACCUGAGGUUCCAGGCAGAGUUCCUAGUGCUAAUUAAAGUUCUUGUUUUCGUUUUUUUUUGGUAGUCUUAGGUUUACGAAAUUCGACAGAGAGUGAGGGUUUUCUAUUAAGAAUAUUGAAAUUACACAAAAGUCCUCAAUAACGGGUGAUUAACGGGUUUCGCGGGUUCACCCAAAAAGACCUGUUAUUUAACGGGUUGACCCGUUAACCACCCAACCCGUUUAGCACUCACCCGAAUACUAAUUUUAACAGGGUCGGGUCAGAUUAACGGAUCGGGUUGAAAAUGCCAAGUCUAGAACUUACAGAUGUUCAGUUUUAUGAUAUUCAACCCAAUACCCACAUUAUUGGCAAAACGACAUUGUAUAGAUCUUUUGAGCACCCGAGCUAAUGACAAUAACAUUGAAGGCAACUACAAAAAUUUACAUUAUAUAAAGAGGCAAUCUCAAAAUCAAAAAUUGUGAAAAUCAAUAUUUUAUGGCUACAUUUUUUCAUCCGUCAAUCAAUACACACAUAACACAGACAUUCAUUAGUCAAGCACUCAACCACUCAGGCACAUCGACUACAACUUGGGAAUGUUAUGCAAAUCUUAGGCAGCUUGAAUCAUUAAAUUUGAGUUGGAAUAAGCUCUGUUACCUGCUCUGCUAAGUUGAGGAGUGUCACCAAAUUGGCACUAUCAUCAGCAUCAACACAUUUCACACACUCUCGCUUCCAAAACAUUUCACGAAAUCGAAAACCAAAUGAGAUUAUGUAGCAGAAAAGAUUGACGGAAAAAUAGAUUAAGAAAAGCAAUUAAUAUUAAAUAUAGAGGAUGAAUAAUGUUGUCCAAUAAAUAAGACAGCUGUAUAUAUUUCUCGACCAUGAGAAAACAACAAAUUAAUAGAGGCAUUAAUCCUAAGUUUGCCAUUCAUUGUUGUCGGUCUAAACUUGAUGACAUAUUGUAAAGUCCUCUUACAUACAGAUUAAUGAAAUAUUAAUUUAUUUCCAUAAGUUAUUUGAUUUUGCAAAUUCAAAAUAAUUGAAGAAUACUGAAAAUUACUAAACCCCAUCACAACAUCCCAUUAGCCAUUAGCGAAAAAUCAAAGACAAAAGUAAAUUACUAUCUUUCUAAGCAUCCAAAUUAAAAAAACAAAUUAGCCAAAUUGGAAUAGUUAGAUCAAAUAAAGAAUUAAGUCAACCAAUUACAUAAAAUAAUUCAUGCCAAGUAGGCUCCUAAGAAAAUGUACCACUAUGGUGGUGGAGGAGGCCUAGGCUCAAACAGUGGAGGAAAGCAGCAUUUAAAUAUACCGCAACAGCACGGAAUCCACAGACUGCAUAAUCAAAACCAAAAUUUUAAAAUUUAAAUUUAAAUUUGAAAAAAAAAAUGCAAUAGAAUUGUAUAAUGAGAAAUUCUCCAAUGUGGAUAAAUUAAUCCCACUCAAUUUAAAUUUAAAGGAUGCAAUCAGUUGUAUUGGGCUGGCAACCGGCUUAUGCUCAAAUCCCACUAAAUUUAUCAUACACCCUUCCAACUACAAUUCAAAGGAAGAAGUUCCAAGUCCAUGCAUAAUGUUUGCUCAACUAAAAUAAAUUGCUUUUCAUGAUUAAAAUAGCCAACCAACCAACACUCAUUUGAUAAAAUUGAACAUUUGGAGUUGCAUAUCCACAUAUUCCACAUAUUUAAGAUCGAACAAACCUUCAAAUGAAGAAUUGCAAUUGAUAGAAUCGGUGUUCUUUGAAAUAAUCAUAACAUUUCACAACACAACACAAUGGCAUCAAUUUAUACAAAUUCUAACAGCAAAUUGUCAAAAACAAUGAGAACAAUUACCAGAAAUUUCAAAUCAUUUGGGGGUUCAGAGUAAUUACCAGAGAGACGAAAGCUAGAAUCAACAUUAGUCCAUUUUUUUCAAAAUAAGAACAGCUCCGAUCUAAGAAAUACAGUGCAAUUUCUGAAGGAAAAAAAAAGUGAGAAAACCCUAAAAUCCCUAAGAACCCUAAUUUAUAAAACGCAAAAGGAGAGAGGAGACUCAAAUAAAGGGUAAUUUGAGAAAUUCAACAUGCCAUAAUCGGGGGCGAGGACGCUUUCUGAUGGCCAAAUUCAUCGACACCGGAGGCAGUUGUCGACCGUCACUGUACCUCCAUUUUGUCUCCGCCAUGUUUGAGGCUUUCGACCGUCACUACUUGGUUUGUGUGCUUCAUGUCGAGAGAUAUGGGGGAGCGGAGAGAGAGGAAAAGCAGAGGAAAAUGAAAGAUUGUAGAGAAGGACAGAAACAGGAAGAGUGAGAGAUGAGAGGAAGAGCGCACGCGUUCUAACCCAUCGCAAUCCGUUCUAAACCAUAUGGACAAAAUUAUCCUAUCAACUUUUGAGAAUUACCCUCCCAACCCAGCCCUAUUUCGCUGGCAUUGUUGUAAAUAGCGUGAAAUUGAGUGGCAAAGCUACUAUCAAUUACUCCUCAACUUUAUAAUAGAUAAUUCGAGAAAAUAGAACUUUAACGAAAAUCUUCCGGUAUUGUUCACUUUAACGAAAAACCAUAUUUUUACAUUAAAAAGUCAAUCCUAGUACUAUUCACUUUACCCUUUAUUUUAUCCUUAUCGUUAAAACUCAAAAUUUUCAAACUCUUUUCAUUAAUUUUCCUUUGAGGAAGGGAAAAAUUUUUGAAAUGUCAUAUAAACUUGUACGUAUUUUUCAGUUUGUCAAAAAAACUAAAAUUUUAAGCAAUUUGUCACACUAACUUUCUAAAAUCAUCAAUUUGUCAUCUCAUCCUAACUCCGUUAAGUUUUUCAUUCAAAAUAAGUCAUAUGCGAGGCACAUGACUUGUGUUCAGGGUUAUUUCUGUCAUUUUAACACCUCACUUCCUUCUAUUAAGUUGCAUUCAAUCAAAUAAUUACAGGGUUUCUAAAGCCACAAAAAGAGACUAAUAUACGAUGCUUGGUCUAAGAGUUUUCAUUCAAAAAGGAGAACAAUGGCGCUUAUGUGUGUUUCGAAUUGAAGAUGGCUCAAGAAUAGAGUCAUUGCGAACCCUCCAAUCUAUAUGAUAAAGUUGGAUGAAAUUAUUUAUUAUGGCUAAUUGGAUGAAAUUAUUUAUUAUGGUUGUCUGCGACAAUAAGAAAUUUGAUUCUUCUAGUUGUAGCUAGUCCCGUUUUCUAUGUUUAUUUGCAUUCUUUUUUUAUGGAAUGGUGUUUUACCAUGAGAUUGAAUGGUUUUUUAUUUGGUUCUUUGUUUAGUUUGAACUAGAAAAUUUGCCUGCACUUUUGCUGCGGGUUUUGAAAUCAUUAUCUACAACAGGCGUGAAUAAUUUUCAUAGAAAGUAACUAAAAAGACGGUCCAACACUAAGAACCAAUGAAGUGAAACUUUGAUUGCUAUAUAUGAAUAUACAUGCUAUAAGAAACCAUUCAUAUUCAGUUCCAACAACAAUAUCGCUUUUCUUGAGUCCCUUUUGAAUGGUAUUUCUUGUGGCUUUGGAUCGACAAUAGUACUUACAUACAAAAGAUUACGAAACAUUGUUUUAUUUACCUGAAGAAAAAUGACAAAAUAUUGUUUUACUUAGUUACCUUUUAGAAAAUUAGAAUGACAUUGGCAAUGCUUAUGCUAUUCAAAAAUCAUAUGCCAGAUUGAAAUCGAAAAACUAAACUUUGAAUUCAAAACUAUUCACAUGUGGAAUAAUUUGAAAUGCCUCAAAAUAUUAUCAUGACCCAAUUGUAUAUGGAAAAUGCCUGAAAGUAAUCCAUGCCUUUCUCAAAAAUAGGCCAUUCAGUGUUGAGCACCAAGUAAUAGCCUCUAAUAUCAGAGAAAAUACCUGCCAAGAAAAGAAAUUAAAAUAUUAGGCAUAUGAGUGCAAGCUUACAUAAACUUUGUUUUUGCACACUUUCUUCUCCCUUCAAUGACAGUUUGUUUCUAUCCAGAAAAAUAAAAUGAGCAAGUCAAUGAUACUCACAUGUACAAAAUGCUAAUCCUAUAUAUGGUCUAAAGCUAACUGAGUUUUUAAGUGUAAAAUCCCUAAUUUCACUGCAUUUGGAUUGAUCACAGUUCGUGACUUGUUAAACUUGAUAUCUCUUUGUACAUUUUGGGAACAUGACAGCUUAAAAAAGUGCUCAUAAAAGCAAAUUACACAAUAUCCACUAAAAACUUAGAGAAGGGACUCAAUUAGUCAACAAACAGAUGCCUCACACUUAAAUAUUAAAGACCAAAGAGAGAAAACCAAGCUGAACUCUUCAAAAUUCAUUGGCACACAUGCUUCAUUGGCUCAAUUGAAUGUAUAAUGCAUACUUGGAUACAACAUUUUCAUAAGGAUUCGACGUGAUCAUGGAGUGCCGGCUGUCGACUACCUGACGCCCUCCCCCUCCUCCUUUAUCCGGGCUUGGGACCGGCCAUGUAAGAGAUACAACAAUUCGAACAAUUGUUAGAGAUUGACAUAAGCCUCCAAACUUGAAAAAGUUUGAAACCUUAAGAAAGAAGAACCUGUUUUCCUUCAUAUUUGUGCUGUUUCGAUUAGCUUAUCUCGCUAUCACUUGAUUCAUUAGUUUUAAAGGAAGUUCAAAUACUGCUUAAUAACAGUUGAUUAUCUCUAAAACAAAGAGGGAAAACAUAGAAAUACUAUAUGUACUCAAAAUCCCAAAUAUGUAACACAUGGUUGUAAUCUACCCUGAUUUCAAAAUUUAAAAUUCGACACAAAAAAUGAAAUUUGGAAUGAUUAGCAGGGAAAUAAGAGAGAGAAGUGUGAGCGAAUAUACCCACCCAUGAGGCCUUCAGACCCGAGUUCGGAGCUGGAAGCGGCAGAGGUUGCGAACCCAGAGCAUGGAAGAAGCUGGAAGGAUUUUCCUCUGUGCUGCCUCAUGCACGUGUCUUGUACUAUUUAUCCAAGCAUUGACUGUUCAAAUAUUGGGUAGUUGGUAAUAUUAAAACUGAUAUAAUCAUGUAGAAAUAACUUUGUUCAAUCUUUCAGGAUCUUAACAACAUGUCUUUCAACAAUAUUUGUGAUGUUAAUUUUGAAUCAUGUCUCUAUUUUAGAGAGAGAGAGAGAGAGAGCAUGAUUUAAGUGGGAACUAUCUCAGGCAAUUUUCCUAUCUAGCAAAUGGUUAAGACAGAAAAAUCAAUCUUCGAUAUAGAAAACAUCCUGAGCUUAUAAAAACCACCAAAUCAAAGUUAUGUUUUUUUAUGUGCUUGUUUGCAACACGGCAUAAUUAUUGCUUUCCAGGGUAUAAAUGGCUAUCAAGCAAAAUGAAAAAGAAGUUAAAGACUUCCAACAAUGGAGAGCAUACCACCAUCAUAUGUGAUCAAAGGCAACACUAUAAAAGCAGGGUAAACUGCCAAUUUAGUCCCUGAAUUAUCACCUUAGUGAAAAUUAGGUCCCUAAACUAUUUUUUCAGAAAAAUUAGUCCCUGAAUUAUAAAAAUCUGUCAAUUACAUCCAUAAUGUUAUAUUCGAAGUUACUAUAUUCAAUUUUUCAUCAAUUUAAGUCACGUUACUUGCAUAUGAUACAUAUUGGAAGGUAGAUUGGUAGUUUUUCAUAAAGAAAUAGUGUAUGGAAUUGACUUUGGAGGAGAAGUUGGUAGUUUUUCAUAAAGAAAUAGUGUAAGUUAACUUUUGAGGGUAAAUUAGACAUUAAAUUUGCAACAUAUAUGAAAUGUUAGGCACUUACAGACGAGAAAAUGAUGAUAUUACACUCUAAAGUGUGUCAAGUGACUUAAUUUGACAAAAAAUUAGAUAAAAUAGCUCUAAAUAUAAUAGUAUGGAUGAAAUUAGCAAUUUCUAAUGAAUUUAGGGACUUAUUUUACCAAAAAAAUAAUUUAGGGACCUAAUUUUCACUAAGGUGAUAAUUCAAAGACUAAAUCGGCACGUCACCCAUAAAAGCAUGGUGGAAUUAGAGAGAUGAGACUGAUGGUUAGUGGCAUAUUUUGAUUAGCAUUACCUCCAAGAUAAGUUGACCUCUCUGAUCAUAUGGGAAUUUGCAACGCAUGGAUUUCCCGUAGAUAUCUUUUGCAUCAUCAUAGUCCUUAUCAAAAAGGUAAACAUGAUCACAUGUUUCAAGACAGCAUACAGAACACGUGUAUACACACCCCAAUUGCAAACUCUGCAAUGAAAAGGACCAAAAUAAAAUAAAAACUUUAUUUAAACUAAAACAACUACAAAAUGCAAAAUUCAAUUCUUUCUUUUUUCUUGUGUCAAAAUUAAAUUAUAAUAACAAACCUUCAUAAAUGCAUCAAUUUCUUGAUCCAGCCUUAUGUUCCUUUCCCUCUCUAACCGUUCCAAAUCAUUCAUGUAUGUUACAGCAUAAAACAAUUGACAAAAACAGGGGAAGGAUAUCAGCAGUGCUCGAUUGAGUACAUGAAAGUAAAUUAUGCAUCACGAUUUGGACUUACUUUUCUGGCAACUUCUUGCAGUGAAGAAGAGAGCCGGAUGGAAUAAUCGAUCAGCUGGGUGAAAAGGAUUUACAGAGAUUUUGAAUUUGGGGUGAAAAGAAAUUCCUAGAAAUCAGCCUACCCCCAUACUUCUCCCUUAUUCUUUCUCCCUUAAACCCAUGCCAGACGGAAAUCGCCGAAAAUCCCCUCCCCCACCCUCUGUCACUUUGCGAACUGCCCUCAACCUACUCUGAUUGAGACCGACGGAACAAACCUCCUAAGCGCGAAUUACAGAAAUGCCCACAACUUGUGGCCGUUGGAUGUGGAAUCAAGCAGGGAAAAUGAUAAUUUCAUUACCCCACUCCCACUCCGAAAUCGAAGAUUCACACCAAAUCUCUGUCACUCUCUCUGUCUCUUUCUCCUCCUCUGUCUGCUCUAUAAUCCCCUACCCAUCGAUCCGAAUGCCUUGCAGCCCUUCAAUUUCAGCCGCGUGAUCCUAACCUAGAUAGAUAUUUCCACCAUUUUAGCACCCUAAGGGCCGGCCUUAUGAAGAAUCUAGGAAAGCCCAUCAAACACAUUAUGGGCGGCCCAAAACAAAGUAACCCAACCCCCAAAACACACUACCCACCCAGCCCCAAUUUGAUGGCAGUGGCGUAAAUAAAGUAAACUCAAGUGGCAAACAAUUGACUGUAGCUAAGCUACAGUCAAUUCACUCCUCAACUUUAGAAUAGACGAGAAAAUAUGCUCGCGCAUUGCUGCGGGAACCUGUUGUUUCAGGUGUAAUCGGAUGAAUAAAACACAUUUAAGUUGAAUAAAUUCAACACAAUUAUGAACAAAUAGUUUUUUUAUAUACAUUCAAGUGAGCUGGCAUAUAAACACAUUGUACAAUGAGUGGGAAGAAACUGAACGUCUUUGAUUAGAAAGAGAUGGUUUCCAAAAAAGUUCUGUUUCCUUAAAAAACAGAAGAAACAUAAGUUCACACAAAAUUUCAGUUACCAAAUCCAAAAAAAAAACAAAAAUGUGACUCUCUAUAUGGCUUUCUUACUACAAAAAAAUAUCCCUUAGUUAAAGCAUGCCACACAUCAUCACAUUGCUAUUAUAUGAAGUAUAUUCCUCAGUGACAAGUAAUAUACUCUCCUUAGCAUGACCUCUCAUCCCUUAUAUCUCCCUAGAAUCGUAUAACAACCCAUAAGUACGGUGCCCCUUUAAAAUCCAAGCAUACAUUAAAAAUUCAACAAUACAGUUACAAAAUCUCUAUAAAUGAGCAUACCUCAAAAAGCCAACGGCCCAAGUGACACACUGCACACACUGCAUGCACUCACAUACACUGCAUACACAUACGCUUACACACACUGAAGAAUGAACGCAUUAUAUUCAGUUAGCACUAUUCAACUUUAAAAGCAGUGAGACAUACCAAAGGCACAGCCUAACUGGCAUCGGUUCAAAUAACCAAAUUGAGAACAUUUGAAUUUUAGAAAAGUUGUACAUAAGGGAAAAAAAAAGAAAAAAAAAGAGACAAAACAAUCCUAUAACCACAAUUGAAAAACAAAAUCAAAAUGAACAUAAUAAAAUAUCAGCAGAGCUUGAACACUAACAGCCUUUGAAAACAUGUGUUGGUUACGUAUAAUAUAUAUGCGCAUAAAUUAAGAAAAUGACUUGAGUGCCCUAGCAGUGGUCUUUACGUUGAACCAAAUCACUAUUAGGUUAAUUGUAUUGAUUCACGCAUCUUAUUUUAUGUGCUAAACUCUACUAAAUUGCCCUACAAAAAUGACAUAAAACUAAUUAAAUUCCCAAUAUAUCUGAGAUAUACAACUUUUAAAAGUGUGACAAUAUAUGCAGCACCAGGAUGUUGCAGAACUCACUGCCCCAAUUUAAGAUUCGGUUUUUAUCCAAUGUAUGUAUAAGCUUAGAUACAUCUGAGAAUUUGCUUUUCAACAGUUGUUACUCUCAUCGUCUUUUGAGAGAGAUAGAUACAAACAUUAAGAUUACAAUGGGGAAGAGUUAAGAAUCCCUCUAAAAUACUAAAGAAAAACAUACCUACAACGGAGUAAACAAGUGUUUGUCUCCAUAGCAGUUUCUCAGAGCAUUUAUGCUGUGAGAAAGAUAGUGCUCCACUCCAGAAGGAUGGACAAAUUUACCAGAUGGAGACUGACCCAAGGAAAACAUCAUCUGACGAACAAUUAUGGUGAUGCAAAAGGACAACACGUGAUGUGAAAUUAUUAUACCAAAAUAUCCAAGGUAUGUUAAUCUAAUCACCCAAUAAAACAGAACAUAAUUAAGCACAACAAUAUCAAAAUUAAAAGGAAGGAAUAAUAUGAAACCUUGUGCAUAGAACGUUCAUGAGAAUGAAUCACACAACAAUCAAGGAUGGACAAAUCACAAAAGUGACAAUUAAAGGGCACCUGACGGACACCCACAUCCUUCUCUCUCUACAAUCGCAGAAAUCCCUCGGGUUUCAUGAAGCAAAUGGAAAACGAAAUGCCCCUUUACCCUCACAGAAAAUCCUCCCAUCUCUCUCUCACCCUUGUCCCAUCUCUCUGUCUGCAAAUUGCAGAAAAGAAACCCUAAACAAAUCCCUGAAAUCCCUUGCCUAAAUCCUCUCACAUUUCUUUCGGACACCCCCUAUCUCUUUCUCUCUCUCUCUUUGCAAAACCUAAACCAGAUCUCCUAAAUCCUAUCUCAGACACCCGACAUACAGCCAAUAAGCCAAGAUAUUAAAGCAAUCUCUACAUAAUACUUUGGAACAAAUUAAGCAGAGAAAUCAGUUUAUAAUCCCUAAAUACUAGAAAGAAGGAAUCUUUGAAAGGGAAGCUUCCGAAUGGCAUACAGAGAUUUUUAUUAUAAGAAAAAUGUAACCCUAAUCCCAUAUUAAGCAGAGAAAUCACUUCAUAAUCCCUAAAUACUGGAAAGAAAAAAAAUUUGAAAGGGAAGCUCACCACUGCAAUCAUAAGGCAUGAGCAGAGACAACUUCGGAGGCUGUAAACAAAGGCCCAAAGAAUGAAAAACCAGGGUCUCUUGAAACUGAAAACAGAACUAAAUUAAACCACCACACGUAGAAUCGCAGGCUACAAACUGGCAUGGUUAUGGUUCAUCUGCUGCCGCAAUGACUUGGUUCAUUUACUGCCACAAUCGCAAUACCAGUUUCUAUUGGUAGAAUUAUAGUAACAAUAUAUAGAAACAAAGAAAUUAUCUUUUCAUCUUGCAUAUCAACAAUUAUAAAAUGCAUCAACCAAUAAACUAAAAAAUAAAAAACAAAGACAAAAAAACGUAUGCUUUCCAUUCAACAGAAAAAGUCUGCAUAAAGAUAAAUUGGAAUGAUAAACAUACAAAAUUUCACUUUUCACUUCACAUAAUUUGUUUGAAAUCACUAAUUACCAUUAGGACAACUUCAUAAUGAAAAAAGAUUACACUAAAAUUUUGGAAAUUGUUGCUUACGUAUCUUCAGAAUCAUCUUUAUGAUUUCUAAACAUUUUUCCAAAAAGAGUGGACAGAUGAAUACAAACCUCCUCGGAUGGACACACUAAUAGGAUCAUCCAGUCGACCAUCAAAUACUUCCAAAGAUAAUGACAGAAGUGGUGUCUCCAUUACAUGCUUCUCCGAGAGUCCCAUGUGAGAAAAAAGAAAAGUAAAAAUCAAAACUUGCCUCUGCCAAAUAGGAAAACCCCUACAAACCACACAAUCAGAAAAAUUAAAUUAUUUUUUUUCUAAAAUUAGGAGAGGAAAAUAGAAUAAGAGUGGAAAAUCCUAAAAAAUAAGAAAGAAAGAAAGCCAAAAUUAUAGAUCUAGAGAAUAAAAAUUACCCAAAGUUCCACUCAACACAAACAUAAGGGCCAAUGCGAAGGCGAGCAUAGAGCCCUGCCUUCUGCAUGGUCUUGAGAAACCUCACCAGAUUAUACCUCCCCUUAAAAUUGUACUAAAACCCAACAUAAACCCAAAAGGUGAAAUUAACUACAAAACCAAAUAUACAAAAGUAUUCGUUUCAGAUCUAAAUUCAUCCCCCUUUAUACUGGCUCUAAGGUGGUUUUUGUCGUAGCCAUGUCCAAGACAAUGCACCCAAGACUCCAUACAUCUACAGCAAGGUUUGCACCAACUGAGUUCUGUAUAACCUGGGCAAGGAACCGAAAUGAAUACUUAAGUAAAAGUAAAACCAUCAAGAAGCAUGCCACGAAGGAAAAAAAUACAGUAACAAAAAAAAAAAAAAAAAAAAAAAAAAAAAAAAAACUCACCCUCACAAACUUAUCCAGUGACGCUCCAUUUGAUUGCUCUAAUCUUCAUUAAGAAGAUUGGUACCUGUCCAGAUACAUUACAAACUUCAUUUAAUUAAAGAAAACAAAAGCCAAAAAUGUAGAAAUCUAACACAAUUAACGUAAAGAGAAGCAUAUGAAAUCAUUAAAAUAACAUACUAAUAAUAAUACAAUGUAAUCAAAGAAUGAUUAUUCGACAUUAAAACUAAGCCAGGAACAAAAACCUUUGAACUUUGUGCAUAAAGCACACAUGUUGUCUUAACUGUACAAACACUAUUAACAACCUAAACGAUAAUUAACUCACAAUUUAGUUCCAUCAAUAUGAUAGACAUACCAAACUGUCAACAAACUAACAAAAGUAAACAUAAACCCUCCCUAGAAAUAGCCCAAUGGUAGGAUUAUGUAGUCCGACUGUGCUGAACUAAAUAAGAAAAAAUUCAAGUGGUCAAAGCCAAUCUAGAGCUUUCUCAUCUCCCAAACACAACAAGAAUCAGAACGUGGGUCGUCAAUUUCAAGAAAUUCACAGAAAGAGAGAAAGAAAGGGAUAGAGUAGCACAAACCUCAGAUCGAUUGGCCUCGAUCCUCUGUAUUCCCUCAUUAUCGUAGCAGAAAUCAACAAAAGCAUAUAUACAAUGACAUUUUAUCAGCCACUGGUUGGACCACAUUUAUUAACUGCUAUAAACGGAGAAACAAUUUGGUAUAAGAAUCUGAUAAGAAUCUCAUUCCACAAAACUUCUUCAGUCUAGGCCUAAACAACUGCAAGCAAAAAAAUCCCCAAGAUACAUACUUUCUUCCAGAUCAUCCACCGCUAUUAACAAAACCACACCCUAUAUCUUCAUUUAGCUAAUAAGAUUAAAAGAGUGAACUUAUCACCCAAAUAAAAUAUGUAGAUUAACGAAUAUGAGUUAAAAAGUGGAGGAAAGAAACAAAACCAAUCAAACAACGAAUUGUCAAUAGAAUAAAACAACAAAUAUAGAUAUCUGAAUCAAAGAUUUUUUUUAUUUUUUAUUUAUUUAUUUAUUUAUUUAUUUUAUUUUUGUCAAAUGAAGACUUAAAUGUCACUCAACAUUGUUUCUAAUUGCAGCUUCCUUUCUACCUGUAAAAGCAUGGUUGUCUUAGCCAAACAUACAUUUUGAUCAUGCAUAAUCGAGAUGGAGACAUUAUCUUCUGACAACAGACAUGGAAGUUCAAAAUAUUAUUGAAUCAUCAAAUGUUGAAAUUACCAAUCAAAUACAGAUAAACCACCACCAGCAACCAAAACAGUUUUUUUUUUUUAAUGAAAUUAUACACCUCUCACCCAAGUAGCAACCAGUUCUUUUGAACUGAGCGUCUGUAAAACACAUGAGUACGGAUAUAUUAUAGAGAGCAACAAUCACUAAAUUUCUAACAUCACCAGCAUUCACAACAUUAAGCAUGUAGGGAAACUAUUUCAUUUCAUUUUAAUUUUAGGUGACACAGCUGAUGCAAGAAAGGGUCGAGCAAGUAGCAUGGCAUCAAGAAUAAAGGAAGAUAUUUAGGAUGGAACAAUUAAAAGUUUCUGUAAAUCAUUAAAUUUAUGCUUACAUAAAAUAUACAUGCAUACUUAAUUUUUCAGACAAUUAUACUUCACAACAUAAAUUGCAAGUUGGGACUAUUUGGUUGACUCAAAAGAAUUGAUGGGUUAGAAAAAGCACAAUAUAUAUAUAUAUAUAUAUAAAGACGAAUGUUCUUAUGUCGUUCUCCUCUUAGAGAAACUCCACCCAUGUGGAUUGCUCGGGGGACAUGGGAGAAGAAAGGGCCUGAGGCCCGGUGGACAGUGCUCCAGUCAUGGAGAGCCCGAGUGAGGGUGGGAGCCCGAGCACAAGGCCCGUGAGGAAUCCACCAGCCUAUAGCCCGAGGGCCAGGCAUUAUUUAAUUUUUUUUGUGUCAGCCCGUGGGCCUGCAGCCCCAUUUCCAAUGUUUUUUUAUAUUUUAUAUUAUUUAAACAAACAAAAACAACUAAUAUUUUAUUACAUAUUGCCAGGGGGAGGGCUCCAAGGGUGGAGAUGCAAAAGGUAAUUACUGUUCAUUAAUAGUAGUUACUAUUCAUUAAAGGUAGUUACUGUUUAAUAAGGUGGAUUCAAUAGUGAAUUGCCAGGGGGAAGGGCUCCAAGGGUGGAGUUGCUCUUACAUUGACAAAACACACACACAUGUGGUUUAAUGCUCCAAUAUUCAAUGAGAAGGCACCAGGCAAGAAGAAGCUCAAGGCUGGAAAGAAGCUUCCAAAUAGAACAAUCUAUAAAGCAGACCACAAAAAUUAGACAAAACCCAAAACCUAAACAGUAAAAAAAAUCCCUAAAAUGAAAAGAAAAAAAAAACUGAAUUUGCAGAAAUGUCAUAGCUUGUACCCUAUUAUAUCCAAGUUGUCGUACAUCCUCGAACCUUUGCGUUCAUAUAUGCUUCCUCAAUUUUAGUGUAAACCCCCAAAAUAAACUGCAAAUAUUCUAGAAAUGGUAAAAUGAACUGCCAACCAGUCAAUCAUUUCCCAAAAUAAACUGCAAAUCACAAAAUUACCUACUCCAAAUCGGCUGGAGAACUCACCAGGAAACCAAGGCUUUUAUGGGCUUAAAAUUUCCUUCGAAAUGGGACUAAAUUCACGGUUUUUCAGCAAGAGGUCGUUGUGCUUCGUAGUUUCUGAGAGAGAAUCAAAGAGAUUUCUAACAGCUUGGUGGUUUUUAAGCUCGUUGGUGAUUUCUGAGAGAGAAGGCGAGGAGAGAAAAUGGAGAUGGAAGCAGAGUCGAGGCUAUGUCGUAGACAAGCUGAAUCGCUGGCUUCCACGAUCAUCAAGCAUAACUGCACACGCACAACACCCUACCUAGAGAAGGGAGACGGCGACGACUGAAGGAUAGGAUGGAGGCGAGACCGUCGUUCUCGUAGGGUCUGCGAGACGGAAGAGGCAAUGAGGGUUUGAGAAGGAAAUGGAAAAGGCCAGCUUUACCAUCGUUCUUCCCUUCCCACGAUCAUCAACACGUGUGCAUCAAGAUUAGCGGCAGAGAGAGCCUGGUAGAGCACCUACCUAAAUAUCUCUCUCACUCAAUCCAAACCUGUAGCUCCCAUCUCUCUCCAAUCUGUCAGGCUCUGUGUCUCCCUCCUCUGUAGUCGCUCUAUCUCCUUUUCUCCGCUCGCCAGAGGCACACCCAGUUGUCUUCGAGUAAAAAAUGGGAGCGAUUGUCUCUCUGCAAUUUGUCAGGCGUGAUGUUCCCCUCCCUUCUCCGUCGUAGAGUCAAACGUGAAAUGCAGCCAACGGUUGAAAAUAGGUUUUUAGGCCUGAGUGGCAAUUUUGUAAAUUAAGUGAAAGGUGGUUAAAAGCAUCCGAGUGGUAAUCUUGUAAAUAAACUGAAAUGUGCUUCUGCUUCAAAACACUGUUCAUUUGUACAGUGCAAUUGAAAAACCUUCUUUAGACUAAAGUAAUAACUAUAAAUUGCUACAUGCGCGUUGCUGCGGGAUAAAGAAUUGUAAUUUUUAAGCUACAGUCAAUUCAUUCCUCAACUUUAGAAUAGAUAACUAGAAAUUGCUACAUGCGCGUUGCUGUAGGAUAAAAAAUUGUAAGAAAAAUUUUGUUUGAAAGAUAUAAAAGAUUGCUCAUUGUGAUAGAAGAUUAAUAAUAUUUACAUUGAAAACAUUAGAAAGAUGUUCAUGUACCAAAGAUUAAAUCGAUAAAAGGCGACACACAAAAAAUCGUAGCUCAACGGAAUACAACCUUUCAGCAAAGAAUUGACUAAACCAAAAACGAAACAACCCAAUUCUCUUCCCAAGCUUCAAAAUCGAAUUCAAUCAACUUAAUUACAUUGGGGAAUCAAUAAUAUCAAAAUAAGCUAGGAUCAACUCAAACAACCCAACACCUCCACAUCAACACACACAACUAAUACAGAACCUAUUUGACCUCAUAAAAAUCAAAUAUGCACAGGAAUAGAACAUUUUCCAAAGUAUAAAAUCCAGACGAAAUUUCUGACCUCUCCUCCUCCUUGAGCAUUUUCAAACACUUCCUUGCAAAUUGAAUUGGCAACACACCGUUGAUGUUGAUGUAGCUGUUUAUCCAAGGAACACAUAAAAUAAAAACAAAUCGAAAGACACUUAUUUAGCGAGAGUCGAUAAUCUCAUUUUUGCCUCAAGAGAAGCAAAAUCGAAAUAUACAACUAACCAAAAAUAAAUUUUUAAAGAAAUAUCUCCCAAAAUAUGUGGAGCUACCUGAUUAAGUGGGUUCUUUGGCGUUCCAUACUCAGCAGCUAGAAAACCAAAAACAUGUCAUGCAUUGCAGAGAAGGUUAAUGGGAUAAACGUCAAGUUCAUCAAUCAUAUUUGCAUGAUAGAAGCUGCUGGAAUAAAUUCAAUCAUAUUCAAUACCCAAUCUGGUAAAUUUAAAAUGUAAACAUACAAAAGAUAUACAUACAUAUUAUAUUUCUGUCUUUGGUAAGUGCUUUGCAGACAAUCACACUUUUUUUCUCUUAUUUUGAAAGAAGUAUACUGUCUGCAAUUUUCGUAAAAUAAAUAAAAUAAUAUAAUAUUAGAACAAUGGCCUUAUACCAUUAACAUUUAAUGUGGAGAAAUUAAAAGUUGAAAUAAGUGGAAUACGACGUAGGACAGAGGAGAAAAUUCAAAAAAUAUUGUGAUCAAAAUCGGAACAUAGUGAGAGUUCAACGGAAAGAUCAGUGGAAGAUGCACUCACACACCAACUUGAAAGAAAACAUAGUGUCAAAUAAUUGUAUCAGGAAUAGAAAAAUGCAAACUUUAUAUGAAAGGUAAAGAUUUACUUGUAGACCGGCAUCAAAAAAAGCAAACGGAAUACAACGGGAGUUACUGCAAUAGUGAGAGGGAGGAAAAGAGAUUAAAGAUGAGUGAUCAGUUAAAGCUAUAAUUUUUUAAGCAUGUUCUGCAAUAUGAAUCAUUUAGCUAUAACAAUAACAUGCUUGAAAUAAACAAUACGCAUAAUCGUGGUGUAAAAAGAAAAAACAGAGAUGCAAUAUCACCAACAUUCAUGAUCAUUAUCCAGAAUCACUAAAGUAAAAAAGAAAAUCAAAUUAACACCUCUCUAAUCCAUCUUCCUAUUGUAUUGUGAUAAGGUUUAUACUAAACAAUGUUUCCACCAAAAUUUAAUAACAAAAAGAUCACAAAGAGUUGACCUCUACCUCUUAUAUGUUGAUAUUACCAAUCCCUUGCAUACUUGAUCUCUUUUAAGUCCACUUGUUAAAAGAAAAAGAAAACAAAACACAAAAUUUGUAAUGCAAUUUGAACAAAAAGAGAGUUCUCAAUUAGAGAAAACUUUAGUUUCAUGUAAAGAAAUUGUGUUCUAAUUUCAGGGCUUAACUAUGUAAUAAUGGGAUUUGCGUUUAGCUCAAAUAAGUAAGAUACUAUAUAGAUUUGAUUAUCCAUUCAAAAAGACAUUUGAACAAAAAAACAUUUUUCUGCAUCCAAAUAGCCAUUAAACUAAAAAAAUAGUUAACUAAUAUUUACAUUUGAAUAGUGUAAGUAAAUAUUUUUCUUACCAAUGCAUCAACCAAUAUGCAGUGCAAAUGAGAAAACUGAAUAUCAGAUUUGAAAACUUUUUGUCUCCACAUUUUGCUAAACAAAAACUCUAAAUGUUUUGCUAGCUUCAAAUGGACCCAGACUUUGGAUUGGAAAUAUACUCAUUUCGAUAUGAAAUUGAAAAUUUAUAAUUUGUUAGUACAACAAUGUAUAAAUGCAUUCAUGUAGCAAGUCUCCAAAAUAACAAAAAGGCAAAAACAAAAAGCUAAAGUGAAAUAUUAAAACUUGAAAAAGAGAUUUUGAUUUGGUAAACAGUUUGGUUGCUUUCAAAAGUGAAAGCGAUCAAUUUGUUUUCUAUGAAACUGUAAAAAAGUAGCAUAACAAAUAAGGACACGAUGGAUGAUCUGUUUUCUAUGGAUAUAGCUGAUGUUGAUCAUAGUUUUGCUCAACAUAAACAGAAAAUAUGGUAGCUUUCAACUACAUUGCUACACUAACAGAAAAUUUGUUUAUGGGUGCCCUACCGAAACUUGUAUAGAAACGUAUCACUCAUGUUUCAUGACCAACUUUUGAUUGUAUACAAACAACCAAAUAAUCCUAAACGUUGAAAGAAUAAAGGAAAAAGCAAAGUUUACAACACUGUCAGCAGUUGCUUCGGUUAGUAAAAACAACGUUAUGCACAUGUGUGGUUAAGGCUACACUCUUUCGCAUUAUACCUAGCUAUUAGGCUAGUCAAUGUAAUCAUGAGUUUAGAAAUUAAUUGACCUCAACGUUGAAGCACAUCUGCAAACAUUCACAACACAUUCAAAUUGUUGCUCUGGGUCACCACCAAUCAAAGACCCUGCGCACAUAAAUAAUGUAUGUGUGUAGAAUGUCGACUAAUUGUUUUAUAUUAAUGUCUUCAUGUGUUUUGUUUAAUGCUUUUAUGUAGAAAACUUGUAACAUGGAAAUUGAAUUGUAGAAGCCGUAGCUCAUAUUCAUUCAUUGAUAGUGUAUAAAUAUAUUGGAUUACAAAGAGUCCUACUGGGAUACAAAGUAUUCCCAUCUAUAUCUCAAAUAAAAGAUGACAUAAAUCAACAUGAUUUGGUCUGUUUACAAAGGGCGGAUUGGAUUGUGAGGACAAGGUCUCUUGUUUAACAUUUUAUGUAUCGUGAAGCACACCAACGGAUUGGAAUUUAGGAUUCGUGGGCCACCUUUUUAUUUUUUUUUGGUUUUUCCCCGGUCCUCUCUCUUCAGCUCUCUUCUCUCCUCGGACCUCACUCCUCCUGUGUCUCCGCCCUCGAGAACUCAUCCUCUCUCUCCCGCUUGCCUCUCGCCCGGCGAAACCAAAAAAUAAUCCUCUGCGAUCACGACUUUCGAGGUCAUUUCCGGCCAAACCACGGCGGGUGGCCGGCUGCAAGGUAAUCAAUCUCUUCGUCUUGUCGAGUAUUAUAACUUUCCUUUUUGUUCACUCAAUUUCAUUGAGUAUUGAGGUUAAGUUUUGAUUUCUACCUUUUUUCGGCGACUCCGAGGCUUUCGAGGAAAUUCCGGCCAAACCACGGCGAGUUAGACGUUCGUGUAUUCAUUCUCUUCGUCUCUUCCAGGCUACAACUUUCGUUUUGUCUCGCUUGUUUCGUUAAGUAUUGACAAAGUUAUGGCCGUUUAAAGCAAGUUGGUUUUUCCCGCCGAUUUCCGGUCUCUCCAUGGGUCCGGCGACCCACCAAAACCAAGGCUUUGGGCCUUCCCUGCCGAGCCCAGCCCUUUGGAGGCCUUAGGCCAGGCUUAUGUGUGGUAUUAGGUGUGGUUGGUGUUGUUGAUUUGGGUUUGGGCUUAAGCCAAACCACCCAUUUUCACCCUAAACACCUUUUAACCUUAGAACCUAAAUCAAAAACCAAUAAAUCCUAAUCCUUACCUAAACCAAUCCGGUUUUCAAGUCAAAACACAUUAGACCUAAUUUGACCGUGACCUCCGGUCAACAUGACUUAGAGUUGACUUCGAGUUUUCGUCCGGGACCCUUCUUAGGGUAAUUCGACGUUCUAAUCCGUUUGCAAUGUCCGUUUAUCCCAAAUUCAAUUGUAUUUAUAGUUUUAAUUAUUGGACUUCUUUAUGUGCCUUAGGGCAACUAAGUUACCUGUGAGUCCCCUCAAAAUUUCAUGAAUAAAUAAUUGAUUGCAUAAAUGAAAUUUACGAAUUUGAAGUGAUUUAUGUAAAAUGAUUAAUAUAUUGAGCAUCCGUGUUUUUGUGAGGAAUAAAUGUUAGCCCCUAUGAGCUAUUUUUAAUAUAUCAUAUUUCUAUAAAAAAACCAUUGAACUUAUAAAUCUUUUCUAUAGAUGAUGAUACGGAUGCUAAAAUGUUUUGAACCCUCUUUUAGUGUAGACGAUUCGAUAACCUACGCUAUAGUGGUAUUUACGAAGGCGUAGCAUUUUGUGCGUACCUAGAGACACUAUGCCGCCUGGGGCGAUGAUCGGUGUGUUGGCAUUAGGCCGGGAGAAAUAAUCCCAGCUAGGGCUGAGGGACAUGAAGAGGCAUUGGGCCGGGUGGUAUUAUCUCUGGCUACGGCGCAGAGACUUAGGUGCAGGCAUUGGGCCGGGGAGUAUAUUUAUUCCAGUUACUCAGCAGCACACGGCGUUUACUGGACGUCUAGAGACGAUACUGUUUUGAUUCUCAAAUGAGUUUCCGAUAUGGCUUUUGAUAUUUUUGGCAUGCUGGAUUUUUAUUAAACAUCAUUAUUAUCGCCUAAGUUCAUUAUAAACUGUGGGGGCUAGUAUCUUGAUAACUGUUUAAUAUUAUAUAAUAUAAAACUUGGUUCACUCACUUUGUUUUGCACCCAAUUCAGACUUAGAAUCAAGGCACAUAAUCCCAGCGUCAAGCACUUCCGCAGCAUCUUCGAGUCUCUCGGGGUAGGACCCCUCUUUGUUCAUUCAAUCUUAUCUUAAUUCUUGUUAGUGACUAGGUUUAGUUGUAUGCUCUGAACACGUUCCUAAAUUUAAUUCAUUGUAUUUCAAAUUUCUAACCUUUUUUAUUUCAUUCUUAGCUUUUGUAUCAAUUAAUGGCGUCACCCCCGGGUGUCCCAGGUUCGGCAGGUAUUCGAGGAAUAUCAGGGUCGGAGCGUGUCAUAUCGAGACAAGAAAUGAGGUUUUAUAUUUUUUUUUUUCAGACUAUAAAUGGCGUCCAAUGAAGUUGGUGAUUGUGGGCAAAGACUUUAGUGACUUGAAACCUGAAUCACAAAAUUCUAAAGUACUGAAACCUAUUUUCAUGUGCCUGCACUUUAUGCAAUGGUAUUUUGUAUCUAAGUAGGGAAUGUUUAUUUAAUUUGUCAUUUACCAAUUGCUUAACUUGAUCAGUUAUCUUGUACAGAUAAAAUCUGAGUAUAUUUACAAUGAUGCACCAUGGAGGUCACUUUAUAGAAGCCUGUGGGACAAUGAUUAUGUUGGUGGUCAUUCUGUUUGACAAAUUGAACUGUGAUUUAAUGUCCAGGGGGAUAUUGAGGAUUGUGAGAAGUUAGGGGUUAAGUACUAUUACAUUGAUGACAGAACUACAAAGUACUGGACUUUAGCACAUGUACCAAACUGACCAGAAACUUACAGCCUUGGUUGCCAAACAUUAUGACUCUUUUGACUUCUAGAUCCUUACUGUUUUAUGAAGCCCCUAACAUUAGGUAUACAUAACAUGGAAAAAUUGUUACUUGUUGAAUCGAGAGUCCAACUGACAACUUAUUCAGCCCCGUAGAGAAACUCAAAAUUCAAUGCUGGUCAGCGUAAUACUGAACCCAUCGGCUCUUGUAACAUGUCAGCACCAACAAGAACACCAGUCGGACUGAAUUCAAGUAUUCCAACUAUAAAACUCUUUAGUGAUUUUCCUCAAGACCUAAUCCUUUCACACUUACAAAAGGAAAGAUGAAACCAAAAAUACAAACAAGACAAUUUGAGAAAAUCUUCUCAUGCCAAUGGCUUCUUGUAUUUUUUCUUCUUCCCUUUUAUUCUCUACUUUGCACAAUGUGGUUCACCUUGCAACUAUUUAGCAAGAGAAAAGCUUCUCAAAUAUUACCAUGGCCAAAGGCCUACCAUCAAGUCAAUAGGAGUUAGGAACAAAUUGGCACAAAUCUGUUUGCUCCCAAUUACCACAAAGUAGCCAAAGUUUUAUAAUUGAGACACAUGUUUGGAGCAAUAGAUCACAAAUCUCCACCUUACUAACCCCUAAGUAAGAAUUCUCUCUAAUAGUCGUCUCCCCAAUCCCCCAGGGGGCAAUCAACAAAUUUUACAAAUGCCAAUCAAUUAAGCAUGUGCUUAAACUUGUGCAAAUGAAACUGGCUUUUAAACAUAUCCGCAAGAUGUCAGCGGUCCCAAAUCUUCUGAAGAGAAUAUCUCCCUCGUCAAUAACCCACGAACAAAAUGGAACCUCACAUCAAUGUGUUUCGUUACGUGCGAUGAUGAAACUGAAUUCACUCUAAAUGUAGCACUACCUGACUGGUGCAUAUGAAAUCCACAUGUCUCAUCUAAGCAACCCUUGAAGCUAGAUGGCUUCCUUAUAGCUUCUGUCACAGCCAUGAUUCUGCCUCAGUAAGUCGACAAAGCAACGUAGAUUGCAGAAGCGACAAUCCAACUUACUGGACCUCCAGCAAUAGUGAAUACAAACAGUAGUGGACCUACGCUGUUCUCACCUGGCUAAUCAAUAUCCACAAACAAUUGACCAGUAACUUUAUCCUACUGGAACAAACCAACAUCCACAUACCCAGCAAUAUACCGUAGAAUCCUUUCACAGCUGGCCAAUGCCCUUCCUGGAUUAUGCAUAUAUCUACUGACAAUACUAACAGCUUGUGAAAUAUCAGCCUAGUAACACCAUUAGUCAUACAUCAAACUACCAACAACAUGCAUAAGGCUUGAGCCAUGUACUGACUCUCUUCAACUUUAGGAGACAAGAAGCGCUAAUUUGAGAUGAAGAGGUGUACUAACCGGUUUUGAAUUUUCAUUCAUAAACGUUGUAGUACCUUUUCAACUGCUUCUGACACAGACUAAUCUGCCCUUCGCUCUAUCUCUUUUUCCAUACCUAGUAUCUUCCGAGCUUCUCCCAAGUCCUUCAUCUCAAAUUCAUUACUUAGUUGAGUCAACCUUUCAAUCUCCACUUUGCUCUUACAUGCUAAUAAGUCAUAUCAUCAACAUAUAAAGCAGAUAAAUGAAGGUUCCAUCUUUUAGUUUGCGAAAGUAUACACAAUGGUCAUAGUGACUUCUUGUGUACUUUUGCCCGAUCAUAAAUCGAUCAAAUCGUUUGUACCAUUGUCUUGGAGACUGCUUCAAGCCAUACAAUGAUUUUUCCAAUUUGCAAACCCAAUUUUUCUUUUCAGCAACCUUUAAACCUUCUGGUUGAGACAUAUAAAAUCUCUUCCUCCAAAUCACCAUGUAAAAACGCAGUCUUGACAUCAAGGCCAACUCAAGGUUCAAACUGCACAAACACCAACAAACAUACAAAUAACAAUAGAAGAAUGUUUACUACUUGAGAAAAUACCUCAUUGUAGUCGAUGCCUUCCUUCUGAGCGGAGCCUUUAGCUACCAAUCUGGCUUUGAAACUUACAUUGUCUUUUCCCAAAGAUUCCAUCUUUUUGGCAUAUACACCAUUUUACAACCAAUUGCUUUCUUCCCCUUUUGGUAACUGAACCAGAUUCCAAGUCUCAUUUUAUGAAGAGAUUUCAUUCUCUCCAUAGAUUUCUUCCCACAAACUCGCAGUCUGAACUCAUGACAGCUUCUUUGUAGGCGGAUGGAAUAUCAUCUUCAAUAACAGGAAGUGCAUAUGCCACAAUAUCAGUAAAUCGAGCAGGCUUUCGAAUUUCCCUUCUCGAUCUUCUGGUUGCAAUAUAGUCUUGUUGCUGUGGAGGCUCUUGGGUAAGUGCUUCUCUUCAUCAUCCUCGUCCUCAUCAUCAGAAUUAACUGUAGGACUAGUGGUUGUAACAUCAAACCUUACUGGAACAACUGGAGUCUUCAGUAACUCCACCUGCUUUGAGCUACUUAUGUCUGGUCUCGGUCGCUUUAGUUUCACCUUCAUGCUUGUUUAACCAUUAUGCAGCCUCAUCCAAAAGUCACAUCUCUGCUUACAACAAAUUUUCUUCUCAUUUGGACACCAGAGUCGGUAUCCCUUCACGCCCCUUCACGCCAGUGCUAAAGCCCAUAAUAUAGAGCUUUUCUUUGCUCUUGGAUCCAACUUGCUUUCUCUGACAUAAUAGUAAGCAGAACAACCAAAUAUGUGUGUAAAAACUUGUAAUCAGUACAAGGUUUACCAGACCAUACCUCCAUGGCGUUUUGCCCCCGCAUUCGUCAUUCAAGCCGCUGGUAAAGACGAUUAAUGAGAUGGCUUGCAUAAGUGAUUGCUCAUCCCAAAAUGCCUUGCCUAAUCCAACAUUAGACACACACAUACACCGAACUUUCUCAAGCAAAGUACGGUUCAUUGCGCUCCGCCACCCCAUUCUGUUGCGGUGUCUCCCUAACCGUGAAGUGCCUCACAAUACCCUCAUCUUGACAAACUUUCAAGAAAGGAUCAGACUUAUAUUCACCCCCAUUGUCUGAUCUGAGAGUCUUGAUCUUUCGACCGCUUUGCGUUUCAAUCAUCUUUUUCCACUUCAGGAAAUAUCUUCAAGACUUCAUCUUUACGCUGUUGUACACCCAUAUUCUUCUAGAGAAGUCAUCAACAAAGGAGACAAAUAAUGGCUACCUUCCCAAGAUGCAUUCUUGGAAGGUCCCAAACAUCAGUGUGAACAUAAUCAAGAAUGCCUUAAUAGUGUGGUGAAUAGCAGUUUGCCAAAUUUUACUCUAGUUUGCACUUACCCAACACACACAAUGCUCACAGAAUUCUAAUUUGCAAUGCCUUUGCAUGCCUUUUCAAUAAGCCUUGCUUCACCAAUCCUUAAGCAUCCUUUUUCACCAGCAUGCCCAAGAAACGCACGCAUAUGCCAUAACCUCGUGGUGUCUGAGCGCUGAUCUGUCAGCAACUUCGGUGACAGCUGCUUGGCCACCAUGCCAAUACUGUAUUCCCCUGCAAGAAAUACAAGUUAUUUUCGUUCUUGUACCUUUCAUCAUUUACCACCAGUGCCCCGUACACAGCUUUAAGAACUCCACCCUCCAUGGUGAUCUUUGAGACCCUUGGAUUCCAAUGCACCCAGUGAGAUGAGAUUUUUCUUUCAUAUCCGGUACAUACCGAACAUCACUUAAUUCUCUGACUGUUCCAUCAUGCAUCUUCAAAUAGAUUUUGCCUAUCCCUUGUGUUUUGCAGGCAUUAUUAUUACCCAUCAAAACAACUCCACCAUCCAGCUCCUCGAAAUUAGAAAACCAUUCCCGAAUGGGACACAUAUGAUAGGUGCAACCUGAAUCCAAAAUCCACUCAUUGGAGUAACCAUCAGCAUAUGAACUAGCCAAAGCAAACUCGAAAUCAUCAUCUCCAGAUUUUGCAAUAUUUGCUUCAGAAACCGCUUUCUCCUUCUCUUUGUUCUUCAAUUUGGGGCAGUCUUUCUUCCUUCCAAUGACCCUUUUGGCGACAAAAAGAACAUUCAUCUUCUUUAGCAGGAAACUUCCCUCGUGACUUUGAACGAGAUUUUCCCCCGCUUCCCAGAUUUUCUUUCCUCUGUUCGACCCCUUGCAACAAAUGCCUCGGUUUGUGAAUUGUGAGUCUUCAGUUCCUUCUUACGACACUCAUGAUUCACCAAUGCCGCAGACACCUCAUCAAGUUUCACCUCGGAUUUUCCAUACAACAGAGUAGUUGUCAAAUGAUCAUAAUCAUCAGGCAAUGAAUUAACACAAACAUAGUGCCUUGUCCUCGUCAAGAAUUUUCACAGCAAGGUUUGCUAAAUCAGCAAGUAUUUUAUAUUAUAUAUCAUUGAGGUGUUCGUGCAUAGAGAUACCUGGACGAUACUGAAAUCGGAAGAGACGAUUUUUUGCGCUCUUGGUCAUAUACUUCUCCUCCAAUUUGGUCCAUAUAACUCCUUAGCAGAAGUUUCCUUCAUAUACGGGUAUUUCAAACUCCCUUAUCAAGGAACGAUCGAGAAUAGCAGCAGCACAAGCAUGAAGAUUAAUUCGCGUCCACUGCUUUCAUCAAUAUUGUCUUCAAAUCUUAUGGUUUUGUUCUAUCUUCCAGAACCAUAUCCAACUCUUGUUGAUACAACAACACAUCCAUAACUUCACAUUGCCCACAUACCAAAAUUAUUAGAGCCAUUGAAUUUAUCAACCUCUAACCUUGUAGUAGUGGUUGGAUGUCUCUAUUGGAUGAAGAACGACGGUGCUGACCCCUUCUUUACAGAGAUUUCAUCUUUAUCUCUCCAGCCAUCUGCUCGGCACUAUUCACAAAUUACGGCACUGUGUUCACAGGUACAAUACUGUUCACAGAUACUGUAGCAGUUCACUGUUCACGGAACUGUAGCGCCAACACUAUUCACGGAACUGGGCUCUGGUACCACUUGUUGUGCGGAAGCGGCAUUCGACUGUAAGUGAAUAGUAAGACAGAAACAGAAUAAAACAACACCAACAAGAACACCAAGAUUUAUACUGGUUCGGCAAUGCCUACAUCCAGUUUGGAGACAACGGAGUAUUCCACUAUAAUCAAUGAGAACAUACAAUAGUGUUUAUCACUCAAUUUCCCAAAGACCCAAAUAACCCCAAGCUCUCACACUUACAAUAGGAAGAGAAAACCAAAAAUACAAAGCAAGACAAUUUGAGAAAAUUCUUCUUUAUGCCAAAUGGCUUCUUGCUAUUUUUCUCUCUUCCUUGUUCUUCUCUAAUUCUCCAUGCUUAUGGGUUGCACCUUGCUCUCCUUUUAUAGCCAAAGAAAAGCUUCUCAAAGACAUCAAUGGCCAAAUGCCUACCAUCAAGUCAAAAGGAGUUAGGCACAAAUUAGGCACAAAUCUUGUUUGCCUCCCAUUACCACAAAGUAGCCCAAAGAUUUAGACUUUGACUACAUGUUUGAGUCAAUAAUCAACACUUCCCUGAUUUAGGAUUUGGAGAUGUUGAAACAGACUCCGAAGAUUCUGAUGACUUUAGAAGUGGUUCUAGCUCAUCAUUUGAAGGUGAACAACCAGUGAAGCGGAAAAGAAAGAAGAAAAUGCCCAAACUCAUUCCUUUUAGAAGUGAUAUGGAUAUCAAGAACCGAACUGGAAUGAUAUUUGCCAAUAAAAAAGAGUUCAGACAAGCAGUGACAUAUUAUGGUUGUGUGAAUGGAAGAAAAAUAAGAUUCCCAAUAUGAGAGCGUUAUAAAGUAGGGUAAGUAUACAAAGGAGGGAUGUCCAUGGGUGAUUUAUGCAAGCAAAAUAGAUGGGAGCUCUGCACUUAGAGUGAAGACACUCAAUGAUGUCCAUACAUGCCCGAGAGAAAAGGAAAAGCUCAGACUAUGCACCUCAACUUGGUUAUCACAUAGGUAUGCUGAGGAUUUGCUUAACAAUCCUAAAUUGGAAGUGUUAAAAUUUCAACAAACUGUUCAUAAACAAUACAAUUUGCAUGUAACACUGGCUCAACUUUAUAAAGCACGGUCAUUGGCAGCUGAGAAGAGUGAAGGUGCUUAUGUGGAGCAAUAUGCAAGGUUAUGGGAUUAUUGUGAGGAGCUCGAGCGAAGAAAUCCUGGAUGUACAAUUUUGGUGAAGAUUGAAAUGGAAGGAGGAAGGCCUAGGUUUCAGAGGUUGUUUUUAUGCUUUGUAGCAUUGGAAAAAGGGCUUUUUGGAAGGUUGUAGGCCAGUGGUGGGAUUGGAUGGAUGCCAUAUUCCAGUUGCUUGCUGCCAUUGGUAUAGAUGCCAUGUAUAGUUCAGUAGAUAUGCAUUGUUGUGAAGAUAGAAGCUUGCUGCCAUGGCAGAGCAUAUGCAAUUGUUGAAAUUGAUAGCAUAGAAUGAAAUUGUUGACUUUUAAGAAGAACUUGGAAGGUAUUGGAUGAUUUGGUGAAAAUCGGCGAAAAUGGGCUUGCUUGGGUCUUUAUGUCAGAAAAAAAAAAAAAAAGGGUUAAUAAAAGCUGUGAAGGACCUUAUUCCAACUGCUGAACACAUACAUUGUGUUCGACACUUAUAUAACAAUUUCAAGAAAACACACGUUGGCAUUGCAUUGAAACAAAUUCUUUGGUCAGCAGCUAGAGCAACCACCAUUCCAAGAUUUAAAGCAGAGGUGACUAAGAUGGAAGUUGAAGAUGGAUUGGCUAUAAGUUGGUUUGAUGACAAACCAGCAUGUUAUUGGAGCAGAUCUUAUGUUAGGACAUUAUCUAAGUGCCAUUUAUCUGCAUUUUAAGUCACAUAUGGUUGUUAUAAAUUGGGGAAUAUCAUCUCAUAGGCCUAUGGAGAAGCUGGGAUAGGACAAACUUGUGCGGCCAAUGAAAUUGGCCAUAACCCACCAACUACUUAAAGUGGGCAAACACAAUGGUGUGCUCAUUGAAAACUUUGGUAUUUUAAAUUUUAGUCUUGUAUUUAUAGACAAAUGUAUGUGUAACUCUUUUAUUGAUAAUUUGUAGCAUACCACUGAAGGAAAAUAUGGGAAGUGAAACUCCACCAAAUCAGGGACGAGAACAAUCUGCAUCUAAUGCAAGCAGGGCCGGUCCUUGAGUUUUUGGGUGCCCAGUGCGAAAGUUCAAAAUGUGCCAUUUUUUAAUACGAAAAACAUAUGUUUAAAAAAAAAAAUUUAACGAGAGCUGGAGCCCAAUCGAAGCUGGGGGGCUAGACCCUCACGCCCAAAUUAUAUUACUUGAGAAAAUAUACAACGGAGAGGGACAUAGUACCUAAACCCCAACAAUAAAAAAUACAAUUAUAUACAACAAUUCCUAACGAAGCUCCUUGAAAUUUCAUUAUCCUUUGCCUUUUUUUCCUUUCCAUAUUACUAGAGAAUUGUUUCCUAAAAGACAUGGCUUCGAUAAUUUGUUUGCAAAAAUUACCUACACAUGAUAUAACAAAAAUUUCCUAUCAAAAUUAUCAUUUCAACACAUAUUAUAUAUUAUAAAAACACUAACACAUAGUUUAACAUAUUAUAAAAAUUGAACCUAAAAAUUGGGUUUGAAAUGAAAUAAAAUCAUUCAAUUAGUCAAGAAUUCUAUUCAUCAACAACAACAAUUCUAUACAUCAAUUAUCAUAUAAUUAUAUGUCACUUGCAAAAUUUUAUAUGAAAUUAUGAAUUGAUAAUUCAAAUUUUAAAAAUUAGUUUACCUCAAAACUCAAAAAGAAGGGUUGGUGGUGAGUGAGUGCUCUUGCACUUGCAGCAGCCAAUGGGCUUGGCGCUAAGCUGAAGACAGCCGGACAGGAACCUCCUGUGCUGCAACAGCUUGCUGGUGAAAGGGAGUCAGGGGUCAGGACGGUAGGGAGAAGUUUGGUGCGCCAAAAAUGGGUGGAACGGGCUGUUCCACGGGACAGAUUUUGUGUGUUUUUGCGUCCCACCUCCCCCUGGAACGGGUUUGUUCCACGUCUGUGGAACACAAUGUUUUACCAUUUUAAGACAAAUAUACCCCAUGUCUUUUUCAAAAAUUACACCUUUGUUCCGUCCCGUCCCGUCUGCGUACCAAACACACCCUAUAAGAGUUAGGGUUAGUGGAGACCGUGUGGUCCCUUUAAUGUCGUUUUGUUUUUUUGUUUUUUGUUUUUUUUUUUUUUUUUUUGUUGAUUAUAAUGCGGAUAAUACUUGGGUACCCGAUAUAUACACACUCACUUACGUGGUACAAUAAAAAAACGACAUCUAUCCUUAUUGUAAUCUCUCAAACACGUAACCAAACAUCCUUUAUUCCUGUAGCCAAACACUCACCUUCUUCCUCGCCAAAGCACACAAUCAGACAAACACUUUCAUUUUCAAAUCAUGGCAAUCUAACUAUGGUGGAAGAUUCCAUUUCCAGAAGCCCAAUCUGGUAAUCCAAAAAUAUGGGUUCCUUGAUUUUCAUACGGAGAGGACGACGGCUCGUGGGGUUGGGUGCUCUUCUUUUCACGGUUUUCUACUCUUACGUGAGAUCCAGAUUUUACAACGAUGAAGGUGCCAUGAGUUCCGGCAAGGGACGGUGGCUGAUGGUGGUGGGCGAGGACACUGGUCUGUGGUGGGAGACGACCGUGGCUGGAGGUGGUGGCCUGGUGGGAGAGGACCGUGGUUGGUGGUAGUGGGACCGUUGCAGGUGAUUGUGUGGCGAGGACCGUGGCCACUGGCGGUGGGAGAGGACCGUCGCUGGUGCUGGUCGUUUAGAUCUCUGUGUUGUGAAUGAAGAUGGGUGUUUGGCUAACACAAUAGUGAGUUUUUGGCUAAAGAAUUGGUUAAGUAUUUGAAGAUUAAGUUUGGCCAGGUGUUUUUUAUAUUAUUGUGCCACGUAAGAUAGUGUGUAUAUUGGGUACUAGAGUACCCAAGUAUCAUCCUUAUAAUGCCCAAAACCUGGACCACCGAGUGGUUCCUCUAAUGUCAAUUUUUUUUUUUUGUAACGCUCAAAACCUGAGCCUUUUUUCAUUUUUUCCUAGGCUCUUGCCCUAGUUGGGCUCUGGACUUUUUUUAUUUUUUUUUAUUUUUUUAUAUCUAGUUAUUUGGGUUAUAUUUUUUUUAUGCCCCUUUUAGUUUUGGGUUUCUGAACAGUUGCUCCUGUGGCAUUGGGCCUAGGCCGGGCUUGAAUGCAAGUUCUUUUGACCUAUGUCUUUAUCCCUUUCUCGUGUAUGCCUUUAUAACCCAAUGUCAUAUGUUAAUUUUUCAGGUUUUUUUUUUAAAAUUUAAAAUUGUUGGUAGGUUUCUAAAAGAGGUAGAGUGAAACAAAAUACAAGAGGCAAGUCAGUGCACAAUUCAUGAAAGUUACCUGAAAACUGUAGAAUCUUAAGGAAAUCAUUUGGAAAUUUAGACUUUUUGUUAAUGUCAAUGUUUGUUCGGAUGAAGACAAUGUUGUGAACUUUAAGCUGGUGGGUGUUUUUGAUUUUGAACAUAACCAAGCAAUGAAACAAUAUUUUUGAUAUGGUAGCAAUGAAAUGAUUAGGCAUUGCAUUCUCUUAUGGUUGCUCAAAAUAUGUUAAGAUACAAAAGUGGGUGUGUUCAGUUUAACAUGUCACGAAAUGGAGUUGUAGAUGCAUAUGCGCUACUCGGAUACAACUAUCCACAUGAAUACUCUCUAACACAAAUUUUAAGGGUUUUACUAAAGAAAAGUAAAAACUUGUUAAAAGAUCUUAAAAUGACAUAAAUAACCCUGAACACAAGUCAUGUGCGAGACACAUGACUUAUUUUGGAUGGAAAACUUAACGGAGUUAGGGUGAGAUAACAAAUUGAUGAUUUCGGCAAGUUAGUAUGACAAAUUGCUUAAAAUUUUAGUUUAUAUGACACAUUGAAAAAGAUGUACAAGUUCAUACAACAUUUCAAAAAAAAUUUCCUUGGGAGAAUUAUGGUCCCUACGUCUAACCAAAUAAUAAGGUUUUUGAUGAGAUAAUGUAUACCAACUUGAGCAUUAUAAUGUUCAUGAUUUUGUUUGCGUCUAUACAUAUUGUUUGUACCAUACUUGACCAAUCCCGAAACUACCAAGCAUCGGUCAACGUUAUACUGUCAAGGACCCAGAAGAGUUCCCCUCUAACCAGGAUGCCAAUCACAGCGCGACACGUGUUAAUAACAAAGGCCAAUCACAACACGACAUGUGUUAAUGUCAAAACAAAGCUAGAAACUCUCUUCUAUAAAAGGAGAUCAUUCUUCCACAAUAAUCCCUAAUGUCAUUUGUACUAAAUCAUUCACUAGUACUCACUAAAGGAGAGCUUGAACCUAUGUACUUGUGUAAACCCUUCACAAUUAAUGAGAACUCCUCUACUCCGUGGACGUAGCCAAUCUGGGUGAACCACGUACAUCUUGUGUUUCCUUCCAUGUCUCUAUCCAUUUACAUACUUAUCCACACUAGUGACUGGAGCAAUCUAGCGAAGGUCACAAACUUGACACUUUCUGUUGCACCAAAGUCCUCACUGAUUUUUGUGCAUCAACAUUUGGCGCCGUCUGUGGGAAUUGCACUUAUUCUCACUCUCUCUUCAGCUUUGUUAAGCUGGUUUCCACCAUUCGUACACUCUCUUUUGACCAGGCAUCCAUCUCCAACAUGGGGAGCGAAGAAAGCCACAACACGCAGAAUGACACCCCCCCUCGCAACUGGUGCGAAGCAACGAAAGAAGGAACAAAAGAAGUUUGCUUUUCAGGCUAAAGUGGAUGAGCUGGAGGCUCAGAACAACAAGAUAGCGAUGAAGAAUGAGAUCCUUCAAGAGCAGUAUGAGAAGGUCUUCGAGAUGCUUCACGAGGCUAGAUAUACUAAAAACACACGAGCUCAUCACCCCUGUAGAAGUCAACCAUCAACUGGGUGCCCCACAACACAGAGGGUCAUUUGCCCUCGACAUAGGUAUUCCUGUUGAGGAGUGAGCUACUCAUCGAAAUGGCGAUCAACAUGAGACUUCUCUCAACCCAGCUGCUUCGACCCGAAGCAGAAGGAGUGGAGGAAGGCACCUUCUUACAAAAGGAGUGGAAGGAUCGAAAGCCGUCUUUCGCGAUUGUCGAGACUUCCUAAAGCAACGUCGAGAUAAUCUUAUCCAUGUAAGCUCGAAGAUCAAUGACCUAAAGGUCUCUGAAAGACUCGGUCCCCUCCCAUGUCCCAGGCUGGCUACCAAUUUGGGGAAGGGGCAACAAGUCCUAGAAAAACACGAAGGUAUAGGUGACUCAGAGAUGUUCCGACAGACAUACCUUGGAAGUUAGUACGGCGAGUCUAGGGAAAAAUCACAUGCUCUUGAUCAAACCUUCACUUCCAAGAGGAGAUGGAGAUUUACGAAAGAAAGCUCCAGUGGUACAUGACUCCACUCAAUACCCUCUUAUCCUACAGCUCCUUAAGGAAGUAAAAGUUGAAGGCCGAAUACAAGCUGAGAUACCUGAUUGGAACCAACCUAGGCAUGACCCUCUUACAAGAAGGAUCCUCGACACCCCUCUUCAAGCGAAGACAAAACAAAAGCUUGGUUUUACAACUCUAUACUGGAAGGGAUGACCCGAUUGAACACCUUAACCUCUUUGAGUCCACCAUGGCAUAUCAGAUGCACGCCGACGAAGAUCGAUGUCUUAUCUUCCCUUCCACCCUCUCUGGCGGAGCUCUAAACUGAUGACUUGUACACAAUUCGCCAGAAGCCGGACGAGUUAUUACGAGAGUAUGUUGGUCGUUUCAGCCAUGAGUAUUCUCGCUGCGCUGAGGUAGAUGACAAGACCGCCCUCAAAGCCUUCACGGCAGGCCUACGUGAUUAUUUCUUCAAAUACAUGAUCAAUGCCAACACUUGGAAGACAUACUCUGAGGUGAUGGCACAUGCUUACAACCACGCCUCCGCCGAAGCAAGGACAUACCAAGGGAACCCCCAUAUGGUUAACCCCUAUCAACAAGUGGGAAGUGGAAGUCAAGUUCUACCAAGUGAGGAGAUCUUGGCCAUUCAGACACCCAUUGCAUCAUCUUCUGCCUCAUUUAGCUACUCGCUAAGUCACCAAACAUAUUUGUCUCUUGGUAAGAGGAAGGAUUUUUACUCUCAGCAAGCUCAUUAUAACAAGAUGGAUAAAAGUCCGUAUCAAGACAACCAGGGGUGAACGUACCGUCGACUAUUAUGACUAUGGGGCCAAGCCUCACUAUUUUAAAGUGGAGGACUAGGUACUGAAGAAAAUGCUAUUAUAAAAAGGCAUACACAUUGCAAAUGUUUUGACCUUCAACCGCUUGAGAUCUUUUGUCACACAAGCCAUUCGACAAAUAUUUAAAGAAAAGGGAAUUUAGACAACUUCUUCUGAGUUUUUUUUCAUUCCUAGCACUGGAACACUUGGUCUACACUGACCUGCCUCUAUACUCCAACUCAGAGCUUCAACAUGCGUACUUUGACACAAAGUAUGUGAUACUAAGUGUUACAACCAACAUGGUUCACAUAUCGAAAGCAUUGAUCCCUUCAUGCAUAGCAAAACAUUCAUAAGCAUUACUCAUAUCAAUCAACAUAAACAUCAUAUAUUCCAACACAUUCAUACAUAAACAUCAUACAUUCCAACACAUUCAUACAUAAACAUCAUACAUUCCAACACAUCCAUACAUAAGCCAACUGUGCUUCGAAAGGGUUCAACACACUUUGUGUCAUUCGACACUUGCUACAAUGUGCCUCAACACCUUGCCUUUAUUCUCACCAACUAGGUGAUGAAGGAACUAACCUUCGUGCCACCAACUAGGUGAUGAAAUGUACAACCCGUACUCUCUUUCAUGCCACCAACCAGGUGAUGAAAUGUAUAACCGUACUCUAAUAUUAUUUGGCAACUUGCCACUCUUAUCACCAACCAGGUGAAGAAGGAACUUACCUUCGUGCCACCAACCAGGUGAUGAAAUGUACAACCUGUACUCUAAUAUUAUUUGGUAACUUGCCACUCUUAUCACCAACCAGGUGAAGAAUGAACUCAUCUUCAUGCCACCAACCAGGUGAUGAAAUGUACAACCCGUACUCUCCUUCAUGCCACCAACCAGGUGAUGAAAUGUACAACCGUACUCUAAAAUUAUUUGGCAACUUACCACUUUUAUCACAAACCAGGUGAAGAAUGAACUUACCUUCGUGCCACCAACCAGGUGAUGAAAUGUACAACCCGUACGCUCCUUCAUGCCACCAACCAGGUGAUGAAAUGUACAAGAACAAACUCCGGAAAUCAAAAAACCAAUAACCAAGAAUUUAUGUGGUUCGACAAUAUGUGCCUACGUCCACGGGACAACAACAACAAUCUUUCACUAUAUCAAUAAUGAGUACAACCAAUAAUCUUGCCAAAUCUCUAGAACUAGGACUUGACGAAAAACCUGAAAGAACAAGAACAAGAAAUACACUAUCUCUUUUCUUUUCUCUCGCACACAUAAUAUUCUCUCACUCGAAUCCCUUGAGUGGUAUAUAAUUUAUUGUUUUGCUCCCUUAUUUAAAACUAGUACAAUAGCCCCUUUAUAUAGACAUAAUAAAAGUCUUCUUCAAUAAGGAUUAUUAAUCCUAAUUGGAAUCUAGUUAUGGAUACUCCAAUUGAGAAACUAACUCCAAUUGGGUAAACAACUCCAAUUGGGAAAACAAUUUAAUCCUCUAAGACUAUUAAUUCCCAAUAGACUUAGGACAACUAAUCAUGGGCUGGAAAAAAACCCAACAAUCUCCCUUUCUAGACCAUGAGGAAGAUAUACCAUAAUAGGAUUGCUCCUCUUGACCAAACUCCUAUUGAUUGAACUUUUCAUGACCAGACUCCCUCUAAUUGAAUUACCCACAACCAAGCUCCAUCUGAUCGAACUACUCAUUAACCAAGACCCUCUUGAUUAGAUUUCUCUUGACCAGGCUCCCCUUGAUCGCAAUACCCAUCGUCAUUGGCAAAUGCAAUUAUAGACUUCUUUGCCAAAAAACGAUUAAUCAUCUGCAUUAAAGAAGCUCUUCAUCAUAAGUCACAACACUUGCAGUAUUCUUCCCAUCCUUUUGUUCCUUUUUCCAUUUACGACAACGCUUCUUCAUGUGACCCUUUUUCCCACAAUAGUGGCAGUCCCCAUUGCAUCUCGUCUCACCAAAAUUUUUACCUCUUUUCUCUGUGACAAAGAGUUGUCCAGCGCUUGCACCUGAAGCUUUUCUCCUUGUUUCUUCAUUAAACAUGUUAUCCUUAACGGCAUCCAUGGACAGUACACCAUUAGAAGCCGAAUUGCUUACAGUUACGACGAAGGUUUCUCAACUAUUUGGCAAGGAUCCUAGCAAUAAAAGUGCUAGCAGCUCUUCUUCAAUAUUCAAACCCAUAGUGGCUACCUGAUUGAUCACGUUCUGAAAGUUGUUCAAGUGCUCGGUUACACUAACAUCUUCCGCAUACUUCAUGUUGACAAGCUCUUUGAUAAGGAAUGCUUUCUUGGCAGCGGUCUUCUUCUCAAAGAGGGAUUCUAACUUCUUCCAAAGAGCUUGCGCAUCAGUUUCUUUAGACACAUGGUGAUAGAUGCUCUCAUCUACCCAUUGUCUAAUCGUACCAAUAGUUUACGAUUCAUCUUGGUCCAAUUGGCAUCACAAAUAUUUUCUGGCUUGCUCUUAACACUUUCAAUUGGCUCAUGGAGAUCUUUACAAUAAAGCAUGUCCUUCAUUCUUGAUUUCCACAUAACCCAAUUGGAGCGGGUGAGUUUCAUCAUAAUUGAACCCUCCAUUCUAAACGGAUAUCAGCCGAACCUGGCUCUGAUACCACUUGUUGAGAAUAUCGCGUUUAAGAAUGGGAAAAACAAGAACAAACUCCGAAAAUCGAAAAACCAAUAACCAAGAUAAAUAACACCAAGAAUUUACGUGGUUCGGCAAUUUGUGCCUACGUCCACGGGACAACAACAACAAUCUUUCACUAUAUCAAUAAUGAGUACAACCAAUAAUCUUGCCAAAUCUCUAGAACUAGGACUUGACGAAAAACCUGAAAGAACAAGAACAAGAAAUACACUAUCUCUUUUCUUUUCUCUCGCACACACAAUAUUCUCUCACUCAAAUCCCUUGAGUGGUAUACAAUUUAUUGUUUUGCUCCCUUAUUUAAAACUAGUACUAUAGCCCCUUUAUAUAGACAUAAUAAAGGUCUUCUUCAAUAAGGAUUAUUAAUCCUAAUUGGAAUCUAGUUAUGAAUCCUACUCCAAUUGAGAAACUAACUCCAAUUGGGUAAACAACUCCAAUUGGGAAAACAACUCCAAUUGGGAAAACAAAUUAAUCCUCUCAGACUAUUAAUUCCCAAUAGACUUAAGACAACUAAUCAUGGGCUGGAAAAAAACCCAAUAAAAUGUACAACCCGUACUCUAAUAUUAUUUGGCAACUUGCCACUCUUAUCACCAAUCAGGUGAAGAAGGAACUCAUCUUCAUGCCACCAACCAGGUGAUGAAAUGUGAUGAAGGAACUCACCUUCGUACCACCAACCAAGUGAUGAAAACAACCCAUCAUUCAUUCCACCAACCAGAAGACGAGUGGUACAACUUGUACAUAUGAACUCCUAGCAUUCACAGAUAAUAAAAAACCCUCAAACUUUACAAAUCAACUAGGGGAACAAAGUCUUAUUGCAAGCCAACAACGGCUUCAGUCAUGGUAUACGAAGAUCAAGCUCUUCAACCCUCUUACAUCUGCUUCAGACAUUUCUCUUCUGUAACAAUGCAAACACUACAACUCAUAGAGAGCUUCACACACUCUUGAUCAAGACUGUUCGAAGCAAAUUCAAUUUAUAUGGUUCAUCCAAACCUUCGACUACUACAAGGUGUGGCUUGCAUCACAAUCUCUUGCUCAACAGUGUGGAAGUAAAAUUUGUAUACGUUGUCUCUCCCACAUUUUCAAAUUUCUAGUUUUCCCAAAAAAAAAAAAGGAAAUUGGGAAAUUCAACAAAGCUUCAUCAAUGGAUGACAACUACAAAUUCUCAAAAGCUUCACACACUUUUAAUCAAGAUAGUGUGAAGCAAAACCAAUUUUUGGUGGAAAUCAAAAGCUUCAUCAAUGGAGAGCAACUACAAUCCUCAAAAGCUUCACACACUCUUGAUCAAGAUAGUGUAAAGCAAAAACUAAUUUAUGGUGGAAAUCAAAAGCUUCAUCAAUGGAGGACAACUACAAUUCUCAAAAGCUUCACACACUCUUGAUCAAGACAGUGUGAAGCAAAACCAAUUUAUGGUGCUAACAAGAGCUUCAUCAAACAAGAGCUUUAUCAAUGGAAGGCAACCACAAUUCUCAAAAGCUUCACACAUUCUUGAUCAAGACAGUGUGAAGCAAAACCAAUUUAUGGUGCCAACAAGAGCUUCAUCAAUGGAGGAUAACUACAAUUCUCAAAAGCUUCACACACUCUUGAUCAAGACAGUGUGAAGCAAAACUAAUUUAUGGUGCCAACAAAAGCUUUAUCAAUUGAGGGCAACAACAAUUCUCAAAAGCUUCACACACUCUUGAUCAAGACAGUGUGAAGCAAAACCAAUUUAUGGUGCCAACAAAAGCUUCAACUCCAAAGCUUCAACACAAAAGCUUCACCUACAAAGCUUCAACACAAAAGCUUCACCUACAAAGCUUCAACACCAAAGCUUCACCUACAAAGCUUCAACUCAAAAGCUUCACCUAAAAAGCUUCACCUACAAAGCUUCAACACCAAAACUUCACCUAUAAAGCUUCACCUACAAAGCUUCAACACAAAAGCUUCACCUACAAAGCUUCAACUCCAAAGGUUCACCUACAAAAGCUUCAACUCCAAAGCUUCACCUACAAAAGCUUCAACUCCAAAGCUUCACCUACAAAACUUCAACACAAAAGCUUCACCUACAAAGCUUCAACACAAAAGCUUCACCUACAAAGCUUCAACACAAAAGCUUCACCUACAAAGCUUCAACUACAAAGCUUCAACUCCAAAGCUUCACCUACAAAAGUUUCAACUCCAAAGCUUCAAUACAAAAGUUUCACCUACAAAGCUUCAACACAAAAGCUUCACCUACAAAGCUUCAACACCAAAGCUUCCCCUACAAAGCUUCAACUCCAAAGCUUCACCUACAAAGCUUCAACACAAAAGCUUCACCUACAAAGCUUCAAUACAAAAACUUCACCUACAAAACUUCAACACCAAAACUUCAACUACAAAUGUCAAAAGCUACACACACUCUUGAUCAAGAUAGUGUGAAGCAAAAUCAAUUUAUGGUACCCAACAAAGCUUCAACCUCAAAGUUUCACCUACAAAGCUUCAACACCAAAGCUUCACCUAUAAAGCUUAAUAUAUAUAUAUAUAUAUAUAUAUAAUAUUAUAUAUAUAUAUAUAUAUAUUUUUCGAAAUUUCGGAAAUUCGGAAAUUCAAAAAUUCGGAAAUUCGAAAAGAAAAAAAAAGAAAAAAAAAAGCCUAUGCCUUCUCUUCUUUGGGCCUAACAAAUAUAUAUGAAGGAGGAGUUUUGGGCUACCACUUAGAAAGGAAAAUGGUGAAGUUUUGUUACUUUGGAAACUUGACUACUAGCAAGACACCUCCUUCAUCAACUCCCUCGACCGGAGACUUGGGGGACUCUUACCAUAUGCUACUACACCUCGGUACUUGGAAGGUUCACGACUACUCAGUGACUUGGAUCUUUCAAGUCUCCAACAUAGAAGUUUUCCUCACUCGGGAAAUUAAGGGAGCACUACCUCAACCUACAUGCUUCACUCACAAAGCUUCAACAUACAAACUUCAACAAAAGAAAAAAAUUCAAAGAACUUAGUAAAAAAGGCUUUGGUGUAUGUAACACAAUACGUUGAAAGAAGUAAAGCUUAUUUAUUGAUAUCUCCGAUAAGUUACAAAUAUGUACAUAUACAUGAAUCAAAAUAAACAAACAAGAGGAAGCCUUCACAAAGGUUGCUCAUGAAAAGUCUCAACAGUCAGCAGAGCUUCAGAAAGAGAAGACACUGGAGGGUGAUCAUUCGGAGCCUUUGUACUGGGCAGAACCCCAAAAUAAGGAGGCACCGGAGGUUGAUCAUUUAGAGUUUCAUUAACCGUUAUAACCCUAGAAGACGAAGGCAAUAAAUGCCUUUGGAACAAACCCACAAACCUCUGAUGAUCAAGUAAAAUCUGACCAUCAGAUCCCUGCAGCUGGUCAAGCUUCCUCUUUAUGUUUGUAGCAUAGUCAUGUGCGAGCAUGUGCAACUAUUUAUUCUCAUGCUUAAGCCCUCUAAUCUCCUGCUUGAGACUUAUCACUUCAGCCGCCAAUGAUUCAACUUGGCGGGUUCGAGCAAAUAGGCAUUGAGCCAUAUCAGACAUAAAACCUGCACACUGAACAUUGAGAGCCAGAGAAUCCUUAACAGCUAACUCAUCAGACCAUUUGGAAAGUAGUCUGUUAUCUUUGGGAGUGAGAAGGUUUCUGGCCACCACCGCAGCGGUCAUAUCAUUCUUCAUCACAGAGUCCUCAACGGUAAGAGAACCAGUAGGGGAUAAGAAGGAUGGGCGCCAUAUGUUGUCUUGAGGAGGCAUGGCAACUUCUUCACCAAAGUUCAAGUCAAAACGACGGUCGAAUGGGCCAGACAUUUUCAGAAAUGAUGAAGGAGAAAUGAAGUCCAAUAAAUCUCUGAAGUACAAAAACAAGGGGAAAAUUUCUACAAGCAAUAACUCUCUGAACAUACUUCUUACACACAAUUGGUGCCCCUAUAAAAGAAAUGGCAACUUGGCCGUUUGUUCAAAAAUCGAAGAGGCACCACUCUCCAGAUUUCGAGAAGCAAAUUUUCCUGAGUAAAAUAUGUCGACAAUCCCCACAUGCAACAUCAGCUCCUUGGGUACCACAGAUAACUUUGCCAAAGAUCUCUGACAAAGUUUAGACACAUAAAUUUUGAAGGUCCAGCAACCCUACCAUUACCGACAAGGGUAAAGGAACAACACCACUGCUUGAUAACUGGAAAGUCUUUAUGUGUGUCAACCUUCGUGCACCGUGGCAAAGCAGACUAGCAAAAAUGCUCAACCUUUACUCAUAUCGAGAAAACACUCCCAACAGGAUUACAUUCUUAAAAAUCGAAGAGGCACCGUUCUCCGAAUCUUGAGAGCCAGACUCCCACCAUGAUUGCUUUCUCAAAAAUCGAAGGGGCACCGCUUUCCGAAUCUCGAAAGCCAGACUCCCAACAGGAUUGCUUUCUCAAAAAUCGAAGGGGCACCGCUCUCCAAAUCUCGAGAGCCAGAUCCCCGACAUGAUUGCUUGUUCGAAAACCGAAGAGGCACUGCUCUUCGAACUUCGAGAGCCAGAUUUCCUUGGAUAAAACUUGUCUGCAAUCUUCACACGCAACAUCAACUUUCCAGAUACCACAGACCACUUUUUCAAAGUGCUAUGACAAAGUUAAAACAUAUGAAUCUUGCAGCUCCCACUACAAAGCUAUGACCGAGAAGGGUAAAGGAACAGCGUUACUACUCGCUGUUGGGAAAAUUCCUAUAUAUGUCGACCUUCAUCCUUCACACCCAGGCAGACCUGCAAAUAAAAAAAAUGCACAACUUUUCUUCACAUCCGAUGGGGCAUUCUCAGCAGAGUCUCUCGAAAUACUCAGCUUAUUUCCCCCUCCCCCCCCCCGGCGAUAAUACCUUUGCAAACAAGCCACACUAGAGCAAGAGUAUCUCAUAUCAUCAGGGUUAAAAGCAAGAGUAUCCCAUAUCAUGUUUUUUCCCUGUCUUUUCCUUUGCCAUUAUUCUUACCUGCAAAACAAGGAGAAAGAGAGCAAUCAGUCAGCACUUGGAAUCAAGUUUCGAGUCAGGAACUGACUACCUGGAACUCCUUGCCUAAUUACUUACCUGGCAUUACUCUCGAGUACUCAUCUUCAACAUCUUAUGCUUCCAGAAAAGAUACCACAUCUGCCUGAGGAACAGAUAUGGCAAGUGAGAAGGAUACAAGGAAGCAUGUGAAGACAAGCGCAACAUAACACGUGCCGAUUCAUCUAUUACUUUGUCAACAACAAAAGUAUCUCAUAUCAUCAAGGUCGAACACACUCUUGAUUUGAUGGACUUGUUUUGACCCUCAAAUUCUUGAGUCGGCUUUAUACUUUGGAGGAAACCAGAAAACCCUCCAGCCCAGUUCAAGAAUAAGCUUGUGGAAAGUUACUUUUUCAAAAGCAAAAGUAUCUCAUAUCAUCUAUUCUCAUUUUUCUUCUCUUUAUCCUUCUUGCUGCCUUCAAGAUAGGGAGAAUGAGAACAAUCAGCCGGAACUCGAAAUCAAAUUGUUGAUUUGAGACUGAUUGCUUGGAACUCAGAUUGCUUACCCUAUCUGUCACCUCUUUCGACAUAUCUCCUCGCUCAGAGACUUGGGGGACUCCUACUAUAGGGUUUGUAUCGCGCUUGACCAAGCCCGAAACUACAAGUAAGCUUCAAGUGAAAAUGAUACAUUACAUUGUGCAUCUCCAUUGGUUAAAGAUACCACCCUUGGAUGGAGGAAAAAUACUUCCAAAAAAGAUGCCACAUCUACCUAUAAGACAGAUAAGACAAGUGAAAACGAUACCACACUUCGGUACUUAGAAGUUUCGUGAUUGCUCAGUGGCUUGGAUCUUGCAAGUCCCCAACCGAGGAGCUUCCCUCACUUGAGAACUUAGGGGAGCACUGUUUGUACCAUACUUGACCAAUCCCGAAACUAUCAAGCACCGGUCAACGUUAUACCAUCAAGGACCCAAAAGAGUUUCCCUCCAACCAGAAGGCCAAUCACAACACGACACGUGUCAAUGUCAGAACAAAGCUAGAAACUCUCUUCUAUGAAAGGAGAUCAUUCUCCCACAAUAAUUCCUAAUGUUAUUUGUACUAAAUCAUUCACUAGUACUCACUAAAGGAGAGCUUGAACCUAUGUACUUGUGUAAACCCUUCAAUUAAUGAGAACUCAUCUACUCUGUGGACGUAGCCAAUCUGGUUGAACCACGUACAUCUUAUGUUUGCUUCCCUGUCUCUAUCCAUUUACAUACUUUUCCACACUAGUGACGGAGCAAUCUAGUGAAGGUCACAAACUUGACACUUUAUGUUGUCCCAAAGUCCUCACUGAUUUUGUGCAUCAACACAUAUAUUUUCUCCCUAAAUGUAGAUUAGGACGGUUGGUAAGGCAUUACAUUUGUCGCGUUCUUAUAUUCAAGUUUAAAUUCUUCUCUCAUAAGUUAUAGCUUAUAAUAUCGUCUUACCAAAACUAAAGAUACUUAUUUUUAGUGGGAAAUAUUUUGCUUAAGUAUGCAUGUUUGCAAGAUUAAAUAAAAACCUCCAAAAUGUAUGGGGUUUAAUUGAAUUCUAACCACCACCACAACCCUCAUAGAAUUAGGGCAAAAGGCGAAUUUAGGAAGGCUCCUUUCAAUCAUUUUGUACCCCUGCAUAUUAUUGUGAUUCAAUGAAGCUCCCCGUUAAAUGAACUGCACCAAAUAGGGGAGACCUCAUCUGGAUCUCUGUGUCCGAAGCCGACAAACACAUAGAUCCAAAUCACUCAUUUUAAAUCAUAUGGUUCUCAUUAGCUCAUUCUACUGACCUUCCUCACACAAACCACGAGUUCAGAUCUCCCUCUCUUUAACUACCUGGAUAUCCGAGUUCUUGAACUUUGAAAACAAAAAUCCGAAAAGGAUAUCGACUCCAAAUAGGGUAGCAUUUCUACUGUGCAUGUAACUGGCCCAAAAAAUAACGGAAACCCCACCCCACCCCCCAAAAAUAAAACCCACCCACAACAAAAGUACAACUAUAAGUAAAGCUUUAUGAGGGGUCUCUCUAAAAUUCAUCUUAAAAUUAACUAGUCCGUCAUUCCAAAAAUUGUUGUGACAAUGUUGCAUUUAAAAUUGUCUAGCAAUAUAACAUUAUUUCGGACAAAACUUUUUUUAUAAAUUAUAAGUUCAAACAAAAGACAUUAUACAGCUUCUUCCUGACUAUUUUAGGUGUAUACUCCCUUGCUAAAAAUUCUACUAUGCUCAUCGUAAUUCUUGCCAAUCCACUAGGCAAUUGGGUUAAAUUGCCCUUGACCAAAAAAAUAUGGUCCAUCGAUGCCAGAUUGGGCAUGCAAUUGGUGGGCUCCAAGAGGCUCGUUGAACUACCCUUGCAGCCCGUUGGCAAUAAGUAACGAUGGGCCUGAUGUCAAGCAGCAGAAGGCUGUCCCAACCCCGUGCACCAAAGUGAACCAAACGCCUCCAAUUUGGGCGCCCCACAGCUGUUGGAUUUUCAACAGUUUGUUGAUCCGGACCAUUAAAUUUCAAACAAUAAAAGAAAUUUAAAAAGAUGAUGUUGUGCAACGUGGCACUUUGUGGUGCACAUUUGAUAUUAAAAUUUUGAAAAAUUCAACUGCUAGGAUUAAUCCCAUGGUAAAAAAGAAAAAAAAAAGAAAAAACUUACAACAAAAAAUAUCUAAAAACUUACAAAGUUCACAUGUAGGGGGUGUAUUCAAUUGAGAUUUUAAGGGAUUUUAAUUCUUUUAAUGAAUCCAAGGGUAUUCAAUUAGGAUUUUAAGUGAUUAUCUGAAAUUCAAUGUGUAUUCAAUCAGGAUUUUAAGAUAGUUUAUUAAAAUCCUUAGAAAUCCAAGUGUAUUCAAUUAGAAUUUUAAAGAAGUUUAUAACAUUUCAGAUGUAUUCAAUUAGAAUUAAAAUUUAAAGAAUUUAGAAAAGUUGAGUAAUUUGAGGGAAUUUGAGAGAUUUUGUAGUGUAUUUUAAGUAUUCACAAAUCUCACAUAUUCCCAUGAGAUUUCGAGGGAAUUGAAUCAAAAUGUUACAUGGAAUCUCUACAAUUCAGUUAAACCCCAUAAAAAGUCAUGGGAGCUUUAAUAAAAAUGGCUUGAACUAAGACUAUUUUAACCAAAAACCAAUCUAUAGUUUUAUUUAAUAAAAAACACCUCAAAAUUAAUUAUAAGGACAUGCCCCCAAAUUCUUCACGGCUGAAUUACAAAGACCACAAUGUUCCAAAAUAAGGUUCCAAAAUUACCCCUAAUAGAAAGAAAAUGCAAGCCCGUUAAAUACUUCAAUAUAAUUACAACCCUGGCCCCCACGUUGGUUGAGAUUAUAUGACUUUUGGCGGCUCUUCUACUCUCUAGUCUUAGAGAAAUUAUACACCCUCCGAGAGUCUAGAAAUUGGCUGUGACCUUCGAGGACCACCCGACGGUCUGGCAUGUGGUGGAGGAGAGGUAUCGGCGGCUACUGCAAUCAAUACAGCCUGCAGAUGGAGAACGAAGAAGAAGAAGAUUGUUUUUUCAAAGGGCCAAAACGCCUCGUUUUGAGCCAUUACCAUUUAAAAAUUACACGUGACCCACUUAAAAAAUCCACGUGACUCUCCCUUUUAGAUAAUCUCAACCUUAUUUUCUUUCAGACCCCUAAUUAGGUCUGGCAAACGGGUCGUGUCAAUCGUAUUCGUGUCGUUUUCGUGUAACACCUGUUAUCUUAACGUGUCGUGUCGUGUCACACCUGUUAUCUUAACGGGUCCUUAACAGGUCGGGUCACUUUACCUAAUGGGUAAAGUGACCCGACCCGUUAUGACCCGUUAAGAAAAAUAUUUUUUUUUCUUAAAUUUGCACAUUGUCACAUAAAUAUUACUUCAAAACAUUAAAACACAUUUGUCGUUUAAGUACUACAUCUACACUAAAAAAUAAGAGCCUCAUAAAAAAUACAUUCAUACACUACUAAUCUAUUACAAAUAUUAAAUGUCCAAGGAUAUGCAAAAUGAAAGCGUUUUUGUUUUCAAAGUUGUGAAGCCUUUCUCUAAAGUUUAAACCUUGCCAAUGGAACUCAAAGCUUAAUGAAAGUGACCCACUAGUGUGUUUAUUCGUACUUUCAUUAAGUAUAACAUAAGAUUUUGUGGUAUCCACUAGUGUAAAUAUUUUAAAUUGAAUAUCAAAUUCAUUCAUUGUAUUCAUAUAGGGUCAAGGAGUGUAAUUGUAAAAAAUCAUCAAAAUCGGAGUUAAAAUAACCGUUAAAUUGUGAUUUUUCAUUUAUAACCGUCGAAAAGUUUUGUCCCGUUACUUAAUCUUUAAAUGUUUGUUUUUUGCAAUUUUUGGCGUAUGCGAUCUCGAAGUAUAUACCAACAAGUUUGAUGGUUAGAUCGUUGAAACUAGUUUCGUAGAAUGCGUGUCCAAUCAAAACAAUAGAUUCACUAACACUUAAGAGUUUAUUCUUACUUUCAUUAAGUCUAACAUAAGAUUUUGUGGUAUCCACUAGUGUAAAUAUUUUAAAUUGAAGAUCGAAUUCAUUCAUUGUAUUCAUAUAGGGUCAAGGAGUGUAGCUGUAAAAAAUCAUCAAACUCGGAGUUAAAAUAACCGUUAAAUCGUGAUUUUUUGUUUAUAACCGUCGAAAAGUUUUGUCUCGUUACUUGAUCUCUAAAUGUUUGUUUUUUGCAAUUUUUGGCGUAUGCGAUCUCGAAGUAUAUACAAACAAGUUUGACGGUUGGAUCAUUGAAACUAGUUUCGUAGAAUGUGUAUCCCAUCAAAAUAAUAGAUUCACUAACACUCAAGAGUUUAUUCAUACUUUCAUCAAGUAUAACAUAAGAUUUUGUGGUAUCCACUAGUGUAAAUAUUUUAAAUUGAAGAUCGAAUUCAUUCAUUGUAUUCAUAUAGGGUCAAGGAGUGUAGCUGUAAAAAAUCAUCAAAAUCGGAAUUAAAAUAAUCGUUAAAUCGUGAUUUUGCGUUUAUAAUCGUCGAAAAGUUUUGUCUUGUUACUUGAUAUCUGAAUGUUUGAUUUUUGCAAUUUUUGGUGUAUGCGAUCUUGAAGUAUAUAUAAACAUGUUUGAUGGUUGGAUCGUUGAAACUAGUUUCGUAGAAUGCGUAUCCCAUCAAAACAAUAGAUUCACUAACACUUAAGAGUUUAUUCAUACUUUCAUCAAGUAUAACAUAAGAUUUUGCGGUAUCCACUAGUGUAAAUAUUUUAAAUUGAAGAUCGAAUUCAUUCAUUGUAUUCAUAUAGGGUCAAGGAGUGUAGCUGUAAAAAAAAUCAUCAAAAUCGGAAUUAAAAUAAUCAUUAAAUUGUGAUUUUUCGUUUAUAAUCAUCGAAAAGUUUUGUCUCGUUACUUGAUAUCUGAAUGUUUGAUUUUUGCAAUUUUUGGUGUAUGCGAUCUUGAAGUAUAUAUAAACAUGUUUGAUGGUUGGAUCGUUGAAACUAGUUUCGUAGAAUGCAUAUCCCAUUAAAACAAUAGAUUCACUAACACUUAAGAGUUUAUUCAUACUUUCAUCAAGUAUAACAUAAGAUUUUGUGGUAUCCACUAGUGUAAAUAUUUUAAAUGGAAGAUCGAAUUCAUUCAUUGUAUUCAUAUAGGGUCAAGGAGUGUAGAUGUAAAAAAUCAUCAAAAUCGGAGUUAAAAUAGCCGUUAAAUUGUGAUUUUUCGUUUAUAACCGUCGAAAAGUUUUGUCCUGUUACUUGAUCUGUGAAUGUUUGUUUUUUGUAAUUUUUUGCUGAUGCGAUCUCGAAGCAUAUACAAACAAGUUUGACGGUUGGAUCGUUGAAAUUAGUUUCGUAUAAUUCGUAUCUCAUGAAGUUCAAUGGUGUGUGUGUGUGUGUAUAUAUAUUUAUUUAUUUAUUUAUUAAGUAGAUUUAAAUCUAUUUAUUUUGUAUGUAUAAUUAUUAUAGUUUUUAGGGGUAUAAAAUUUAAUUUAAAAUUUAAUAUAUAUAUAUAUAAAUAUAAUUAUUAUAGUUAAUCUUUUGGGGGUAUAAUUAUUAUAGUAUAUAUUAUAGUUAAUUUAAUAUAUAUAUAUAUAUAUAUAAUUAUUAUAGUUUUUGGGGGUAUAAAAUUGUUAAAUUAAUAUAUAUAUAUAUAUAUAAUUAUUAUAGUAUUUUUUAGGGUUAUAAAUUAUUAAAUUAAUAUUCUACUUAUCGUGUAUCGUGUUACCCAUGUGUAUACCCGAACCAACCCGUUAUCUUAACAGGUACUUAUCGGGUUACCUGAUAACGACCCGUUUCGUUAUCGUGUCGACCCGAACAUCUGUUAAUUUCGUGUCGUGUCGUGUCGGGUUAUCGGGUCGUGUCAGGAAUUGCCAGGCCUAUCCCUAAUGCCCAAAGCCCAAAUCCCCAUUUCCUCCAUCCCAAUUCCAUUUCUCCUUCCAUCCCAACUGACCAACCCUCCACCACCACCUAAUUUCUUAAUUUCUGUUCUUUAUUUUUGCAAAUGUCCUAAUUUUUAAAUUUGAUUAAGGGUUUUAUCUUAGCCCAAAUUAACAAUUGAUGUGUAUUUGAUGAAAAUUUUGAAUUUCUUACAAAUUAUAGUUAUUGCUAUGAUUUUGACCCUAAUAUAUCAAUUAUGAUUUUGACCGCCGCAAUUUGCAAUUGGGAACUGGGGAGGCAUCUAUAUAUAAGUUACAAGUAAAUUUACGGUCAUCUUUAUAGCAUCAUCCUCGUAUUCGUACAGUUAAUUUUGAAUUUAUUACAUAUUGUUGUUUCUUUUGGGCCUUGCUUCAUAAGAUUCAAAGACCUACAGGACUGAGCUAAGAUAUUAUAUCAAAUUAUAUCUUUUUUGCAAUUAUUUCAUAAAUAGUGUGUAAUUUUGUACUAGUUCUAGAAAUAUAAUGUGUUAUUUUAGUUAACUUCAGAAAUAGUGAGUUAUUUUGCUAUAUUUCUAGAAAUAGUAUUUAUUUUGUUCCAUUCCAAUUUCCAAAGAUAGUGUGGUUAUUUUGGUUCAAUUUUAGAAAUAAUGUUAGUUAUUUUGCUCUAGUUCUAGAAAUAGUGUGGGGUUAUUUUGGUUCAAUUUUUAAAAAUAGUGUUAGUCAUCGUUUUCGACGCAAUGGGUGCUUUUACAGGACCAAACAAGGUCUAAGUUUCAAACCUUAUGAAACUGAACCAAUAAUUAGACAUUAUUUAUGAAAUUGGACCAAUAAGUAGACACUAUUUAUGAAACGAAACUAAGAAUUGGGCAUUAUUUCUAAACUAAACCAAUAGGUGGAAACUAAUGAAACACUUAUGAAACUGGACUAGACCAAGAACUAUACACUAUUUAUGAAACAUGACCAAGAACUAGGCACUAUUUAUGAAAGUGAACCAAUAACUAGGCACUAUUUAUGAAAACCAGACCAAGAAAAAGAAACUAUUUAUGAAACUGGACUCAAUAACUUAACACUAUUUAUAAAACAUGACCAAGAACUAGGCACCAUAUGUGAAACUGGACCAAGAACUAGACACUAUUUAUGAAAUUGGACCAACAAAUAGUAUAGUACCAUUCAGUUUCAUAAAUAAUGUUCAGUUUCAUAAAUGGUUAUUAGUUUCAUAAACAGUGACUGUGAUGGACGUACGGGUCCCGCACUCCAGGUCUUUUUUUUUUCUUUAUACAUUACAAUUGUGUCCUUUUCAUUAACACAACUAACAUUCUCAAUGAAAAUUGUGAAUCCUACUCUUACCCUACACAUUGCACACUCUUUGACGUCGUAUAAUUUUACGUCUAUAUUUAUACUUUUUAACCAACCAAGUUAUAAGUCUUUAUUAUUUUAGCCAUAUUUAAAAGGACAAAUUUAGUAAAAUUCGGGAUAGGAUGUCUAGAUGCUUAUGUUGUCAAAUUGUCAAACAAUACCAUUAUUGAUCGUAUAUUUUUUUUAUUAGAGUAUGUCAUUCUAAUCCUUCUUAAAAUAAGGAGACAUUUAUGAAACUGGACCCAUAAUUAGACAAUAUUUAUGAAACCAAAUCAAGAAUGAGACACUAUUUUUAAAACUAAACCAAUAAGUGAAAACUAUUUAGGAAACUAGACCAAGAAAGAAACAUUAUUUAUGAAACUAGACCAAAAAAGAGACACUAUUUAUGAAACUAAACAAAAAAUUAGGCAUUAUUUAUGAAAUUGGACCAAGAACAAGGCCACUAUUUAUGAAACUAGACCAAGAACGAGGCAUUAUUUAUGAAAUUGAAUAAAGAACUAGGCCACUAUUUAUGGAAGUGGAACAAGAUCCAUGCACUAUUUAUGAAACUGGAUUAAUAAUGAGACACUAUUUAUGAAACUGGACUAAUAAGUAGACAUUGUUUAUGAAACCCAAUCAAGAAUGAGACACCAUUUCUAAAACUAAACCAAUAGGUGGAAACUAUUGGUGAAACUAGACUAAGAAAGAAACACUGUUUAUGAAAUUGAACAAAAAACUAAGCAUUAUUCAUGAAAUUGGACCAAGAACUAACCACUAUUUAUGAAACUGGAUCAAUAAGUAAACACUAAUUAUGAAACUAGAUCAAUAAGUAAACACUAUUUAUUCAAUUUCAUAAUAAUGUGGGUUAUUUUGCUGUAAUUCCAAAAAUAAUGUUUAUUUUGUUCCCUUCCAGAGAUAGUGUAGAUUAUUUUGGUUUAGUUUUCAUAAAUAGUGUGGGCUAUUUUGUUGUAGUUUUAGAAAUAAUAUGAGUUAUUUUGGUUCUGUUUCAAUAGUGUGGGUUAUUUUUUAAGGAAAACUAAUGAAAAAGACUUCAAAAAUUUGAGUUUUAACCAAAACCCACCUACUAACUUUAUUUAAUGAUAAGGACAAAAGAAAGAAAGAAAAUACAUAACAAAAAUUUGGUGCGGCCUCUACUUACUACGCCAAGUAAGUUUCUAAAGCAUUAUGUCUGUAACAAUAGAUUAUCCUCAAAUACAUACCAAACCGAUAAUCUUUCACCGUGAUAUAAAGUCCAAUAACAUUCUUCUUGACCACAAGUUUGAAUCCCGUGUUGGGGAUUUCGGGUUGGCAAAGGUGAUGGACAUGCCACAGUCUACGACUAUGUCUGUAGUUGCAGUUCAUAUGGAUAUAUUGCUCCUGGUAAGCUAUCUUUUAACUAAUUUUAAUACCAAACAACUUAGAGAUCGAUUUGAUAUAACCCCAUAAUGCUAUCUGUUAUGGUUAGGAUGAUUAAUGCUUUAGAUACUGAUACAUAAUCCUUUCUUCCAAAGUAUGCAUACACUUUGAAUGUCACAUAUUCUUGUGAUUGCAGUACUCAGAGGACGAAUCUGCGGCCAAUAAGUUGAAGAAAUUCUGCUCCGCUUAGCGCGUCUGCCAAGUGUUCGAUGUAAUGCCCGAAAGAUCACGAAGAUAUCCAGGCUGCAAAAUGUGACUAAAGUUAAAAUAAUGGAAAAACCUGAAUUAACUGAGUCAUCAUCUGUGCUAAUAUAUGUGGACUACUUUUGUAAAGUUUUCACAAAACCUAAUGCCAACAUUGAUAAAAGGAAGAAAUAGAGAUUUCUUCAGAGUUCAAAUUGAUUUUGCAUUUAAAAUGUAAGAGAGAAAGGAACGCGUGUGCAUAACUGUAGUGGUUGAAAGGAUGUGCAACACAACAGAACAUCCACCAUCGAAAAGGUGAGGCCCUUGAGGGCUUUGAUGGUGCCCUCUUCUCCAUUGGGCAUGAAUUCGCCACAGCCAUCCGUAUCAAUCCCUCCUCUUCUCCAUUGGGCUUCAAUGGUGCCUUCUUCUUCAUAAAUAGUGUCAUAAAUUUUCAUAAACAAUGUAGUAAAUUUCAUAAACAGUGUCCUAAGUUUCAUAAACAGUGUAGGAAGUUUCAUAAACAGUUUGUUUGUGUGAGGACGCGUACGUCCCCGCGUCAGAUUUUUAAUUUUUUUUUAAUAUUAAAAUUAUAUCUUUUUUCAUUAAAAAUUAAGUUCUUUUGUCCUUUUAUUAAAAUUUAAGGGGUUUUCAUUAAAAUUUAAGUUUUUUUAUUAAAUAAAGUUAUAGCAUGGUUUUUUUUAUUAAAAUAAACUGAGCUCAAGCCAUUUUCAUGAAAGUUCCCUAUUUUUUAAUGUAGUUUCAAAAAUAAUGUGUGUUAUUUUGGUUCAGUUUAAGAAAUAGUAUAGUUUAUUUUUGUUCAAUUUCAGAAAUAAUGUAAGUUAUUUUCCUAUAGUUUUAGAAAUAGUGUGAGUUAUUUUGGUUCAGUUUCAAAAAUAGUGUAGGUUAUGUUGCUAUAGUUUAAGAAAUAGUGUGGGCUAUUUUGCUAUAGUUUCAGAAAUAAUGUUGAUUAUUUUGCUAUAGUUCCAGAAAUAGUGUGGGUUAUUUGCAAAAAAAAAAAAUAGGGUGGGUUAUUUUGGAUCAAUCUGAGAAACAGUGUGAGUUAUUUUGUUGUAGUUCCAGAAACAAUGUGGGUUAUUUUGAUUCAGUUUCUGAAAUAGUGUGACCUAUUUUGCUAUUGUUCCAAAAAUAGUGUGAGUUAUCUUGAUUCAGUUGCAGAAAUAGUGUAGUUAUUUCUUCACCUUCCCAACCAUCUUUUCUCUCUCUUUUCACGUCUCUAGUUGUAGACCACAUCACAGCCGCACCGCAUCACCAUUAAAAUCACCGUGACAAACCAAAAUCAAACCAGCACCCAAACUUGGAUCCCACCAUCUUCUCAUGCUUCAUCUUUACGUCUUCUAGUUGUCUUGGAUUUGACAUCAUCUCCCAAAUCGAAGGCGCUUCGGUGGGAUCUCAAUGAUGGAAAAAUUCUGGUAUUCAACACCACCUACACCAAAUGAGCGCCACCACCUAAAACAUUAUAUAAGCUUAUGUAUCGAUAAGCAAAAUCCAUGGAUGUAGAACUCUGCCAUUUUUAUUAACAAUAUCAAAUUUUGCGACCAAAUGUAUGAGCAACUGACGAUACAUAGAUUACAAAGAGAAACUUCCUCAUGGCGCUUCGAAUGUCGUCUAGGGAUUCCAUCCGGUUUCAGUUCAAGGUCCGACAUUUCCAGUCUCUUUGUUUCUUCGCUGGAUCACAUUCCUCAACUCACAAUAGUUUUAAGUUUAUAUUUUGCUAAUUACAAAAUAAUGUAGUCCUAGACGUAGACAAGUUAACUAGAUGGUGUAAACAUUCAUAUUCAAAUUCUUUUUUAUGUAACAAUAUUAUAUUAAAAUAUCGCUUGAAUGGGAAAUAUUGUUACAAGCAAAUCCCACAUUUCCACUUGUGCAGCAGAGUCAAUGAUGAUAUAUGUAAUCACCAUCAUUAUUAAGCAAGGGUGAUUUGGAUAAUAAAGGCAAAUGUAGUGGGCAAUGUGGUAUUGAAACGUAUUGAGAGUCUGAGACACAUUUGGUAGCAUCUUUCAUUUCACUUUAGUGUAGAAAGACUGACUAGUCACCAAAGGGCCUCAGAGACUCCCCGUUGAACUCUCUUUCUUUGCAUGGUUUGUUGCAGAAGAUAAAAGAAAUUUAAAAAAUAUGGGGAUCAAUCGUUUUCUUCGAUCCAAUCCCAGAACCCAGGUAUCAAAUCUUAAAUCCCAAACACCCAUUUGGUUUUUUUUGGAUUACAUCUUCCUGUUUUUCUGAUUGACAAAGACAGAAGAACAACAGAAUAUUGCAAGGCUGCUUCAUAUCAAAUCAAAACUCUAUUUUAACUUCUUCCGACUUCUUAAUGUCAUCCCAAAAACCAAAAUUGCACUCUUCAUAUGAGGAUAGGUAAGAGAUUUGAACGAACAUCCCAUAUCUUAGCUAGGGGGCCCAAAAAGAUAGCAGUUAUUAGUAAUAGUAAUUAACAAGAAUUGAAGAAUUGUAAGUGAUUUCCGGUUUCUCUGUUUCUUCGCCGGGCCUUCUUGCCCAUUUCUCUGAGAUUGUCGUCGACUAUCAGCAGUUGGUUCCCUCUCGUCAGCUUUGCAUCCUCUUCUCCCUCCAAUGAUUCUGUCGCCAUCUCCUCUUCUUCUAUGCUUGAUUCUUUGAACAGGAACAAGAAGAAAAAAAACCUAAUUUGAUCGAGUUCCUAAAGGCCAAAAAUCCCCAUCUAGAUAACAGAAAGCAAUCAAAGCAAAACCCUAAAUUAAAAAAUCUGCAAAAGUGAAGUGGUUGGCCUUUAUAACUCAGUUCUUCGACAUGACUAAACUAACGGAAAACAAAACUAACAUAACCCAAAAACGUCAGGGGCAAAAUAGAGAAAUCAAUUUGUUAUUUUGGUUAGGCCACUUGUUUAAUAUUAGGAUUUGUAUUAACCAUUAAAUAAAGUUAUAGGGUGGUUUUUCAUUAAAACUCAAAGUUUCUAAGCCUUUUUCAUUAGUUUUCUUAAAAUUCAUGGAUUUAUAAAUCCAUUAAAAUCUUUCAAAUUCCUAAUUGAAUACACCCCCUUAAACAAAAAUCUGAGCUGAUAUUACUAAUGACAUGUGAUGCGAUGAAAGUAGUUGAAAAUGGAAAGGGAUCAUCUCCGGCUCUCUUUCACCAAAUCCAUCAAGUUCAAGAUCCAGACCAUUUAAAUUUGGUUGAAGUUACAAAAAGGAGCAGUUAUAUAAUAGGUUAGAUCAAAUUUUAAGGGUCCGAUCCCUGUCUUAUGGAUUUCGUGGAAGGGAUCCAGAGUCCUUUCCGUUGAAAAUCUCAUCGCCUCUCCUUUCAGCCUUUCAAGGAAAACCCACUUCUUGGGCGUCUUCAACCACGUAAAGCUUCACUCUUUUAUUAGUUUCUGUGUUUAAAAUUGUUGGGGUUUGCAGUUUUGGAUUGAAAUUUGUGUUUUGGGAUUUGUUGGGUGCUCGCAUGUGGAAAUUUGGAAUAUUUUAGUUGUGGAUAGUGGGGAACUGACGCAAUGGCGGUCCUAUUUCAUGUAAGUUGCUUUUGUUUGUGUGUUUUUGAUGAAAUAAUGAUGAGGAGGGUUGGAUAGUUGGACUGGUUUUAUUUUUUUUGUGAAAUUAGAGUGGGAUCAAUCAAGGUCGAUACUUUUUUAGGUAAGAGUAAUGUAAAGUUAUGUCUUUUUGGCAAAUUUAGUGACUUGGUGGAUUUGGAAUUUUGGUUAUAUUAGAUAUAUGUGUAAAGAAAAUAGUUGAACUGCAUGAAGCUUGAUGUAAUUCUGGUUUUAAUCAAUGUUGGACUUGGGAAACCUAGUGAAUAUACAAGCGAAUCUACGAUUAGUUGAGAACCUUAAAGGAGCUUGAGGGGUAAUGAGGGUUUUAGGUAUUUAGUGACAUUCAGGCCAUGCUUGAUUGAUGUCGGCGUAUCGGAAAUGCUUGAACAAAGAAGAAAGGUGCUUGAAGAGCUGCAGUAGUUAACUACGUGGUUUGAUUAGAUUGCUAUGUUAAUCAAAAUGUCCCCUGUAGUAUGUUAUAGGGUUAAAGUUUUACAUAAGUGUUCUUUAGCGACUUGGUUUCAAAAUUUUCAUUUUCGUUCGACUUUCCUGGGUCUGUGAGGCCAAUGGUAGAAUGAUCAUGGAAAUUGUUUUGUCUUAAUAUCUCUGGUAAGAGCGGGUAUGCAUUCUUAUAGGACUUGUUUUCUUUUAAGCUGUUUAAUGUGCUCAUUUCAGUAUGCAUCAUCCAAAGUCUAUAACUGCUAAAACUAGCACUACAAGGGCGAGGGAGCUAUCAUCUGUUUGGAAAUAAGAGCUAUAGACAUGCCCCAUAAGGGUCAAUAGGUCUCAAUUGCAUACUUGUUUCUCAUGUGUUUUCAUCUUGAAGGUUAGAAAAGAUGGGUGCUCUAGACGCGGCGGUGUGCAAAGAGUGGUUCAUCAACACCAGAGAUGGAGGCUGAUCUCAUGUAUGUGGUUACAUGCUGGAGUUUUCCAUAUGCUUGCCAAUAUGCUGAGUCUUGUAUUCAUUGGAAAUUUGCUUGAGCAAGAAUUUGGAUUUGGUGUGCAUCUGGAUUUUUAGCUUCAUGUAUGUUAUCAUGCAUGUAUGGCCACAUCCAUAAGUGUUUGUAGUAAAAGAUAAAGCACACGACAUAAACUGUAGAAUAAUAAAUUAGUUACCAAGUGGAAAACUUCUUUCAUAAAUCUAGAAGAGAAAAACUUUCCGGAUGGCUUUAGCUACCUUGCGAUUUUUCUACAGAGGAUUUCUAUGCAUUUGUUUAUUGAAUUGUAAUCCUAGAGUAGUGGUCAUGUAGUGCUGGUUGCAUUAUAACUUACACCGGUAUGUUGUUUGGUUUGAUGGAAACAAGAGGACAUUUUAUUCAGCGGUGAGCAAAGAAAAGAAUUUAUACACCGAAGAUGGGGUUCAAACUUUAGUUUUAGACAUAGUAUUCCAUUUUACAGAAUAAAAUUGCUUGAAACAGAAGCUGAGAGAUUAUUUCAGUUCCAUCACAUCUGUGGGAACAAAGAUUGUUUUGGAUAUCCUGUACUUGUAGACAUGGCGCCUCAUUUUGAAAUGUUUCAAGAUGCCGUGUAUUUGAAAAAUUGAAAAAAAUAAUAGUUUGAUGCUGAUCUACAUCAUGUACAGUUGUUUUGAUGAACUGUUUUAACUAAUUGGUUUGAAAUUCUGAUGUUUUUCUGAUUUAUUCUUCUGCAGUUCGAAUUGGUUUCCUAUAUCUCAUGUCUGGUUUUGGUGGGAGUUUGCUUUCAGCUCUUUUUAUUCAAUAUGGUAUUUCUGUUGGUGCUUCUAGUGCACUUUUUGGUUUAUUAGGAAGCAUGCUUUCAGAGCUCAUAUCAAAUUGGACAAUGUAUGUAAAUAAGGAAAAUAAAGUUUCUGUAUACUCAAUGAUGUACCUCUUUAUAGUAUGUGCACGACCCUUUGAUCUUACAGUUUCAGAUUUUGAUCCGCAGUUAGCAGCAUUGCUUACUCUCCUUUUCAUCAUCAUAAUAAACUUAGCAGUGGGAAUUCUACCACACGUGGACAACUUUGCUCAUAUUGGAGAAUUUGUCUCCGGAUUUCUUCUUGGAUUUUUGUUUUUGAUCCGCCCCAAUUUAAAUGGCUUACCCAACGGAAUGCUCCCCCUGGACGUGUUACUACUCCAGUUAAAUCUAAACACAAGACGUAUCAAUAUGUAUUGUUGAUCCUCUCUUUGAUACUAUUGGUUGUUGGGUAAGCUCCUCCUCGAUCUGUGAUUUAACUGUUUGACUUCAUGAACCUAAUCGACUCCCUGCAUGAGAAUCUGGUAGCCACAGUUGACGUGUGCACAUUUUUUUUUAUCAUAUCAGGGAACAGGAUUUUGCGUAGAUAUAUAGAUAUCAUGUGUCUUUUCAUUGCGAAUAGGCUCUGUAUCUGCUUGUUUCUCAUCAGAAUGGUUUGGAGAAGGCAUUGUGUUAUCGCUAUUCUCUGUGUAAUACUAAUUGAUCACUUUGUUGAUAGCAGCUUCUACUUCGCUGUUUUGGAUUGCAUAUGUUGGCAGUACUUUGUUGUUUUGUUAUUGGAAAUAAAGGUUCAUUUUCCUCGUAUAUGCAGGCAUUUUCUGACAGAAGUCAUGUUUUUUACAGGUAUACUCUUGGCUUGGUUACUCUUUUUCGAGGGUUUAAUCUAAACGACUUUUCCUGGUGUCAUUAUUUGAGCUAUGUCCCUACAUCAAAAUGGAAUUGCAAGUCACAAAAUAUUUAUUUUCUGAUAAUAUGCCGUACUUUUCUGCGCAUAGUAACUUCCGCCUUAAUAUUUGAUAGACAUAAGUGCUUGCUUAUUAAUAUGAUCAUGGAAAUUGCUUCUGCAACGUACUUUGUUAGUACUAUAAUUUGAUUUUGUACUGACAUAUUUGUUCUUUAUAUGCAUAUAUGCACCAAUCUUGCAAUCGAGCCGGAUAGGGAAUCAGCUGAACUUAACGUGGUAAGCAACAGUAGAAAUGGAACAUAUUCAUUGUCGGAUUCCAGCCCCUCCCGGACUCAGCAGCUAUAUGCUGAGCUUUGCAGUUGACCAUACAUGUACAGAUUUCAGAGUUGAUAGAAUGUUGAUUGAUAUGCUUCAUUCUUGUAGUAAGUAUUCUUUAUUUUUCUUUUGUUUUUUGUUGGGUAAAAUAGUCUUGUGUAUUCACCAAGCAAUGGUUCUCAUUGUCAUUAUUCUUUUCAUUCUUUUACUGCCUUUGUACCUCUUUUCUACUAUUCAUAACAGUUGAAACCCAUACCGAUAACUAUGAAAUUUACUUGCCAUAUAGAACUACUCAAACAUGCAAUUUACUCACCAUACCUAAGUUUGUUGAAUGUGGGAUGUUACAGAUCCUCUCAAUCGGACCUUUGCACUCUACCUUCUUGGCUCUCUCUCUCAUUUUGGAAUGUUGCAAGAUGAUCGGACACAUGUAUACUUUCUAGUUCAUCCUUUAGAGACCAACUUUGACAAAAAAAAUCAACUAAAUAAAAAAUCGUUUAACCAUUUAAUUAACAUUGUCAAAAUUUCAGUAUUUAACUGAAAAACAUAGUUCAUUUAUUUAUUGGAUAACAAUUAGAUGAAAAAACAAGUAUGAAUUACUUUGGUUUUUGGCGAAGUUGGACUUUAAAGGGUGAAUCAGAAAUAGACAAUUUUACGGAGUUGGUGGCAAUCUCUAAAUGCAAGUGCAAGUCCAAUAAGGGAGGAUCAUUUCGAAACUUGACAUUAAAUGAUCCCCUUUAGUGUUUUGUCGUAUUUGUUUCUUUGUUCGUCAAAGGAAAGGAAAGAAAUUUCGUCAAGUACAAUAACAAACACUUAUUUGCAAGUUUCACAUGCUACUCUGCUAAGGGCUACUGAUGGGUUAUCGGAGGCUAAUUUGAUUGGUGCUGGAAGUUUUGGGGUUGUGUACAAGGGAGUUCUCAAUGUUGAUGAUAGAGCUCAAUUGGUUGCCGCCGUAAAGGUGUUUAACUGCCGUAAAGGGAGUUCUCUAAGGGCUACUGAUGGGUUAUCGUCAAGAUUAUAACUGCAUGUUCAAGUGUUGAUUCUCCGGGUAAUGAUUUCAAGGCUUUGGUUUAUGACUACAUGGAAAAAGCAAGCUUAGAGAAGUGAAUGCAUCCACCGACUGAUAUUGAAGAAGCAAGAGAGGCACCCAAGAGUUUAAAUCUUUUGCAAAGGCUCAGCAUUGCCAUUGAUGUUGCUUGUGCUCUUGAUUAGUCGAUUAUCUUAUCAUUGUGAAACACCAAUAGUUCAUUGUGAUCUGAAGCCAAGUACUGUUCUUUUGUACAACAAGUCGAGUAUUGGACAUGUUUCCAGGGCCGGUCUUGAGUUUUUGGUUGCCCAGUGCGAAAACUCAAAAUGUGUCAUUUUUUAAUACGAAAACAUAUGUUUAAAAAAAAAAAAUUUAACGAGAGCUGGAACCCAGUCGAAGCUGGGGGGCUAGGCCCUCACGCCCAAAUUAUAUUACUUGAGAAAAUAUACAACGGGGAGGAACAUAGUACCUAAACCCCGACAAUAAAAAAUACAAUCAUAUACAACCAUUCCUAACGAAGCUCCUUGAAAUUUCAUUAUCCUUUGCCUUUUUUUUCCUUUUCAUAUUACUAGAAAAUUGUUUCCUAAAAGACAUGACUUCGAUAAUUUGUUUGCAAAAAUUACCUACACAUGAUAUAACAAAAAUUUCCUAUCAAAAUUAUCAUUCCAACACAUAUUAUAUAUUAUAAAAACACUAACACAUAGUUUAACAUAUUAUAAAAAUUGAACCUAAAAAUUGGGUUUGAAAUGAAAUGAAAUCAUUCAAUUAGUCAAGAAUUCAAUUCAUCAACAACAACAAUUCUAUACAUUAAUUAUCAUAUAAUUAUAUGUCACUUGCAAAAUUUUAUAUGAAAUUAUGAAUUGAUAAUUCAAAAUUUAAAAAUUAGUUUACCUCAAAACUCAAAAAGAAGGGUUGGUGGUGAGUGAGUGCUCUUGCACAGCAGCCAAUGGGCUUGGCGCUGAGCUGAGGACAGCCGGACAGGGACCUCCUGUGCUGCAACAGCUUGCUGGUGAAAGGGAGUCAGGGGGUCAGGACCGCAGGAAGAAGUUGGGGAAAUGGGGAUUUAUGGGAGUUAGGGUUAGUGGGGACCGAGUGGUCCCUUUAAUGUUGUUUUGUUUUUUUUGUUUUUUUGUUGAUUAUAAUGUGGAUAAUACUUGGUACUCUCCGGGAGUACCCAAUAUACACACUCACUUAUGUGGUACAAUAAAAAAACGACAUCUGUCCUUAUUUAAAUCUCUCAAACACGUAACCAAACAUCCUUUAUUCCUGUAGCCAAACACUCACCUUCUUCCUCGCCAAAGCACACAAUCAGAGAAACACUUUCAUUUUCAAAUCAUGGCAAUCUAACUAUGGUGGAAGAUUCCAUUUCCAGAAGCCCAAUCUGGUAAUCCAAAAAUAUGGGUUCCUUGAUUUUCAUACGGAGAGGACGAUGGCUCGUGGGGUUGGGUGCUCUUCUUUUCACGGUUUUCUACUCUCACGUGAGAUCCAGAUUUUACAACGAUGAAGGUGCCAUGAGUUCCGGCAAGGGACGGUGGCUGAUGGUGGUGGGCGAGGACACUGGUCUGUGGUGGGAGACGACCGUGGCUGGAGGUGGUGGCCUGGUGGGAGAGGACCGUGGUUGGUGGUAGUGGGACCGUUGCAGGUGAUUGUGCGGCGAGGACCGUGGCCACUGGCGGUGGGAGAGGACCGUCGCUGGUGCUGGUGGUUUAGAUCUCUGUGUUGUGAAUGAAGAUGGGUGUUUGGCUAACACAAUAGUGAGUAUUUGGCUAAAGAAUUGGUUAAGUAUUUGAAGAUUAAAUUUGGCUAGGUGUUUUUAUAUUAUUGUGUCACAUAAGAUAGUGUGUAUAUUGGGUAAUCCCUGGAGAGUACCCAAGUAUCAUCCUUAUAAUGCCCAAAACCUGGAUCAUCGAGUGGUCCUCUAAUGUCAAUUUUUUUUUUUGGGGUAACGCCCAAAACCUGGGCCUUUUUUCUUCUUUCCUAGGCUCUUGCCUAGUUGGGCUCUAGACUUUUUUAUUAUUUUUUUAUACCUAGUUAUUUAGGUUAUAUUUUUUUGGUGCCCCUUUCAGUUUUGGGUCUUGGACAGUUGCCCCUGUGGCACUGGGCUUGGGUCGGGCUUGCAUGUUUCUGACCUUGAUUAGCAAGGUUUCUCUCACAACUGAACAGUAUAAAAGCUUCAACAAAACAGACAAGUUCUGCCGAAAUAACAAGAACGAUUGAUUAUGUGGUUUUAGGUAAAUAUUCACAUCCUCUCCACAAUCUCUUUUUUUUUUCUUUUAAAGUUUUUGCAUAAUUCAACUAUUUUGUUCUCAAUUUGCUAACAAUAUUUGGGAAGUGAAGCGUUAAUAACUUGAUAUGUCUACAGUGGUGGAAUUCUCUUGCUAGAGACUUGAGCCCCCAUGAAGUUUAAAAAUUAAGAAAACUUGAUCUCACUAGUAAUUGUUACCAUUUUUAAAAAGGUUGCAUCCACAACAAGCUUUGUUGCAAUGAUACUUUAGGGGAACUAGGAGAAAAUCAGCAAUCUCACAGUCUGGCGCCUCAUAAAACGUACAGACUUCAAAAUUUCCAUUCAUAGCUAGGGUCACCUUGCUAGGGUAACUUUCACAUUAGAUGACACUAACGUGACGUCUGAUGUGAGAAAAUAUUGGGUUCCAUGUAUUUGUUUUUCCAUUUUGGAUGAUUGCCAAAAUGAAUUAUGGAUGAUAAUGCUAUUAUGUAUGGUUGCCAAAAUGUUUCCAGUCAGCUUCUGGACUCAAGGUGCUUUAAUGGUCUUGGUCCCAGUUGUGGAAGUAACCUAGUGAAGUCUUCUAAAAAAACAAGCCGAAGUCGUUAUCAUUUACUUGGACUUAUACCUUCUCAUCUUUGAAUUUGCAAGAACCAGAAACUGUGGUGUAAGUUCCUCCUAUGAUCCUAUCCUUCUAUAAAUUUCCUUGUCGUUUAGUGGCAGUAUUCCUCCUAUGAUCCUAGGGUAACUUUUAUAUUCGGUGACACUAACGUGACGUUUGAUGUGAGAAAAUAUUGGGUUCCAUGUAUUUGGUUUUCCAUUUUGGAUGAUUGCCAAAAUGAAUUAUGGAUGAUAAUGCUAUUAUAUUAUGUAUGUUUGCCAAAAUGUUUCCAGUCCGCUUCUAGAAUCAAGGUGCUUUAAUGGUCUUGGUCCUUGGCGCACCGAAAGUGCCAGACUAUAGUGGAAGUAAGCUAGUGAAGUCGUCUAAAACAAAAGCCGAAGUUAUUAUCAUUUACUUGGACUUAUUCCUUCACAUAUUUGAAUUUUCAAGAACCAUUAACCAGGUCUGGCCCAGGCCCAGUGCAAACGGAGCGGGUGUCCAGGCCCAAUAUUGAAGGGGGCACCAAAAAAUAAAAAUCCAUAUAAUUAGAUAUAUAUAAAAAAUAAAAAUAAAAAUAUGUCCAGCCCAAGUUUGACAAAAGAGUACGGCCCAUCCCCCAAUUUUUUUUUUGUCAAAGCCCAUCCCCUAACAGCCCAUCCAUCCCCCAAUUAAUUAAACCUAGGGAACUUUAACGAAAAGCACCCGGUACUGUUCACUUUAACGAAAAACCACAUUUUUACACUAAAAAGUCAAUCCUGGUACUAUUCACUUUACCCUUUAUUUUGUCCUUAUCAUUAAAACUCAAAGUUUUCAAGCCUUUUCAUUAGUUUUCUUUAAACUUAACCCUAAGUUCCUAAUCCCCCCACCCUCCCCACUUUGUUUCUGACCCUCCCUGCCAUUUCUGUCCGAUUGUCCCUUUGAGCUCUGGCUUUCUCUCACUGCAAGCUGCUGCGAUGCAGCUUCCACAGGUUCUUGUUCUUCUCAUUCAGUGCAUUCACCAACCCUUUUGAGUUUUAAGGUAAAUUAAUUUUUAAAAUUUGAAUUAUUAAUUCAUAAUUUGAUGUAUAGAAUUAUUGUUGUUGUUGAUGAAUUGAAUUCUUGAUUAAUUGAAUUAUUUGUUAUACUAUGUCAGUGGCCCAAUUAUUCACACCCAAGAUCACAAGUUUUUAUGAAGAAUUUUACGGAUUCAAAGGAGUGAAGUUUGUUAAAGGAAUCAUUUUAUCCUCGUUUGACAUUGACUCGGACGGGAAGGUAAAUGUUAAGUUCUUCUUGAAUAAAUGAACUUUGAGUGGUUAUUGAGAUGCUUUCUCAAAACAAAUUAUGUACUUUCUUAAAUAGAGAAAACAUUGGUUCCAUAGUUAAAUGUGUAUAGGAUAUAUUUUCUUUGAAUUGGAUGCGGUUGAGAUGCUAAAUUUUUCUGCUCAAUUCUUGUAGAGGUGACUGCUGUUAAUCUUAGAGAUUUUUUAUGGGUCAAUUUAUUUUUAUUACUUUCAAUUUUGGUUUUUGUUUAGUUGCUUUGAUUAUUUUAAUAAAUAUCAAAUUUGGUACAUUUUUUGGGUUAAAAUUUUGAGGAGGUUGUUUAGUUUGUUUGUCAAUGUGAUUGAUAUGAAACAUUAUAUACUUGUCUUUGUGGAUUUGCAAAUGGAUACCAAUGAAGAUUUCAAAAACGUUUUUCUGGAAAUGUUGCACAGGGAGAUUUGUGUUGGCCACUCUUUGCUUUGUGUUGGCCAAUCCUUACAAGUUCAGGGGUAAAUUGAUGAAUACCUCUAUUUUAUAUGAUUGGAUGAAUAUCUUAUUGGAUUGGGAUGUAUUGGAUGUGUGUUUAAUGCAUUAUGUGAUUGUUUUUUUUUUCUUGCAGCUGCUACACCAAAACAAAUUAGAGAGUUAAUGAAGGUUGAUGGGUUUACUAACGAUGAAGUCAAAAGCCAUUUGCAGGUUUGUAUAUGUGAUUAUCCAUUUGUUUUGAACCAUAAUUUGGUUGAUGUGAAUAAAAUUUUACACAUACAUGACAGAAAUUGGAAGUCAUUUUGCAUGUGAUUAGUGAUGAAUUUUUUUACACAUACAUGUGAUUAUCCUCGUGAAAUAUUUUUUUUUAAAGAUAUGUUUCUGUAUUAAAAAAGGGCACAUUUUGAGCUUUCGCACUGGGCACCAAAAAAACUUAGGACCGGCCCUGCCAUUAACUAUGGUAUCUAAAGUGAGGCGUUAAUAACUGGAUAUGUCUACAGUUUUGGAAUUCUCUUUCUAGAGAUGUUUACUAGAGAGAGACCCACUGACAACGUGUUUAAUGAGAACUUAAACCUUCAUGUUACAAUUUUCAAUCAAUGCUUAGGAGUGUUGAGCCCCCAUGAAAUUUAAAAAUUAAGAAAGCUUGAUCUCACUAGUAACUGUUACAAUUUUUAAAAAGGUGGGAUCCACAACAAGCUUUCUUGCAAUGAUAUACUUCAGGGGAACUAUGAGAAAAUCAGCAGUCUCACAGUCCAGCCACUCAAAAAACGUAGAGACUUCGAAAUUUCCAUUCAUAGCUAGGGUCGUCCUGCAAGGUAACUUUCAUAUUAAGUGACACCAGCGUGACGUCUGAUGUGACCAAAAUAUAGGGUUCUAUGUAUUUGUUUUUUUUUUCAUUUUGGAUGGUUGCCAAAUGUUUCCAGUCAGCUACUGGAAUCAAGGUGCUUUAAUGGUCUUGGUCCUUGGCGUACCGAAAGUGCCAGACAAUAGGUCCUAGUAUUCCUUCUCAUAUUUGAAUUUCAAGAACCAGAAACUGUGGUGUAAGUUCCUCCUAUGAUCCUAUCCUUCUAUAAAUUUCCUUGUCAUGCAACAAAUGGAACUCACCAAAUUCACAACUCAACACCCAUCUCUCUAUUUCUUUCUUAACCAGAUCAGGAAUGGGGGUUUUGGUUUUGAAAUUGAUCUUAAUAUACUUGCUUUUCAGUGAAGUGUUCGUUUGCUGUUGGAGCUCCGUGCAAUCGGGACUCGGAGGGAAUGCGACAGAUAGGCUGGCGCUGCUUGCCAUUAAAGCUCAAAUAAAGCAAGAUCUCCAUAAUUACAACGUGAUGAGCUCCUGGAACGAAUCCAUGCACUUUUGCAUGUGGCAUGGUGUGACGUGCAGUCGACGACAUCGCCAAAGGGUCACUAACCUGGAUCUGCAAUCUCAAAAUCUGGUAGGGAAACUAUCCCCAAACAUUGGAAAUCUAAGUUUUCUAAGGGAGCUGUGGCUGCAAAACAACAGCUUCAGUCAUGAAAUUCCUCCACAAAUUGGGAAUUUGCGUAGAUUGCAGGUAUUGCGUUUAGACGGUAACUCGUUUAAUGGUAGUAUUCCACACAAUAUAUCACAUUGCUUCAACCUUAUCGUUGUGAAUUUCACUCGCAACAAGUUGGUGGGUAAAAUUCC